This 234172-nucleotide long non-coding RNA is filed under the name Citrus x clementina. RNAcentral describes it as "Citrus clementina (C. clementina) long non-coding RNA (CCLE_LNC001433)". The record is from RNAcentral. Lineage: Eukaryota; Viridiplantae; Streptophyta; Magnoliopsida; Sapindales; Rutaceae.
GAGAAUGUUCGCUACUGGCUAUGAAUGUUUUCAUGAAGCACCAGAAGACAGCGUUUUAUUUGGUGGGGGUGAAGUUUUAGUACAGGAAUUGCUCGGUUUGAAAUAUUUAGAGGUAUUGGAGUUGACCUUGGGAAGUUAUCAGGCUCUCCAAAUCUUUUUGAGCUCAAAUAAGUUAAAAAGUUGUAUUCGAUCUCUUUUCCUCCAGUUGGCCGGAGAUACAAAGUCGAUUAUUGAUGCUGCGGCUUUCGCAGAUCUAAACCACCUCAAUGAAUUAUAUAUUUAUGAAGGUAUUGAGUUGGAAGAAUUGAAGAUUGAUUAUACAGAGAUAGUACGAAAAAGGCGGGAACCUUUUGUUUUCCGCAGCCUUCACCGUGUUACCAUAUUUAGUUGCGGUAAAUUGAAAGAUGUGACAUUCCUCGUUUUUGCUCCAAACCUCAAGUCUCUUGAGCUAUUGCAAUGCGAUGCUAUGGAAGAAAUAAUCAGCGUCGGAGAAAUUGCUGAGACUCCUGAGAUGAUGGGACACAUAAGCCCUUUUGAAAAUCUCCAAAGUCUUCAUUUAUCGUAUUUACCAAUUUUGAGGAGCAUCUACUGGAAGCCAUUGCCUUUCACUCAUCUCAAAAAAAUGGAGGUACGUAGAUGCGAUCAGCUUAGAAGGCUUCCGCUCGAUUCCAACAGUGCAACAGAGCGUAAUGUUGUUAUUCGUGGAUACACACUCUGGUGGAACCGACUUCAAUGGGAGGAUGAAGCCACUCAAAUUGCUUUUCGUUCCUGUUUCCAACCUCGUUCCUGAGCAGUGGUCGCAAAAUUUGAUUUCUGGUGAGUGCGUUUGUCUUUUAAAAAGAAGAAUUUAAAAGAAAUUUAUUCUUGUCGUUUUCUUCACUGUUUUUAUUUGAUUUCUGGUUAGUUUCUUUCUCUCUCUCUCUCUCUUUGUCUUCUGCAAAUCACAAUUAAAUGUUGAAUUAAUGGAAUUGAUGCUCUGGUUUUUUACUUUUUGUUGUCAAAUUUUGCCCUGUUCUAUCUUCUUAGCGAUUUAAUUUCCUGUCAAAAGACGAGCGAGAAGAACAUAUAUAUGACUUAAACCAAUUGAUACUUUAUUUAUGUGCAUUGUAUGUAAUAAAUAUUAAGUAUACUUUAUUUUUGCCCUGUUCUCUGUUUUUAUUUCAGUCUCUCUCUCUCUUUCCUGUCUUCUGCAAAAUAUAAUCAAUUAUUUUCAAAAUAUCAUUGAUGAUUUUUCUGCUCUAAUGCUAUGUAAAUAGUAUGUUAAGUAAAACAUAAUCAAUUAUUUGUGUUUUAUCUCUAAUUAGAACAUCAAUCAGUUCAGUACCUCACAAAUAAUUCGCAAUAUCUACAAAAUACUAUAAUGGCUACAAAACAAAUCCUGCUUGCAAAUUGUCAAGGAUACCUAUCCGUUCGCUUGACAAGUCAUUUGAAUAAAUAUUGUUCACAUUCCUUACUCUAUCAAUUAUCCAAAGCACCAUCAAUGGUCCUCAACUUUAGUUUGAAUAGUAUACAUGCCAUCACCAUUACCAAGAAUCAAGCAUGGAAGAGUCAUUCUAUAGAGUUAAUCGAAGCAAGGAAUGAUGUAUCAGAAAAUAUUUGGUGGAGAAUUCAGCACAAACAUAUUUUGGAUGAUCAGAAUCAAUAAAACCUGGUGGUUGCGCCAUAUAAACAUCUUCGGAAAGCUGACCUUGAAGAAAGGCGUUAUUGAUAUCCAAUUGACGAAGAGGCCAGCCAUGACUAACAUCAAUACUAAGAACAAGCCGUACUGUGGUGGACUUAACAACUGGACUGAAAGUGUCAUAAUAGUCCACACCAGGCCAUUGAUUGAACCCUUUGGCAACAAGAUGAGCUUUAAACCUGUCAACAGAACCGUUGGAAUGUCUUUUAAUACAAAAAUCCAUUUGCAGCCAACAAUAUUGGAAGGGAUGGGAGGUGGAACAAGCUUCCAUGUCCCGUUACGAACAAGAGCAUCAUACUCUUCUGACAUAGCUGGACGCCAGUGAAGAUUUUUGAUAGCUUGCGUCACAGUUGUAGGUUCACAAUCAGAAGAAGGGCUAAAAUGAGCACGGAGGUUAAGUUUUUGUAACGGCUUGUGAAUCUUAUUUUUAGCUCGGGUAGUCAUAUCAUGAUGACUUGUGGGGCAAUGAUCUAGUGGAGUUUAGGAAGAUGAUUGAACAGGAAGUGAAGAAGUGCUUUGUGUAGAGGUAGAAGUAGGUUGGGAGGAUUGCUGCGGAGAUGUUACCGGUAGAGAAGAAGGAGCAGUACACGGUGGCAACUCCAGAGGGCCCACAAUAGAUGGAGUAGGUGCCGACAAUGGAGUACUAGGAAAUGAAACAGGAAGAAUUGGUGGAACACUUGCGUAAUUAGGAGUGGUAGAUGAGCUUGUAAUGAUUUGUAUGGAAAAACAAACUCUACAAAUUUAACGUGACGUGAAAUAAAAAUUCAACCCGAUUGCAUAUUUAAGAACAUCUCAAAUGAAUUGCUUACUGCUAUCAUCAUCAUUAUUGUCUAUAUAAUAAUGGAUCUUUAUUAUAUAUAUGUUUCCACUAAAAUAUAUUUAAUUAUUCUUUAUUUUUCUAUUGUUGCGUGUAAGAUUUAUUUGAGUUCUAAGUUAUAUCAAUACAAAUGUUAUCUUAUCCAUAAAAAGUUAGAUCCAACAAUUAUGAAAAUUACUAUAGAGUUGCUUUCAAUUAUUUUUUUAAAAUACCAGGAGUAAAUAAUAAUUAGUUCAAAUGGUGGAGACUAAAAUGCGUUCACCUUUAUUUUUUAUCUGUUAUUUACUUUUGUCAUUACAUUAAUGCACAUGCUAUACAUUUGAGACAUUCCAUUAAUUGCCAAUUAUGUAUGUGAGAUAGUAAUUUAAAUUAAAAAAUAAAAGUGAAAGUUAAUCCUAUGCAAUGUGAAUAAAUUUCUUUCCUUUUUCCUUUACUCUUUUUAUUUGACAAUAAAGUUUCCAUCUAUCAUCUAUCAUCUAUGUACACAAAAUUUCUGCAACAAGUACAAAACAUAAAAAUAUAUGAAUAUUAAGGGAAACACGCAGAAGUUCAUCAUUUCAAUGUUCAGUAUUACCAAUUUUGGCAUUAAGCUUGUACGAAUAUAUUCUACUUCGAAAGCAAAAUAUUAGACUCGUGAUUUUAAUUCAUUCAUUAUCUCUCAUUUUAAUCCCAAAAUAUUCAAGAGUAUCCAAGUUACCAUAAGACUUCAGAGGCUCGAGCCUUAGCCAGAGAUGGUUAAUUGAUAGACUAUGUGCCUGGGUCGAGCACUGGAAGCCUGCAAUGCAGACUGAUUGAUUUAUCAGUUUAACGUGUGCCAGGAAUGAAGAACUGGAAUAUCACCGUCAAGCAAGCACCCUGUGGAGCAAUACCAAAGAAUGCACAAUCUGGCUUUGCUAGGUGACCCUGGAGGCUUUUUGAAAAGUGCUUCAUGCUCACUUGCACAGAUUGAGCAUCCCCUCUGGAUAUUGCCCUCUCUGAUCGAGUCUGAGCACUCAAAUUUCGGUCCUCAGAUGGAGCUACAGCUUUCUCUCCAAUAACCAACAAUUUUCUAAACUCAGCACCUAGUGUGAUCAGAGUUGUUGAUAUUUGCAAAUGGAGAUCCCCAUAUUUGCAAAUGGAGACAUUUAACAAAUCACCAACAUGCUUCAUCCGGUCCACGAAAUUCUGCAACUGAUUCAAAUCUGGAACCUGAACCAGAGUCGGAGGUAUAUCUUGAGCCAUAUCUAAAGCAGUUUGAAGUUCAAGACCUUGAGCCCUUGACAAUGGUUUUGAAAUUGGAACAUCUUGGAUUACUGCAGACUUGUACCCCUUGGUUUCAAAGGUAAGGAAAGGCAUUGCUUGAGUACAAUUUGGAGGCAGCUUCUUCACCAAUUUUAUUUGGAGGCAAUUGGCAGCGGAUCCAGCUGCACCAAUUUCAGAGCAACUACUGACACUACUUCGAACAGCACACUGACGAAGUGAUAUGUCUACGGCAAAGGCAAUGCAGUCCUCAUUUUGGCUUGAGAUGCAGUAAUCAUCGAAGAGAGUUUCCUUGUGAAACUGGGCAACACAUUGAAUCCCUUCGCCACUGAGAAGGUUGUGGAGGAAGUAAGCUGUCUCUCUAGUGAGGAAGAGGUGGCAUACCUUCCCCAUUUUGUCUAGGGCAGGUAGGAAUCUUUUUUCUAAGAGAUUUACUUCAUUCUCUGUGAGAAAUGCUUUGAACUUCAUCCCUCUGUCUCUAUCCUCACUUAUCAGGAAAUAAGUUGAAAGCACUAUGAAGAGAGAGAGAGAGAGAGAGAGAAUUAAGAUAUAUAGACAAGAAAAUAAUUAGACGUUGAUCUUACAAACUAAUACUUCAAGCAGUAUCCUAGAAAGCUAAAAACUGCAAGAUGGCUUGAAAUUUGAAAAGAGCACAUGGUUUUCCUCCUUAACUUGAGAAAAUGUUUAAUAUAGUGCACCUUACAGAAGCAUUUAAGCAAUUAGAACUUUGCACAAAAACAUCAAGAAGACUAAACAAAUCAGAUGCAGUGUAUUUGUCCAAGCACAAAUUGCAUUUUGUCCUCAACUUUAAUAUUUAUUGAUGAGAAUCAAUACAGGUCCCUCAUUUGUUAUAGAAAGCUUUCUUGUAGUCUCACCAGUUAAUUCACAGGUCUAUAAUCAUCUUGCAAAGUUAAGGGCAUUUCUUUCGAUCUAAAGUCUUUGCAUCACCACCUCAUCACACGCCAAGCCAAUAUUCCAUUUACCUCUACAACAAAAAGUUUUUAAGUAAAUAAUCCUAAUGCACGCAGCCGAAUAAAAUGCAGUAAGAAUAUUCAACUUAAAAAUCUGAAAGCCAACUUGGUGAAUUGCCUCCUUAGGUGAAGUUCCAUGCUUUACUAUAGUUGACAGAACUCAGCAAAAGCUUCCAUACAACAGAUUUUGAAAAUGAUGAUGCCAAUAGAUACUCAUUCAAUCCAUUGAAACUCCAAAGGUUCAUUGUUCAUAGAAGUUUACAGAGUUUUGGUCAUCAAAUAGCUCAGACCUAAUCCCAAACAAAAAACGAGUGAAAAUUAGAUCACGAGCAGCUAAUUGUAAAUUCUAACUUAACUCUUCAUCUCCUUUGUAAACAAGAAACAAAAUGGAGACACGCAAAAUGAAUAUGGAGAAAAUUUGAACUCAAAUGAAAUGAGGGCACGAAAGCAAACAAAUGGCAUGCACAAAAAAACCAAGCCUCGAUAAAAAACUAAUUAACCAUUAAGAAAAAAAUUGGUCAGAGAAUGAACUCCAAAUUCAGGAGUCAAGCAAGAAGCUUUCAUUAUUUCAGAAGCUCCUGUACAAAUUAAUAAGUUAUGCUCUUUGGAAGCAAACCUAAAUUCCAAGAGAAACAGAACCCAAAAAAUUUGCAAUUAUACGCAAAGGAAGUGAAGCACAGGAUUCUAUCACACAUAGGAAUUGUAUAACAAGAGAUCGAUAUAUCGAAUUAGAAAACUCAAUUCGAAUUUGUGUCAAAAAUCAAAAUUAGAAGAUUUCACAUUUCGAGAGGAACAAGCAACAGAUGAAGUUCAAAAUUUCAGCCAUAACAUGCUAAAAAUGCUACACUUAACGGUUCAUUUUCAUGGAUUUUCUCGGGAAACAAACAGAAAAUUACGGUUUAGAGAGUUGACUGACCUUUUGGCUUUUGAAAUUGACCAGAUCGCGCGCCAAAUUGGAAGAGGGAAAGUGAAAGCGCGAGUUUUAAUAUGGGUAUUAGAUAAGGAAAUUUUAUUAGGUUGCGAGGGUAAAAAAGGAAAGAGAUAUCAUUAUUUUAUUAUCGAUAAUUAUUAAAUUUUUUUCCAAAAAAAAGAACAAGCAAGGAUUUUUUAUUGUCAUCACUAAGUUAAAAAAAAUUGUUUCAAAAUUACUUGAGUCAUAUCCAAUGGACCAACAAAGUAAUCGUUUUUAUUUUUAUUGAUUUUUGCAGGAAAUUAAUAACUUAAAAAUACUGAAAGCUACUGUAAAAAUUUUUAUUAUCAACCUCAUAAUUUUUUUUUUUUGGGGAAGAGAAUUCAAACUUUUUUUUUAUGAAUAUCGCUGUUUCGUUUGAGUUGGAUGUGAAUUCAAAUCCAAAUAUUCUUUGUUUUUCAAUUUUGAACUCAAUUUCUUUUUCUCAAGAAUGUUAUGCAGAAAUAAUUUUUACUAAAUCUUUUUUGAUGAAUUGUUUAAAUUAAACAAUUGGAAUAAGAAUUGUAACGAUUUAUCAUAAGCGUGCUAAUAUGAUAACUUGUUUUACGAAGGAUUAAUUAAUCAAUUAAUAUUAAAUUAUAUAUUAGUCAAUUAGAUAUGUGUUACAUUUAUCAUGUUUUGUAGGUGAUAGUACAUCAUUUCUAAAAGAAUAUAGUACGUUAAAAUAUUAUUUUAAUGAAGAAAAUUUUAUUAUUUUAUUAUUAGGUGACACAAUAAUAAAUGGAUUUCUGUAAGAAUUGAGAUUCUUGAUAUAAUUAUUACAUAAGGAGAAGUUUAGUUGGUUCAAUUUUGACGUGAUAAGAAGACAACACAGCACAGAAAACCCAAAUUGCCACUUCCACUAAUAAAAGAUACCUGUUUGAAAAGUAAUUAUAAACUAUCUUCUUUGUGUUAUUUCUCAAAACUUUUGUGGCACAAAUGUUAUUUCCAUUGACAACAGUACGAAAUACCACCCCUUUCACUUGAGCAGGAGCAAAGCAAAGGUAUGAUGAGCUAUCUCUGUAUAAUUGAAACGCCAUUACUAAACGAUUCUUGAUGAUGGGAGCCACCGUGCCAGCUUUGUCGCUGAUUUGCAUGAUUUAUUAGUUGUCCAGAUGGCGGAUUUUGUACUGUUACCUUCGUUUCAUUCUUCAGAGCCAUGUACUGUUCUAGGAUACCAGAGAAACCAAGGUGGCAUUGAAGUUGCCCUGGUGGUUAGUUUUCCGAUCAUUUUUUUAUUCAAUUAUUUAUGUUUUUAGAAAAAUGUAGGAAAUAUGUAGAAAUGUUGACAGCUAUGAUUUUGAAACUUUUGCCUAAAAUUGUUAUCAUUACUUGUUGUUUCUUAUUUAAAGAGAAAUUCUAGAAACAUGAAAUGAUUAUUCUACGCUUGUUUUAAUAUUGUGCUAUGAAGAUUACGAAGGUUUGAUUAUAUGUCACUAUCAAUUGCCUUAAUCGUUUGUCGUAAAUCAAUUAAGCAUUUUGAUGCGAAUGAUUCCCUAUUAAAAAAUUCAAGUCAGAGCUGAAUUGCAAAGUAGUUAGUCGUGCUUGCAAUUCAAAUUAAGUAUUGUAUUUUCUCCCUGAUUUGGUUGAUUCAACUAUGUGCAUUUGCUUAUGAACGUUGCAGUAUAGAAAUCGAAAUAUCUUGUCUUUUGCUAAGCCCAGAAGCAAAUUCUUUGUAUUCUACUCAUCAGUUUUCUUCAUUCUCUUUGUUGAAAUUUUAUCUAAACAGCGGUUUCUUCGAAUUUAUGCCUUCGCUUACUCUUUUAAAUUUUAUCCAAACAACGGUUUUGAAAUUGUUUUCACUACAAUACCUUAGUCUUUCAGAUGCUCCCGUCACUGAGUUGCCAGAAGAGCUAAAAGCCUUGGUAAAUCUUAAGUGUUUGAACCGGAGUACACAAAUUAUCUCUCUACAUUUCCAAAGCAAUUGAUUUGUUACUUUUCGAUGCUACAUGUUCCGCGAAUAUUCAGUUGUGGUUAUCUUGUUCAGAUACCAGAAAAUAGCGUUAUAUUUAGUGGUAAUGAAUUCUUGGUUUGGGAGUUGCUUAGUUUAAAACGUUUAAAUGUAUUAAGCAUCAUCUUGAAAAGUUUUUCUGCUGUCCAAAAACUUAUGAGCUUCCAAAAGUUUCAAAGCUGUACACAAUGCAUGGAGCUUGUAGACUGUGAUGAUCCAAAGUCAUUUGCCGUGGCAGAGUUGAAGCAUCUUGAAAAACUAGGUUUUUCAAGUUGUGGAAAUUUGGAAGAGUUAAAGUUCUGCUGUGUCGAAGUUGCAAAGGCUCGAGAAUGUUUUCGUUUGAACAGCCCUCACUGAGUUAAGAUGAAGGCUUGUCAUAAAUUGUGGGAAGCGACAGGUUAUUCAAAUAGAAAAAUUUAUGGAGAUGGAUGUUAAUCUUAAGGUUAUUCAAUUAGAAAAAUUUGAAUAAAAUUUAUGGUAAGUGCUUUUCCAUUUAUUGCAUAUUUAUAUCUAAUUUUUAUUUUCCUUUAUUGUUAAAUUUUGGUCUCUAUUUGUUGUUGUAUGGUGGCAUUCUUGUACAAUUAUUAGCUUUUCAUUUCUCUUCUCACAUUAACUGCCCUUCUGAUCAUGUAGGAUUUGCUGAUGCAAAGAGUCAUAAUUUGGGAUACAAAUGUAAGAAUUAGACAGAUGACAUGUUGUUUUGAAGCUCUCAAAGAAGGACUAAUUAUGUCAUUGAAAGCCUCCAAUUUUGUGAUUGGUUUCUUUUUAUUUUAUUUGUUGUUUUCUCUAUUUUCAGAUCACUUAAUUGUUAGUUGUUGUAAUGUAAUGUUUUAGUAUAGCAAAUUAUAUUCGGCCAAGACAGUGAUAGGAGGGCACAUUGUGCAUGCACACUAGUGGAUUUGGCAUGCCAAAUCCAAUUAGGAUGGAUAACACUUUAUAAGCAUUAGGCUUCUCUCAUACCUGAGUAAUAUAGAAUAUGUUUAUAAGUUGUGAAUCACCCUUUACAAGUGUUAGGCUUCUGCUAUACUCAGUGAUGUGAAAUAUAUUUAUAAGCACUAAACUUCUCCCAUACACUUUAUGUUAAUAAUAAUAAUAAUAAUAAUAAUAAUAAUAAUAAAAUAAUAAUAAAUAAACCCAUUUUAACAGACUCUUUUUUCUUUUUCUAUAUGAACAAAUGCAUUCUUCAAAGCAACUGUGGGGAGAAGAAGUGAGUAGAGAAGAACUGAGCCCCUGUCAUUCCCCUAAAACCUCACCAAAACCUCUCUUGUAAGCUUCUCGGAUUUUCUUUCUAUAUUUCUUAGGAACUCAUUUUUUAUUGAAUCACUUAUUUUGCAUGCUGCAUUUUUUGGUUGUCGUAUUUGUGUAUUAUCUUAUCUGGAAUGCUGUUAUGAUUGAUGGAACAAGUAAUCGAUUUUUGGUCUAAUGGAAGUUGAUUUAUUUAUUUAUUGUUGUUUUUAUUUGAAAUUAUGUACAAUUGUAUUUCAUUCAUUUCUCUCUCUUUUGCUUUUUUCCCCCCAUAUAUUUGUUAUGUAUAAUUGCGUUUCAUUUAAUAUUGAUCAUACUGUAGGUAACCAUGUGAUUGUAGAUGGGGAUUUCGAGUUUGUUGAAUAUUCAUGUAAGUGAAGUAACCGUCACAAUACUAGUGAAAUUGGGAGCUUUAUUCAUGAGUUUGUGGUUUUGAAAAGUACCACAGUUCAACUGGUGAAGGCUCCGUUUUGGGAUUCUUCUUUUUCUAGGCUGCAAUUAGGAUAUGUACAUGAUAGACAAUCUUUUGUUGGUUUAGCAUAUCUUCGCUGAUUUUGUCUUUUAUUCCCCAAUUUUAUAAUUACACACCAUGAAUGUUGGGUGAUUGUAUAGAAAAUUUGUGUUAUAACAAAAACAUUGUGAAGGAGUUUCCGUGCUAAUAGUUAGUGGCUUCUGUUUUAUUGGCAUUGAUUGGGUAGAUUACGUGUUACAGUGAUUCAAUUUGUGUUCCAAACUUUGCUUUAAUUUUCUGUUUUCCCCAACUAUUUAUGUCAAAUUUAAAUCCAGAAGCAUGUGCUGAUUUUUUCUUUUUGUAUUAAUCUGUGAAGUUUAUUUGGAAUGGAAGUAACUGGGUCGGGUCUAAUGGAUUAAAUUAUGACAUUGAGGGGAAGGCACUAAAAGGGUUUGCUUGACACAUUUGGUUCUGUGUUUACUCUGCAAGAAAUAACUUUUGCUUAUUGCAAUGCAGGGGGAAAUCCCGAUUUGGCUGGUGAAUUUCUCUGCAACAAACAGGCAAACACCUCAACAUCUUCUGUCCAUACUUCUGCUGGGGAGGCAAGGGGUAAAGAGUCUUCAAAAUCAUCAAAUAGUUACAUCUCUGAGAAUUCAUUUUAUGGAAAUGGAAAAUCUAGAGUUUCUAAUACAAAAUGGCAUCUGGUAUCAGGACGUACCGUUUCAAGUUUUCUUGGUAAAGAUUAUGUUAAACCUGCACAGCCAGCUAAUGGCACUUUUCUGGCAUCAAAGCCAUUGAAGUUGGAUCCAAGGGAGUUUCGCAUUUCUGCACUUUCAGAGAAGAAACUAAACCGACAAUCAAAGGAUGACCAUUUGCAGAAGGAUAUGGAAGAUUUUCUUUUUAAAUUGCUAGGAGAAGGGUUCCAGCUGUACAGGGAUGUGAUUCAGGAGGUUCAUGGUAACGUCUUAAAUAUAUUGAUGCCAAUUUAAUACAUAUUGUCCUUUUCAAUGUUCUUUCUUUCUUUCUCCUCUUUUUAUUAUUCUUCUUCUUCUUUUUUCUUUUCAUGUGCAUGUGAUCACUAAUUUGGUAUUAUUCUUGACUUGCAGAUAGUUGUGGAUAUGAAAUGCAAAAGGUAAGGGCUAUAUCUUCUUGAUGGAGGCCUCUGAUUUUUUAAAUCGCAUUUUCCUUUGUGAUUGAUAUAUCAUACCAAAGUCAAGUCUUAAAUACUGCUGUCAUAUGUUAAGGUUCAACUUCCAUUUUGAUUAACGUCGAUUUGCUACUGCUUCCAAAAGUGAGAAUGAGAUACUUUGGUUAAUUUCAGUAGUUGAACUCAAUGGAGUACUUUAUUUAGAUCUUCAUGGUUCAAAGGCCUGAAAAAACUUGCCGGUAUUUGCAAAAUGACAUCUGUGCUUUUAUUUAGACUUAUUAUUAAAGACAACAUUUUAUUUCAGCCAAAAAUGUUUGUUUCAAUUAAAGACUUGAACCAUUUUCAUUUAACCUGAUUGUGAUGCUUUACAUUAUGCAUGUUCCUCUCAAUCAAUAAAAGUUGAGGUCAUGAUUUUAUAUUUCUAUUUUGUAACUUGAAAUAAUUGGUCUGCCUGUUUCUGUUGCUUGAUAACAUGAAUUUUUCCUUCUGAAGUUAAUUUGAUCAAUAAAGUAAUUCUUCGGAGAGGAUAUGCCCAUUCUAUAGUCAUUUUCUUAGCUAACAUGUUUUUUCUUCACUCUUCAAAGCAUGUCUAAACUAAUUGAUCGCUCAGCGGAGACUUUGGGUGAGAAGACAAAAUUUCUUGGUAAAUCCUCUGAAAAGGUAUGCAUAAUUCCCGAGUAUUAAAUAAUCAUUGGUCAUAAUUUUUGUACACGACUCUUGUUUUGGAGAUCGUUAAAAGUGGUUGAUGAUCUAUUUUGUAAUAUCAUAGAGGGAUCAUGAAUUCCUUUUCUUUUCUGUGGCUAGGCAACACUUUCGAGCCAAGCUAAGGAAAUCUAUUUUAGGUAAUGUGAAAACUAGUUGUAGGAUGUAAUAGUUUAUUAUGCCCUGACAAUAACUUUUUGUAUAAUUGUCAGUUUAAUGAAUACAAGAGGAACUCUGUUGGCAAGUUCAUCCAUGAUAGAUGCUAAAAUUAUUUAUGCAUACCAGUUGCCUUAACUAAUUUUUCUCAACACUGGUAUUGAACAGGAAAAUGAAUAUGCAAUUUGUAUAUUGUGCCAUUGUGGAGAAUUUGGAUAUUCUUAUUUAAGUAACAAGGAGAGUAUUUGCCUCAUCUUUAAACAAUGAAUCUUUGAGAAAUGAGGAGUGGGUGAUUGACAGUGUCUUCAUGUAAAUGUUCAUUUAUUUGUAUUUUGAACUAUUAUGAGAAUCUUUGUAUGCCAAAUUAGUAAUACAAAUGUUCAGAUGAUUUUUCCUGUUGAUCAUGCGUGUGUAUCUGCACACAACCAUUGUGUACCACUUUAUUCUGAUGCACAAAUAUCUGUAGUUUAGAAGAAAAGAAAUAAUAAUCAUAUAUUAUUGCUUGGUUCAUGAUUAUUAAAUGAUUAUGGCUUUAGAAAAUCCACAAAUCCUUUGUGUUCAUAUAUGAAUGUGCGAAGUUCGCUAUAUCUUAGAUUACCUUCUUCCAAGAUAACAAGUUCAUAUAUUUUUUUUAAUCCUUUUUCAUCACAGUUGAAUUUCAAGUGUAAGUUUUGUUAUUAAUAGCUGGUUUCCUGUUAUUAUGAUUUCAUAAACAAUGAGAGGAUAUGUGCUCUACUUUUGGAUGGCCUCCACAUAAAAGAAAAUUGCAACAAUUGAAUUCUUCUGGAGGGUAUGGUAUUUAAUUUAUUUUCUCAGCUUGUUGUAAGACUAAUAUAUUUCCUUCAGUACGCACGGCAUGGUGGGAAGGGUUUUUAUUGAAAGAAUUAUGAUAUUUCUUAGACUUUGUUUUGGAAGGGGGUGGAGGGAUUUCUCAUCCAUGUAUGGUUACUUGAUUAGCUUUUGACUGUACUGUCUCCGUCGUGCAAAGGAAAAUCCAAAUACUAACGAAGGGGAAUUGCUUAGGCACCCAAAGGACAGAAAUGAAUUACGGAAGGAGGUUUUUGCUGCUUUAUUUAGUGCUGCUGAGAAAUCUGAUGAAUUUCCUGAAAUUACGGUGAAGACGGAGUGGAGGUCCAACGCAUUAGGAAAGGUGGUGAGUGAACCGCCAGAGGAAUUAGUACCAGAAUACAAGGCUAAUGUGGUGCACUGGCAGCAAGAUGACCAGACCUGUAUGUGCUCUUAUAUUAACUAUAUUGGCUGGAUUUGUGAGUGUGUUCAUUUUUGUGUGUAUACUCACUUUUGUAUUUAUGCAUAUUCACGUGUGUAGGAUUCUCGAUUUCUGCCACUUACUGGAGAACUAGUGGAAAGCUUUAUACUGAUAUAUGUGCUAUAUAACUAAUGGAAACUACAAUAUGAAUAUUUUCUCUCACCUGGAGAGCAGUGUAACUAAUAUAAUUUGUGGCUCUGGAAUACUGAAGAUUCUGCAAUAACUAAUGGAAAAUAUGAUAUGAAUAUUUUUUCUCACCUGGAGAACUUUGUAACAGAUACAUUUUGUGCUGGAAUGUCUAAAGAAUGCUUCAGUUUAUAUCAAAUAUCUUUUAGUUAGAAAAGAUAAAAUUCUCUGAAUCUGAAAGACUGAAACAUUUUGCAUAUUUCGUGAAAGGCAAGUAUCUGUAGAUACUAGCUCAUGCAUUGAGGUAAUAUCAAUGUUAAAGAAAAACAGCAAUAAUUUAUUAUACAGAAUUAGGUUCACUUGCUUUAAAUGCUGGUCUGAUCAACCAUAUCAACCUGUAAUGGUCCUGCAGAAAUAUAUAUACGGGGAGAAACUAGCUAAUUUUCCUUUCACUUAUGGGUUUGGUCUUUUUUUCCCCAAUUUUUCAGCUUUCCUUCUCCUGAAGUAUGUUAAUAAUUGCAGAUAAUGGCGAAGAGGACUGCUUCCAGGCUACCGGCAAAAACUUUGUGAAAGCUUUGGAGUUAAACAGGGAAUUCACUUACUGCUAAGGACAAUUGGUGGCGAGCUAUUUCAUUCAUUUUAUGUCCAUACAUCUAUUUAAUUAUUAAAGAUAAUGUACGCAUUUGUAAAUUUCAGAUUGUGUGUCUCUGAAAAUAACAAUAUUUAAAAUGUCUCUUAAAUUAUUAUAAAUUUUAAUUUACUCUCGAUUUAAAAUGGAACAUGUUGGUGAAAUAUUUUUUCUUCUUAAUAAAAUUGAAAUAAAUUAUGUUAGCAGUAGUUUGAAAUAUUUUAAAGAUGAUUAUUUUAUAAGGGAGUAAUAUGAAAUGAAAUUUACUUUUCAUGCGUGAAAUGUUGAAAAAGGACAAAGCAAGUGUCCCUGCUUUUAUUUUAUUUCAAAGUGGAGUCAUCUCACAUACUUUAGCUCUAUCAUUAGGAGCCGGCUAAGUUACGUUAAACGUAAUUUACGCCAGGCACAGCAAUAAUGACAAGUCCCAUGACUAGUAUUGUUGCUGUGUCUGACGUAAGUUACGUUUAACGUAACUUAGCCAAAGCCCUAUCAUUAAUAUAUAUUUAAAUUUAACACAUGCAUGUGGGUUACUUUUCCGUAAGUUCCUUAAUAUAUAUUUAACACAAAUCAUGGAAGAGAUGGGAGUAUAUCAAGAUGAUCAAAGCAUGAAACAAAAAUAUUUAAGAAGUAAAACACUGAAAAUGGAGAAGAGAUGCAAGCAAAAGAUAUUCUAAAGAAAAGCAAUCUAUCCCCUUUCGAGGGCAAACUUAUCAGGUUUAAGAAAAGUACAUGCUUUGGAUUGGUAGUUGCAGCCUUGCAGGAUAAUUGUUUUUGCCACUAUAUUAGUUGGAGGAGUUGAACCCAGUGAAGAAUGUUAUGGAAGAGCAAAUGAUAUUUCUGAUAGACUCUAUUUGAUUAUGUAGCCUGAAUAGAUGUCUUGUUGAAAGAUAUAUCAGUGCAUUAGUUCAUCCUUGUCUGUCAAUGUGUUUUUAAUGGUUUUUCCAAUUGUUUUUUUUUUUUUUGAAACUGAUUAAGCAUCAGGUUACUGCAUUACACAGAUAUAUAUACAACUGCUAUGACAGCAGGUCAUUACACUGAUAUUUACAAUCAGAUAUAUAUACAUGGGACUUAUAUUAUUACAUUUUUAUUCUAUGAAGUACAUGCCCAUCCCAAAUACCCCUCACGGAGGAGGGAUGUCUCUACUCCACUCGCAUUUCGCAAGGGAGAAAGACGUUUAUAGAAAUCUCCACACAAUUAUGUUUAAUUGGAGGAGGUUGAGUCCGUGGGGACUCGAACCAUUGCCCUCAAAGUCAUGCUUAACUUUGAGGGCAAUGGUCCACCACUGGGCUACAAGCCCAAGUGGCGGUUUUUCCAAUUGUUUAUUGCUAUAGAUUGAUUGUAAAUUGAUGUGAACUUAAUGUUGAAAUAUUUUCUCUUUAGUGGAAUGAAAGUUAAACAUUCAAGAUUAGAUUAUUCAAGGUCCACAUAGUAUGUGUUCCGUUGUGUUGUCUGUAAUUUUGCAUUUAAAUAAAUUUGAGUGCUGCCGUUUCGCUCCCACAAUCUCUCGCCUUUUUUUAAUUUUAAAAAUUAAAAUAUUAAUAAAAAACAAUAAAGAAAAUCGAAUCCUUUAUGUCAUUCCAUCUUUACAACUCUCUCUCACAAACUCCAUCUAACAGACUUCUCUCUUACUAUCUCGGUCGAACAAGACCAGUGACAAUGAUGACACGACCGCCGACGAUGAGAUGGUCAUCGCUAAAGAAUCGGGCCGUGUAUUUUACAAUUUCUUGGUUUGUGACAACAAUGGAAAACUCCUGAAAAUUUUGAAUUUGUAGUCGAGCAAAGGAAGAAGCAAGUUAUCUUCAAAGCAUUUUCCAGUAAUAGCUGAUGAAAUUUAAUACUUCAAGCUGGCCCUUUGCUGUCACAACUAGAUGCAUUUGCACUGUCAUUACAAUUUAUGGAAAUUAAAGUAAUUAAUGGUUCUAAUUAAUAGCUUCCCAAAAAACCAAUCUGCCCUUGUGAGAACCAAAGCAUUAAUUUCUUGUAAGAGCUGCAGAAGGCCAGAGAAUUUCAGAUCGUGAAAAGGAGUGUGUGAGUGAGAGAGAGAUCGUGAAAUAGUGAGAGACAAUGAGAGAGAGAGCCGCUCGACUGAGAUGGUGAGAGAGUUGCAAAAAUGGAGUAAGGAGCAGAUAAGAUUAUGUUUUCUUUAUUAUUUUUUAUUAAUAUUUUAAUUUUUUUAAUUAAAAAAGGGCGAGAGAUUUUGGGAGUGAAACGGCAGCAUGUUCCAAUAAAUUUUUACCAAAGUUUCUCUCGUGUUUCUCUCACCUUUCUAGAUACCAAGCAUUUUCCAAUAAAUUUUUACUAAAAACUUAGCAAGCCCUUGAAACUUUGGUCAAAAUUAUUGUUAUUAUUACUUUUAGAGGAAAAACUUUUAUUAAAACCUCAUUAACACAAUUCUUAAUUAAAAUUAUAAGUUUGUGUUGGUGUAAGGAUUUGCAGGAGCAAUUACUGCCUAGCCAAGUGUCAAAAGCACAAAAUAAAUCAAGAGAAAGUAGACAUGAAUUAGGAUCCAAUGAAAUUUAAAUCCCGGAGAAAAGAAAUAAUCAUGCAGAUUAUCAAGAUUUCAAUAAGGGAUAUUGAUAUCCUAUUUUGAUUAAUAAUAUCCUUUUACUGUGUUAACUCAAAAAAUAUGUAUAUUCUAAUAUUUUACAAUAAAUAGAAAUCUAAUAUUAAAAUAAAUGUGAUAUAUAUAUAUAUAUAUUAAAUAAUUUAAAUAUAAAAAAUAUUUUAAUGUUUUACAAUCUACUACACAUAUUUUAUUAAGUUAAUAUAAUUUUUCAAAUAAAUAGGGACAUAAUAUUAAAAUAAAUUUAUAAAAAUUUAAAUUAUUUUGAAUUUAAAAUAAUUUUAAUAUUAUUAAUAUGUUAGAUAUGUUUGAUUAAUUAUAAAAAUUAUUUACGCAAAUUUUUUUAAUAUUUUCAGUAGAUAUAAAUAUAUUACUUACAUUUUGAUUAUUUAACUAUUAUUAUUCUACAAUUAUUUAUAUAAUGUUUGCACUUAUUAGAAUAUAUUUAAAGUCAAAUCUUUUGCACUUCUACCUAGCUAGAAUUAUUGGACGCAGAGAAAUAAGCAUAUAUGCUUUAUAACUUUAGAAAUCGAAUUAUCUAUACAAAUUGAUUUUAGCUGGAAAAAAAGUGAGCUGAAUGAUAUAGGCGAUUAGUGUGGUAAUAUUUCAUAGAGUUAGACUAUUGAAUUUGGCACCCCUCCAAUCUUCUCAUGAUUACCUUUUUGAGUUAUUAAUACACUUCUAAUUUUUCGUUUAAUUUUUUUUAUUGUUAUACUCAAAGUAGUAUUGUGAUAUUUUAUAUUUCUUUUGCAAUCUUAUUAUUAUUUUACACAAAAUUAAAAAGUUUUCUAGGUGAUGAACUUUUGAGUUUUGAACAUUAAUCAUUGGCUUAAAUUUCAUAUAUUUUACAUUAUAAUUUGAAAUUAAGUACGAAAAUAUUUAAUAAAUUAUGAAAAGAUUAACAGAUUAUUCUAAAUUGAUACAACUUAUUUUAGUUAAAUAAAAAGUAACAGGUAAAAAAAAAAAGGAUUGGUUAUGAAAUUUGUUGGAAAAAAAUCUGUGUGUGUUUAAUUUUUAUUUGUCCUUAAUUGUAAUUUAUUUGAAGUGAGGUUUUAUAAGGAUAAUGAAGGGGUGCCAUAGUUUCACUCUAUUUCAUAUGGAGAGAGAAGUAAAAGGUACACCUGAGGUUAAUGGAAAGGACUUCGAAAGUUUCUUUUGAUUAUAAUACUGUUUGUUCUAAUUAACUUAAAAAAUUUUACUUUAAUAUUUUAUAAUAAAUUAAAUUUUAAUCUUAAAAUAAGUAUAAUCAUAUAUUUUAAAAUAAUCUUAAAAUAAAUACAAUCAUAUAUUUUAAAAUAAUCUUAAAAUAAAUACAAUCAUAUAUUUUAAAAUAAUCUUAAAAUAAAUACAAUCAUAUAUUUUAAAAUAAUCUUUAUAUUUAAAAUUUAUUUAUUUGUACAUAUUUUAUAAUAAAUAUAACACAUACUAUUAAAAUAAUAUAUAAAAAAUUAAAGUAUUUUGAAUAUUAUAUAAAAUAACUUUAAGAUUCUUAAUAUGUAAGAUAUAUUUUAUUAAUUUAAAAUUCUAUUUAAAAUUUUAUUAAUUUAAAAUUCUAUUUAACCCAAAGAUUUAUUUAAGAUAAAUUAAUAAUCAUAUUUUUUAAAUCAUUUCAAAUAUUAAAAAAUAUUUUGAUAUUACUAGUCUAUUAAAUAGAUUAAAUAUUUUUAUUAUUUUGUACUAAUCAAAAGUUACAGCUCGAAUGAUAUUAUGAGAACAGAAUUUUUAUGUCUUUAUUAAAAAUUUGGGUUUGUAUAAUUAUUUUUUCAAAUGUUAGGGGCAUAGCUGUCUUUUUACUUUUAUAUAUGUGAACCGCGGUGGUGAAAAAGUGUGAUUUAAUAUUAGUUAUUUAAAUAAUAUCUGAAUUAAAGAUGUACAGAGAAGAAAUUUCGGUGGGCAUUUUAGUCUUUUAACGAUUAUCAUGAUUAGGGAUUAGGUCCUGCUCUUGAAACGUUGGUCAGAAAAGUUCUAAAAUGCGUACAUUAUCUUUACUUUAAAAAAGUUAUUUUAUUUUAUUACAAAUUAAUGCCGACAAGAAAAAGCAAGAUCUUAAANNNNNNNNNNNNNNNNNNNNNNNNNNNNNNNNNNNNNNNNNNNNNNNNNNNNNNNNNNNNNNNNNNNNNNNNNNNNNNNNNNNNNNNNNNNNNNNNNNNNAUAAAGAUGAAGAAAAGGGCAAAAAAAUAUUAAUGAUUAACGAAAUCUCUAUCCAAAUUGAUUUUAGCAGGAAAAAAGUGAGCUAAAUGAUGUAGACGAUUAGUGGUAAUAUUUCAUAGAGUUAGACUAUUGGCACCCUUCCAAUCUUCUCACGAAUCCUCUUUUUGAGUUAUAUUUAUUUUAUUUUUAAAAUAUCUUUUUUCUCUUUUACUACACUUCUAAUUUUUCAUUUAAUUUUUUUAUUGUUAAACUCAAAGUAGUAUUGUGAUAUUUUUAAUUUCUUUUGCAAUCUUAUUAUUACUCUGCAUAUAAAUUAAAAAGUUUUUUAGGUGAUGAAUUUUUGAAUGUUAAUCAUUAGCUUAAAUUUCACAUAUUUUACAUUACAAUUUGAAAUUUAAUAUGAAAAUAUUUAAUCAAUAAGAAUUAUGAAAAGAUUAAUAAAUUAUUCUAAAUUUAUACAACUUAUUUUAGUUAGAUCAGAAGUAGCAGGUUAACAAAAGAAAGGAUUGGUUAUGAAAUUUGUUGGAAAAAAAUCUAUGUGUGUUUAAUUUUUAUUCGUUGUUAACUCUAAUUAAGUAGGUUAAAUAUUUUUGUUAUUUUUUACUUAUCAAAAAAUUUAAGAUCAAUAUUUUUAGUUACCAUUCGAAGGAUAUUAUGACAAAAACAGAAUUUUCACUUCUUUGUUAAAAAUUUGGGGGUUUGUGUAACUAUUUUUUCAAAUGUUAGGGGCAUAUCUGUCUUUUUACUCUAUAUAUAUGAACCAUGGUGGUGAAAAAGCGUGAUUUAAUGUUAUUUAUUUAAAUAAUAUCUCAAUUAAAAAUGUAAGGAGAAGAAAUUUCGGUGGGCAUUUUAGUCUUUUAACGAUUAUCAUGGUUAGGCCCUGGUCUUGAAACGUUGGUCAGAAAAGUUCUAAAAUGCGUUCAUUUGUCUUUACGCCAACAAUAAAAAGCAAGAUCUUAGUGUCCCACAAAAGCAAAUCGUAAUAUUCCGCAAUGGAGUUAGAUCCGCAAAAGCAAACAAAUUCUUUUAUUAAACUACAAAUUAAAGUGGAAUCAUUUACUAAACAACAAAUUAAAUUUGAAAUAUUUAAAUAGUCGUGCGUUAGACGAUUAGAGACUCUUAUUAAAGGCAAGUACAAAGUAGUGAAGAAUCGAAUAUUUCUAUUGUCUAGUCUUUUUUUAAAAAAAAUUUUCUUUUAUUAUUUUUCAGAAUAUGUUUUGGUGAUUACUAUUGGGUUAUUAUUCAGAGUUAUUGUUAUCUUCCGGGGCAGUUUCUGUUCAUCGAAUUCGUUAAUAAAAUUUUAAAACUCUUAUUGAAAGAAUGUUUUUCCGUUAUCUUUUUUAUAAUCUAAUUUUAAGUGUAAGAAGUAGUCAUUUUAGAAUUUGGGUCUUGAAUCGAAUUUCAAUGCAUGAAUUAAUAUUUAAAAAAAAUUUACUACAUGCAGUUUAGGUUACAAACUAUUUUUUGCAAAGUUGACUAUGAAAUUGGAGAAAUUAAGUAAUUUAUAAUGUUUGCAAAGAAAGAGACCAACAUACUUCCAAUUACACUAUAUCUCAAUUAUCAUAAUGUUAAGAUUAAACUAACUUAAAAUAAAAUUUAUUUAAAAAGUUUAUCAAACGCAGUCUAAUUUUAUUAACUUGAAGAGAUAAUAGUUAUAGAAAUUAUUAUUCUAACUUAAUUAGUAAAAGUGGUAUAAAGGUUAAGUGUGCACUAAAUCUAUUUAAAUUUUUUUCCAGUAUAACUAACAGAGGUCAUUACUAGAAUUAUAUUACUAGUCUAUUAGAUAGAAAAAAUUAUUUAUAUUGUUUUAUAUUUAUUAAAAAAAUUUAAAGUCAAUCUUUUUAAUUACUAUUUAAAGGAUAUUAUAAUUAAAAAAAUUUUAAUGUCUUCAUUAAAAAUUUAAAAUUUUAUAUGACCGUUAUCUAAAUAUUUAAAGUGUAACUGUCAUUUUCUCAUAUAUAUAUAUAAUUUCAUCAACCCCUUAUACUUUAUGUUAUUUAUAUUUUAUUCAUGAAUAUUAUAAAUUUUUUGAAAUAUAAAAUUUCGUUUAACCCUUUAUACUCAAUUUUAUUUUAUUAAAACCCUAGAGUAUGAAUUCGUCCCUAUAAUAUUAAAUUCUCAAAAUAACUUCCAUUUAAUUAAAAAAUAUAAUUAUUAUUAAAUGAAUUAUAAUUAUUAUUAUUAUGUUAUUAUAAUCAUAAAAAGCGAGAUCAUAUUCCACAAAAGCAUAAGUGACAAAACAACCAACUGGAUUCUUUUAUUAAUCAACAAAUUGUAUAGUCUUUUUCAAAUUGUUAUAAAUUGGUGGCCCCUACAAUCCUCAAUAAUUGUACCGAAAUUCACAAGUUGGUGGGCCCUACAAUUCUGUUCCGAUAAUUUAACUGUGCAAGUGCUCAUUCACAAUCUUCCAGGUCAUGCUCUUAACAAUUGUUUUUUCUUUUCUGCACGCCCUUUCAUGCUCUUAAUAAUUGAAGAGCAUACUUUUCAAAUGUGAAGCCGCAUCUAAUGUCGCUAAUUUAAUUUGGGAUUAAAUUACGGGACUAUUAUAUUGCAGUGUGCACUAAUUUUUAUGUUUAUCUAAACUCUUCAAAUUUAAAACAUAUUAUGGCAUAAAUAAGAAUGUAACAAUAACAAAAGAGUAAGAAAGUGUAGAGAAAAUCUUGCAGAAAUAUAAAUAAUAUUUAUUUUUAAAAUAAUAUUAAUAUUUAAAAUAAUUUUUAAUAUUUUAUGGUCCAUUAGAUAUAUUUUAUUAUAUUAAAAUAAAUUUUAUAAUAAAUAAAAACAUACUAUUAAAAUGAAUAUAUAUAGAAAAUUUAGAGUAUUUUAAGUAUUAUAUAAAAUAAUUUUAAUAAAAUAUGUGAGAUAUUCAUAUUUUAUUAAUUUAAGAUACCAUUUAACCUAAAGAUUUAUUUAUGAUAAAUUAAUAAUUAUAUUUUUGAAAUUACUUCAAAUAUUAAAAAAAUUAAUAUUACUAAUAUAUUAGAUAGAUUAAAUUAUAUAUAUUAUUUUUACUUAUUAAAAAAAUUUUAAAAUUAUUUUUAAUUACUAUUCAAAAAACGUAUUCAAAAAACAUAAUGAUAAAAAAAUCUUAACAUCUUUAUUAAAAAAUUAAAAACUUAUAUGAUAAAUUCUCUAAAUAUUUACGGUAUAUGUGAACCACGGUGGAUAAGCUUUAUUUAAUAUUAUUGAUUUAAAUAAUAUGUCAAUUAAAAAUGUACAGAGAAGAAAUUUCGGUGGGUAUUUUAGUCUUUUAAGCAAUUAUCAUGAUCAGAUCAGCCUUUAGCCUUCAAACGUCGGUCAGAAAAGUUUUAAAAUUAAUGCUAAAUUGUUUUUCACUUUUAACGUUGGUGGCCUUGAAAUUGCUUGUAUUUUAUUAAAAAUUAAUGCUAACAAGAAAAAGCUAGGUCAUAUUCCACAAAAUCAAAAGUGACAAAACAACCAGCUGGUUUCUUUUACUAAACUACAAAUUAAAAUAAAUUUUUUCGAUAAAUUACAAAUUAAAGUGGAUUCUUUUGAAUACAAAUGGGACAGACGAUUAGGCUCUUUUUAUUAGAGGCAAGUAAAAACUAGUCAAGAAUCGAACAGUCUUUUUCCAAUUCUUGUUUUAUUAUUUUUCAAAACUAGUUUUUGGUAAUUACAACCGGGUCAUUAAUCAUUAUUCAGAGUUAUCUUCCGGGGCAGUUUCUGUUCAUCGAAUUCGUUAAUAAAAUGUUAAAACUCUUAUUGAAAGAAUGUUUUUCCGUUAUCUUUUUUAUAAUCUAAUUUUAAGUGUAAGAAGUAGUCAUUUUAGAAUUUGGGUCUUGAAUCGAAUUUCAAUGCAUGAAUUAAUAUUUAAAAAAAAUUUACUACAUGCAGUUUAGGUUACAAACUAUUUUUUGCAAAGUUGACUAUGAAAUUGGAGAAAUUAAGUAAUUUAUAAUGUUUGCAAAGAAAGAGACCAACAUACUUCCAAUUACACUAUAUCUCAAUUAUCAUAAUGUUAAGAUUAAACUAACUUAAAAUAAAAUUUAUUUAAAAAGUUUAUCAAACGCAGUCUAAUUUUAUUAACUUGAAGAGAUAAUAGUUAUAGAAAUUAUUAUUCUAACUUAAUUAGUAAAAGUGGUAUAAAGGUUAAGUGUGCACUAAAUCUAUUUAAAUUUUUUUCCAGUAUAACUAACAGAGGUCAUUACUAGAAUUAUAUUACUAGUCUAUUAGAUAGAAAAAAUUAUUUAUAUUGUUUUAUAUUUAUUAAAAAAAUUUAAAGUCAAUCUUUUUAAUUACUAUUAAAGGAUAUUAUAAUUAAAAAAANNNNNNNNNNNNNNNNNNNNNNNNNNNNNNNNNNNNNNNNNNNNNNNNNNNNNNNNNNNNNNNNNNNNNNNNNNNNNNNNNNNNNNNNNNNNNNNNNNNNNNNNNNNNNNNNNNNNNNNNNNNNNNNNNNNNNNNNNNNNNNNNNNNNNNNNNNNNNNNNNNNNNNNNNNNNNNNNNNNNNNNNNNNNNNNNNNNNNNNNNNNNNNNNNNNNNNNNNNNNNNNNNNNNNNNNNNNNNNNNNNNNNNNNNNNNNNNNNNNNNNNNNNNNNNNNNNNNNNNNNNNNNNNNNNNNNNNNNNNNNNNNNNNNNNNNNNNNNNNNNNNNNNNNNNNNNNNNNNNNNNNNNNNNNNNNNNNNNNNNNNNNNNNNNNNNNNNNNNNNNNNNNNNNNNNNNNNNNNNNNNNNNNNNNNNNNNNNNNNNNNNNNNNNNNNNNNNNNNNNNNNNNNNNAUUGUGGGCACUCUUGUUCGUGCAUGUUUGCUAGAAGAGAUGGAAGAUGAUAAAGUAAAAAUGCAUGACGUUGUUCGUGAUAUGGCUUUAUGGAUAGCUUGUGAAAUUGAGAAGGAGAAGAGAAACUUUUUGGUUUGUGCAGGUGCUCGAUUAGAAGAGGCACCGGGUGUUAAAGAAUGGGAAAAUGUGAGAAGAUUGUCAUUGAUGCAAAACCAAAUUGAAACUGUGUCAGAGAUUCCCGCAUGCCCUCAUCUCCAUACUCUAUUUCUUGCCUCUAAUAGGAAUUUCAGGAUGAUCACGGAUGGCUUCUUUCAAUUUAUGCCUUCUCUCAAAGUUUUGAAGAUGUCACGCUGUGGGCAAUUCGAAGGUUUUCAAUUACCUGUUGGGAUGUCAGAGUUGGGUUCAUCACUAGAACUUCUUGAUAUUUCACAUACCACCAUAAGAGAGUUACCCGAAGAGUUAAAGUUGCUGGUAAAUCUGAAAUGUUUGAAUUUGAGGUGGACAGGUGCGUUAAUUAGAAUUCCACGGGGACUAAUAUCAAAAUUUUCAAGGUUACGUGUGUUGAGAAUGUUGGGUACUGGCGGGUUCAUUUUUUAUGAAGCACCAGAAGACAGCGUUUUAUUUGGUGGGGGUGAAGUUUUGAUACAGGAAUUGCUCGGUUUGAAAUAUUUAGAGGUAUUGGAGUUGACCUUGGGAAGUUAUCAUGCUCUCCAAAUUCUUUUGAGCUCAAAUAAGUUAAAAAGUUGUAUUCGAUCUCUUUACCUCUAUUUGACCGGAGAUAAAAAGUCGAUUAUUGAUGCUACGGCUUUCACAGACCUAAACCACCUCAAUGAAUUAUGGAUUGAUAAUGGAAUUGAGUUGGAAGAAUUGAAGAUUGAUUAUACGGAGAUAGUACGAAAAAGGCGGGAACCUUUUGUUUUCCACAGCCUUCACCUUGUUACGAUAUAUAGUUGCCAUAAAUUGAAAGAUUCGACAUUCCUCGCUUUUGCUCCAAACCUCAAGUCUCUUUCGCUAUUCAAAUGCCGUGCUAUGGAAGAAAUAAUCAGCGUCGGAAAAAUUGCUGAGAAUCCUGAGAUGAUGGGACAUAUAAGCCCUUUUGAAAAUCUCAAAAGUCUUGAUCUAUCAUAUUUGCCGGAGUUGAAGAGCAUUUUCUGGAAGCCAUUGCCUUUCACUCAUCUCAAAGAAAUGGGGGUAAGAGCAUGUGAUCAGCUUAGAAAGCUUCCACUCGAUUCCAACAGUGCAAAAGAGCGUAAAUUUGUAAUUCGUGGAGAAGAAGACUGGUGGAACCGACUUCAAUGGGAGGAUGAAGCCACUCAAAUUGCUUUUCGUUCCUGUUUCCAACCUGAUUCCUGAGCGGUGGUCGCAAAAUUUGAUUUCUGGUGAGUGCGUUUGUCUUUUAAAAGAAGAAUUUAAAAGAAAUUUAUUCUUGACGUUUUCUUCACUGUUUUUAUUUCAGUCUCUCUCUCUCUCUUUUUGUCUUCUGCUAAUCACAAUUAAAUGUUGAAUUAAUGGAAUUAAUGCUUCAUAAAUUUGCCGGCACUGCCAUUACUUUUUUUUUUUUUAAUACAAAUUGAUACUUUAUUUAUAUCUUCUUAGCGAUUUAAUUUCCUGUCAAUUGACGAACGAGAAGAACAUAUGACUUGAACCAAUGCUCGCAUAAACUUGCUGUAAAAAGAUAUAAUCUCACUGAAAUGCACACGCCUAGAAUGAAUAGAAUUAAAACAGGGAAAAUAUUAAGUAUAUUAGCCCUCUUUACCGAAAAUCAAAUGACAAUAAAUUUUUUGAAGUUUUGAUUUUCUAUGGUCAAUUCCACCUUUUGCAAUUUCUUCUGUUCUAACAAAAACCAAUUUCUUUGUUCAAGUAUUUUCGUUUGGGUAUUAAUAAUUCUCCACCGAAAGAGUGAACUCUUGCUCAAGGGAUCUCUAAUCAAUAGCCGGAAGGGCGCCGAGACCUGAUCGGACCUAGGCCCAAGUUUGGUCUUAAAGCCUGGGCUUGAGCCUGGCAAUUAAAUUAAAACAGUAAUUGAUUUCUUGAAUGAAUUGUCGUGUAAUUGAUUUAUGGGGGAUGACACAUCAACAUACUUGAAAAUACACUAAUCUCAGCAUCAUCCGUUAAUAACUUUUAGAUUUAUGGGCAAUCAAUAGUUAAAUUAGUUGUCAUUAAUACUAAAUAAUUUUUACUUUUUUUGUCUCUUCUAGAGGAUCUUCUAGAAAAAUGCAUCCACAAUUAAAUUUAAUACUUUACAUAAUAAAGAAAGCAUAAAUGUUAAAUUUAAGAAACUGCAUUGUAUUUCAGCUGAAGUUGACUUUAAUAUUUAGGGUAGAAAAAAAUUAAAUCCUUAAUGUGUUUAAUUUCUAUCACUUGUGUCAUUAAAAUUUUCUAGUCACCCUAACCAAUUACAUCUCAACCCACUUUUUUUUGGAUGAUUUUAUUUUUACACUAUUAUUUUCAACAUUUUUUUUUCCUUUUAACACCAACAUUAGUGUAUGUUACGUAACAUAAUCCAUAUUUGGAUAAUUUGAAAUUUGUUUGUGUUUUAUCUCAAAAUAGAGCUUCAAUCAAUUUGUACCUCAUAAAUUCACAAUAUCUGGCAUAUUGUCAAAUGUGCUUAUCCUUUUGCUUGACAUGUCAUUUUAAAAUUGUCAUUCAAUGUCAAAAAAUCACAUCAACUAAUGGCCGACUACUUUAAUUUGAAAGCAUGCGUGCGAUCGCCAAUAAUUAUAACUUAAUUGUUAUAUUGAAAUUUUUUUCUUUAUAAUUUAAGUUUAAUACUGCUACAUGUGUGGCACAUAAGUUGGAAAAUAUAACAUAAAAUUUGAAAAAUGUGUAGUUUUCGUUCCUUUUUUUUCUAAAAAAAUGGGAAAAAAGAAUGUAAUUUUGUUUAAAUUACUGUUGUCAUAACAAUUAUUAUUUUAUUGAUUAAUUGGCAGAGAAUCGUAAUGGUUUCGCAUGGUUGUUAAAACAUUGGAAAGUCCACUACAUCAUCGGUUAAUAACUUUCAGAUUUAUGGUUAAUUAAUAGCUGAGAUUUAUUAUCAUUAAUGCUAAAUAUUUUUUCUCUCUCCUGGAGGAUCAUCCACAGGCAGGUGCUUCCUGACGAUGACAAAAUUUUGGGCAGGCAGGUGCUUCCUGACUUUCACACGGUAAUUCUCAAAUUCUGAUUUCACCAUAUUUUAAUUACUGAUUAGCAUAUAUUCAAGUGCUCUCCAUUAUAAUGGAAGCCGCCGCCUCACUCGUAAUUCCAAACUUUAUCUUUUUUUCCUUUUUUAAAUUAAUGCAAGUAGCCGCUGUCCUUUCUAUUAAUUAAUUAAUUCGGCCGCCCACAUUUCUUUUCCUAAUGUCUUCUACUGUCGAGUUUAUUUUAUUUUCUCUUUAUUAUUAAAAUAUACUUAUAAUAAUAAAAAAAUAAAAAUUAACAUAUCAAAAUAUAAUUUAACAGAAAAUUAAGAUAAAAAAUUAAAAAUAAAUAAAUUAUGAGCAUAUCAAUCAAUAAAUGAAAAAUAAUAAUUUUUAUUUUUAUUAAAUAUAAAUUUUUCAGUAUUAAUCAAUUAUCUGAAUAAAUAAAAUCAUUUAAAAAUAAAUAAAUAAAUUAUUCUUAAAAAAAAAAAAAAAACUUUUUAUAACACUCACUAUGCUGGUUGUAGGGUUGACGCUUUGGGUACUGAAGCUAGUAACUUCUACAAGUAGUCUUAAGUUGACUGGCAACAACUAUAUUGGCAUUUAGAAAUAAUGUACUGCAACCAUAUUGGCAUGUUCAAAUGUUCUUAUUAUUGUAUUGGUGUGUCAAUAUUAUCUCUAACGGUUUUAUAAAUAAAAAAAUAAUCUAAAUUUAUAAUUUAACAUAAAAUAAAAUAAUUGGUAGAAAAACAAUUAUGGUUCAUUUACUUAUCAGUAAUCAGAAUAGACUGAAAUCGAAAUGAGUUGUAUUACUGUUGAUGUGUUUAUGUUGUACUCGAAUCGAAAUGAAUUAUUUUAAAUUACUAAAAUAUCCUUGGUCUGUUAUUCUAAUUAUUAUUAUUAUUUAAUAUUUAUUAUAAUAUUUUUCAUAUCAUUAAAAAAAAAUAAUAAUGAUGAUAAUAUUCUCAUUAUUGUUUGUUACAUUAUUAUUAUUCAAAAAAAUUAUUGUUAAUAACAAUAAUUACUUUAUUUCAAUAAUAAUAAUGAUAAAAUUAAUAAUAAUAAACAUGACAACAACAAUAAUUAUUUAUUAUGCCAAAAAAUAACAAUAAUAAUAAGAAUAAUAAUCAUCAUCAUUUUUUUGCCAAAGAAGCAUUAUCAUCAUCAUUUCAAAAAAAAAAUCAUCAUCAUCAUCAUCAUUUUUGUAGUGGCUACCUAUCGGCUGCUGCUUUCAUGUGAGAUUGACUUGCGACGCUUCAACGGCUAUUAUUUCUGACAAUGUCAGGUGUUGCUAUUUCAAUUUAGGAAGAAGUUGUUUCGGUGUGCUAGCGAUGGGAGAUGUUGUGGCUGCGAUUCGGGGAGCUACUAGUUUAUUGCACUAAUAACGGCAGGUGCUGUUGCUUGAUGCGAGGUCCAUGGCCAGUUGUCAGCAGUUCGACUUUGGUAUGGGUGCUGCUGGUUCGAUUUUAGGUGUUGUCCAAUUUCAUUUUCAGGAUUUUAAUUUUAUUUUUCUUUUAUAUUUUCAUUAAUUAAUCAGGGUAAAAUUGGAUUUUAGAAUUUAGAAUGAAGGUAAUUUUGUUAAUAAUGGAAAUGAGAUUCUGAUUGUCGAGAAUGAGCUUACACAAACAACUAUAAAUUAAGUGAAAACAAAACACUUUUUCUCUUUGUGUGAUUAAAACAUGAUAUGUACCAUAAAUAAAUAAGUAAAAAAUAAAUCAACACAAUCUAAAACAGUAAACAAAUUACAAGAGGCACAGAUUUUUAUGUGAAACACCGAAAAUGGAAAAAACCACAGCAUCUUAGUUUGAUAUAAUCUUCUACUAUAUUAAUGGGAUUAUAGCACAAAUUCUUUCCUAUAUAACACUAGAGAUUAACAACAUCAAGAAUCUCAAUAAUCUUGACUUACAAUACAGCCUAAUAUUUGUCUCUCUAAUAAGUAGAUAUCUAAAAUAACAGUCUCUAAUAAGUAUGUAUCUAAAAUAAUAGUCAACAAGAGGAUAAAACAAAAAUUAAGAUUAGUAGGAUGUGUAUAAGGUGAUGCUAUCAAUUUAUCUUCUAAAUUUGAGAAAAAUAGUUAAAUUCACUUUUUCGAUUGUCCGACCAAAAAUGGAAACCCUUGCCCCAAAACCAAAGGAAUCACCAUUAUGUUUUUCUCUCUCUCUCUCUCUAUCUCGUUCUUUUCUUCUUCUUUUCUUAAUGUUAGCCAUCACUUGCUUUUAUUCUUUAUAGCAUUCAAAAAGCUACUUUUAAUGGUAAAUUUCAUUUAAGUCUGCAACUUAGUGAUAAUUGCACACCAAACAAUCCUUACAUAGUGUUUUGGGCCCUCAAAUGAGAUGAAUACAACAAAUCUCCCCCUUUAAAUCAUGUGGGGGGCACCGCAAGCCCGCUAUUUGCAUAUAGCUUUUCAGCUUCUCCUUGAAUAAUGACUUUGUCAUCAUACAUAAUCCAUUCUUCGUUGUGUAAAUCUUCUCAAGCUGUAACUGUUCCUUCUCAAGCUGUAAUUAUUCCUUCUCAAGCACGUCUCGUAUCUAAUGAUACCUUACAUCAAUAUGCUUAGAUUUCGAAUAGUAUAACAGCACUCUGACUAUCGUAGUACAUAACAUAGCUGUCUUGUUUUACACCCAGCUCUUGUAGGAAAUUCUUCGUCCACAAUAUUUUUUUGCAACCUUCAAUAAUUGUAAUAUCAUUUGCUUUAGUGGUAGAAAAGGCAACUUAUUACUAAAGUUUAGAUUGCGAUGAGACUGUUCCCCCUGCAAAAGUGAGCAAACAUCCUAGUAGGAAUUUUUCGGAAUCAACAGCUCCUGCCAUAUCUACACACUUGUAACACAGGUUUGUCACCACCAAAAUAUAAACAUGCUCUGGAAAUGCAUCUAAGAUAUCUGAGAAUUUUUCACUGUUGUCCAGUGCUCUUUACCGAGGUUGAAGAGAAACCACUGACUACACUAACUGUAUAGGCAAUAUUUGGUCUUGUACAAAUUAUGGCGUACAAUAAACUGCCAACUGCUGAAGCAUAAGGAACUCCUCUCAUGGAGAAAUGGGUUUUACUCUUGAGAUUUUUGGGACCAUGAAGAAUAAAGAUGUAAUUUCUUAUACUGCCAUUGUUUCGGGAUAUAUAAAUAGAGAACAAGUCGAUAUAGCUCGACAGUGUUUUGAUCAGAUGCCAGAACGAGAUUAUGUCUUAUGGACUACCAUGAUUGAUGGGUACCUUCGAGUGAAUAGGUUCAGAGAGGCUUUGACACUUUUUCAGGAGAUACAAACUUCAAAUAUAAUGGGAGACGAGUUUACCAUUGUUAGCAUUCUUACAGCUCGUGCGAAUCUGGGGGCACUAGAACUGGGAGAAUGGAUAAAGACUUAUAUUGACAAAAACAAAGUCAAGAAUGAUAUAUUUGCGGGGAAUGCUUUGAUAGACAUGUACUGUAAAUGUACUGUAAAUGCGGAGAUGUUGAGAAAGCUCAAAAGGUAUUCAGGAAGAUGCUUUGAAAGGUCAAAUUCACAUGGACGACCAUGAUUGUUGGCCUUGCCAUCAGUGGAAAUGGUGAUAAAGCUCUUGAUAUGUUUUCCCAAAUGCUCAGGGCUUCGAUCAAACCAGAUGAGGUAGCUUAUGUUGGUGUUCUGUCUGCCCGUACUCACAAUGGUAACGAAACUUUUGUGAUAAAUAGUUGCAACUUAAGGUGAGAACUGGAGGAAGGGAAAUAGAUUGAAGUUGUUCAAUCAUCAGUAGUUGCUACUUGGUUUUAAGUUGUUCAAUCAUCGGUCGUCUCUAUUUGGUUUUCUCCAAUAUCUCAUCUUCAAUUUUGACUCAGAUUGUAUCUUACCACUAGUAAUUACAUAGACUUGCUGCCAAAGGUAAGAAUGGGAAUAAAUUAAAUAGAUUAUGUCGAAAACGAAAUAAAUUUACUAUUGUUCUGUUCAUUCUAUUUGUUUCCUACAAAAUAUUUCUCCUGCCUAAAAUUUUUUGAAUCAGUAAGUUUUUACCUUAUGGAUGAAUUGUGUUGAGAGUAAUUCCAUUUCUCAGUCUCUUUAUGUUUCAAUGAAGACGUAAAACUUGUGUUCUAGUGCACCAACGUUUAUGCUUCUUACAAUUUGACUUUAAUUUACUUUGUAAAAUUUUUGUCAAAAAGUACUAAAAAGUAGUGCACCAAACACCAACUUUAUUACAGAGAGGACUUUAGUUAAAUUUUAAGAAAACACUCAAAAGAAAGAGUUGUAAAUUAUUAUAAAAAUAUUUCACAUAAAUAAAAGCCAUCCCAUGCUGCAAAGAUCUUGCUAUAAUCACCAAAAACUAUCGGGAGCUUUUAGGGUUUCCAUAAAAAUGCCAUUUCGUUCCAUGUAUAUGAUUCUAUAGUCUCACUGGCAAGUAAACCACAGCCCAACAGCACUGACUGUCCAUGAUGAUUCACCCCAAUGAACGAAACCAGCGUUGCAUCAUAUCUUUCUGUCAAGCAUGUAAUAUCAAUUGAUUUGAGCUAUUAACAUCAUUUCCAAAUACUCCAUUGGCAUCUACAUUACCAUUUCCCUCGGCAUCAAUGAUAAGAGUUCGAAACAGUCUAAUCUUUUGAACUUCUUCAGCACCAUCUAAGAGCAAUGUUCUUUUGGUUCCAAUACCCAUGUGCUUAUGAUAUUUGUAAAAUAAUUAUUUGUAAAAUAAUUAGUUCAAUUUUGACAUAAUACGGAAUAAACACAACCUGCCAAUCUAAGUUACUAUCUUUUCCCGUCAUCAGGUACCUGUUUGAAAAAUAAUUAUAUACAAUUUUAUUUGCGUCGUCCCUCUAAAAAUUUGGGACUCAAAUGUUAUUUCUAAUUGCUAAAAGUACGAAAUUGCCCCCUUUCUCUUCAGCUAAAGGAGUGCAAAGUCAUCUGUAUAAUUGAAUCUGCAUCAUCAGUUUCUAUUGCUGGCUGGUGUUACUGCAUGCUUACAGUUGCUUGACAAAGUGAGCCAGUUUUUUGUUUAUUAAUUUUUUUUCUUGUCGAGACAGUCACAAAGUAUUACUUGUUCUAUUUGAGAAUGAUGUGAAUCAAUUUUUCAAUUAUGCAUUCUGUGGUAAUUAUUGUGAAUUUAGUUUCAUUUGUCUUGUCUCCUGCAAAUUUUGAAGAAAAUGCAGACAUACAAAUUUACAAUAUGUAUUUGCGUUAGUAUAAAAACAAUUGUUAGAUGAUUAAAGCGAUUUAUUUUUUUUUUUACAGCAUUUGAUUGUAUUAGUUAAAAUCAUUUUUUAAGGAUAAAAAUAAAUAGAAAAUUAUUCUCAUGUAGUGUGGAAAUCUUUUCUAAUUUCUUGUUGACUUGUACAUUUAUUUCAGAAUUUCCAUUCAUUAAUUCUACUGUUUUAAUCUUUGACUUAGCUACCGUAGUUGACUUUUUAUAUCAAAGGCUUAAACAGCAUGCAUUUUUGAAUUGACUGAGAAUAAUUUGGUGGACAAAUUACUAGUAAAGGACUUCAAAUGGUUGAAUUGACUGUGGGUUUUUCAUGCCCAAGUCACUCGUCACGUCGUUUCAUCGAAACAAAGUGCCCGGUGCAAAUGGUGUGAUGUAAAACACCUUUUUAAAUUGUCAUUUUUUUUCCUUUGCUUUUGCUUUAAUUUUCUAAAUGCUCAACGCCAUAAAUCCAUGUAUUCUUAAUUUUCGUUUGCUGUAUUGAUUCCCAACCCUCUAUGUCACAAGGUUUUGAAUGCCAGUAAUUAAGUUAAAUUAAACAUAUUUUAAGUCCUACUUUAAAUUAUUGAAAAAUGUAUUAUGGUUGAACUGAAUUUUAACUAAAAAAUAUAUACAAAAUAAAAGAUUAAUCAUAUCUUUUUAUGAGGAAGGUCAGUCAUCAUUCUGACCACAGACACUUAAAAUUAAUUGAGUGGAAUAUUGCAAAAUAUAUAUAAACCAUGCCAAAACUAGAUGUUUGAGUAAUGAAAACGAGAAUUCAUAUGACUCAGAAAUAUGGUCGCUUUCCUUUUUCUGAAAGGCAAAAAAAAAGGGGGAACCAAAAAGGACCAAAAUGAACAAAAAUGGAAGGCGAAGGUAAGCAGACAUGUUAUAUGUUUUACCUAAGAUGCCAAAUGCAACUCCCCAUUGAUGGUGAUCGAACAUUAUGGCCAUUUUCUUAGUAAACAAAAAAUGAAUUUUGAACACUCAACAACGAAACUUGAGCAGAAGAUCAAGCAAGGGCCUCGAUCUCAAAGAAGAUACUAUGAAACCCUACUUAAUGGUUAAAUAACUUUCAUUCAGCUUUGGACCCUAUUUCGUGAUACGGAAAGACAAACCUUUCUUGGCCGGCAGUGUCCCAGAUCUGGGCUUUGAUGAUCUAGAGGUUGAUGGUGACAGUUCUGGUUUGGAACUCGACGCCAAUGGUUUAUUUCGAUUCAAAGCAAAACUCAUUCUUGGUGAAUCUCGAAAGAAUCUGAGACUUGCCCACGGCCGAGUCACCGAUCACCACUACCUUGAAUACAUAGUCUAUUUUGUCAGGAAUCAUAUUCUCUCGUUGUUGAUGACGAUGAUCGGUGCCAUCACCACUCAUUUCUUCGUUCAUUCAUUCUAUGUCCAUUGAUCUUUUUGAAUUAUUGAAGACAAGUGGCUCACCGCUUUUAGUAUUGGUAAAAUUCAGAUAAUCUCUAUUCCGAAAUAAUAAUAUUAAAAAUAUCUCUUAAAUCAUUAUAAACUUCAAAUCUAUUUUAAUUUUAUUUAAAAGAUAAAAGAAAAAUAAGUUAUGUUGGUGAUUUUUUAUUAUCUUUUUAAUAAAAAUAGAAUAAAUUGAUGUUUAUAAUUAUUUAAAGUAUUUUAAAGAUUGCUAUUUUAUGAGAGAAUAAUAUUUCAUUUUUUUUUUCGUGUGAAAGACCGAAAAAGGACAAAGCAAGUUUCCCUAAUUUUUAUUUUAUGUGAAAUUGGUCAUCUCAUAUACUUUACCCUUCAACACUCUAAUUUUUUUGGUUAUAAUUUUAUUAUUUUUUCUCUUUUACACAUGCAUGUGAAUUACUUUUCUUUAAGCUCCUGAAUAUUUAAGACAAAUCAUGGAAGAGAUGAGAGUAUAACAAGAUGAUCAAAAUAUGUAACAAAAAAAUUUUAGAAGUGAAAAAUAUGUUAGAGUCGAAGUAAAACUCUGAGGUGAUGUUUGAUUUGAAGAAAAUGGAGGAGAGAAAAAGAGUGGAAUGGAGAGGAAAAGAGAGAAAAGGAGAGGAGAGGAGAGGAGAGUGAACUUUUUUUCUAAUGUUUGGUUUGUCACAUAAAUAUACAAAGAAAGGAAAUCUCCAAUUUUUUAUUUAGACAAUUUUAACCUUAAUAAGUAUUAAGCUUUCAAUAUUUAUCAUGUGUAUAAUUUAAAAAAAGUAAAUGGUAGAAAGCGGUUUCUGAUUCCGGCCACAUCGCCGGCAAUGGAAGGUACUUAUCAGAACAUCAAGAACCGGCCAUCAUUCCCUAGCCAUCACUGCUGUAGGAACACUGCUAAAAAGCUGCCGAUUGAACCGCGAAAAGUCGUGGAAAUCGUUGCCUCAAAUCGGUGAGUUUCGCCUUUUUCUGGUCAUGCCGUCGCCUUGGCUUUGUCCAUCAACGCUGCCACUUCCAUUUCAACCAUCCAUAGCCACUAUUAACCGCCAAAUCGCCGCCGAUCAGCGGGAUCUGUGGAAGUUAAAAAGUUUCUAAAAUUUUUUAAUUGGAUUUGAACAACAUACAACCAUUUUUUGAUCUCAAUAACGACAUAGUAAUGUUGAUCGUUGGUCGGCAAGUCGAAUGGUAGUGGCGGUGAGUAACACGCGCCAAUGACAUCGGCGGCGGCGGCGGCACUAUCCGGCUACUGUUAAAAUUAAUAUUUUAUAUUUGUAGAUUAAAUAAAUUUAUUUUAUUAAACUUUUUAAAUCAUUAUUUAAAUUUAAUUAAUUUAAAAUUAUCUAUGAUGUUGAAUUGAUAAAAUAAAUUUAUAAAUAAUAAUUAUGUGAUUACAUUAAAUAAGUUAAAAAGUUGAAGGGUUAUUUUUGGAAGAUUUAGUUUCCAACACAAAGGGAAUUUGAAUUCUUCACUUCUUAGUGUGGAAUUCAAAUUCUAUAUUGUAAUGGAUAUUAAAUUCCAAUAGAAAUUAAAUUCUUAUAAGUUAUGUCAAACCAAACAACGGAAAUAAAAAAAAAGAAUUUAAAUUACUUUCCUUUCCUCCACCCUCUCCUUCCAACCAAAUACAUCCUGAAAAUAGAGAUAUUGAUUAAUUUAGAAGAGAUGCAAGCAAAAGAUAUUCCACAAAAAAAAAAAAGCAAUAUGUCCCUUUGGAGGGCAAACUUGUCAGUUUUAAAAAAGUACAUGCUUUGGAUUGAUAGUUGUAGGAUAUUUGUUUUGUCACUAUGUGUUAGUUGGAGAAGUCAAGCCUUGUGAAGAAUGUUAUGAAAGAGCAAAGGAUAUUCCUGAUAGCUGAUAGAGCUCUAUUUGAUUAUGUAUCCAAUGAAUGGAUGUGUUGUUGGAAGAUAUUUGAGUGCAUUAGUUCAUAUGUGUCUAUCAAUGUGAUUUUAAUGAUUUUUCCACUUGUUUGUUGUAAAAGAUUAUUGUAAAUUGAAAUGAACUUGAUGUUGUAAUAUUUUCUCCUUAGUAGAAUUUCACCUAGUAUGUAUUUAGUUGUGUUGUCUAUAAUUUUGCAUUCGAAUAAGUUUCACCUAAAAUAUUAGCAUGAGUAGUGGCCCUUGAAACUUUGGUCAAAAUUAUUGUUAUUAUUUCCGACUAGAUGUAAAUUUUUUAUUAAAUCUCGCUAACACAAUUCUUAAUUAAAAGUAUAGGUUAGUGUUGGUGCAAGACUUGCCACACCAAAUUCUGCCUAACUGUCAAAAGUGCAAAAUAAAUGAAGAGAAAGCACAAAUACACGACUUGAAUAAGGAUACAACGAAACUUAAAUUCAAGAGAAAAUGAUAGCUAUAUCUCAAGAUUUGAAAAAACGGUCAUGUAGAUUUUUAAGAUUUCAAUAAGCGACUGAGAUUCAAAUAAUAUCCUUUAAUUCUAUUAACAAAAAACAAAGACUCAAAUAUUUUAUGAUAAAUAAAAAUAUAAUAUUAAAAUAUAUGUGAUAAUAUACACAUUUUAAAUACUUUCAAUCCAAAAAAAUAGUUAUGUUUUACAAUCUAUUAGACAUAUUUUAUUAAAUUAAUAUAAAUUUUCUAUAAAAUAAGAAUAUAAUAUUAAAAUAAAUUCACAAAAAUUUAAAGAAUUUUGAAUGUAAAAUAAUUUUAAUAUAUCAAUACGUGAGUUUUUUUAUUAAUAUAAAAUUUAUUUAACUUUAAGAUUUUUUAAAAUCUUUACAAUAAGUAUAACUAUAUUAUUUACAUUUAAAAAUAUUUAAAUAUUAUUAACCUACAAUUAUAUUUGCAUUUGUUAGAAAUUUUUUAAGUCAAAUAUUUUGCACUUCUAUAUUAUUAGAAUUAUUGCACAAAAAGAAAGAAACAUACACCUUUAGAAAUUGUUUUCUUUUAAAAUAGAGAUGAUGAUUAGUAUAAGGAUGAAAAAAAGGAUAAAGAAUAUUAAUGAUUAACGAAAUCUCUAUACAAAUUGAUUUUAGUAGGAAAAGAGUGAGAUGAAUGAUUUCUUUUACAGUUAGAAACAUAGAUGAUGAUUAUUAUAACGAAGAAAAAAAGAUAAAGAAUAUUAAUUAUUAAUGGAAUCUCUAUACAAAUUGAUUUUAGUAGGAAAAAAAUGAUUAAAUGAUUUAGAGUGCGUUUGGAAUUGAGAUUGGGCAGCCAUAGAUUUUAAGUUACAACACUGAAGUGUUUAGUAAAUACUAGUUGCUGCAGAUUGAAAGUUAUGUUGAUAUGAUUUUUCACAUGUAUCAUAGAAAAUAUAUUACAUCUUUAAUAUUUUUUAAAAAUUUAUAUUUGCUAUAUAUUAUUAAUUUUUUUUUAUAGUUAUAACUUUUUUUCCACAACAGUUGUAGCUUAAAAGUCACAGCACCUCAAUCUCAAACAAAUCCUUAGACAUUCAUAGUGUGUUUAUUUUUUGGAUUGGUGAAUCAAAAUUAUUGACAACGCUAACUUCAUCUUCACUGUUCGCAAUCCAACAGCAGCAAUUGUCGCCAAUAAUGAUAUCUCCAAUGAUGAUGACAAUUAUUAUUAUUAUUUUUAUUAUUAUUAUUAUUAUUAUUAUUAUUAUUAUUAAUUAAUUAAUUAAUUAAUUAAUUAAUUAAUUAAUAUAUUAAUGUUGAUAUUAUUAUUAUUAAGAUUAACAAUAAUUAUUAGUAAUACAAUUUUUUGAAUAAAAAUAAUCACAAUAAUUAAAAUACAAAUUAAUAAUUAUGACAAUAAUUAAUUAAUGUCUUUUUAGUAAUUUGUAAUAAUCUAACUCAUUUUGGUUCUGAUUAUUACAGCUUAAGUAAACAAAUUAUUAUGAUUCCUAUUCUCCUUUCCCAUUUUAACUCACUUUGAUUCCAGUCUAUUCCGAUUUCUAUUUAAUAAAUGCACCAUUAGUGCUAAAGUAAUAUUUCAUACAUAGAAAAAUAAAAACUACGCCUAAGGUUAAGGGAAAAGACUUCAAAAUUCUCUUUUGAUCAUAAUACAUUUUGUCCUAAUUAACUUAAAGAUUUUGAAUCUAAUAUUUUAUAAUAAAUAAAAAUAUAUUCCUAAAAUAAAUAUAAUAUCAAUAUUUAAAAUAUGUUUUAAUAUUUUACAAUCUAUCAUACACAUUUUAUUAUAUUAAAGUAGAUUUAUAAUAAAUAUAUAAAAAUUUAGAAUAUUUAGAAUAUUAUAUAAAAUAAUUUUAAUAUAAUGCGUGAUAUAUAUUUUAUUAAUUUAAAAUGUCAUUUUACCUAAAAAAUAUGAUAAAUUAAUAAUUACAUAUUUGAAGUUAUUUCAAAUAUUAAAAAAAUUUAAUAUUAUUAAUCUUUUAGAUAGAUUAAAUUAUUUUUUAUAAGAGAGAUUAAAUUAUUUUAAAAUGCCUUAAUUGUUUUUACUUUUAACGUUACGGGCCUUUCUUUUAUUUUAUUGCAAAUUAAUGCUAACUAGAAAAACAAAAACAAAAGUGACAAACACAACCAGCUGGAAUCUUUUAUAAAACUACAAAUUAAAAUGGAUUUUUUUUUUUUGUUGAUAAAUUACACAUGAAAGUGGAUUCUUUUGAAUAUAAGUGGGGUAGGCUCUUUUAUUUUUUUUUUAAUACCGUAUAACAGGACUGUAGACUCUUUUAUUAAGCACAAAUAUAGAGUUGUCGAGACAAUUAGGGUCUUUUAUUAAACUACAAAUUGUAUAGUCUUUUUUAAAUUGUUCAGAUAUUUAUAAAUUGGUGGCCCCUACAAUCCUCAAUAAUUGUACCGAUAUUCACAAGCUGGUGGCCCCUACAAUCCUUAAUAAUUGUUUUUUUUUUUUUCUGCAUUCCCUUUCAUGCUCUUAAUAAUUAAAGAGCAUACUUUUCAAAUGUGGAGCCGCGGCUAAUGUCGCUAAUUUAAUUUGGGAUUAAAUUAGGGGACUAUUAUAUUGCAGUGUGCACUAAUUUUUAUGUUUAUCUAAACUCCUUAAAUUUAAGAUAUAUUAUGGCAUAAAUAAGAAUAUAACAAUAGCAAAAGAGUUAGAAAGUGUAGAGAAGAUCUUGCAGAAAUAUAAAUAAUAUUUAUUUUAAAAUAAUAUCAAUAUUUAAAAUAAUUUUUAUUAUUUUAUGAUCCAUUAGAUAUAUUUUAUUAUAUUAAAGUAAAUUUUAUAAUAAAUAAAAACAUACUAUUAAAAUGAAUAUAUAGAAAAUUUAGAGUAUUUUAAGUAUUAUAUAAAAUAAUUUUAAUAAAAUAUGUGAGAUAUUCAUAUUUUAUUAAUUUAAAAUACCAUUUAACCUAAAGAUUUAUUUAUGAUAAAUUAAUAAUUAUAUUUUUGAAAUUACUUCAAAUAUUAAAAAAAUUAAUAUUACUAAUCUAUUAGAUAGAUUAAAUUAUAUAUAUUAUUUUCUAUUUAUUAAAAAAUUUCAAAUUAUUUUUAAUUACUAUUCAAAAAAUAUGAUGAUAAAAAAAUCUUAACAUCUUUAUUAAAAAAUUAAAAACUUACAUGAUCAAUUCUCUAAAUAUUUAGGGUAUAUGUGAACCACGGUGGACAGAGGUCAUUACUAAAAUUUCUCUUCCACAGGCAAUUACAGCAGCUCCAGUUUAUCAAACUCAACCAAUUUUCUUUCUUAACAAAAUUCCAAAGAUGUGUAGCUUUUUUCAGAUCACAUGCGAUGGUGCUUUUUUCAAUCGUUGCUUGGAUUGCUUUCUUGGAAAAGCAGCAUACAUACGUAACCUCCAAGAUAAUCUUGAUGCCUUGGACACUGAACUGGGAAGACUAAUCGCAGCAAAGAACGAUGUGAUGAUUAGGGUUGUCAAUGCUGAACGGCAAUAAAUGAGAAGGCUGGACGGAGUGCAAGUGUGGGUUUCGAGUGUGGAUGCUGUUAAAACUGGAGCCGAUGAACUUAUCACAGACGGCUCUGAAGAAAUUGGCAAAUUAUGUGUUGGAGGCUACUGUUCCAAGAACUGCAGGUCAAGCUACAAAUUCGGAAAACAAGUGGCUAGAAAGCUACGAGAUGUGGAGACUUUAAUCGCCGAAGGAGUUUUUGAGGCGGUGGCUACUGAGGUGGUGCCUGAGAGAGCUCCAGAGCCUGUAGCAGAUGAAAGACCUACCGAGCGAAAAGUAGUAGGCUUGCAAUCACAACUUGAACAAGUCUGGACGUGUCUUGUGGAAGAAUCAGCGGGAAUCAUUGGCCUAUACGGUAUGGGCGGUGUUGGUAAAACCACACUAUUGACCCAUAUCAACAAUAAAUUUCUCGAGAGUCCAACCAACUUUGAUUGUGUGAUUUGGGUAGUAGUUUCAAAAGACCUGCGACUUGAAAAACUUCAAGAAGAUAUUGGGAAAAAGAUAGGUUUGGUUGGUGAUUCAUGGAAGAGUAGAAGUGCAGAGGAGAAAGCUCUCGACAUCUUCCGGAGUCUAAGAGGGAAGAGAAUUGUAUUGUUGUUAGAUGAUAUAUGGGAGCGGGUUGAUUUAACAAAAGUGGGCGUUCCACUUCCUGGACCACAAAAUACUACCUCAAAAGUCGUAUUCACAACNNNNNNNNNNNNNNNNNNNNNNNNNNNNNNNNNNNNNNNNNNNNNNNNNNNNNNNNNNNNNNNNNNNNNNNNNNNNNNNNNNNNNNNNNNNNNNNNNNNNNNNNNNNNNNNNNNNNNNNNNNNNNNNNNNNNNNNNNNNNNNNNNNNNNNNNNNNNNNNNNNNNNNNNNNNNNNNNNNNNNNNNNNNNNNNNNNNNNNNNNNNNNNNNNNNNNNNNNNNNNNNNNNNNNNNNNNNNNNNNNNNNNNNNNNNNNNNNNNNNNNNNNNNNNNNNNNNNNNNNNNNNNNNNNNNNNNNNNNNNNNNNNNNNNNNNNNNNNNNNNNNNNNNNNNNNNNNNNNNNNNNNNNNNNNNNNNNNNNNNNNNNNNNNNNNNNNNNNNNNNNNNNNNNNNNNNNNNNNNNNNNNNNNNNNNNNNNNNNNNNNNNNNNNNNNNNNNNNNNNNNNNNNNNNNNNNNNNNNNNNNNNCAGGAAGUCCUAGUGCGUGCUAUCAGAAAAGAUGCUGGGAACUGUUUCGCGAAAAUGUUGGGGAAGAAACUCUUGAGAGUGAUCAUGAGAUCGUUGAGCUAGCCCAAACUGUGGCCAAAGAGUGUGGUGGUUUGCCACUCGCACUUAUUACUAUUGGUCGAGCUAUGGCCUACAGAAAGAAAGCGGAGCAGUGGAGACGUGCAAUUGAAGAGUUAAGAAGAUCAGCUUCAGAGUUUGCAGGUUUGGGAAAAGAGGUGUAUCCUCUUUUAAAGUUUAGCUAUGAUAGUUUGCAGAAUGAUACAAUUAGAUCUUGUUUCUUGUAUUGUUGUUUAUAUUCUGAAGAUUAUGGCAUUCUUAAAUGGGACUUGAUUGAUUGUUGGAUUGGUGAGGGAUUUUUGGGGGAAUCUGACAGGUUUGGUGCAGAAAACCAAGGAUAUGACAUUUUGGACACUCUUGUUCGUGCAUGUUUAUUAGAAGAGGUGGAAGAAGAUGAAGUAAAAAUGCAUGACGUUAUUCGUGAUAUGGCUAUAUGGAUAACCAGUGAAAUUGAGAAGGAGAAGAGAAACUUUUUGGUUUGUGCAGGUGCUGGAUUAGAAGAGGCACCGGAUGUUAAAGAAUGGGAAAAUGUGAGAAGAUUGUCAUUGAUGCAAAACCAAAUUGAAACUCUGUUUGGGGUUCCCACAUGCCCUCAUCUCAUCACUUUAUUUAUUGACUUUAAUAGGGAGUUGAAGACUAUCGCGGAUGGCUUCUUCCGAUGUGUGCCUUCUCUCAAAGUUUUGAAGAUGUCAAACUGUGGAAAGCCUUAGAAAGGUUUGGAAUUACCUUUGGGGAUGUCAAAGUUGGGUUCACUACAACUUCUUGAUAUUUCACACACCUGCAUACAAGAAUUACCACAAGAAUUAAAGUUGUUGGUAAAUCUGAAAUGUUUGAAUUUGAGGCGGACAAUUUGGUUAAAUAAAAUUUCAUGGCAACUAAUAUCAAAAUUUUCAAGGUUACGUGUGUUGAGAAUGUUCGCUACUGGCUGGUUCAGUUUUCAUGAAGCACCAGAAGACAGCGUUUUAUUUGGUGGGGGUGAAGUUUUGAUACAGGAAUUGCUCGGUUUGAAAUAUUUAGAGGUAUUGGAGUUGACCUUGGGAAGUUAUCAUGCUCUCCAAAUUCUUUUGAGCUCAAAUAAGUUAAAAAGUUGUAUUCGAUCUCUUUUCCUACAGUUGUUCAGAGAUACAACGUCGAUUAUUGAUGCUACGGCUUUCGCAGAUCUAAACCACCUCAAUCAAUUAUGUAUUAGUAACGGUUCUGAGUUGGAAGAAUUGAAGAUUGAUUAUACGGAGAUAGUACGAAAAAGGCGGGAACCUUUUGUUUUCCGCAGCCUUCAACGUGUUACCAUAGAGGAGUGCCAUAAAUUGAAAGAUUUGACAUUCCUCGUUUUUGCUCCAAACCUCAAGUCUCUUUCGCUAUACGAUUGCGGUGCUAUGGAAGAAAUAAUCAGCGUCGGAAAAUUUGCUGAGACUCCUGAGAUGAUGGGACAUAUAAGCCCUUUUGAAAAUCUCCAAAUGCUUUAUUUAAUGGCAUUGCCGGAGUUGAAGAGCGUCUACUGGAAGCCAUUGCCUUUCACUCAUCUGAAAGAAAUGGAGGUACUUGGGUGUGAUCAGCUUAAAAAGCUUCCACUCGAUUCCAACAGUGCAAAAGAGCGUAAAUUUGUAAUUCUUGGAGACACACAGUGGUGGAACCGUCUUCAAUGGGAGGAUGAAGCCACUCAAAUUGCUUUUCGUUCCUAUUUCCAAACCUGAUUCCUGAGCGGUGGUCGCAAAAUUUGAUUUCUGGUGAGUGCGUUUGUCUUUUAAAAGAAGAAUUUAAAAGAAAUUUAUUCUUGUCGUUUUCUUCUCUGUUUUUAUUUCAGUUUGUUUCUCUCUCUCUCUUUUUGUCUUCUGCAAAUCACAAUUAAAUGUUGAAUUAAUGGAAUUAAUGCUUCAUAAAUUUGCCGGCACUGCCAGUACUUUUUUUUUUUUUUAAUACGAAUUGAUGCUUUAUUUAUUUCUUCUUAGCGAUUUAAUUUCCUGUCAAAAGACGAGCGAGAAGAACAUAUGACUUAAACCAAUUGAUACUUUAUUUAUGUGCAUUGUAUGUAAUAAAAUUUUCUCUGUUUUUUUCAAAUUGAGGCUUUAUUUAUAUUUUCUUCGUGAAGAGUGAUUUAAUUUCCUGCCAAAAGACAAACGAGAAGAACAUUAGAGUCAAACUAAUGCUCACAUAAAUUUCCCGUAAGAAUAUAUAUAUAAUUAGACUGGAAUGCACACCUCUAGAUUGAACAGAAUUAAAGCUGAGAAAAUAUUGAGUAUAGUAGCCCUCUUUACAGAAAAUGACGCGAAAGUUAAUUUAGAAAGAUAUAUUCUUGAUUAAUCCAUUUUCUGAAGUUUUUUAUUUUGUAUGGUCAAUUAUACCUUCAUACUAAAAAAAAAAAAAAAAAAGAGAAAAUAUGUAAUCCAUGAAUGGUUAAUUUUGUUUGUUUGUUUUUUUUUCUUAAAUAUCAUUCUUUUUCGGCCACCCAAGGACAUUUUCACAAAUACCUUUUGUGUGCAGAAGUCUUCCAAACCAUCAAUGGAAAAAUAAAAAAUAAAAAAAACACGGUCCAGUAUACCUCAAAAUAUCAUUGAUGACUUUUCUGGUCUAAUGCUAUGUAAAUAGUAUGUUAAGUAAAACAUAAUCAGUUCAGUACCUCACAAAUAAUUCGCAAUAUCUACAAAAUACUAUAAUGGCUACAAAACAAAUCCUGCUUGCAAAUUGUCAAGGAUACCUAUCCGUUCGCUUGACAAGUCAUUUGAAUAAAUAUUGUUCACAUUCCUUACUCUGUCAAUUAUCCAAAGCACCAUCAACUUUAGUUUGAAUAGUAUACAUGCCAUCACCGUUACCAAGAAUCAAGCAUGGAAGGGUCAUUCUAUAGAGUGCAGAACAUGACUCUAUGCGGUAGUCAAUUUGACACACGACGAACACCAUAUGCUGCAUAACAUACAAAUUAAUUUCCCAUAUGUGAUGCAAUUUUCUCCUCAACAUAUGCGCAAUUCUUUCCAUUCCGGCAUUUACACUCAAAUUUUCCUUCCUUUCUCUUUGUGGUUGAAUCUUACACCACAACUCAUGUGAUGCAAUCUCCUCUCGCUGCCUAAAUUGCACUCUCAGCAAAGCAGCAUAUGUAAGCAAGCUUGAAGAUAAUCUUGCUGCUCUGCAGAAGAACGGCAAAAGUUAAUCGAAGCAAGGAAUGAUGUAUCAGAAAAUAUUUGGUGGAGAAUUCAGCACAAACAUAUUUCGGAUGAUCAGAAUCAAUAAAACCUGGUGGUUGUGCCAUAUAAACAUCUUUGGAAAGCUGACCUUGAAGAAAGGCGUUAUUGAUAUCCAAUUGAUGAAGAGGCCAGCCAUGACUAACAUCAAUACUAAGAACAAGCCGUACUGUGGUGGACUUAACAACUGGACUGAAAGUGUCAUAAUAGUCCACACCAGGCCAUUGAUUGAACCCUUUGGCAACAAGAUGAGCUUUAAACCUGUCAACAGAACCGUUGGAAUGUCUUUUAAUACAAAAAUCCAUUUGCAGCCAACAAUAUUGGAAGGGAUGGGAGGUGGAACAAGCUUCCAUGUCCCGUUACGAACAAGAGCAUCAUACUCUUCUGACAUAGCUGGACGCCAGUGAAGAUUUUUGAUAGCUUGCGUCACAGUUGUAGGUUCACAAUCAGAAGAAGGGCUAAAAUGAGCACGGAGGUUAAGUUUUUGUAACGGCUUGUGAAUCUUAUUUUUAGCUCGGGUAGUCAUAUCAUGAUGACUUGUGGGGCAAUGAUCUAGUGGAGUUUAGGAAGAUGAUUGAACAGGAAGUGAAGAAGUGCUUUGUGUAGAGGUAGAAGUAGGUUGGGAGGAUUGCUGCGGAGAUGUUACCGGUAGAGAAGAAGGAGCAGUACACGGUGGCAACUCCAGAGGGCCCACAAUAGAUGGAGUAGGUGCCGACAAUGGAGUACUAGGAAAUGAAACAGGAAGAAUUGGUGGAACACUUGCAUAAUUAGGAGUGGUAGAUGAGCUUGUAAUGAUUUGCAUGGAAAAACAAACUCUACAAAUUUAACGUGACGUGAAAUAAAAAUUUGAAAGGUGGAUGGGUCAAAACAUAAAUAAGCACUUUGAGAUAAAGGAAUAUCCUAGAAAAACACAAGGCUUAGAGGGUGGUUCGAGUUUAUGUGAUGAAACACAAACAUUCAAAAAAUUUUAAGUUUAUAUUAAUUAGGAGUGGUACCAAAAAUUAAUUAGCUAUGGGGUUGUUGGAUGUGUUUUGGAUAUUUACAGUUAAGUUUGAGUAUCUCAACUUAAAAUUUGUAGUUUUCACUUGAAAAAAUUCAGUUAAAUUUUGCAAUGCAGACUGAUUGAUUUAUCAGUUUAACGUGUGCCAGGAAUGAAGAACUGGAAUAUCACCGUCAAGCAAGCACCCUGUGGAGCAAUACCAAAGAAUGCACAAUCUGGCUUUGCUAGGUAACACUGGAGGCUUUUUGAAAAGUGCUUCACGCUCACUUGCACAGAUUGAGCAUCCCCUCUGGAUAUUGCCCUCUCUGAUCGAGUCUGAGCACUCAAAUUUUGGUCCUCAGAGGGAGCUACAGUUUUCUCUCCACUAACCAACAAUAUUCUAAACUCAGCACCUAGUGUGAUCAGAGUUGUUGAUAUUUGCAAAUGGAGAUCCCCAUAUUUGCAAAUGGAGACAUUUAACAAAUCACCAACAUGCUUCAUCCGGUCCACGAAAUUCUGCAACUGAUGCAAAUCUGGAACCUGAACCAGAGUCGGAGGUAUAUCUUGAGCCAUAUCUAAAGCAGUUUGAAGUUCAAGACCUUGAGCCCUUGACAAUGGUUUUGAAAUUGGAACAUCUUGGAUUACUGCAGACUUGUACCCCUUGGUUUCAAAGGUAAGGAAAGGCAUUGCUUGAGUACAAUUUGGAGGCAGCUUCUUCACCAAUUUUAUUUGGAGGCGAUUGGCAGCGGAUCCAGCUGCACCAAUUUCAGAGCAACUACUGACACUACUUCGAACAGCACACUGAAGAAGUGAUAUGUCUACGGCGAAGGCAAUGCAGUCCUCAUUUUGGCUUGAGACACAGUAAUCAUCGAAGAGAGUUUCCUUGUGAAACUGGGCAACACAUUGAAUCCCUUCGGCACUGAGAAGGUUGUGGAGGAAGUAAGCUUUCUCUCUAGUAAGGAAGAGGUGGCAUACAUUCCCCAUUUUGUCUAGGGCAGGUAGGAAUCUUUUUUCUAAGAGAUUUACUUCAUUCUCUGUGAGAAAUGCUUUGAACUUCAUCCCUCUGUCUCUAUCCUCACUUAUCAGUAAAAUAGUUGAAAGCGCUACAAGGAGAGAAAAGAAGAGUAUUAAGAUAUAUAUAUUAUAUAGACAAGAAAAACAUUAGAUGUCGAUCUUACAAGCUAAUACUUCAAACAAUAUCCUAGAAAGCUAAAAACUGCAAGAUGGCUUGAAAUUUGAAAAGAGCACGUGCUUUUCCUCCUUAACUUGAGAAAAUGUUUAAUAUAGUGCACCUUACAGAAGCAUUUAAGCAAUUAGAACUUUGCACAAAAACAUCAAGAAGACUAAACAAGUCAGAUGCAGUGUAUUUGUCCAAGCACAAAUUGCAUUUUGUCCUCAACUUUAAUAUUUAUUGAUGAGAAUCAAUACAGGUCCCUCAUUUGUUAUAGAAAGCUUUCUUGUAGUCUCACCAGUUAAUAUGGAUAUUAGAUAAGGAAACUUUAUUAGGUUGCGAGGGUAAAAAAGGAAAGAGAUAUCAUUAUUUUAUUAUCGAUAAUUAUUAAAUUUUUUUCCAAAAAAAAGAACAAGCAAGGAUAUUUUAUUGUCAAUUGCAACCUUUAAUUUUUUUAAAUGCUAUUAGAAACACAAGAUAACAAAAAUGUAGUGAGAUGGGAUCUCCUGCAUGCCACUCUGGUUUAGAACACAAAGAAUGUGUCUGCAUAAAUAUCCUCUGAAAUUGAACAACCCACAAACACAAAGCACCUCCAAGUCGGAGGCAUUGUACAAAACAUCAAAAGCCCUUGAAUCCUUCUCGUUGCCACCAACCUCGAAUUCUUCCUUCACUAUGUAUGUUAUAGGUCCAUCAGAACUAAUAUGUUUUGUGCUAUAGUAAGAGUACAUAGCCUCCACCUCCAUCUGAAACUUCCUUAACAUUUCAUUUGUGUACAGUUUUGAGAGUUGAAAUUCAUAGUAACAUCUUGGUUUCCGGAUACAACUUGAAUUUCUUGAAUCCAUAUCUGCCAAGGCUACCAGUUGAUAAUUCGCCUGCAGUGCUUGAUCAUACUUGUCUAAGAAUUCUUUCAAAGGAGUAUUCUUAUCAAGAUAUCCUUCAAAGUAUGAAGUAGAAACCUCAUUCUGCAGGAACGAAAACACUCCUGAUAAAAAAGCUUCCUUCAAAUAAAUAGGAGCCCACCUUUUAUGAUCUUCAUAUAAAGUUUGAAUCCAUCCGUGAUCCUUUAUUCCAUGACAUUGAAUCAUGUCUUCCCAAGCUGCUUCAAAUUUCUCAGGCCUGAGAGAGUGAUAAAUUGCUCUAUGUAAUGCAGCUUUAAUAGCUUCAUAUUCAAACAAUCCUUGGAGUUUCUCUGGAAUUUUUUUGCAUGAUGCAUGACAAUGAAAAGAAAUGAUAAGCUCUUGGGAAAACAUCACCAACAGCAAUUUGCAAGAUUCUACAUUGGUCAGUGAUGAUUGUUUGUGGAGAGCGCCCUAACAUACAUGUAAGCCACGCCGUAAACAACCAUGUAUAUGAUUCUAUGGUCUCACUGGCAAGUAAACCACAACCCAACAACACUGAUUGUCCAUGAUGAUUCACCCCAAUGAAUGAAACCAGUGGUACAUCAUAUCUUUCAGUCAGGCACGUAGUAUCAAUUAAGACCACAUCACCAAAGUACCUAUAUGCAACUCUUGACCUGGUAUCAGUCCAGAAUAGGUUUUUCAAGCAUCCCUUUUCAUUUAGAUCCACUACAUUAAAAAAGUUUGGAUCUGUCAACUGCAAAUGACAAAAGAAACUCUGGACAGCUUGUGCAUCUCCUGGUUUAAGCUUCAAUUGAUUUGAGCUAUUAACAUUAUUUCCAAAUACUCCAUUAACAUCUACCAUUUCCCUUGGUAUCAAUGAUAAGAGUUCGAAACAGUUUAAUUUUUUGAACUUCUUCAGCACUAUCUAAAUGCAAUGUUCUUUUGGUUCCAAUACCUAUGUGCUUAUGUGACUUGUAAAACUUUCCGCUUCUUGGGCUUAACAAGUGGUUAUGCUCAAGCUCGACUUCAAUGAUUCUCCACCUUUUGGUUUCCAUCAACCUAAACUUUAUCAUUGCUGGACAGCCAGUUCUUGUUUCUGGUCUUGGGCGGUUUGCCUCGCUUUUCUUCUUGAAGCCUGCACUACUACAGCUCAGCUUUCCUCUAUACUUUUCUCUACUCUUUCGGUACCAUGGAUUGCUAACUCUAACACCAAAACCCUGUUCCUUGGCAUAGCAAUUGUAAAAGUAAUAUACAUCAUCAUACAUCUCAAACUCCAUUCCAACAGUAGGAGGCAAGGGAUUUUGGAUUAUCCCAGUUUGUCCAACAUAUUCAGUCAUCGCACAAUCUCCUACAACCUCAAAAUCAUCAGUGUCAUCAUCACCUACUGGUUCGGUGUUGAGAGAAACUUCAUCCAUCUACAAUGGAUGUUCAAUGAAGUGAGCUUUAAGGAGAAAAAGCAAAAUCUGUUCAAGGAAUGAUAAUAUAAUCAUACAGUUACUUUCACAAAGCUUCAUAUUUCAUCACUGCUUUACCAACAUGCAACUGCCAGAGAACAAACAGACAUGUCAUAGACGCUUGAAUUAAGUAUUGGUACAAAUGAGCACACAUCAUGUGGGACAAAAUUUCAGUCACUAAACCCAAUACCACUUUUUACAUCAUACCAAGGAACAGAUUAAACCCGACACCUUCUUUUAAACCAUACCAAGGAACAGAUUAAAUCAUCAAUGAAAAAUUAAUCACAUAAUAACUUAACCAGACAAAUGAAGAGCCUGAAACAGCACAAAACUUGAAUCUGAUUAUGAUAAUUGUUGAGUCCUUGUAUCUACAGCUUUCCUUCAAUGAUAAGACAAUGAACAUAAACGAGACACAAAAAAAUUAUUUUAAACUGACAGCCCAUGAUAUAAAUCAAACAAAAUCAACUCCUUUUUUUACACAUUACAUCUCAUAUUCAUUUACAUUGAAACACAAAAAGGAAGCAGGAGUGGGAAAAAAACAACAGCAGAGGAACUUAUUUCCAUAAGGUUUACGAAAUAAGGAAUCUAUUAAAACCCAAAACUUGAGGUCACCACUAAGAAUUUGGUUCUCAUUAUUUUUUUCUUCAUUUUUCACCAAUUGAUGAACUUAAAAUACAAUCAUAAAUGAUAAAACCCCAUCUCCAUCUUUUUGAACUAGAGCUAAAGCAAAGCAUUUUAAGAUGUUUCAUCAUUUUUUUUUUUAAAAAAAACUCAAUAGUACAAUGUUUUUCAAUGCUAAAUGCACAAUUCAAUCUUCUCCUAAUUUACUCUAAUAAUCUCUUAAUUAAGGAAGAUUAAGCUUCAGUUGUAAGCUAAAACAAAUUUCUUAAAUCAAGCCCCAAUGCUUUAUGCUAUUCAACAAGGGCUCAUAAAUGAUAAAACUACUUCUAUAAAGAUACCCAUUUUCUAAAUUAAUUUCACAAACUGAAAUCAAACUCCUGAAACGUAACGAGCAUUAAUAUAAUCAAGCCCGAACAAGAAUUGAAAAAUGAUACAUAAACUCGUUUACACAUUUCGACAGACACUUUGCAAUCAAUGAGCAAAAAAUUAAUGGAGAAGAUAAAAUUCAAACGAAACAUGCCUUACAUUGAUAAAUUAGAAGGGCAAAAGAAAUUUUAGUACGAUAUGCGAUCAGGGUCUUGCCACGGUGAUGUUAUUUGUGAAGUUCGAGCGACUCAGCAGCCUUCGAGGUUGAAAAUUUGAUUGACCAAAAGCUUCCCGUUCGUUGAUUCUCUAAUAGUAGAAACGAGACUGGCAGUAUACACAAGAAGUUCGCCGAUUUUAAAUUCCGUUGUUUGAGAUGGAAAAUUUUUUGAAAAAAUUAAUGUGUUCGAUGAAAAUCAAAAUCUCAAAAACCUCUUGUUUUUCAUUUUUUUGGAAAAAACCAUUGAGAUCCUUACUAUUUUUUCUUAUAUCAUCUUCCUUAAUAAUUUGCAAAGUCUAUCGCAUAGCACCCAUGUAUGAUGUAUGCUGCGUUGUAAUUUACAAAAUUGCACAUGAAUAAAUCCAGCUAAAAUUUGUUAAAAGAAAAUAAUAAUAACAUGUUAAAACUUUAAAAUUUGAUUAUUCGAAGAAAUUUUAAUUUAGUUAAGUAGGUGACAUGAUAAUAAAUAGAUACGUAUAAUGUCCGAGAUUUUUUAUAAGAUUAAUAAAUAUGAUAAAUUUGGAUUAGUUCAAUUUUGACAUAAUUCAUAAUAAACACAGCUUGCUAAUCUAAAUUGCCACCGUUACUCAUCAUCAGGUACCUGUUUGAAAAAUAAUUACAAACAAUUUUAUUUGUGUUGUUUCUCUAAAAGUUUGAGACACAAAUGUUAUUUCAAAUUGAUAAAAGUACGAAAAUUCCCCCUUGCUCUUCAACUAAAAAUGAAACAUGCAAAUAUACACACUAAUUUAGAUGUGUGAAUAACAAAUAUGGAACGACACAUGCAAAGUCAUCUGUAUAAUUGAAACGCCAUGCACUAGUAGUAGGUAAGAGAAACCAAGGUUGAAGUUGCUCCAAUGGUUACUGUUAAUUUAUUUUUAUUUAUGAUUUUUUUUGUAAAAUGUAAGAAAUAUGUAGAAAUGUUGCCAGCAAUGAUUUUGGAACUUUGCAUAAAAUUUUUAUCAUUAUUGUUUUUGGUAUUAAGAAAUCCGAGGCGGUGAUUAGACGUAUGUUGCAACAAUUAAGAAAUUUCUUAUUGGAGAUAAUUUGGUAGGUUUGCAGCAAUUAGAGAAUAAUUUUCCUGCCAGUUAAUCAAUCAAUAAUAAAUUUCAAAUUGCAGAAAAUAAAAUAAUACAGCCUCACUUAGAAUCAUCUUUUCUAUCUCUUUCAAUUGUGGCAAUCAUUUGCAACAAAUAAAUCAAUUUGAUGCACAUCAUUUCCCCAAUUCAAAGUUCAAGUCACUGCUCAAUUACAGAGUAGUUAGUGGACAUGCAUGCAUGUUUAAUUAAGUACUGCAUUGUAGUAUCGAAAAUCAUAACAUCUCACCAAUAUCAGAUUAUUAACCAUGGAAAUCAUAUCACAAUAUCAUAUAGAAUUCACAAAUCUGAAAAUCAUCACCAAACAAGUACCCAGAGAAAUAAUCUCGUCAUAUCCAGACCUCAACGGACGGGCAAUGACGUACUAUUUGGGUAACGUCACACCCUGGAGCUACACGGAUAAAUAGGAAAAUACCAUCUCAUAUCUCAUCAUAUUUGUGCAUGCAUAAUCUAGUCCCCAAGGGACAAAAGCGCCCAAGCACACGGCCCAAAGCCUCUAUGUGUACUCAGACGGGCCCCAAAGGCCUGUAUCUCAUAUGUAUCAUAUGUAUCAUUUGUAUCUCAAUAUCUGUUUGUAUCUCAUUUCCGUAUAUCUAUAAUCAUCAUACCGCAUGCAUAUGCCCCCAAAAGACAAAAGCGCCCAAACACAUGGCCCAAAGCCUUUAUAUGUGUUUAGACGGGUCCCAAAAGCCUCUUAUCUCAUCUUAUCUGUAUCACUGUAUCUGGAGAGAAGGGUACUGUCUAAUGAUUUAAAAAACAAUCAUUAUACUCAUAUUUACAUACCUCUUAAUCAUAUUUGAAAUCAUAUCACAUUUGAAUCCACUUUUCUAAUCUUUAAAAUAUUAUCAUGCUUUAUUCAAAGUCGAUACGCAAAAUCAAUAACCAAACAUUUUAAAUCAAAUUAUUAACCAUGGAAAUCAUAUCACAAUAUCAUAUAGAAUUCACAAAUCUGAAAAUCAUCACCAAAUAAGUACCCAAAGAAAUAAUCUCGUCAUAUCCGGACCUCAACGGACGGGCAAUGACGUACUAUCUGGGUAACGUCACACCUUGGAGCUACACGGAUAAAUAGAGAAAUACCAUCUCAUAUCUCAUCAUAUCUGUGCAUGCAUAAUCUAGUCCCCAAGGGACAAAAGCGCCCAAGCACACAGCCCAAAGCCUCUAUGUGUACUCAGACGGGCUCCAAAGGCCUGUAUCUCAUAUGUAUCAUAUGUAUCAUUUGUAUCUCAAUAUCUGUCUGUAUCUCAUAUCCGUAUAUCUAUAAUCAUCAUACCGCAUGCAUAUGCCCCCAAAAGACAAAAGCGCCCAAACACAUGGCCCAAAGCCUUUAUAUGUGUUCAGACGGACCCCAAAAGCCUCUCAUCUCAUCUUAUCUGUAUCACUGUAUCUGGAGGGAAGGGUACUGUCUAAUGAUUUAAAAAAUAAUCAUUAUACUCAUAUUUACAUACCUCUUAUCAUAUUUGAAAUCAUAUCACAUUUGAAUCCACUUUUCUAAUCUUUAAAAUAUUAUCAUGCUUUAUUCAAAGUCGAUACGCAAAAUCAAUAACCAAACAUUUUAAUAAAAUACCAAUGCAUAAAUAAAAUUCAUUUCGAGAAAUCAUUAAAUCAGAACAUUUAAAAUACUUAUUUCGCAAACAUGCUUUACUAUCAUCGCUAACUAUGAAAAUAAGUUUUGUAUAUUCCACUUUCAGUGAUGGUGUUCACGGUCGGUUAUCGUCCAUAUCUGCAGACCGAUUCUCGCUCGCGAAUCCUCCUAAAUCAAGGAAACGACAUAAUUAUUUUUUGUAAAUCGGAAUUAUGACUAAAUUUUAUGCAAUAAACUCAAAACGAACAUCUAUUCAUAAUUGACAACUCCUAUAUCCAUAAAAUUACUAAAAUAUCCUUGAGUCCGUAGAUCAUUAACAUGCUCCGAAAUCGUAAAUCACUGAAUUACCCUCGGAAUCGUAAUUACACCCGAUCCUCAAUUAUAGGAAUUACUAACAGAUCCACAGGCUUAGAAAUUACAAAAUUGCCCUCGUAGUGUGAAAUUACCAAAAGCCGGAAGUUGGUCAACAAUGGCUAGGAAGCUCAAAUCGUAAAGUUCCAAUCACGCUGAGUUCAAUGGUACCGGCGGUGAGCUCCAACGCGCGACAACGAUGCCAGAAUCUAGCUCGGCAGCCGUGAAUUCCACCAAUCGACCGGCGGCACAACAGUGACUCUCGGUGCCUAUGGAUGGUCGAAAAUGGAAGAGGGAGCCGUGGGGAACAAAAUCCAACCGGUGGUGUCACCAAAACCGGUGAAAAUCCCGGCGGAGCAAAGUGAAACAGUCGCGGGUUUCAUGCUUCGAUCGCCGGUGUUCCGAUUGGUUUUUGGCGAGGAGGAUGGCAAGGGAACGACAGCCGGCUUCUAAGCUUCAGAUUGGUACCAAGCUCGGCCGAAACGAUGGCCGGAAAUGGGAGAUAUGACCGGGUCAAGGUCGCGGGUUCCGGGUCGGGUUUUUUGGUCUGUAGUUGGGUCGGUUUGGUAGCUUCUCUCUCACUCUCUGUUACACGUGCAUAUGUUUCCUCUGUUUCCAGCUUAUUCUUUUGCUUUUACUAACUUCUUAACCGCCUCAUACUUAUUCAUUUUUAAUUCACAUAUGUUACAAUAAUUCCCGAGUAUUAAAUAACCAGUGGUCAUAAUUUUUGUACAAGAUUCUUUUUUUUUUUUGGAGAUCGUUAAAAGUGGUUGACGAUCCAUUUCGUAAUAUCAUAGAGGGAUCAUCAAUUCCUUUUCUUUUCUGUGGCUAGGCAACACUUUUUGGCCAAAGUAAGGAAAUCUAUUUUAGGUAAUGUAAAAACCAGUUGUAGGAUGUAAUAGUUUAUUAUGCACUGACAAUAACUUUUUGUAUAAUUGUCAGUUUAAUGAAUGCAAGAGGAACUCUGUUGGCAAAUUCAUCCAAGAUAGAUGCUAAAAUUAUUUAUGCAUGCCAGUUGCCUUAACUAAGUUUUCUCAGCACUGGUUUUGAACAGGAAAAUGAAUAUGCAAUUUGUAUAUUGUGCCAUAGUGGAGAAUUUGGAUAUUCUUAUUUAAGUAACAAGGAGAUUAUUUGCCUCAUCUUUAAACAAUGAAUCUUUGAGAGAUGAGGAGUGGGUGAUUGGAUGUGUCUUCAUGUAAUUGUUCAUUUAUUUGUAUUUUGAACUGUUAUGAAAAUCUUUAUAUGCCAAAUUAGUAAUACAAGUAUUCAGAUGAUUUUUCCUAUUGAUCAUGCAUUUGUAUCUGCCCACAACCAUUGUAUAUCACUUUAUUCUGAUGCGCAAGCAUCUGUAAUUUAGAAGAAAAGAAAUAAUAAUCAUAUUUUAUUGCUUGGUUCAUGAUUAUUAACGAUUAUGGCUUUAAAAAUCUACAAAUUUCUUGUGUUCAUGUAUGAAUGUGCCAAGUUUGCUGUAUCUUAGAUUACCUUCUUCCAAGGUAACAAGUUCAUAUAUAUAUAUUUUUUAAAUCAUUUUCCAUUACAGUUGAAUUUCAAGUGUUAGUUUUGUUAUUAGUACCUGGUUUCCUGUUAUAAGGAUCUAAUAAACAGUGUACGGAUAUGUGCUCUACUUUUGGAGGGCUUCCACGUGAAAGAAAAUUACAACAAUUGAAUUCUUCCGGAGGAUAUGGUAAUUAAUUUAUUUUCUCAACUUCUUGUAAGACUAAUAUAUUUCCUUCAGUAGGCACAGCAUGGUGGGAAGGGUUUUUAUUGAAAGAAUUCUGAUAUUUCUUAGACUUUGUUUUGGAAGGGGGUGGAGGAAUUUCUCAUCCAUAUAUGGUUACUUGAUUAGCUUUUGACUGUAUUGUCUCUGUCGUGCAAAGGAAAAUCUAAAUACUAACGAUGGGGAAUUGCUUAGGCACCCAAAAGGCAGAAAUGAAUUACAGAAGGAAGUUUUUGCUGCUUUAUUUAGUGCUGCUGAGAAAUCUGAUGAAUUUCCUGAAAUUACGGUGAAGACCGAGUGGAGGUCCAAAGCAUUAGGAAAGGUGGUGAGUGAACUGCCGGAGGAAUUUGUACCAAAAUACAAGGCUAAUGUGGUGCACUUGCAGCAAGAUAACCAGACCGGUAUGUGCUCUUAUAUUAACUAUAUUGACUGGAUUUGUGAGUGUGUGCAUUUUUUUGUGUAUACUCACUUUUGUAUUUAUGCAUAUUAACAUGUGUAGGAUUCUUGAUUUCUGCCACUUACUGGAGAACUAGUGGAAAGCUUUAUAUUGAUAUAUCUGCAAUAACUAAUGGAAACUAUGAUAUGAAUAUUUUCUCUCACCUGGGGAGCUGUGUAACAGAUAUACUUUGUGGCUCUGGAAUGCUGAAGAUUCUGCAAUAACUAAUGGAAAAUAUGAUAUGAAUAUUUUGUCUCACCUGGAGAACUUUGUUACAGAUACCCUUUGUGGCUCUGGAAUGUCUAAAGAAUGCUUUAGUUAGAUCAAAUAUCUUUUAGUUAGAAAAGAUAAAAUUCUCUGAGUCUGAAAGACUGAAACAUUUUGCAUAUUUUGUGAAAGGGAAAUAUCUGUUGAUACUAGCUCAUGCAUUGAGGUAAUAUCGAUGUUAAAGAAAAACAGCAAUGAUUUAUGAUAUAGAAUUGGGUUCACUUGCUUCAAAUGCUGGUCUGAUCAACCAUAUCAACCUGUAAUGAUUCUGCAGAAAUAUAUAUACAUGGAGAAAGUAGCUAAAUUUUUCUUUCAUUUAUGGGUUCGGUCUUUUUUCCCCUUAUUUUUCAGCUUUCCUUCUCCUGAAGUAUGUUAACAAUUGCAGAUAAUGAUGAAGACGACAGCUUCCGGGCUCUCCUUAGAGCCGUGAUGGAAUAUAGGGGCACAAUGAAGGAAUAUUGUAAAGCUGUAGGUACUUUUUCUCCUUUCAUUUAUGUUUUCUCACACAUUUUGUAUAUGCCCUGAACAUGCACCUUUGUAUGUAUCAAUUGACUUUUAAAUUUUAAAAGCCAUAAAGUAAGAAUACGGUUCCUUGUCAGGCUACUGAUGACAUUCGCUCAGGGGGAUCAUGUUCGAGCAGGAAAAUUUCUAGAACAGGUAAGGUUUCCAUCUACAGCCAUCCAUUGACAGCAGAUACAUUUUCAUUCAGCAGACUCUGUUAGCAUUCAAGAUGCUGGCAGAUUCACUUGAUUCUUAUUAGCUUGUUUAGUGGCAAAGCCUAUAACCUGUAUUUCAAAGCCAAGUUGUGCUAUUGAUUAUGUUAACUUUUUUGUUAACAUAAAAUGAUAUGGAGGAAAUAAUCAGUGUUGGAAAAUUAGGUGAAAAGAUGAUGUCAAAUCUUGAACCUCUUACGAAACUCUAAGUUCUUUACUUGAAGAGGCUACGAAAUUUGAACAGCGUCUACUCGAAGGCCUUGCCAUUCCCUGAUGCAUGCAGAAUUUUUGUAUUUAAAUGCCCAGAGCUUAAGAAGCUGCCACUGGAUCUUGAAGGGGCAGACCAAGGUAAAAAUCUUAUCAAGGGAAAGGAAGAUUGGUGGAAACAACUUAAUGGGAGGAUCAAGUAACUCAGAAUGCAUUGCUUCCAUUUUUUAAAUUGACUGACAAGUGAUUGAACGGGGCAUCAUCAACAUCAUCAACAGGGAUGGAGAGAUACCGGAGCAGAUCAGCAGGGUUUGAAUAUGACCUUUGGCGGUUGCUUUUUUUUUGUGAUUUUUUUUUCAUUUUUUCCUUCCUGUCAUUUUAUCAUUUCUUUCUCUGUUUCUAUUGCGGGUGUUACUGCAUGCUUACUGUUGCUUGACAAAGUUUGCUAGCUUUUUGUUUGCAGUGUUGCUAUACACUCCGAGUCAAGCCUCGAAAAUUUAUUAAACGAAGCCGUUUCGACAGUAACAAUUCUUUUCUUUUCCCUUUGCAUGUCUCUUUCAUCUGCUGUUUCUCUAUCACUUUUCAUUUUUGAUUUCCUUGCUUCUCAGCUGCCCCUAAAUUGUUAUUCUAGCAAUAUACUUUCUCAUCUUUGAAUUUUCAUCCUUGAGUACUCCCACAGCCGUAAUUUCAUCAUCAUAGACUUCACUUGGAAUGCUGUAUUUUUUCGAUUCUUGAGCUACUUCAAUUACAUCUUAGUAUAGGAUCCUCAUCUUCCUUUAUUUCUUCAUCUUAUGAGGUAAUAAAUGGAUUUCACAACUCAUCUACUUUUAAGCAAUUACAUAUUAUACCUUGAAUGAUUCAACUGUUCUGACAGUUAAAGAUUUUAUGCUCAACCUGCAGUGCUACGAACAUUGUCCAUGAAAGAUGAGUUUCAGCAUAUAAAAUGAAAUAUAGAUGUUUAAUCUAAAAUAACCCUUCACUGCCAGAAACCUAGGUCACAAAAUUCACAGAUAAUGAUAAAGAGCUAAAAAAUUUGAAAAACUCUACAGAUCACACAUCAAGCAAGAUAUCAUGUUUUUUUCCCUCAUUCAGUGGUGAUUGAUUCGCUUUUUGAUGAUGGAUAUGGUAUAAAAGUGUUGACCCAAUUUCAAGCAAACACAAAUAGAAACACAAACACAAUCGGGACUAGAGUUGUGGGCGAUUAUCUUAGGUGUACAAGUGAAACGGUGGUGGCUGUCGAUGGUGGUAGUGGGGUGGUUGGGUAUGCGUGAUGGCUAGAUUUUAGGACAAUAAUGAUUGGAGUUGACCUCAAUCAACGAAGGAAAGUGACAACAAUUUUGACAUCAAACGGUGCAUUUUUUAGCUUAGUAAAAUGGAGCCGUUUCGAUUUUGGGGUUUAAUCCGGGGUUUGACUCGGUGCAAGUAUCAUUUUCCUUUUGUUUAUUAAAUUUUUUUAUGGUCACAAAGUAUCACUCGUUCUAUUUGAGAGUCAUGUGAAUCAAUUUUUCAAAUUUUCAAUUUUAAAUUUUGUGGUCAAUGUGAAUUCAAUUUCAUUUGUCUCCUGCAAUUAUGAAAAAAUUAAAUAGUCAUAAUAUGGAAAAAUACACCGGUAAAAACUUUGUAAAAGCUUCGGAGUGAUACGGGGAAUUCACUUACUACUAAGGACAAUUGGUGGCAAGCUAUUCCAUUCAUUUUAUGUCCAUCCAUCUAUUUAGUUAUUGAAGAUAAGUGGUCCAUUUGUAAAUUUCAGAUUGUCUCUCUCUCCCUCUUGAAAUAACAAUAUUUAAUAUAUCUCAUAAAUUAUUAUAAAUUUUAAUUUACUCUCGAUUUAAAAUGGAGCAUGUCGAUAAAUUUUUUUUCUUCUUAAUAAAAUUGACGUAAGUUGUGUUUACAGUAGUUUGAAGUUUGAAAUAUUUUAAAGAUUAUUAUUCUAUAAGGGAGUAAUAUGAAAUGAUAUUUACUUUUCAUGUGUGAAAUGAAAAAGGACGAAGCAAGUGUCCCUGCUUUUAUUUUAUUUCAAGGAGGAGUCAUCUCACAUACUUUAGCUCUUAACAUUACAUUUUUUCUGGUUACAUUUUUUAUUUAUUUAUUUUUUUUUUUUUACACAUGCGUGUGGGUUGCUUUUCUGUAAGCUCCUUAAUAUAUAUUUAAGACAAAUCAUGGAAGAGAUGGGAUUAUAUCAAGAUGAUCAAAGAAUGUUAAAAAAGAAAAAAGAAAAAAAAAAGAAGUAAGACACUGAAAAUGGAGAAGAGAUGGAAGCAAAAGAUAUUCCAAAACAAAGCAAUCUAUCCCCUUUCGAGGGCAGACUUAUCAGGUUUAAAAAAGUACACGCUUUGGAUUGGUAGUUGCAAUCAAGGGAAAAUAAAUAGGAUCCAAUGAAAUUUAAAUCUCGGAGAAAAUAAAUAAUCAUGCAGAUUUUCAAGAUUUUAAUAAGGGAUACUAAUAUCUUAUUUUGAUUAAUAAUAUCCUUUCAUUGUGUUAACUCAAAAAAUAUAUAUUUUAAUGUUUUGCAAUAAACAGAAACGUACUAUUAAAAUGAAUAUAUAAAGAAUUUAGAAAAUUUUGAAUGUUAUAUAAAAUAAUUUUAAGAUAAUGCGUGAGAUAUAUUUUAUUAAUUUAAAAUGUUAUUUUACCUAAAAAAUAUGAUAAAUUAAUAAUUACAUAUUUGAAGUUAUUUUAAAUAUUAAAAAAAUUUAAUAUUAUUAAUCUUUUAGAUAGAUUAAAUUAUUUUUUAUAAGAGAUAGAUUAAAUUAUUUUAAAAUACGUUAAUUGUUUUUACUUUUAACGUUACCGGCCUUUCUUUUAUUUUAUUGCAAAUUAAUGCUAACAAGAAAAAGCUAGAUCAUAUUCCACAAAAGCAAAAGUGACAAACACAACCAGCUGGAAUCUUUUAAUUACUAUUCAAUAAUUCGAGACGAUUAGGGUCUUUUAUUAAACUACAAAUUGUAUAGUCUUUUUAAAAUUGUUAUAAAUUGGUGGCACCUACAAUCCUCAAUAAUUGUACCGAUAUUCACAAGUUGGUGGCCCCUACAAUUCUGUUCGGAUAAUUUAACUGUGCAAGUGCUCAUUCACAAUAAUUGUUUUGUUUUUUUUUUCUGCAUUCCCUUUCAUGCUCUUAAUAAUUGAAGAGCAUACUUUUCAUUUUCAAAUGUGGAGCCGCAGCUAAUGUCGCUAAUUUAAUUUGGGAUUAAAUUAGGGGACCAUUAUAUUGCAGUGUGCACUAAUUUUUGUGUUUAUCUAAACUCCUUAAAUUUAAGACAUAUUAUGGCAUAAAUAAGAAUAUAACAAUAGCAAAAGAGUUAAAAAGUGUAGAGAAGAUCUUGCAGAAAUAUAAAUAAUAUCUAUUUUAAAAUAAUAUCAAUAUUUAAAAUAAUUUUUAAUAUUUUAUGAUUCAUUAGAUAUAUUUUAUUAUAUUAAAGUAAAUUUUAUAAUAAAUAAAAACAUACUAUUAAAAUGAAUAUAUAGAAAAUUUAGAGUAUUUUAAGUAUUAUAUAAAAUAAUUUUAAUAAAAUAUGUGAGAUAUUCAUAUUUUAUUAAUUUAAAAUACCAUUUAACCUAAAGAUUUAUUUAUGAUAAAUUAAUAAUUAUAUUUUUGAAGUUACUUCAAAUAUUAAAAAUAUUAAUAUUACUAAUCUAUUAGAUAGAUUAAAUUAUAUAUAUUAUUUUCUAUUUAUUAAAAAAUUUAAAAUUAUUUUUAAUUACUAUUCAAAAAAUAUAAUGAUAAAAAAGAAUCUUAACAUCUUUAUUAAAAAUUUAAAAAUUUACAUGAUCAAUUCUCUAAAUAUUUAGGGUUAUAUGUGAACAACGGUGGAGAAGCUUUAUUUAAUAUUAUUGAUUUAAAUAAUAUGUCAAUUAAAAAUGUACAGAGAAGGAAAUUUCGGUGGGUAUUUUAGUCUUUUCAGCAAUUAUCAUGAUCAGAUCAGCCUUUAGCCUUGAAUCGUCGGUCAGAAAAGUUUUAAAAUUAACGCUAACAAGAAAAAGCUAGGUCAUAUUCCACAAAAGCAAAACUGACAAAACAACCAGCUGGUUUCUUUUACUAAACUACAAAUUAAAAGUGGAUUCUUUUGAAUGCAAGUGGGACAGACGAUUAGGCUCUUUUUAUUAAAGGCAAGUAAAAACUAGUCGAAUAGUCUUUUUCAAAUUGUUGUUUUAUUAUUUUUCCUUCAAAAGUUAGUGUGGCUCAUGUUUGCAGGUGCGAAUGUGGGUCCCGAAUCAUUACUAAAAUUUCUAUUCCACAGCCCACCGCAGCUUCAGUUAAUCAAACUCAAAUCAAUUUUCUUUCUUAACAAAAUAUUCCAAAGAUGUGUAGCAUUUUUCAGAUCACAUGCGAUGGUGCUCUUUUCAAUCGUUGCUUGGAUUGCUUUCUUGGAAAAGCAGCAUACAUACGUAACCUCCAAGAUAAUGUUGAUACCUUGGGCACUGAAUUGGGAAAUCUGAUCGCUAGAAAGAACGAUCUGAUGAGGAGGGUUGUCGAUGCUGAACGGCAACAAAUGAGAAGGCUGGACGGAGUGCAAGUGUGGGUUUCGAGGGUGGAUUCUGUUAAAACUGAAGCUGAUCAAUUUAUAAGAGACGGCUCUCGAGAAAUUGAAAAAUUAUGUGUUGGAGGCUACUGUUCCAAGAAUUGCAUGUCAAGCUACAAGUUCGGGAAAAAAGUGGCUAAAAAGCUACGGGAUGUGCGGACUUUAAUCAGUGAAGGAGUUUUUGAGGUGGUGGCUGACAGAGCUCCAGAGUCUGUAGCAGAUGAAAGACCUACUGAGCGAACAGUAGUAGGCUUGCAAUCACAACUUGAACAAGUCUGGAGAUGUCUUGUAGAAGAAUCAGCGGGAAUCAUUGGCCUAUAUGGUAUGGGCGGUGUUGGUAAAACUACACUACUGACCCAUAUCAACAAUAAAUUUCUCGAGAGUCCAACCAACUUUGAUUGUGCGAUUUGGGUUGUAGUUUCAAAAGACCUGCGACUCGAAAAAAUUCAAGAAGAUAUUGGGAAAAAGAUAGGUUUGGUUGGUGAUUCAUGGAAGAGUAAAAGUGUAGAGGAGAAAGCUGUCGACAUCUUCCGGAGUUUAAGAGAGAAGAGAUUUGUAUUGUUGUUAGAUGAUAUAUGGGAGCGGGUUGAUUUAACAAAGGUGGGCAUUCCACUUCCCGGACCAAAAAAUACUACCUCAAAAGUCGUAUUCACAACCCGUUUCAUCGAUGUUUGUGGUAGCAUGGAAGUUGACAGGAAGUUUCAAGUAGCAUGCUUAUCAGAAAAGGAUGCUUGGGAACUGUUUCGAGAAAAAGUUGGGGAGGAAACUCUUCAGAGUCAUCAUGAUAUCGAUGAGCUAGCCCAAAUUGUGGUCAAAGAGUGUGGUGGUUUGCCACUCGCACUUAUUACUAUUGGUCGAGCUAUGGCCUACAGAAAGAAAGCGGAGCAGUGGAGACGUGCAAUUGAAGAGUUAAGGAGAUCAGCUUCAGAGUUUGCAGGUUUGGGAAAAGAGGUUUAUCCUCUUUUAAAAUUCAGCUAUGAUAGUUUGCAGAAUGAUACGGUUAGAUCUUGUUUCUUGUACUGUUGUUUAUAUCCUGAAGAUUAUGGCAUUCUUAAAUGGGACUUGAUUGAUUGUUGGUUUGGCGAGGGAUUUUUUGGGGAAUCUGACAGGUCUGGUGCAGAAAACCAAGGAUAUGACAUUUUGGACACUCUUGUUCGUGCGUGUUUAUUAGAAGAGGUGGAAGAUGAUGAAGUAAAAAUGCAUGACGUUAUUCGUGAUAUGGCUAUAUGGAUAACUUGUGAAAUUGAGAAGGAGAAGAGAAACUUUUUGGUUCGUGCAGGUGCUGGAUUAAAAGAUGCACCGGGUGUUAAAGGAUGGGAAAAUGUGAGAAGAUUGUCAUUGAUGCAAAACCAAAUUGAAACUCUGGCAGAGGUUCCCACAUGCCCUCAUCUCCAUACUCUAUUUCUUGACUUUAAUAGGGGGUUGGAUAUGAUCGCGGAUGGCUUCUUUCAAUUUAUGCCUUCUCUCAAAGUUUUGAAGAUGUCAAACUGUUCGAAUUUGAAAUUACCUGUUGGGAUGUCAGAGUUGGGUUCAUCACUAGAACUUCUUGAUAUUUCAGAAAACAGCACAAGAGAGUUACCGGAAGAGUUAAAGAAGUUGGUAAAUCUGAAAUGUUUGAAUUUGAGGUGGACAGAGCAUUUAAAUAAAAUUCCACGGCAACUAAUAUCAAAUUCUUCAAGGUUACGUGUGUUGAGAAUGUUCGCUACUGGCCGGUUCAAUUUUCAUGAAGCACCAGAAGACAGCGUUUUAUUUGGUGGGGGUGAAGUUUUGAUACAGGAAUUGCUCGGUUUGAAAUAUUUAGAGGUAUUGGAGUUGACCUUGGGAAGUUAUCAUGCUCUCCAAAUUCUUUUGAGCUCAAAUAAGUUAAAAAGUUGUAUUCGAUCUCUUUACCUCGAGUUGACCGGAGAUACAACGUCAAUUAUUGAUGCUACGGCUUUCGCAGAUCUAAACCACCUCAAUGAAUUACGGAUUGAUAAUGGUAUUGAGUUGGAAGAGUUGAAGAUUGAUUAUACGGAGAUAGUACGAAAAAGGCGGGAACCUUUUGUUUUCCGCAGCCUUCAACGUGUUACCAUAGCGGAGUGCCAUAAAUUGAAAGAUGUGACAUUCCUCGUUUUUGCUCCAAACCUCAAGUCUCUUCGGCUAUUCUAUUGCGGUGCUAUGGAAGAAAUAAUCAGCGUCGGAAAAUUUGCUGAGACUCCUGAGAUGAUGGGACAUAUAAGCCCUUUUGAAAAUCUCCAAAUGCUUGAUUUACAAGGUUUGCCACAUUUGAAGAGCAUCUUCUGGAAGCCAUUGCCUUUCACUCAUCUGAAAGAAAUGGAGGUACUUAGGUGCGAUCGGCUUGAAAAGCUUCCACUCGAUUCCAACAGUGCAAAGGAGCGCAAAUUUGUUAUUCGUGGAGAAGAAGACUGGUGGAACCGACUUCAAUGGGAGGAUGAAGCCACUCAAAUUGCUUUUCGUUCCUGUUUUAAAAGUGAUGCUUUAUUUAUAUCUUAUUCGUGAAAAGUGAUUUAAUUUCCUGCCAAAAGACGAACGAGAAGAACAAUAGAGUCAAACUAAUGCUCACAUAAAUUUCCCGUAAGAAUAUAUAAUUAGAUUGGAAUGCACACCUCUAGAUUGAACAGAAUUAAAGCUGAGAAAAUAUUGAGUAUAGUAGCCCUCUUUACAGAAAAUGACGUGAAAGUUAAUUUAGAAAGAUAUAUUCUUGAUUAAUCCAUUUUCUGAAGUUUUUAUUUUGUAUGGUCAAUUAUACCUUCAUACUAAAAAUUUCUGAAGUUAUAAAUUAGUGCAACUUGACAAUUUUUACUGAUGAUAUCUUCUAUUUUUCCCUUUUUUUUUUUUUCACUUUCAUAGACUGGCAGCGGAUCCUGCGGCACCAAUUUGAGAGAAUAUACUGACACUACUUCGAACAGCAAGCAGAAGAAGUAAUAUGUCUACGGCAAAGGCAAUGGAGUCCUCAUUUUGGCUCGAGAUGCAGUAAUCAUCGAAGAGAGUUUCCUUGUGAAACUGGGCAACACAUUGAAUCCCUUCACCACUGAGAAGGUUGUGGAGGAAGUAAGCUUUCUCUCCAGUGAGGAAGAGGUGGCAUAUACCUUCCCCAUUUUGUUGAGGGCAGGUAGGAAUCUUUUUUCUAAGAGAUUUACUUCGUUCUCUGUAAGAAAUGCUUUGAACUUCAUCCCUCUGUCUCUAUCCUCACUUAUCAGGAAAUAAGUUGAAAGCACUAUGAAGAGAGAGAGAGAGAGAGAGAGAGAGAGAGAGAGAGAGAAUUAAGAUAUAUAGACAAGAAAAAUAUUUGACGUUGAUCUUACAAACUAAUACUUCAAGCAGUAUCCUAGAAAGCUAAAAACUGCAAGAUGGCUUGAAAUUUGAAAAGAGCACAUGCUUUUCCUCCUUAACUUGAGAAAAUGUUUAAUAUAGUGCACCUUACAGAAGCAUUUAAGCAAUUAGAACUUUGCACAAAAACAUCAAGAAGACUAAACAAGUCAGAUGCAGUGUAUUUGUCCAAGCACAAAUUGCAUUUUUUCCUCAACUUUAAUAUUUAUUGAUGAGAAUCAAUACAGGUCCCUCAUUUGUUAUAGAAAGCUUUCUUUCUUGUAGUCUCACCAGUUAAUUCAGAGGUCUAUAAUCAUCUUGCAAAGUUAAGGGCAUUUCUUUUGAUCUAAAGUCUUUGCAUCACCACCUCAUCACACGCCAAGCCAAUAUUCCAUUUACCUCUACAACAAAAAGUUUUAAUUAAACAAUCCUAAUGCACGCAGCCAAAUAAAAUGCAGUAAGAAUAUUCAACUUAAAAAUCUGAAAGCCAACUUGGUGAAUUGCCUCCUUAGGUGAAGUUCCAUGCUUUACUAUAGUUGACAGAACUCAGCAAAAGCUUCCAUACAACAGAUUUUGAAAAUGAUGAUGCCAACAGAUACUCAUUCAAUGCAUUGAAACUCCAAAGGUUCAUUGUUCAUAGAAGUUUACAGAGUUUUGGUCAUCAAAUAGCUCAGACCUAAUCCCAAACAAAAAAUGAGUGAAAAUUAGAUCACGAGCAGCUAAUUGUAAAUUCUAACUUAACUCUUCAUCUCCUUUGUAAACAAGAAACAAAAUGGAGACACGCAAAAUGAAUAUGGAGAAAAUUUGAACUCAAAUGAAAUGAGGGCAUGAAAGCAAACAAAUGGCAUGCACCAAAAAACCAAGCCUCAAUCAAAAACUAAUUAACCAUUAAGAAAAAAAUUGGUCAGAGAAUGAACUCCAAAUUCAGGAGUCAAGCAAGAAGCUUUCAUUAUUAUCAAAGUCAAUUAUCUUUGUUAGUAUGCGAGUGUGACGACUAUAGGUUGUUCUUUUUCUAAUGUCAUAUGAUUCCAAUUUUAGGUACAGGGCAUCUCUCUCUCUCUCUCUCAUCGCUAAGUGGAUAUUUUUCUCUUUUGUCAUAUACUUUAGUUAUUCUUCAAUUUACUAACUAAAAUGAAGGCCGCUUUAUUAAGAAGUUAUAUCCAGUUAUAUAAUUUGUUGUAUUUAAUAUAUGUUUGGGCUCAUAAUUUUUUUUAAAAAUAUAUAUUUCAUUCUCCAUAAUUUUUUCCCAUCAUAGCUACGAAACGUCUUAGUUUCGACUAAAAUCCUAAAAUUGGUCCUUAAUUGAAUAUGCAUUGCAAUUUGCAAAUGUAAUAUUGUGAAUGGGACACUGGAGAUACCAAAAUGGUCAAAUGCGAAAUAAGUUAGGAUUGUACGAUGUAGUUUGUAUUCAUAUUCAAUGCCUUUUUUUUCAAAAAACAAAUUGAAAUGCCAUUACUAAACGAUUCUUGAUGAUGGGAGCCACCGUGCCAGCUUUGUCGCUGAUUUGGUAUUAUUCUUAACUUGCAGAUAGUUGUGGAUAUGAUAUGCAAAAAGGUAAGGACUAUAUCUUCUUGAUGGAGGCCUCUGAUUUUUUCCCUUCUAUGUAAUUUAGUAAAUCGCAUUUUCCCUUGUGAUUGAUAUAUCAUACCAAAGUCAAGUCUUAAAUACUGCUGUCAUAUGUUAAGGUUCAACUUCCAUUUUGAUUAACGUCCAUUUGCUGCUGCUUCCAAAAGUGAGAAUGAGAUACUUUGGUUAAUUUCAGUAGUUGAACCCAAUAGAGUACUUUAUUUAGAUCUUCAUGGUUCAAAGGCCUGAAAAAACUUGCCGGUAUUUGCAAAAUGACAUUCUGUGCUUUUAUUUAGGCUUAUUAUUUAAGUGAUAAAAACUCCCGUAACCUGCUGUCAAGAAAAUUUCAGAUUGUUAAAAGACAACAUUUUGUUUCAGCCAAAAAUGUUUGUUUCGAUUAAAGACUUGAACCAUUUUCAUUUAACCUUGAUUGUGAUGCUUUACAUUAUGCAUGUUCCUCUCAAUCAAUAAAAGUUGAGGUCAUGAUUUUAUAUUUCUAUUUUGUAACUUGAAAUAAUUGGUCUGCCUGUUUCUGUAGCUUGAUAACAUGAAUUUUUCCUUCUGAAGUUAAUUUGAUCAAUAAAGUAAUUCUUCGGAGAUGAUAUGCCCAUUCUAUAGUCAUUUUCUUAGGUAACAUGUUUUUUCUUCACUCUUCAGAGCAUGUCUAAACUAAUUGAUCGCUCAGCGGAGACUUUGGGUGAGAAGACAAAAUUUCUUGGUAAAUCCUCUAAAAAGGUAUGCAUAAUUCCCGAGUAUUAAAUAAUCAUUGGUCAUAAUUUUUGUACACAACUCUUUUUUUGGAGAUCGUUAAAAGUGGUUGAUGAUCUAUUUUGUAAUAUCAUAGAGGGAUCAUGAAUUCCUGUUCUUUUCUGUGGCUAGGCAACACUUUCGGGCCAAGCUAAGGAAAUCUAUUUUAGGUAAUGUGAAAACCAGUUGUAGGAUGUAAUAGUUUAUUAUGCCCUGACAAUAACUUUUUGUAUAAUUGUCAGUUUAAUGAAUACAAGAGGAACUCUGUUGGCAAAUUCAUCCAUGAUAGAUGCUAAAAGUAUUUAUGCAUACCAGUUGCCUUAACUAAUUUUUCUCAACACUGGUAUUGAACAGGAAAAUGAAUAUGCAAUUUGUAUAUUGUGCCAUUGUGGAGAAUUUGGAUAUUCUUAUUUAAGUAACAAGGAGAGUAUUUGCCUCAUCUUUAAACAAUGAAUCUUUGAGAAAUGAGGAGUGGGUGAUUGGCAGUGUCUUCAUGUAAAUGUUCAUUUAUUUGUAUUUUGAACUAUUAUGAGAAUCUUUGUAUGCCAAAUUAGUAAUACAAAUGUUCAGAUGAUUUUUCCUGUUGAUCAUGCGUGUGUAUCUGCACACAACCAUUGUGUCCCACUUUAUUCUGAUGCACAAAUAUCUGUAGUUUAGAAGAAAAGAAAUAAUAAUCAUAUAUUAUUGCUUGGUUCAUGAUUAUUAAACGAUUAUGGCUUUAGAAAAUCCACAAAUCCUUUGUGUUCAUAUAUGAAUGUGCGAAGUUUGCUAUCUCUUAGAUUACCUUCUUCCAAGAUAACAAGUUCAUAUAUUUUUUUUAAUCCUUUUUCAUCACAGUUGAAUUUCAAGUGUAAGUUUUGUUAUUAAUAGCUGGUUUCCUGUUAUUAUGAUUUCAUAAACAGUGAGAGGAUAUGUGCUCUACUUUUGGAGGGCCUCCACAUGAAAGAAAAUUGCAACAAUUGAAUUCUUCCGGAGGGUAUGGUAUUUAAUUUAUUUUCUCAGCUUGUUGUAAGACUAAUAUAUUUCCUUCAGUACCCAAAAGGACAGAAAUGAAUUACGGAAGGAAGUUUUUGCUGCUUUAUUUAGUGCUGCUGAGAAAUCUGAUGGAUUUCCUGAAAUUACGGUGAAGACGGAGUGGAGGUCCAACGCAUUAGGAAAGGUGGUGAGUGAACCGCCGGAGGAAUUAGUACCAGAAUACAAGGCUAAUGUGGUGCACUUGCAGCAAGAUGACCAGACCUGUAUGUGCUCUUAUAUUAACUAUAUUGGUUGGAUUUGUGAGUGUGUACAUUUUUGUGUGUAUACUCACAUUUGUAUUUAUGCAUAUUAACGUGUGUAGGAUUCUUGAUUUCUGCCACUUACUGGAGAACUAGUGGAAAGCUUUAUACUGAUAUAUGUGCUAUAACUAAUGGAAACUACAAUAUGAAUAUUUUCUCUCACCUGGAGAACUGUGUAACAGAUAUAAUUUGUGGCUCUGGAAUACUGAAGAUUCUGCAAUAACUAAUGGAAAAUAUGAUAUGAAUAUUUUUUCUCACCUGGAGAACUUUGUAACAGAUACAUUUUGUGGCUCUGGAAUGUCUAAAGAAUGCUUCAGUUUAGAUCAAAUAUCUUUUAGUUAGAAAAGAUAAAAUUCUCUGAAUCUGAAAGACUGAAACAUUUUGCAUAUUUUGUGAAAGGGAAGUAUCUGUAGAUACUAGCUCAUGCAUUGAGGUAAUAUCAAUGUUAAAGAAAAACAGCAAUAAUUUAUUAUACAGAAUUAGGUUCACUUGCUUUAAAUGCUGGUCUGAUCAACCAUAACAACCUGUAAUGGUCCUGCAGAAAUAUAUAUACGGGGAGAAACUAGCUAAAUUUUCCUUUCACUUAUGGGUUUGGUCUUUUUUUCCCCUAUUUUUCAGCUUUCCUUCUCCUGAAGUAUGUUAACAAUUGCAGAUAAUGACGAAGAGGACCGCUUCCAGGCUCUUUGUAGAGCUGUGAUGGAAUAUAGGGGCACAAUGAAAGAAUAUUGUAAGGUUGUAUGUACUUUCUCUCUUGUCAUUUAUGUUUUCUCACACAUUUUGUUUAUGCCCUGAACAUGCAGCUUUGUAUGUGUCAAUUGCCUUUUACGUUUUAAAAGCCAUAAAGUAAGAAUACAGUUCCUUGUCAGGCUAUUGAUGCGUUCGCUCAGAAGGGUCAUGUUCAAGCAGGAAAACUUCUAGAACAGGUAAGGUUUCCAUCUACAGCCAUCCAUUGACAGCAGAUAUAUUUUCAUUAAGCAGACACUGUUAGCAUUCAAGAUGCUGGCAGAUUCACUUGAUUCUUAUUAGUUUGUUUAGUGGCAAGGCAUAUAACCUGUAUUUCAAAGCCAAGUUGUGCUAUUGAUUAUGUUAACUUUAUUGUUAACAUAAAGUGAUAUGGAGGACAUAAUCAAUGUAGGAAAAUUAGGUGAAGAGAUGAUGUCAAAUCUUGAACCUCUUACAAAGCUCCAAGUUCUUUACUUGAAGAAGCUGCCAAAUUUGAAGAGCGUCUACUGGAAGGCAUUUCCAUUCCCAGAUGUAUGCAGAAUUUUUGUAUUAAUGCCCAGUUCUUAAGAACCUGCCACUGGAUUUUCAAGGGGUGGGCCAAGGUAAAAUUCUUAUCAAGGGAAAGGAAGAUUGGUGGAAAGAACUUCAAUGGGAGGAUCAAGCAACUCAGAAUGCAUUGCUUCCAUUUUUCAAAUCAACUGACAAGUGAUUGAAGGGGGCAUCAUCAACAUCAUCAACAGAGAUGGAGAGAUUCUGGAGCAGAUCAGCAGGGUUUGUAUAUGAUCUUUGGUGGUUGCUUUCUUUUGUGAUUUUUUUUUUCUUCCUGUCAUUUUAUCAUUUCUUUGUCUCUUUUUUUAUUGCUGAUGUUAGUGUAUGCUUACUGUUGCUUGACAAAGUUCGCUUGCUUCUUGUUUAUUAAAUUUUUUAUCGUCACAAAAUAUUACUUGUUCUAUUUGAGAGUGAUGUGAAUCAAUUUUCAAUUAUAUAUUUUGUGGUCAAUGUGAAUUCAAUUUCAUUUGUCUCCUGCAAUUAUGAGAAAACUGCAGAGUCAUAAUAUGGAAAAGUACACCAGCAAAAACUUUGUAAAAGCUUCGGAGUGAAACAGGGAAUUCACUUACUACUAAGAACAAUUGAUGGCGAGUUAUUCCAUUCAUUUUAUGUCCAUCUAUCUAUUUAAUUAUUAAAGAUAAAUGGUCCAUUUAUAAAUUUCAGAUUGUCUCUCUCUGAAAAUAACAAUAUUUAAAAUAUCUCUUAAAUUAUUAUAAAUUUUAAUACACUCUCGAUUUAAAAUGGAACAUGCUGAUGAAAUUGUUUUCUUCUUAAUAAAAUUGAAAUAAAUUGUGUUUGCAGUAGUUUGAAAUAUUUUAAAGAUUAUUAUUUUAUAAGGGAGUAAUAUGAAAUGAAAUUUACUUUUCAUGCGUGAAAUGUUGAAAAAGGACAAAGCAAGUGUCCCUGCUUUUAUUUUUAUUUUAAAGUGGAGUCAUCUCACAUACUUUAGCUCUAUCAUUACAAUUUUUCAGGUUACAUUUUUAUUAUUUAUUUAUUUUCUUUUUUACACAUGCAUGUGGGUUACUUUUCCGUAAGCUCCUCAAUAUAUAUUGAACCCAGCGAAGAAUGUUAUGGAAGAGCAAAUUAAUGAUAUUUCUGAUAGAGUCUAUUUGAUUAUGUAGCCUGAAUGGAUGUCUUGUUGAAAGAUAUCUCAGUGCAUUAGUUCAUCCUUGUCUGUCAAUGUGUUUUUAAUGGUUUUUCCAAUUGUUUAUUAUUAUAGAUUGAUUGUAAAUUGAUAUGAAAAUUUGAUAUGAAUUUAAUGUUGAAAUGUUUUCUCUUUAGUGGAAUGAAUUUAAAAGUGCAAAAGAUUAUUGCACACAGAGAAAUAAACAUAUAUGCUUUAUAACUUUAGCAAUCGAUUCUUUUACAGCUGGAAACAGAGAUGAUGAUUAUCAUAAGGAUGAAGAAAAGUAGUGCGUUAGACGAUUAGACUCUCUUAUUAAAGGCAAGUAUAAAGUAGUGAAGAAUCCAAUAUCUCUAUUGUCUAGUCUUUUGUUUAAUUCUUCUUUUAUUAUUUUUCAGAAUAAUUUUUGGUGAUUACAAUCGGGUUAUUAUUCAGAGUUAUUGUUAUCUUCUGGGGCAGUUUCUGUUCAUCGAAUUCAUUAAUUAAAAUUUUAGAACUCUUAUCAGAAGAAUAUUUUUCGGUUAUCUUUUUUAUGUUCUAAUUCCAAUUGUAAGAAGUAGCCAUUUUAGAAUUUGGGUCUUGAAUCGAAUUUCAAUGCAUGAAUUAAUAUUAAAAAAAAAAAAUUCACUACUCGCAGUUUAGGUUACAAAUUACUUUUUGGAAAGUUGACUUUGGAAUGUUUGCAAAGAAAGAGACUAACAUAUUUCCAAUUACACUAAAUCUCUAUUAUGAUAAUGUUAAGACUAAAUUAAUUUAAAUAAUUUUUAUUUGAAAAUUAUAUCAAACGCAGUCUAAUUUUAUUAAUUUUAAGAAAUAAUAAUUAUAAAAAUUAUUGUUCUGACUUAAUUAAUACAAGUGAUAUAAAAGUUAAGUGUGCACUAAAUCUGUUUUAAUUUUUUCCAGUAUAACUAACAGAGGUCAUUACUAGAAUUAUAUUACUAGUCUAUUAGAUAGAAAAAAUUACUUAUAUUGUUUUAUAUUUAUUAAAAAAUUUAAAGCCAAUUUUUUUAAUUACUAUUUAAAGAAUAUUAUAAUUUGAAAAAUUUUAAUAUCUUUAUUAAAAAUUUAGAAAUUUACAGUCCUCUAAAUAUUUAAGGCGUAACUGUCAUUUUCUCAAGAAGCUUUAUUUAAUAUUAUUGAUUUAAAUAAUAUCUUAUUAAAAAUGUACUGAGGAGAAAUUUUGGUGGGUAUUUUAGUCUUUUCAGCAAUCAUCAUGAUUAACCUUUGGUUGGCCUUGAAACGUCGGUCAGAAAAGUUUUAAAAUGCUUAAUUGUUUUUCACUGUUAACGUUAGUGGCCUUGAAAUUGCUUAUAUUUUAUUAAAAAUUAAUGCUAACAAGAAAAAACUAGAUCGUAUUCCACCCCCAAAGCAAAAGUGAUAAAACAACCGGCUGUAUUCUUUUAUUAAACUACAAAUUAAAAUGGAUUUCUUUAAUUAAAGUGGAUAUCAUUUAAUUAAUGUUUGAACAUUAAAGUUCUGAUAUAUAACCACUAUGCCGACCACCUAAUUGCUGCUAUUUAAUUUCGUUCCAGUUCUCUCUCUCUCUCUUUUUCUUUUUUUUUUGGGCCAAGCAAUAAAUAGUAAAAAUUCAAUAAAAGCAAUAUUAAUGCUGCAAGUGAGUCAUGUUAUUUAUUGUCAAUUAGGAAAUGUGAACCUAAUUUGAUUGCAUCCCUUUAAUCAUUUAAUAAUUAUGUAAGCACCAUCCCUUUAAUUAUUUAAUAACUAGAAAAUAGAACACUGCGUUUCACGCGGCUUUGAAAAAAGAAUUUAGUAUUAUCUUUUUUUCUUACUUUACACUUGAUGAAACUGAUAAAAAAUAUGAAUUGAUUUUUUUUAAAGAUGAGGCAGCCUUAUAAAAAAUAAAAAAAGCUAUUAGCCAGCAAUACAAAUAAAGAAGGAAUGCAAGAUAAAGAAUAAAAUGAGAGAAUAUAUUAUAGAGUGAUCUUAUUCAUUCUAAUUGUGUGUGUACAAAACAAAAAGAUGAGCUCUCCUUUUAUAACUACAUAAUUACUUCAUGAAAUUAAUGAAAAAUUAUGAAUCAUAAUUUCUUGUGAGAUAGUGGGAGUUAUUGGGAAGCUAAAAGUUGCUAAUGGGAGAUAGUGGGGAGACUAAGAGAUAUAUAUUAUGAACAUCUACAUUUAUUUUAAUAAAUUCAUAACACUCCCCCUUAAAUGUUCAUUACAAAGAAUAUGCCUCAUUAAAAUCUUUACAUAAUUGUUAUUGUGUAAUAACAAUCAAAUUAAUUAUAAGAAGAUGAAAAGCCAAAUCUAACAGAAAAUUUCUCUAUUUAUUAGAUAAUAGAGAAUAUAGCAAGAUGAGAAAUGGUAAUGCCACAUCAUCUCCUCACGUCCCAACUUUAUAUAUAUAUAUAUAGAUAAUAUAUAUUAUUCCUGUCCUACAUUCACAUAUUUAAUUGUCCUUUUGAAAAUAUUCAUGAGUUAGGCCAAGUAAAGUCAAAGAAAUUGGGAAAAAGGAACAAAAGGACAAACCUAAAUUAAUUGAACCUAAUUCAUGAAAAUGCACACUUUUGUGUUGCGGACGGCGGACCCUAAAGCUUCGUUGUUUGCAGCUGCAAUUAAUUCUUUUCCUUCAAAAGUUAGAGGCUCGUGUUUACAGUGGGUCCCGAAUCGGACGUACCUAAUAAAUCUUUUAAAAAAAUUUGCCGUAUAAAGGACAGAGGUCAUUACUGAAAUUUCUCUUCCACGGGCAAUUACAGCAGCUUCAGUUAAUCAAACUCAAAUCAAUUUUCUUUCUUAACAAAAUAUUCCAAAGAUGUGUAGCAUUUUUCAGAUCACAUGCGAUGGUGCUUUUUUCAAUCGUUGCUUGGAUUGCUUUCUUGGAAAAGCAGCAUACAUACGUAACCUCCAAGAUAAUCUUGUAGCCUUGGACACUGAAUUGGGAAAUCUGAUCGCUAAAAAGAACGAUGUGAUGAGGAGGGUUGUCGAUGCUGAACGGCAACAAAUGAGAAGGCUGGACGGAGUGCAAGUGUGGGUUUCGAGGCUCGAUGCUGUUAAAACUGAAGCCGAUGAACUUAUCACAGACGGCUCUCGAGAAAUUGAAAAAUUAUGUGUUGGAGGCUACUGUUCCAAGAACUGCAGGUCAAGCUACAAAUUCGGAAAACAAGUGGCAAGAAAGCUACGAGAUGUGGAGACUUUAAUCGCCGAGGGAGUUUUUGAGUCGGUGGCUGAGAGAGCUCCGGAACCUGUGGCAGAUAAAAGACCCACUGAGCCAACAAUAGUAGGCUUGCAAUCACAGCUUGAACAAGUUUGGAGAUGUCUUCUUGUAGAAGAAUCAGCGGGAAUCAUUGGCCUAUAUGGUAUGGGCGGUGUUGGUAAAACCACACUGUUGACCCAUAUCAACAAUAAAUUUCUUGAGAGUCCCACCAACUUUGAUUGUGUGAUUUGGGUCGUAGUUUCAAAAGACCUGCGACUUGAAAAAAUUCAAGAAGAUAUUGGGAAGAAGAUAGGUCUGUUUGAUGGUUCGUGGAAGAAUAAAAGUGUUGAGGAGAAAGCCGUAGACAUCUUGCGGAGAUUAGGAGAGAAGAGGUUUGUAUUGUUGUUAGAUGAUUUAUGGGAGCGGGUUGAUUUAACAGAAGUGGGCGUUCCACUUCCCAGCCCACAAAAAUACUACAUCAAAGUCGUAUUCACGACCCGUUUCAUUGAUGUGUGUGGUAGCAUGGAAAGUCACAGGAAGUUUAAAGUGGCAUGCUUAUCAGAAGAGGAUGCUUGGGAGCUGUUUCGAGGAAAAGUAAGGCAAGAAACUCUUGAGAGUCAUCAUGAUAUCGUUGAGCUAGCCCAAACUGUGGCCAGAGAGUGUGGCGGUUUGCCACUCGCGCUUAAAACUAUAGGUCGAUCUAUGGCCUACAGAAAGACAGCUAAGGAGUGGAGACAUGCAAUUGAAAUGUUAAGGAGAUCAGCUUCAGAGUUUGCAGGUUUGGGAGAAAAGGUGUAUCGUCUUUUAAAGUUUAGCUAUGAUAGUUUGCAGAAUGAUACGAUUAGAUCUUGUUUCUUAUAUUGUUGUUUGUAUCCUGAAGAUUAUGGCAUUCUUAAAUGGGAUUUGAUUGAUUGUUGGAUUGGUGAGGGAUUCUUAGAGGAAUCUGACAGGUUUAGUGCAGAAAACCAAGGAUACUACAUUGUGGGCACUCUUGUUCAUGCAUGUUUAUUAGAAGAGGUGGAAGAUGAUAAAGUAAAAAUGCAUGACGUUGUUCGUGAUAUGGCUAUAUGGAUAACCGGUGAAAUUGAGAAGGAGAAGCGAAACUUUUUGGUUUGUGCAGGUGCUGGAUUAAAAGAGGCACCGGAUGUUGAAGUAUGGGAAAAUGUGAGAAGAUUGUCAUUGAUGCAAAACCAAAUUGAAACUCUGUCAGAGGUUCCCACAUGCCCUCAUCUUCUCACUUUAUUUCUUGACUUUAAUAGGGAGUUGAAGACUAUUGCGGAUGGCUUCUUCCGAUGUAUGCCUUCUCUCAAAGUUUUGAAGAUGUCAAACUCUGGAAAGCCUUGGAAAGGUUUGGAAUUAAAUUUGGGGAUGCCAAAGUUGGGUUCACUACAGCUUCUUGAUAUUUCACACACCUGCAUACAAGAUUUACCGCAAGAAUUAAAGUUGUUGGUAAAUCUGAAAUGUUUGAAUUUGAGGCGGACAAUUUGGUUAAAUAAAAUUUCAUGGCAACUAAUAUCAAAUUUUUCAAGGUUACGUGUGUUGAGAAUGUUCGCUACUGGCUGGUUCAAUUUUCAUGAAGCACCAGAAGACAGCGUUUUAUUUGGUGGGGGUGAAGUUUUGAUACAGGAAUUGCUCGGUUUGAAAUAUUUAGAGGUAUUGGAGUUGACCUUGGGAAGUUAUCAUGCUCUCCAAAUUCUUUUCAGCUCAAAUAAGCUAAAAAGUUGUAUUCGAUCUCUUUACCUCCAGUUGACCGGAGAUACAGCGUUAAUUAUUGAUGCUACGGCUUUCGCAGAUCUAAAACACCUCAAUGAAUUACGCAUUGAGUCGGCUACAAAGCUGAAAGAAUUGACGGCUGAUUAUACAGAGAUAGUUCGAAAAAGGCGGGAACCUUUUGUUUUCCGCAGCCUUCACCAUGUUACUAUACAAAGCUGCCAGAAGUUGAAAGAUUCGACAUUCCUCGUUUUUGCUCCAAACCUCAAGUCUCUUUCGAUAGUCAAAUGCAAUGCUAUGGAAGAAAUAAUCAGCGUCGGAAAAUUUGCUGAGACUCCUGAGAUGAUGGGACAUAUAAGUCCUUUUGAAAAUCUCCAAAUGAUUGAUUUACUAGGUUUGCCACAUUUGAAGAGCAUCUUCUGGAAGCCAUUGCCUUUCACUCAUCUGAAAGAAAUAUCUGUGCGUUAUUGCCCUAAUCUUAAAAAGCUUCCACUCGAUUCCAACAGUGCAAAGGAGCGUAAAUUUGUUAUUCGUGGAGAAGAAGACUGGUGGAACCCACUUCAAUGGGAGGAUGAAGCCACUCAAAUUGCUUUUCGUUCCUGUUUCCAACCCUUGUUCCUGAACAGUGGUCGCAAAAUUUGAUUUCUGGUGAGUGCGUUUGUCUUUUAAAAAGAAUAAUUUAAAAGAAAUUUAUUCUUGUCGGUUUCUUCACUGUUUUUAUUUCAGUUUCUCUCUCUCUCUCUCUCUCUCUCUCUUUUUGUCUUCUGCAAAUCACAAUUACAUUUUUAUUCUUGUCGUUUUCUUCACUGUUUUUAUUUCAGUUUCUCUCUCUCUCUCUCUCUCUCUUUUUGUCUUCUGCAAAUCACAAUCAAAUGUUGAAUUAAUGGAAUUAAUGCUUCAUAAAUUUGCCGGCACUGCCAUUACUUUUUUUUGGGGGAUCGAAUUGAUACUUUAUUUAUAUCUUCUUAGCGAUUUAAUUUCCUGUCAAAAGACGAACGAGAAGAACAUAUGACUUAAACCAAUGCUCGCAUAAACUUGCUGUAAAAAGAUAUAAUCUCACUGAAAUGCACACGCCUAGAAUGAAUAGAAUUAAAACAGGGAAAAUAUUAAGUAUAUUAGCCCUCUUUACUGAAAAUCAAAUGACAGUAAAUUUUUUGAAGUUUUGAUUUUCUAUGGUCAAUUCCACCUUUUGCAAUUUCUUCUGUUCUAACAAAAACCAAUUUCUUUGUUCAAGUAUUUUCGUUUGGAUAUUAAUAAUUCUCCACCGAAAGAGUGAACUCUUGCUCAAAGGGAUCUCUAAUAAUACAUAACAUGAUUAUUUUCGUUUGAAUAAUUGAUUUCUUGAUUGAAUUGUCGUGUAAUUGAUUUAUGGGGGAUGACACAUCAACAUACUUGAAAAUACACUAAUCUCAGCAUCAUCGGUUAAUAACUUUUAGAUUUAUGGGUAAUCAAUAGUUAAGAUUAGUUGUCAUUAAUACUAAAUAAUUUUUACUUUUUUUGUCUCUUCUAGAGGAUCUUCUAGAAAAAUGCAUCCACAAUUAAAUUUAAUACUUUACAUAAUAAACAAAGCCUAAAUGUUAAAUUUAAGAAACUGCAUUGUAUUUCAGUUGAAGUUGACUUUAAUAUUUAGGGUAGAAAAACAAUUAAUUUUAUUUUUUGAAAUGUCCAUAUUCAGAGCACAUUUCAAAAAGACUCAAUAAUUUCUCAUAAAUUUCAAUUAAAAAUAUUCAAUUUGUUGUUUCAGUUCUUUUAUUUUUUAUUUUUUCCGACAUGAAAGCGACUUAAUGUUACUAAAUUGGGUGGUCUUUGGAUUUUCAUGACCCAAUAAUUGGAACAAAACAAUUUUCUCAAGCGCUCUCCCGCAACAUUUUAUAAUUGAAGCCGCUGCCCCGCCCGUGGUUUCAAACUUUUUUCUUUCUCCUUGUUUAAAUUAAUGGGAGCAGCCUCCGUCCUUGACUAGUUGACUGCUUGUCUUCUUUUUUUUAUUAAUUAAUUAAUUCAGCCGCCCCCCUUUCUUGUCCCAAUAUCUUCUACUUUCGGUUUCCUUUUAUUAUCUCUUUAUUUUUAAAAAAUGCUUAUAAUAAUAAUAAAAUAUAAAAUAUAAAAAUAAAAAUAUAAUUUAUCAGAAAAUUAAGAUAAAGAAAUAUUAUAAGCACAUCAAUCAACAAGUGAAAAAAAAACAAUUUUAAUUUACAUUAAAUAUAAACUUUCAGUGUUAAUCAACUUUUCUAAAUAACUAAAUUAAAAAAUUAAUUGAUUUAAUUGUGGUGUAAUUGAUUUGUAGGGGAUGAAUCAGCAGCAUCAUCGGUUAACGCUUUCAGAUUUAUAGUUAAUCAAUAGUUGAGAGUUGUUAUCACUAACGCCGUGUAUUUUUUAAUGUUUUUUCUCUCUCCUACAGCAUCUUCUAGGAAAGUGCAUCCGUUGCUAAAAUUUAGUAUCGUAAAUAAUAAACCAAGAAUAAAUAUUAAAUCUAAGAAACUGUAUUGCAUUUAAUAUUUAAGGGAGAAAAAUAAUUAUAGUGUCUUUAUUAAUCAGUAAAAAAAAAAAUUAGAAUCAUAAUAAAUUGUAUUGUUAUUGAUGUAUUUAUUUUAUUUUAUACUCAAAAUAAAUUAUUUUAAAUUAUUAAAAUAAUUUAAAAUUAGUAUUUUAUUUUAUACUCAAAAUAAAUAAUUUAAAAUUUUCAUUUCUUGUUUAUUUCGCAAGUUGUUAUUGCCUAAUGCUAUGUCAACUCGAACAUUAGCAUUUUUUUUUUUGGUCCUCUUUUAACGCAAAAUUAGUGUAGGUUAAGUAACAUAAUCAAUAUUAGGACAAUUUGAAAUCCCUAUGGGUGCGUUUGGUACACUGUAUUGUAUUAUACUGUAUUGCAUUAUUUUAAUGCUGAUGUAUUGUAUUAUGUUGUAUUGCAUUAGCACUGUAUUAUAACAAUGCUAUACAAUAUUUGGUGUUACAUUGUACUGUAUUAGAUUUUAAUUAUAUUAUAUUUAGUGUUACAAUUGUUGUAACAUAAACACGACCAAAAUAAAUUGUACUAAAUAAUCUAAGUAAGAGUUCUGUAGUAUAUGUAAUAAUACUAUUUAUAUUAUUAUUAUUAAUAAUUCUAAAUUAAUAUUAUUUAAUUUUAUUCAUAUUUAAAUAUGUAUUAUUAGUUUAUUAAAUUAUUUAAAAUAAUUAAUUUAUAUAUAUUAAUUAUUGUAACUUAAUUAAAUAAUGUAAUGCUAUAUUAUAUUUUUAUAUACUAUUUAAGUAUUUAUUAUUAAUUAUAUUUAAUUAUAAAUUUAUUAAUAAAUUAUAAUAUAAAAAUAAAAAAUAAAAAUUAAUAUUGUAUAAUAUUAUAUUAAAUUAAAGUUUUAUUUUUAUUACUAUUAUUAUAAAGUAAAAAAAAAAAAAAGGGAAGCUACUGACUUUUGAAACACAAAAGUCAGUAAUACAACCUAAUCACGAGGGGGGGCGCGGGUUUUGAUAAUGCGGCAAAAGCUGCAUUGUAAUGCUGCUCAAUGCAAUCCAUUUGAUCACCAAACACAGGUAUAUUUUAACUAAUGCUGGGCCCACAAAAUAAUACAAUGCAAUUCCGCAUGCCAAACAUACCCUAUGGGUGCGUUUGGUACACUGUAUUGUAUUAUACUGUAUUGUAUUAUUUUAAUGCUGGUGUAUUGUAUUAUGCUGUAUUGCGUUAGCAUUGUAUUAUAAUAAUGUUGUACAAUGUUUGGUGUUACACUGUACUGUAUUAAUUUUUAAUUAAACUAUAUUUGGUGUUAUAUUGUAUUGUAUUAAUUUUUAUAAUUAAUUAAAUUAAAUAAUUAAAAAAUAAUAUUUAUUAAUACUUAGAAAAAUAAUAAAUAUAGAAAUCUUAAUUGUAGAAAUUUAACAAAUUUUUUAGUAAAUAUUAAAAAUUAAUGAUUAAAUUUCUAAAAUUUGUAUUAUAAUUAUGAUAAAAUAAAUUUAUAAAAUUUAAUAUUAUAUGUAAAUAAUAAAUUUAGAUUAUAAUUAAUAUUAUAAUUGUUAAUAUAAAUUAAUAAAUUAUUAUUCAAUAAUAUUCAAUUAUAUUUUAAUUUACAAUAUAUUAUUAUUUUUACAUUUUAAUAUAUUAAUAAAUUUAUAAUUUAACAUAAAUAAUUAUAAAUUUAAAUAAUAUUAAUUUUAAAAUUAAUAUUAAUGUAAAUAAUAUUAUAAUAUUAAUAUAUUAUUUUUAUAUGAAUCAUUAAUAAAUAAAAUAAUAUUAUCAUAUAAUUUAUUUUUAUAUUUUAUUCAUUAUAUUAAUAUUUAAUAAUAAAAUAAUUUAUUUUUAUAAUAUUUUAAUAAAAUAAAUUUGCCUCAAUUGAGGCAUUAACUGUUGCCUCAAUUGAGGCAAAAAGCUUCCGCAUCCCUCGGGUUUGCGUAAUGCGGCCCCAUGCCUCAUUAUGCUGCAUUAUAAUGCAGCAUAAUGAGGUGUCAAAUUUUGCCAAACAUGUUCUUGGUAAUAAACUAAUGUGAAUAGUAGUAUAAUACCACAUAAUCUCAUGCACCAAACACGCCCUAUGUGUAUUAUUCACGGUAUCUAUGAGGGCUUAUCCUUUUGCUAGAACAAACUCUAGCAAAUUGUCAAAUGUGCUUAUCCUUUCCCUUGACGACUCAUUUUAAAAUUGUCACUCAUUUUAAAAUUGUCUUUCAAUGCACAAACACAGACAUAACCGCCGACAUCGAGCACCAAGUUUGGAAUUUAAUUGAUAAGCAUACAUUUGAUAAAUUAAUGAAAAGUUUGGAGAGUAGUUUUGAUCACCCUUGAUUAGGACGGUAUUACAAAAAAGAUCAAAAAGAAAACAUCGUCUCUCUUCACAAAAAUAAAUAUUUUCCGUUAGAAUUUAAUACAAUAAUAUUUUUUUUGAUUAAAAUUUAAUUAAAUACACAAAUAAAUUAUAUAUUUUUUAAAAAAAUUUACACCCAGUCACAAGGCUGGCUAUUAAACUUAAAGGGUGGAAGCUUCGGAGACUAAAGUUGGUAACUUCUCCAAGUGGUCUUAAGUUGACCGGAACUACCCAGACUUUAUGUUUGGUAGCCUAGACCUGAUCGGACCUAGGCCCAAGUUUGGUCUUAAAGUCCACAAUUAAAUUAAAAAAAAAUUAUUUGAUUUGUAAUUGAUUUAUGGGGAAUGAAUCCGCAGCCCUAAAAUUACACCAAUCUUGACAUAAUGACAUCAUCGGUUAAAAACGUUCAGAUUUAUGGUUAAUCAAUGGUUUGAGAUUUGUUAUCAUUAAUGCUAGAUAUUUUUUAACAUUUUUUUCUAUCUCUCUUCUCCUGAAGGAUUUUCUAGGAAAAUGCAUCCACAACAAAAAUUUUAAAUUGUAAACAAUAAACAGAGUAUAAACGUUAAAUCUAAGGAACAUCGCUGCAUUUCAGCUGAAGCGAACUUUAAUAUUUUACGGAGAAAAAUAAUUAAGUCUUUAAUGUGAUUUAUUGAUUAAUAUAUAUGACUAAUUUUUUAAAAGAAGAUGAAGGAUGAAGCUUAAAAAUAUAAAUUAUAGAAUUAAUUUAUCUCUUCAAUAAAUCUAAAGUUUAUUUUUUUUAUUACAUGCUUCUAUUUUAUUUUUAUUCCAUGUUAAUGAAUGGAGAUUUAAAUCCAUUUUGGAUUUAUAAAGAUGUUUAGAUAUUUAAAUCCACGUGUGAUUCCAAACUUGAACCUUUUUUUUUUUUUUUUCUAAUUAAUGCAAACAGCCGCCUCUUUGACUGCUUUUCUUCUUUGUUUAUUAAUUAAUUAAUUCAGCUGCCCACCUUUCUUUUCCUAAUGUUUUCUACUCCCAAAUUUUUUUAAGGACAAGGCUACGUUGCAGACGCUGUACCUAACAGCUGCACCUUCGCCAGCUUAAAAAAGGGUGCAUUUGGUAAGCAACUUUUCUUUCGUGUGCAUAUGUGUCCUGCCACCAUUGGGUGUGUACGUAACAGAUAAUGUACCGUAACAAGCUCCUAUUUUUAAAUUUGUUUAUAAUGAUAAAAUAUAAAAAUUAAGAUUAAAAUGUAAUGUAAUGUAAAAUUAAAGGUGGAAGAGUAUUAAAAUAAGGCUAAACCUAUGUUACGUUUAACGUAACAUACAUUUAAAUAUAUAAAAUAUCAAUGGAAACCCUCAAAUUUUAUGGAAACUAUAUUAAUAAAAUUAAAAGAAAUAUUUUUAAAUCUGAAAGAAGAAAUAAAAGAUAUAAAGCAAGAGAUAGGAAAACUAAAAAUAGAAAUAUCUGUAAAAGAAAAAGGAAAAGAAAAAUUAGAAAUAAAAGAAACAACUCCAACUGAAUCGAAUUCAGACUAAUGGAAGAUGUAUUAGAAACUUUAACUGAAAAAUUCAGUGACAUAAAUCUUAGUGAUUUAGAAGACUUUGAAAAAGAAUAUUAGAUAAAAAUGAAUACUGCUGGAGGACCAGAAAUGAAACCUAAUGUAGCAUAACCAAGUCAUAGAUAUGGUAUAAAUAAAAUGAAAAAUAAACCUUUUUACGAGUAUAUACCUCCUAUUAAAAAUACUCCUUGGAAAAAAGAAUACAAACCAAAUCAAGAUACAUUAACCCCAAUAAAUAAUGCUGGAACAUUUUUAAAUCUAGAUUGUAAGAUAGACAUUCGAAAGGCGUUAGCAGAAUGGGUGUUACAAAUGAAAUUAUUUUUUAUAUUUAACGGGUCAAAGGAUGACUAGAAUGUAGAGACUGAAGAAGAAAAAAUAGAUAUAUUUGUUGAAAUCUUAAUAGCCAGUUUUUCAGGAAAUGUGUUUAAUUGGUGGAGAGGAUUAAGCGAUGAUACACAAAACUUAAUAAAAGAUUCAACCAAAUAGCAUUUAGAAAAAAUAAAGCCUUAGGAAUGGAAAGGAUAACUGAAUACAUAGCUAGUGAAUUUUUAGGAGAAGAUUGGCUAGAAAAAUCGGGCAUAUAUGAAAAUUUAAAAAUUUAUGAUAAAAAGAUCUUAGUGUUUUUAUUAAAAAAUUAAAAUUUACAUGACUAUUUCUUUAAAUAUUUAGGGCAUAUAUGAACCACGGAGGAGAAAAGCUUUAUUUAAUAUUUUAGAAUAGUUUUUGAUCAGUACAAUUGGGUCCUUAUUCAGAAUUAUUGUUCUCUUCCGCAACAGUUUUUGUUUAUCAAAGUCGUCAAUUAAAAUUUUAGAAUUCUUAUCAGAAGAAGUAGUCGUUUUAGAAGUUGGGUCUUGGAUCAAAUUUCUACGAGUGCAUGAAUUAACAAUAAAAAAAUUUCAUUACACACGGUUUAAGCUACAAACUACUAUUUGCACAGUUGACUAUAAAACUUACCUCCAAUUACACUAAACCUCUCUAUUUGGUAACGUUGAGACUAAAUUAAUUUUAUUAGCAUGAAAAGAUGAUAGAAAUAUAAUUAUAAAUAUUAUUGUUGUUAAUCAAUUAGUACAUGUGAUAUAAAGGUUAAAUGUGCACUAUAUUUAAUAAUUAAUUAGUGGAGCAUGUUAAACAAAAUGUUAAUGUAUAUUUAUAUAGUGUUAGGAAUAUGCAAAGUCAAGUCCUCAAUUUGCAUUAUCCUGUAUAGAAUAUUACUCUAAAAAUGUUUUACUAUAAUUGGCUUAGAACAUUUGUAAAGAAAAAUAAUAAUAAAAUAAUAAAUAACAUACACCGUCACAUAGCACCUAGACAAUGAUAGAAAAUUAUUAAAGAGAGUGCAAACAAUUAAUUAGAGAUUUUUAUGAUGACUUUUAAUAUUCAUGAUAAUAACAAAUAAAUACAUGUAUCACUUUUUUAAAAUAUUAAAUUUGACUGCUCCAUUAAUAAAUUAUUAUUGUAAUUCAGACUCUAUCUAUAUAUCCUUGCACUAAGAAUAAUUAAGGUAACGUUUGUUUUUUAACUUAAUGACUUAAAGUGACUUAACUUAAUUAAUUAAGUUAAUUAGAGGUGUUUGUUUUAUAACUUAAUGAGACUUUUUAGAUAAUUUUGACUUAAUAAAAUAAGCUAAUUUUUUUUGGCUUUUUACUUAAUGGAGAAAUCUGAAUUAAGUCAAUUACUUGCUAAUGUCAAAAAUAUCCUUGUUUUAUAAUUUAUUUUUCAUGUCUAUCCCAAAACUCGCCCGUAGAUAUUUACCCCACAUAAAAAUAUCCCUGUUUUUUUCUUUCUUAUAUUAUAUACGAUAAAAUUUGAAAUUUAUAGUAUUUUAUAUAUUAAAAUUCUAAAAUAAUUAUGUAUUCACUUGAAUAUAGUUUUACUUAUAAAUGUUAAAAUAUGAUGGUAUUUAAUAUAUUAUUUAUUUGACAUUCAAAUUUAAUAAGGAUACAAAUGUAAAAGUACAUAUUUUCAGCUUUUUAAAUUGAAAAAAAAUAACUUAAUAUUUAUUUUCUGAGAUUCAGACGAAAAAAUAAACAUAUUAUUCAGAUUCAUACAUUCAGAUCUAUUCAGAAUUCAAACUAAUUCAAGUCUAUUCAAAUUUUAGACAAAAAAAUAAACGCCACCUAAGUCAUAAUAAAAAUUUUCGUAACUACAUCUCGUUUCUUCCUCAUAAUAAUAAUUAGAUUGGUUCGAAUAUUAUAACUAUAUAGAUUUAGUGUAUAGCCACAUCCAAUUUAAAUAUUGACCCAAUUGGGAUGGUCCCCAAAAAAAAAGAUUCGUUAAAGGAUAAUUCUAAUUAUUUUUACUUCUCAAACGUUAGUGGGACGUUUCUAUUAGCGCACUCGUAAGCCAAGUUGUCAAAUAUUUAUACUAAACUACAAUUGCUAACAAGAAAAAUCAAGAUCGUGUUAAGCAAGUGGGUCCCGAAUAGGACGUGCAAAUCUCUCGUAAGUCAAGUUGUCAAAUGUUUAUAUAAAACUAACAAUUACUGACAAGAAAAAUCAAGAUCGUAUUAAAAAUGGGUCCCGAAUAGGAUUAUCUUUUUAAGAAUAUUAUUAUUUUAUUAUUAAAAUUUUAUUAAUAUAACAGUAUUAAAAUUUAUUAAAAAAUAUAUUUUAUUAUUAAAAUUUUAUACCGUUAUCAAUUUAUUAUUAUUUUAUUAAAAAAAUUAAUAUUUAACAAAAAUUGAGAUAAAAAUUAAUUUUUGUUCUCUGUCUUUAUUUAUUUAUUUAUUUUUUUGGGUCUUCUGCAAAUCACAAUCAAAUGUUGAAUUAUAAAUUUGCCGGCAUUGCUUUUUUUUUUUUUUUUGGGCCGGGGGGUGGUGUUGAAUUGAUGCUCUGGGUUUUUGACUUUUGUUGUCAAAUUUUACUCUGUUUUUCCCAAAUUGAUGCUANNNNNNNNNNNNNNNNNNNNNNNNNNNNNNNNNNNNNNNNNNNNNNNNNNNNNNNNNNNNNNNNNNNNNNNNNNNNNNNNNNNNNNNNNNNNNNNNNNNNNNNNNNNNNNNNNNNNNNNNNNNNNNNNNNNNNNNNNNNNNNNNNNNNNNNNNNNNNNNNNNNNNNNNNNNNNNNNNNNNNNNNNNNNNNNNNNNNNNNNNNNNNNNNNNNNNNNNNNNNNNNNNNNNNNNNNNNNNNNNNNNNNNNNNNNNNNNNNNNNNNNNNNNNNNNNNNNNNNNNNNNNNNNNNNNNNNNNNNNNNNNNNNNNNNNNNNNNNNNNNNNNNNNNNNNNNNNNNNNNNNNNNNNNNNNNNNNNNNNNNNNNNNNNNNNNNNNNNNNNNNNNNNNNNNNNNNNNNNNNNNNNNNNNNNNNNNNNNNNNNNNNNNNNNNNNNNNNNNNNNNNNNNNNNNNNNNNNNNNNNNNNNNNNNNNNNNNNNNNNNNNNNNNNNNNNNNNNNNNNNNNNNNNNNNNNNNNNNNNNNNNNNNNNNNNNNNNNNNNNNNNNNNNNNNNNNNNNNNNNNNNNNNNNNNNNNNNNNNNNNNNNNNNNNNNNNNNNNNNNNNNNNNNNNNNNNNNNNNNNNNNNNNNNNNNNNNNNNNNNNNNNNNNNNNNNNNNNNNNNNNNNNNNNNNNNNNNNNNNNNNNNNNNNNNNNNNNNNNNNNNNNNNNNNNNNNNNNNNNNNNNNNNNNNNNNNNNNNNNNNNNNNNNNNNNNNNNNNNNNNNNNNNNNNNNNNNNNNNNNNNNNNNNNNNNNNNNNNNNNNNNNNNNNNNNNNNNNNNNNNNNNNNNNNNNNNNNNNNNNNNNNNNNNNNNNNNNNNNNNNNNNNNNNNNNNNNNNNNNNNNNNNNNNNNNNNNNNNNNNNNNNNNNNNNNNNNNNNNNNNNNNNNNNNNNNNNNNNNNNNNNNNNNNNNNNNNNNNNNNNNNNNNNNNNNNNNNNNNNNNNNNNNNNNNNNNNNNNNNNNNNNNNNNNNNNNNNNNNNNNNNNNNNNNNNNNNNNNNNNNNNNNNNNNNNNNNNNNNNNNNNNNNNNNNNNNNNNNNNNNNNNNNNNNNNNNNNNNNNNNNNNNNNNNNNNNNNNNNNNNNNNNNNNNNNNNNNNNNNNNNNNNNNNNNNNNNNNNNNNNNNNNNNNNNNNNNNNNNNNNNNNNNNNNNNNNNNNNNNNNNNNNNNNNNNNNNNNNNNNNNNNNNNNNNNNNNNNNNNNNNNNNNNNNNNNNNNNNNNNNNNNNNNNNNNNNNNNNNNNNNNNNNNNNNGAAGGGUCUCUAAUCAAUAGCUGGAAGCAAUUGAGAAGGCGGUUGCUACAGUGAAUUCAAAUGUAAAAUGUUUGCUAUUCUUCGAUUUGGUUAAUGAUUUCGUAUGAAUAUUGUUGUUCCGUUGAGUUGCAUGCGAAUUCAAAUGCAAAAUAUUCUUCGAUUUUCAAUUUUGAAAUCAAAUUUUUUUUUCCUUCUCAAGCAUGUUAUGCAGAAACGAUUGUCAUGUUAUGCAGAAACGAUUUUUACUAAAUCAUUUUUAACAAACUAUUGAAAUUAAACCACUGGAAUAAGAAUUGUAAGGAUUUAUCGUAAGCUUACUAAUACGAUAAUUCUGAAACUAUCACCUUUUUUUUUUUAUUUGUUGCAGGGAAACCCAAAUUUUGUAUUUUGUCAAUUUCAUCUGAUAUGGAAUUUAUUUCCUCCCUAAAGAUUUAUCAAACUGCUUCUCUUCCCUGCUUCAAUAUCUUUAUGCAAUUACGAUCUCAUAGGAAAAGAGAGUUUGGGUUGUAUAUCUUAUAGUAUUUAUUUAUUUUUUGUUAAAAGAAAUUUAUUUUAAAAUAGUUUAUAGCAACAGUUUUUAUUUAACAAUAAUGAGGAAGGAUUAUUAUAGGUUCAAAUAGUUGUUAGAACAUUAUAAAAAAGUCCAUUUACUAUCAAAUGUUUUAAAUUGGUGCAACGUGAUAAUUGUCUCAUAUAAUUUUUUAAGGGUAAAAACUCGUUUCAUUCCCAUAUUUUAAGAUUAUUACUCAUUUAGUCUUUAUAUUUUUAAAAAUGUUUCAAAACAUUCAUACCCUUAAAUUAUUAACAUCUCUGCUGUUACUUUUUAUUUUUUUUUGACUUGUUUUUACAAUAUUGCCCUCUUACAAUAAUGUUUCUUUUUAUAAAAUUAAUAAAAAGAAAAAAAAUUAAAUUAUCAAUUUAACCCCAAAAAUAAAAUAAAAAUAAAAAGAAUAAAUAUUAAUUUUUGUGAAAGUUUACAUGUGUCCAAAAUAAAUUUUAUUGUAAAAAUAAUUAAAUUGCCUUUUUUUUGGACAUUAGUAAUAAAAAAAUUAAUAUAUUAAUUCCUCAGCAGUGUGUUACAAAAAAGUAAAAUAUAUUAAUUUUGUUUUUAUUUUAGACAAUGAGAUAGAGAAAAGUACAAGAUAAAGGAAAGGACUUCAAAACUCACUGUUCAUCAUAAUGCCCUUUGCCUUUAAAAAAAAAUCAUUCUAAUAUUUUAUAACACAUAAAAUAUAAUCCUAAGAUAAAUAUAAUAAUACAUAUUUUAAACUAAUCUCGAUAUUUAAAAUAUGUUUUAAUAUUUUAUAAUCUAUCAGACAUAUUUUAUUAUAUUAAUGUAAAAUUUAUAAUAAAUACAAACAUAUUAUUAAAAUAAAUAUAUAAAAAAUAUUUAUUUUUUAUAUGUUUACACUGAGGACUCUCUUUAAUUCAUUUAUUUUCUCUCUCUCCAAACAGGUACUGUCUUCAGUUAGCAAUGCUAUGAUAGUAAUCCAAUUCUCUUCUCCCCCACCUGAGCGAGAUUUGAAUUUGAAUCCCUUGUUUUUCACCCACUCUGUUUUUUUUCACGCAAGAUUUGACAAUUUGAGUUAAAAAAUAUGGUCCAAAACUUGAACACGUAUCUUUUAAUUGUAAUAAAAGUUCUUUAAGCUUUGGAGAUGGCAUAUAUAUGGCUGGAAGUGUCCUUUUCUUUGACCUAGAGGCAGCACCAAGCUAUCCAGCAUCAUCAUUUUUCAAGUGGGUCUUAAAUGCCUAGAAACGUUGGUGUUUCUUGAUUUAAAGAUGACACAUGCUAUAAGUGUGAAUGGUUUGGCUAAGCCUAAAUUUAAAGUCUACUCAAGUCGCAUUCAGGAUCAUGGAAAUUGGAAAGGGAGAGAUGAUAGCAAGAUUUAUAAUAAACAAUUAACUUGGGUCCUCAGUGUACAAAGCAAAUGCCACGCAAGCGAUAGCCGGCCCAGCCCAGAAAACCCAGUGGCGAUCCCAGAGAUGGCCUCCUCUAACGAGUGCUGGGCCCAAAAAUCUUUGCGGGUUGAGCCCAGCUCCGGCAUAGCCCUUUUGAGCAGUAACAGUUGUCGAGACAAAAACCAGAAGACCCAACACUGUUCCAAUGACAAUGCAUACGGUAAACUCUGCCAAGAGCCUUGGCUUGUCUGGAGUCAAAAGCCAUCCACACAGAAGCAAAAAGGAACACAAACGAGCAAAUUAUCUCAAGCCAAAGGGCCUGCCUAGUCCCCAAGCCGAUCUCAACAGGCCCAUCUGGCCCAGGUACGACAACAUUCAGGGUGCAGCCUCCAAGUUGUCAAAUAUUUAUAUUAAACUACAAUUGCUGACUAGAAAAAUCAAGAUCGUAUUACAAGUGGGUCCCGAAUUGGACGUGCCUAAAUCUUUUUAUAAUUUUCCCAGUGUAGCGGACAGAGGUCAUUACUAAAUUUCUCUUCCACACGCCACAGCAGCUUCGGUUAAUCAAACUCAAUCAAUUUUCUUGGCUUCUCCGCUUAUCAAUAUUACAAGGUAUGGGUAGCAUUUUUCAAAUCACAUGCGAUGGUACUAUUUUCAAUCGUUGCUUAGAUUGCUUUCUUGGAAAAGCAGCAUACAUAAGUAACCUCCAAGAUAAUCUUGUUGCCUUGGAGACUGAACUAAGGAAACUAAUCGCAGCAAAGAACGAUGUGAUGACGGCGGUUGUCAAUGCUGAACGGCAACAAAUGAGAAGGCUGGACCAAGUGCAAGUGUGGGUUUCGAGGGCGGAUGCUGUUAAAAAUGAAGCUGAUGAACUUAUCAGAGGCGGCUCUCAAGAAAUUGAAAAAUUAUGUCUUAGAGGGUUCUGUUCCAGGAACUGCACGUCAAGCUACAAGUUCGGAAAACAAGUGGCUAAAAAGCUACGAGCUGUGGAGACUUUAAUCGCCGAAGGAGUUUUUGAGGCGGUGGCUGCCGAGGUGGUGCCUGAGAGAGCUCCAGAGCCUGUAGCAGAUGAAAGACCUACCGAGCGAACAGUAGUAGGCUUGCAAUCACAACUUGAACAAGUCUGGAGAUGUCUUGCAGAAGAAUCAGCGGGAAUCAUUGGCCUAUAUGGUAUGGGCGGUGUUGGUAAAACUACACUAUUGACCUAUAUCAACAAUAAAUUUCUCGAGAGUCCAACCAACUUUGAUUGUGUGAUUUGGGUAGUAGUUUCAAAAGACCUGCGACUUGAAAAACUUCAAGAAAAUAUUGGGAAAAAGAUAGGUUUGGUUGAUGAUUCAUGGAAGAGUAAAAGUGUAGAGGAGAAAGCUCUCGACAUCUUCCGGAGUUUAAGAGAGAAGAGAAUUGUAUUGCUGUUAGAUGAUAUAUGGGAGCGGGUUGAUUUAACAAAAGUGGGCGUUCCACUUCCAGGACCACAAAAUACUACCUCAAAAGUCGUAUUCACAACCCGUUUGAUCGAUGUUUGUGGUAGCAUGGAAGCUGACAGGAAGUUCAAAGUAGCAUGCUUAUCAGAAAAGGAUGCUUGGGAACUGUUUCGAAAAAAAGUUGGGGAAGAAACUCUUGGAAGUCAUCAUGAUAUCGUUGAGCUAGCCCAAACUGUGGCCAAAGAGUGUGGUGGUUUGCCACUCGCACUUAUUACUAUCGGUCGAGCUAUGGCCUACAAAAAGACAGCCGAAGAGUGGAGACACGCAGUUGAAGUUCUAAGAAGAUCAGCUUCGGAAUUUGCAGGUUUGGGAAAAGAGGUGUAUCCUCUUUUAAAGUUUAGCUAUGAUAGUUUGCAGAAUAAGACGAUUAGAUCUUGUUUCUUAUAUUGUUGUUUAUAUCCUGAAGAUUAUGGCAUUCUUAAAUGGGACUUGAUUGACUGUUGGAUUGGUGAGGGAUUCUUAGAGGAAUCUGACAGGUUUGGUGCAGAAAACCAAGGAUACUACAUUGUGGGCACUCUUGUUCAUGCGUGUUUACUAGAAGAGAUAGAAGAUGAUAAAGUAAAAAUGCAUGACGUUGUUCGUGAUAUGGCUCUAUGGAUAGCUUGUGAAAUUGAGAAGGAGAAGAGAAACUUUUUGGUUUGUGCAGGUGCGGGACUAAAGGAGGCACCUGAUGUUAAAAGAUGGGAAAAUGUGAGAAGAUUGUCAUUGAUGCAAAACCAAAUUGAAACUUUGUCAGAGGUUCCUGCAUGCCCUCAUCUCCAUACUCUAUUUCUUGCCUCUAAUAAUAGUUUGCAGAGGAUCACCGAUGGCUUCUUCCAAUUUAUGCCUUCUCUCAAAGUUUUCAAGAUGUCAAACUGCGGGAAUUUAAUUUUGGAAUUACCUUUUGGGAUGUCAAAGUUGGGUUCAUUGGAACUUCUCGAUAUUUCACAUACCUACAUACAAGAGUUACCACAAGAGUUAAAGUUGUUGGUAAAUCUGAAAUGUUUGAAUUUGAGGUGGACAAGCGAGUUAAAUAAAAUUCCACGGCAGCUAAUAUCAAAUUCUUCAAGGUUACGUGUGUUGAGAAUGUUGGGUACUGGCUGGUUCAAUUUUCAUGAAGCAUCAGAAGACAGCGUUUUAUUUGGCGGGGGUGAAGUUUUAGUACGGGAAUUGCUCGGUUUGAAAUAUUUAGAGGUAUUGGAGUUGACCUUGCGAAGUUAUCAUGCUCUCCAAAUUGUUUUGAGCUCAAAUAAGUUAAAAAGUUGUAUUCGAUCUCUUUACCUCCAGUUGACCGGAGAUAGAAAGUCGAUUAUUGAUGCUACGGCUUUCGCAGAUCUAAACCACCUCAAUGAAUGAUUGAUUUUUAAAGGUUUUGAGUUGGAAGAAUUGAAGAUUGAUUAUACAGAGAUAGUACGAAAAAGGCGGGAACCUUUUGUUUUCCGCAGCCUUCACCGUGUUACCAUAGAUUCGUGCCUUAAAUUGAAAGAUUUGACAUUCCUCGUUUUUGCUCCAAACCUCAAGUCUCUUUCGCUAUUCAAUUGCCGUGCUAUGGAAGAAAUAAUCAGCGUUGGAAAAUUUGCUGAGGUUCCUGAGAUGAUGGGACAUAUAAGCCCUUUUGAAAAUCUCCGAAGUCUUCGUUUGUCACAUUUGCCAAAUUUGAAGAGCAUCUACUGGAAGCCAUUGCCUUUCACUCAUCUGAAAGAAAUGGUGGUACAUGGGUGUGAUCAGCUUAAAAAGCUUCCACUCGAUUCCAACAGUGCAAAAGAGCGUAAAUUUGUUAUUCGUGGACAAGCAGACUGGUGGGACCGACUUCAAUGGGAGGAUGAAGCCACUCAAAUUGCUUUUAGUUCCUGUUUCCAACCUUAACUUGAUUUCUGGUUAGUGCUGUUUCCUUAACUUUUACAUAUAUUCUCGUCGUUUGCUUCGUGCAAAAUACUAGGUCUUUUGUUCUCUGUUUUUAUUUCGCCCAUUUUUUUUUUUUUUUUUUGUCUUCUGCAAAUGACAGACAAAUGUUGAACUAAAAGGAAUUAAUGCUUUAUAACUUUGCCGGCAUUGCUUUUUUCUUUUUCUUUUUUGAUUUUUUGGGGCGAGGGGGGAUCGAAUAGAUGCUCUGGUUUUUGACUUUUUGUUGUCAAAUUUUACUCUGUUUUUUUCAAAUUGAUGCUUGAAUAUUUGAAUCAAAUUAAUGCUCACGUAAAUUUGUUCAGUUGCCGUAAAAGGAUAUAAUUACACUGAAAUACACAAACUCUAGAAUGAAUAGAAUUAAACAGAGAAAAUCUUGAGUAUAUUAGCCGUCUUCACAUAAAAUCAUAUGAAAAUUAAAUUUUGAAGUUUUUAUUUUCUAUUUUUAAUCAUACCCUUUAUAAUUUCUUCUGUUCUAACUACAAUAAAAUUUUUGGUUCAAGGAUUUUUAUGAGGGGUAUUAAUAAUAGUCCACCAAAAGAGUGAACAGUUGGAUGCUGCCCUAAGGGUCUCUAAUCAAUAGCUGGAAGCAAUUGAGAAGGCGGUCGUUACUGUGUACAAAGCCAUGCAGUAUUUGCUAUUCAUCUUAGUAAUUAUGAAGCUUUGGUAAAAUUUUCAAACAAAGUUGACAUGUUAUUUUGAGAUUUGGUUCAUGAUUUUGUAUGAAUAUCGUUGUUCCAUUGAGUUGUAUAUGAAUUCAAAUGUAAAAUAUUCUUUGGUUUUCAAUUUUGAAUUCAAUUUCUUUUCUUAAGCAUGUUGUGCAGAAAUGAUUUCUACUAAAUCAUUUUUGAUAAACUACUUAAAUUAAACAACUGCAAUAAGAACUGUUAAGGAUUUAUCGUAAGCAGACUAAUAUGAUAAUUCUGAAACUAUCAUUUUUUUUUUCAAUUUGUUGCAGGGAAAGCCAAAUUUUGUAUUUUUCAGUUUUAUCUGAUAUGGAAUUUAUUUCCUCUACACUAGCUACCUAAAGAUUUAUCAAAUUGCUUCUCUUCCCUGCUUCAAAUUAAUAUCUUUAUGCAACUACAAUCUCAUAGGAAAAGACAGUUUGGGUUGUAUUUAUUAUAGUUUUUUUUUUCGUUAAGAGCAAUUUAUUUUAAAAUCGUUUAGUAGUAACAGUUUUUAUUGAAUAAUAAUGGGGUAGGAUUAUUAUAGGUUCAACUAGUUGUUAGAACAUUAUAAAAAGUCCAUUUACUAUCAAAUGCUUUAAAUUGGUGCAACAUGAUAAUUGUCCCACAUAAUUUUUAAUAAUAUAUAUGGCCCAUAAAUUUAAUAUGAAUAAAUGAGUUUCGAUAGUUAAAUUUGAUACGAUUAUUAAAUAAGUUAUAUCCAUGUCAAUUCGACUUAAAAUCUGGUAAAUUUAGAUUUAGAGUUUAUAACAUGAUAACUUGUUUUAUGACAUGAUUUACUAAUCAAUUAAUAUUAAAUUAUAUUUUAGCCAAUCAGAUAUGUGGUACAUUUGUCAAAUUUUAAAAAUUAUUUAUUUAUAUAUGAAAUAAAUUUGACUAGACUGUGUGUAGGUAAUAGUGCAUAAUUUCUAAAAAAAUGUAAUAAUAACACGUUAAAAUGUUAUUUUUAUGAAGAAAAAUUGAAAUUUUAUUAAAUAGGCGACACAAUAAUAAAUGGGUUGAGAUUAUUUACAUUUUAAGAAUUACUCUGAACAUUAUUUUAUUUUAUAAAUUUUAUAUUACAAAAACACCCAUAGUUUAAUUUACCAUUAAGAACAAUUUUGUGCGAUUAAAUAAAAUACAUUACUCUUUACCCUUUCACUACAUCGACAUAAAUCCUAAUUGUUAUGUUUCUAAUUUCUUUGAUAUGCUUAUUGAAGUCCACAUUAUAAUCAAUUUUAAACUAUUAUACCACUUAAAUACAUUUUAGAAUGAGAAGUUUGGUUUUCUUCAUGGGCUGCCUUGCUGAUGCUGUUAUUGAAACUAUCGAACUUAAUAAUUUUAUGGCCAAAAUGAUAUAUGUUGAACCAGCUUUUACAUCGAAUUCUACCACCAUAAAAAAUCGUACUUGUAACAUCUCAAGGUUCCAAUUUAUCAAAAGUUAAUCAUUCAUAUUUGUUAGUUCCUAACAGUCACAAGAGCGUACAAGCCAAUUUUUGUAGCUCCUUUUUCUGCAGUAGAUUCAAGUAUAUUAUUAUCAAGCAUUUUUGUUACACCCUUAAUUCCUUAUCAUCAUCCCUUCAUUCAGAGCAACUAAACAGAGGUCAAUGUCAUUAUGUUAGAGUUACGAGGAAGAGUACUGCCAAAAAAGUUCUUUGUAUGGGAUUUAAUUUUCUGGGUUUGUAGUGAUGAACAAAUUGAGGGUUGUUUUGGUAUUUUCAAGAGUGUAUUGAGUGAAAAUUAUUUUUAAAAAAUUUAACAAAUGAGUGUAAUGAGUAAAAAAGUGUUUAAAGUAUUUUUUAGAGUACAAAUAGCUCCACCUUAAUAAAUGAGUUCUUGUAAAAAUUGAGAUUAUUGAUAUAAUUAUUAAAUAGGUUGGAUUGAAGUUAGUUUAAUUUUGACAAGAUAAUAAGACGACGCGACACAAAUACAACCAACCAGUCAACCCAAAUUGCAACCUUUUACUAAUAAAAGAUACCUGUUUGAAAAGUAAUUAUAAGCUAUCUUCUUUGUGUUAUUUCUCUAAAAAUUUGCGGCACAAAUAUUAUUUCCAUGGAGAAAAGUACGAAAUACCCGCUUUCACUUCAGCAGAAGCAAAGCAAAGCUAUGAGCCAUCUCUGUAUAAUUGAAACGCCAUUGCUAAACGGUUCUUGAUGAUGGGUGCCACCGUGCCAGCGUUGUCGCUGAUUUGCAUGAUUUAUUAGUUGUUCAGAUGGCGGAUUUUGUACUGUCACUUUCAUUUCAUUCUUGAGAGCCACGUACAAUACUAGGUGGCAUUGAAGUUGCCCCAGUGGUUAGUUUUCUGAUUUUUUUUAAUUCAAAUUUUUAUGUUUUAGAAAAAUGUAAGAAAUAUGUAGAAAUGUUGACAGCUACAAUUUUGAAACUUUGCCUAAAAUUAUUAUCGUUGCUUAUUGUUUCUUAGCUAAAGAGAAAUCCUAGAAACAUGAAAUUAUUAUUCUAUGCUUGUUUUAAUAUUAUACAUUAGCAGGUUAAUUAAAAAUUAGACGUGAAUACAACAAGAGAUAAGUGGAGAGAAUUUGGUAGUCGACCGCAUUUAGAAUUUAAUUUUUCUUUUAGCUGCCGAUCAUUAAAUUUUAUAUUUCAGAAAAUUAUACCUAGAAUAUUUCAAGGAUAUACUACGAAGAUUAUGAAGGUUUGAUUACAUGUCACUAUCAAUUGCCUCAAUCAUUUGUAGUAAAUUAAUUAAUCAUUUUGCUGCAAAUGAUUUCCUAUUAAAAAAUUCAAGUCAGAGCUGAAUUGCACAGUAGUUAGUCGUGCUUGCAAUUCAAAUCAAGUAUUGUAUUUUCUGCCUGAUUUGGUUGAUUCAACUAUGUGCAUUUGCAUAAUGGAGAUGCUUAUGAACGUUGUAGUAUAGAAAUCGAAACGUCUUGUCUUUUGCUAAGCCCAGAAGCAAAGUUCUUUGUAUUAUACUCAUCAGUUUUCUUCGUUCUCUUCGUUGAAAUUUUAUCCAAACAGCGGUUUCUUCGAAUUUUUGCCCUCUCUUACAUUUUUAAAUCUAUCAAAGAACGGUUACCUGAGAAGAUUGCCAUCAGGUAUUUCGAAAUUGAUUUCACUACAAUACCUUAAUCUAUCAGAUUUUAAUCUAUCAGAUGCUCCCGUCACUCAGUUGCCAAAAGUGACAAAAGCCUUAGUAAAUUUUUAGAGUAAAAACUCAUUUAUUCCUUAUAUUUUAAGAUUAGUAUCUAUUUAGUCCUUAUAUUUUGAAAAAUACCUUGAAACAUCACUGCCAUUAAAGUAUUGAUACCCUUACCGUUACUUUUUAUUUAUUUUGGCUUAUUUUUACAAUAUUACCCUUUAAUAAUAAUUUUUUUGUUUAGACAUUAAUAAAAAUAAAAUAAUUAAAUUACCAAUUUAAUCCUAAAAAAUAAAAAUAAAAAUUUAUAUUAAUUUUUAAUUGUAAAAAAUUGUAUGCAAACUACCAAAUGUGCAAACGGUGCUUGCAAAAAAAUUAAUAUAAAUUUUUUAUUUUUAGGGUUAAAUUAGUAAUUUAAUUAUUUUAUUUUUAUUAAUGUCCAAAAAAUUAGUAAUUUAAUUAUUUUCUUUUUAUUAAUGUCCAAAAAUUAUUAUAAAAGGGUAAUAUUAUAAAAGUAAGCUAAAAGAAAUGAAAAGUAACGGUAGGGGUAUCAAUACUUUAACGGUAGGGAUGUUUCGAGGUAUUUUUAAAAAUAUAAAGAGUAAAUGGACACUAAUAUUAAAAUACAGGGACUAAAUAAGUUUUUAUCCUAAAUCUUUAAGUGUUUGAAUUGGAGUACAUAAAUUAUCUCUCUACAAUUCAAAAACAACAGAUUUGUUACUUUUCAACGCUACAGGUUCCGCGAAUAUUCAGUUGUGGUUAUCUUGUUGAAACACCAGAAAAUAGCGUUCUAUUUGGUGGUAAUGAAUUCUUGGUUGGGGAGUUACUUAGUUUAAAACAUUUAAAUGUAUUAAGCAUCGCCUUAAAAGGUUUUUCUACCGUCCAAAAAUUUAUGAGCUCCCAAAAGUUUCAAAGUUGUACAAAAUGUUUGGAGCUUAUAGACAGUGAUGAUUCAAAGUCGUUUGCCAUGGCAGAGUUGAAGCAUCUUGAAAAACUAGGUAUUUCAAAUUGUGGAAAUUUGGAAGAGUUUAAGUUCUGCUGUGUCGAAGUUGGAAAAACUUGAGAAGAUUUUUGUUUGAACAGCCUUCACCAAGUUAAGAGAAAGGCUUGUCAUAAAUUGAGGGAAGUGACAUGGCUUGUGUUUGUACCAAAUCUUAAGGUUAUUCAGAUAGAAAAAUGUAUGGAGAUGGAGGUUGUUGGGAAAGAGACUACCACAAGCAGCUAAAAAUUAAGCGAAUACAAAAUUCUUUCUCUCUUUGUGUGAUUAAAAUAGGAUGUGCACCACAAACAAAUAAGCAGAAAAAUAAACCAAUAAAUGCAAAGCAAAAACCAACCACAAGAGACACCGAUUUUUAAGUAGAAAAUUUAAAUUGGGAAAAAUCACAGGAUAGUAGUCUGAUAUAAACUUCUACUAUAUUAAUGAGAUUACAACACAAAUUCUUCUCCAGAUAAUACUAGAUGCUAACAAUAUUAAAAUUCUCAACAAUCUUAGUUUAUAAUAAUAGAUCUAAAAUCUAUUUCUUCAAUAAGUGAGUAUCUCAAAUAAUAGCUACUGAGAGAAUAAAAUACAGAUCAACACCAGUAGAAAUAUAGAGGGCAAUGUCAGGAACUUACCCUCCAAAUUUAGGACUAAUCAGAGCUAAAAUAACCUUUUGAUUGUUGAAUCAAAGAUUGAAAACCAAAAAAAAAAAAAAUAUCUCUUUCUCUCGCAGUGUCUUCUCACUUUCGCAAAAUGUCUACAGCUCUCGCGAUUCUUUACUUAUUUCCUUAGUUAAUUUCAUCCAAGUCCAAAAUUUUACAAUAAUUACACAUCAAGCAAAUUAUUUUGGACUUUGAACUUUUUGGUCCACUGAAGUGAAAUGGACCUUACAAAUCUCCCCCUCCAUCUCAUCUAAGGGGCACCACCAAGCCCGCUCUCUACUUACAGCUUUCCAGCUUCUCCUUGGGUAAUGACUUUAUCAUCAUAUCUGAUGCAUUCUUCGUUGUGUGAAUUUCUCCAAGCUGCAACUGUUUCUACUCAAGCACGUCUUGUAUCCAAUGAUACUUCAUAUCAAUAUGCUUCGAUUUCAAAUGAUAUGUUGAAUUCUUUGCCAAGUGGAUGACACUUUAACUGUCACAGUACACAACAUAACUAUCUUGAUUAACACCUAGUUCUUGUAGAAAAUUCUUCAUCCACAAGGUUUCUUUGUAACUUUCAGUGAUUGUAAUAUACUCUACUUCUGUAGUAGACAAAGCAACACACUACUAAAGUCUAGACUGCCAUGAAACUGCUCCUCCUACAUAGGUGAGCAAAUAUCUUGAUAGAGACUUUCUAGAAUCAACAUCUCCUGCCAUAUAUGCAUCCGUAUCUACUUGUAAUAUAGGUUUGUCACCACCAAAACAUAAACAUGCCUUGGAAGUGCCUCUGAGAUAUAUGACAAUCUACUUUACUGCUGUCCAGUGUUUUUUACCCAGAUUAGAGGAAAACCAGUUGACUACCAACUGUUGAAGCGUACCUCAAACUACCAACUGUUGAAGCAUAAAAAACUCUUUUUAUCUCUUGCUUCUCUUUCUCACUUAUGGGACAAUGCUUGAAACUAAGCUUGAAAUGACCUGCAAGUGGAAAAUAAACAUAUUUUGCUUUGUCCAUAUUAUAUCUUUUAAGAACUUUUUCAACAUAUGCUUCCUGAGAUAACCAUAAAUUCCCAGUUUUUCUGUCACGAGAAAUCUUCAUGCCAAGAAUUUGUUUCGCCGAUCCCAAGUCCUUCAUUACAAAAGACUUGCUAAGCUCUCUCUUCAAAUUGUCAAUCUUACUAGUAUCCUUGCCAACAAUCAACAUGUCAUCCACAAAAAGUAAAAGAAUAAUAAAAUCAUUAUCACUAAACUUUUUCACAAACAUACAAUGAUCACACAUUGUCUUGCAAAAGCCAUGAUUCUCCAUAAAAGAAUCAAACUUCUUAUACCACUGUCUUGGUGCAUGUUUCAGCCCAUAUAAAGUUUUUUUCAAUUUGUACACAAGUUCUUCUUUACCUUUGACACUGAACUCUUCAGGUUGUUAUAUGUAUAUUUCCUCCUUUAAGUCAUCGUGUAAGAAAGCAGUCUUUACAUUGAAUUGUUCAAUUUCCAAAUCCAAGCUAGCUACUAAUCCCAGAGGUGCUUGCUCAAUUGGUUCUGCUGGACCAUUAUUAUUAUCCUCUCCAGCUCCCCUAUGAUCAUCAUGAACAACAUGUGGAGAAACCGAAGUUGGAAUAAUAAGAAUCUCUGGAGAUGGCUGAGACUUAUCAUUUUUUUUUCAUCACCAACUAUCUAAUUUUUAAGAAACACAACAUCUCUAAUUCUGAUUACUUUUCUUGUCACUGGAUCCCAUAAUCUGUACCCAAAUUCUUCAUGUCCAUAGCUUAAGAAAAUACAUUUCUUGGCUUUAUCAUCAAGUUUUGAUCUCUCAUCUUUAGGGAUAUGAACAUACACUCUGCACUUAAACACCCUCAAGUGUUUAUAAGAAACAUCUUUCCCAAUCCAAACUCUUUUAGGUACAUCGUCAUCUAAUGGAGCUUAAGGAGAAAGAUUAAUCAAAUCAACUACAGUACGCAUAGCCUCCGCUCAGAAGGAUUUAUAAAGCUUGGCAUCAGAAAACAUACAUCUGACUAUCUUUUCAAUUGUUCUGUUCAUUAUUUCUGCAACACCACUCUGCUGAGGGGAUUUUGGUACAGUUUUCUUAAGUUUGAUUCCAUGAGAUCUGCAAUACUGCUCAAAUGGUCCUCUGUACCCACCAUCAUUUUCUGCCCUGACACAUUUCAAUUUUUUUCUUGUCCCUCUCUCAACAUAAGCACGAAAGAAUUUAAACAUAGUAAGCACGAAAGAAUUUAAACAUAUCAAGCACUUAAUCUUUAGAUUUUAAAGCAAAAGUCCAUACUUUUCUAGAACAAUCAUUAAUAAAAGUCAUAAAAUAAAGUGCACCUCCUAUUGAUCUAUUUUGCAUCAUGCAAAUAUCAAUGUGAAUCAAAUCAAGGAUUUGUGACUUUCUAGAUGGAGAAAAGCUUUUAAAAGUUACUUUAUGUGCCUUUCCAGCUAAACACUAAACACAAGUCUUGAGGGACGUACCUACAAAGCUUGGUAGAAAUCCUUUUUUGGCAAGAGUUCCUAACCCUUUCUCACCAAUGUGACCAAGCCUUUUAUGCCAUGUCUCAAUGUCAGAAUUGUUUACAGCCAUAUUCAUAUAUUCUUUCUUGAUUUUGGCUUCUAUUACGUAGAGGGUGUUCAUUUUCUUUCCUUUAGCCAACACUAGAGAGCCUUUGGUGAGCUUUCAUUUUCCUUCACCAAAUUAGUUAGUAUAACUAUCAUCAUCAAUUUUUCUUGUGGAGAUCAAAUUAAGACGAAUAUCUAGUACAUGCAAGCUUUUUUGUGGAGAUCAAAUUAAGGCGAAUAUCUAGUACAUGUCUGACAUCUUUAAGGAGUAGCUUAUAGCCAACACUGGUUUGAAGCAAAUAUCUCCUAUGCCCACAAUCUUGGAUGCCCCCUCAUUUCCCAUCCGAACAUGGUCAUAAUUACCAUUAACAUAGGAUGUGAAGUAAUCAUGAUGUGCAGUUGUUGUGCAAAUUUUAAUGUACUCGCAAGCGCACGAAUCUAUUGUAGUAUAGAUCAAUGGUGACGAGUGUCGAUCCCACGAGGAGGUGGAUUUUAAUUGUGUAUAGAAUUAAUUUUGCAAAUGGUUGAUUGGAUUUGUGGUGGAAAUGAUUUGGAAUAUGCUAAAACUUAAAUUAAAAUGGCGAGAAUAAAUUCUAAAAUUGGAAUUGAAAUUGCGAGAAUAAAGUUGAAGAGAAUUCUAUUGAAAUGACGUACUUGGGUAUCUGGAUCCGUAUCAACAUGCAUCAUGGGCUAAAUAAUGCGUAUUAAUGCCAAUUAAAUCAUGAGGGGGGAAUCCACACCUCAUGAACCACGCUCUAAUCAAUAUGGUGCUAAGGGCUUAUCGUGCCAAAUAAUAAUAACCUUGUACUAGAGAGCCGGUGUAACCAAGGCGGUACUAGACAAGAUUAGUAUUAUUUGUCGACGAGAAGUCAAAACAUCCACAAAAACUAGAGGGGAAGAGAAAAUAAAUUUACCAAAUAAAGCCCAUGACACAUGUUGAGACUUCACCUUCAACCCAAGCUUAAAAGAAAAUUAGCUACUCAUAAUUGAACUAAGGGCAAAAUGGGAAUUUAUUAAAAUACGAAGAAAAUACAAGAUAGAGAGGGAAUUACAGAAAAUGGAUCCCAAAAAUGGAUUCAGAGAUAUCAAAUUAGGGGGGGAGGCCCCCUUUUUAUAGAUACAUGGAGUAAAUCAUGGCAAUCGGAUUAAAAACAGUUUGGACGCUCAGGAUUGCGCCACGUCAUCAGUCAACAGUCCACGGUUUGACCACGCGGAUGAACAGUAAUACGGUUUGACCCAUAUGAACAGUACGCGGUUUGACCCGGAUGAACAGUAACGCGGUUUGGUUGAAAAUAAUCCUGUGUGAUGCAUGCACCGUACGCGAGAUUUUUUGUCCACUGAUAUGCUGCCACGUCACCAUCAACAGUACAUAAGAAUUUUAGUCCAACAGGAUCGUGACACCUCAUCAGUCAAUGCCACAUCAUCGAUCCGUCUAUGUGAGCAGUGCCGUGAACAGUAACAUAUACAGUACCGUAUACGUGAAUAGUACCGUACAUGUGAAUAGUGCUAUUUUUCCUUUUAUGCUCCUCCUAAGGUUUUCGACCGUCCUGAGUUCAAAAGUGAUGUCCGUUUUACCGUCUGAUCUCUCCUUUAUUGUGAAAUCACUAUAAUACCACUAAAAUACAUAAAAUACUUAAUUAAAAUAAAACACAUGUAAUUAAAUCACAAGAAGGUUAAAUACAUAAAAGUAAGGGUUGUUAGUAAGACUUGAAAUGUAAAAUGAUGGUUUUCUCCUUUAUAAAUAUGCAUUUUCUAACACUCAACAGCAGUAACCACGAUGUGCAGUAACAUCAAACGAAGCACCCGAAUCAAUCACCCAAUUACUGGUAUGGCAAGUAAGAUUUAUAGAGCUAUCAUUAUAAGCAAUGCCCAUAUCACCAUUAAUUACGGCUGUAACAUUCUCUUUGUCAUUUUUCUGACCAUCGCCUUUUUCUUUCGCAUGUUCUCUUUUCCACAAUUUACACUACCUUUUUACAUGGCCCAUUUUCUGACAAUGAAAGCACUUAGCUUCUCCUAUGGGACUUAGAUCUUCCUCCAGGGUUAUCAUUAUUCUGAUGACGGAAAUUUCUGCUUCGACUUCUCCCCCGUCUUUUUUGGUUUUCUGAAACAAGUGUAGCUGACUCAGAGGGAACUACUUCAGCAUUCUUUCUUCGAGAUUCUUCAUUCCGCAGUCUAUCUGUAACCAUAUCCAAGUUUAAUUUACCAUUCGGUGCCGAAUUAUUCACUGACACCACUAAUGUCUCCCAACUAUCAGGUAAAGAACUAAGCAACAACAAUGCUUGUAACUCGUCAUCUAGAAUAAUCUUCAUAGUAGUCAACUGAUCAACCAAACCCUGAAACUCACUAGUGUGUUCAGUAAUACUGUGGCCUUUUUUAUAUUUCAAGUUAACAAGCCUUUUCAUUAGAUUGACUUUAUUUUGUGCUGUUGGCUGCUCAUAAAUUAUUUCUAAUUUUCUCCAAAGAACAUCAGCCUUGGAUUCCUUCGCGACAUGAUGGUACACACUCUGAUCAAUCCAUGACCUAAUAGUGCCCACGGCUUUCUGGUUCAAUUGAGCCCAUUUCUUAUCAUCUAUAUCAACAAGUUUAACUUCAUCACCUUCAAUAGGUUCAUGUAAGUCUUUCAUGUAGAGCAAAUCUUUCAUUCUAGACUUCCAAAUAUCAUAAUUCCACGACUCAAUUUAAUCAUGAACGCCAAAGACUCCUCUAUUUCAACCACAUAAGUAAUAAAAACACACAACCUGGCUCUGAUACCACUCUAUUGGGAAAACGACUACCACAAACAGCUACAAAUUAAGCGAAAAUAAAAUUCUUUUCCUCUUUGUGUGAUUAAAAUAGGAUGUGCACCAUAAACAAAUAAGCAGAAAAAUUAAUCAAUAAAUUCAAAGCAAAAAUCAACCACAAGAGACACCGAUUUUAACGUGGAAAAUUCAAAUCGGGAAAAACCAUGGGACAAUAGUCCGAUAUAAAUUUCCACUAUAUUAAUGGGAUUACAGUACAAAUUCUUCUCCAGAUAACACUAGAGGUUAACAACAUCAAGAUUUUCAACAAUCUUGGCUUACAAUAAUAGAUCUAAAAUCUAUUUCUUCAAUAAGUGAGUAUCUCCAAUAACAGCUAAUGAGAGAAUAAAAUAUAGAUCAACACGAGUAGAAAUGUAAAGGGCGAUGUCAGGAACUUAUCCUCCAAAUUUGGGAGAAAUCAAAGCUAAAAUUAUUUUUCGAUCGUUGAAUCAAAGAUUGAAAACCCAAAGAAAAAAAAUAUCUUUUUCUCUCGCAACGUCUUCUCACUUGCGCGAAAUGGCUACAUCUCUCGCGAUUAUUCACUUAUUUCCUUUAUAUUUUUUUUGGUUAAUUUCAUCCAAGUCUAAAAUUUUACAAUAAUUACACAUCAAGCAAAUUAUUUUGGACUUUGGGCUUUUGGUCCACUGAAGUGAGAUGGACCCUACAGAAGCAAUAAUCAGUGCAAGAAAAUUAAGUGAAGUUCCAGAGAUGAUGGCAGAUCUAAACCCUUUUGUAAAACUCCAAUAUCUUGGCCUCCGAAUUCUACCAAAAUUAAAAAAGCGUCUAUUGGAAUGUGUUGCCCUCUCCACAUGUCAGGGAAAUUUUUGUAUCUGAAUGCCCAAUUCUCAUUAGAGGAGAGGAACACUGGUGGAAUAAGUUGCAAUGGGAGGAUGAAGCAACCUAUAAUGCUUUUCUUCCUUGUUUUGGAUCCAUUUGAUGGGCAUCAACAUGGAUUAAUAUUUUGCAGCGAACCAAUUUGAAUAAAACUUACGGUAAGUGCUUUUCCAUUUAUUGCAUAUUUAUAUCUAAUUUUUGUUUUCCUUUAUGGUUAAAUUUUGCCCUGUAUAUGUUGUUGUACGGUGACAUUCUUGAAUCAAUUAUUAAUUUUUUUAAUUCUCGUCUCACAACCACCCUUUUGAUCAUGAGGAUAUGCCGAUAUCAAAGAGUCAUAAUUUGGGAUACAAAUGUAAGAAUUAGGCAGAUGACAUGUUGUUUCAAAGCUUUCGAAGAAGGACUAAAUAUGUCAUUGAAAGCCUCCAAUUUUGCGACUGAUUUUUUUUUAAUUUGUUAUUUUUAUAGGUGGCAAAAAUACCCGUCUGAUUUGGACUCGGCUGAUUUGGGCCGGGUACGGAGUAUGAAGCCGGGUUGGUCCUGGGCAUCACUUGAAACUCGGAACCUGGAUUUUAUUAAAAAAUAUUAUAAAUAUAUAUUAUUUUAAAUAUCUAUAUUUAUUAGACUCAUCUAUUACAUAUAUCUAAUUUCAUUGAAAUAAAUUUAAAAAUUAUAAAAUUACCAAUAUAUAUAUAUAUAUAUAAUAUUAAAAAAGUAUAAAAUCUGAGUCCUCAGAUUAAAACCCAGUUCAAGUGUCUAAAAAAUACAUGUGGACCGAGUUUGAACAUUGCGAUACCCAGACCCAAACUUGGGUUUUGCCAACCCUAGUCUUUUAAAUUGCUUGAUUGUAAUGUUUUAGUAUAGAAAAAUGAUAGCCAAGACAACAAUAAGAGGGCACAUUGUGCAUGCACAAUAGUGGAUAAUUUCGGCAUUCCAAAUCCAAUUAGGGUGGAUAACCUUUUAUUAGUAUUAACCUUCUCUCGUAUUCAAGUAAUGUAAAAUAUGCUUAGAAGCUGUGGAUCCCCCUUUAUAAGUGUUGGGCUUAUGCCAAACUCGAUUGAUGUGGGAUGCCUUUAUAGGCAUCAAGUUUUCUCCCAUACACUUUAUGUUAAAAAUAAUAAUGAUAAAAUAAAUCCAUUUUAAAAUAGACUUCUUUUUCUUUUCUAUAUAAACAAACUCAUUCUUCAAAUCAGUUGUGGGUGGAAGGAGUGAGUAGAGAAGAACUGGGCCCCUUUCGUUCCUCUAAAAACCUCACCAAACCUCUCUUGUAAGCUUCUCAGUGUCCCUCUCAAUAUUUCUUAUGAUCUCGUUUUUUAUUGAAUCACUUCUUUUGUGUGCUGCAUUUUUGUGUGUCGUAUUUGGGUUUAUCUUAUCUGGAAUCCUGUUAUGAUUGAUGGAACAAGUAAUCGAUUUUUGGUUUAUUUGGAAUGGAAUUAUGGUUUAUUUGGAAUGGAAUUAUCUGGGUGUAACGGAUUAAAUUAUGACAUUGGGGAGAAGGCACUAAGGGGUUUGCUUGACACAUUUGGUUCUGUGUUUACUCUGAAAGAAAUAGCUUUUGCUUAUCGUAAUGCAAGGCGAAAUCCCGAUUUGGGUGGUGAAUUUCUCUAUCCCAAUUGGGCUGGUGAAUUUCUCUGUGACAAAUAGGCAAACAGCUCAACCUCUUUUAUCUAUCUUCUACUAGUGAGGCAAGGGAUAAAAAGUCUUCAAAAUCAUCAAAUAGUAACAUCUUCGAGAAUUCAUUUUAUGCAAAUGGAAAAUCUAGACCUUCUAAGACAAAAUGGCGUCCAGUAUCAAGAGGUACCGUUUCAAGUUUUCUUGGUAAAAAUUAUGUAAACUUGCACAGCCAGCUAAUGGCACUUUUCUAGUUUUCUGGCAUCAAAGCCAUUGAAGUCGUAUCCAAAGGAGUUUCCCAUGUCUGCACUUUGUGGAGAAGGAACUAAACAAAAACAAUCAAAGGAUGACCAUUUGCAGAAGGAUGUGGAAGAUUUUCUGUUUAAAUUGCUAGGAGAAGUGUUCCAGCUGAAUAGGGAUGUGAUUCGGGAAGUUCCAGUAAUGUCUUAAAUAUGUUGAUGCCAAUUUAAUAUAUAUUGUCAUUUUCAAUGUUCUUUCUUUCUUUCUUUAUCUUCUUUUCUUCUACUUCUUCUUCUUUUUCUUUUCGUGUGCAUGUGAUCACUAAUUUGUUAUUAUACUUAACUUGCAGGUAGUUGUGGAUAUGAUAUGCAAAAGGUAAGGACUAUAUCUUCCUGAUAGAGGCCUCUGCUUUUUCCCUUUUAUGUAAUUUAGUAAAUCUCAUCUCCCUUUGUGAUUGUUAUAUCAUAUCAAAGUCAAGUCUUAAAUACUGCUGUCAUAUGUUAAGGUUCAACUUGCAUUUUGACUAACAUCCAUUUGUUGUCGCUUCCAAAAGUGAGAAUGAGAUACUUCGGUUAAUUUCAGUAGUUGAACCCAAUCGAGUACUUUAUCUAGAUCUUCAUGGUUCAAAGGCCUGAAACUUGCCCGUGAUUGUAAAAUGAUAUUAUGUGCUUUUAAUGCAAUAGGGGGAACAAGGUGUCAAAGGAAUUAGCAGAUUCUAUGGCAGAUUCUAUGCCUGUACAACUGUAACAAUUAUCCUUAUGAUUGUAAAUCUUAUAUGUUUUCCUUAUUUAGGAUAUACUAGCUGUAGGCUAUUUUAGAUAGUUAUGUAUAUGAUAGUUUAGCUAUGUUUAGGGCUAAACAUAAGCUUGUAUUCAUAGUAUAUAAAGGGAAUUCUCUUCUAAGAGAAAGCAUAACUUUUGCUCAAAAUUCUCUGAGUUUAUCAUGGUAUCAGAGCCUCAGUUCUGAAUUCUCUUCUUCCUAGUUCAUUCCCUUGUUCUUAGUUAUUCUUUUUUUUAUCAAGUUAUCUCAGCCUCAUGUCUUCAGACAAGUAUGAUGCUUUUUUGAUCCGUUUUAAUGGCACAAACUACUCAGCCUGGGCAUUUCAUUUCGAGAUAUUUGUCAAAGGCAAAGAUCUAUGGGGACAAGUUGAUGGCAGGAAACCUGCCCCUGAUAAAGAGAUAGACCAGGAUGGGUACGCCAAGUGGGAAGUCAAGGAUGCUCAAAUCAUGGCAUGGAUUCUAGGAUCUGUGGAAUCCAACUUCAUCUUGAAUCUUCGACCCUUCAAGACUGCAGCAGGAAUGUGGAAUCAUCUAAAGAAACUCUACAGUCACACCAACACUGCUCGUUGAUUUCAGCUUGAACAUGAGCUAGCCAAUCUCCAACAAGGCAGUCUCUCUAUUUCUGAUUUUUAUUCUAUCUUUAUGAUUAUUUGGGCUGAAUAUACUGAUAUAAUCUAUGCUACCUUACCUCCGAAGGUCUUAGUUUUGUUCAAUCUGUACAUGAAACUACUAAGAGAGAUCAAUUUAUGAUAAAACUGAUAUAUGAAUUUGAAAGCACUAGGUCCAAUCUUAUGAAUUGAGAAUCUGUCCCUUCCUUGGAUACAUGCCUCAAUGACUUAUUUCAUGAGGAGCAACGACUUCUUACUCAAAAUACCAUGAAACAAAAAAAAUCUACUUCUGUUCCUAUGGCUUAUGCAGCUCAAGGCAAGCCAAAAGGUAAGGACAUCAGUAUAGUUCAAUGUUUUUGUUGCAAAGGAUUUGGACAUUACGCUUCAAAUUGUUCAAAAAAAUUAUGCAACUAUUGCAAAAAAGAUGGACAUAUCAUUAAGGAAUGCCUUACUCGACCCCCCAAGAAAUCUGAAACAACAUAUGCUACCUCAGUUGGUUCUUCUAGUGAUGGUAGUUCUGUGGAUACAGCACAUUUGACCCAAAGUGCUCCUGUUCCUGUUCAAUCUGUGACCCCAUAAAUGAUUCAACAAAUGAUCAUUAUUGUAUUCUCCUCAUUAGGACUCUCAGGUAAAUCACCCACUAGAUCUCCUUGGUACUUUGAUUCUGGGGCUUCCCAUCACAUGACAAACAAUGCUAAAUUCUUCACCAAUGUAAGUAAAUACCUUAGAAAUCUAAAAAUUCAUACAGCUGAUGGCAACUCUUUACCUAUCACAGCCACUAGUGAUGUUUCUUUUUCUAUAACCAAUGUCUUUGUCUCUCCUGGUCUUCCUACUAAUCUUGUUUCAAUCGGUCAGUUAGUUGACAAUAAUUGUAAAGUAGAAUUCUCUAAAUCUAGUUGUGUUGUGCAGGAUCAGCAGUCAGGGAAGAUGAUUGCCAGGGGGCCUAAAAUAUGACGUCUUUUCCCUCUCCAAUUUGCUAAGUCUCCAUGUUUCUCUUUGCCUAUCAUCACUUGCAAUUUUACUAAGGUUAAUUAUCGAGCAUGGCAUAAACGUCUAGGACACCUAAACUCUAAUGUAUUUUAUGCUUUGCUAAAUUCUGGUUUACUUGGGAAUAAAAGAUCACCAUCCCUUAGUGUUGUUCAAUUUGAUUGCAAUUCUUGCAAGCUUGGAAAAAGUAAAAUUCUGCCAUUUCCCACUCACACACCGAAUGUUGUCCAGCCUUUUGAUUUGAUACAUAGUGAUGUGUGGGGUAUGGCGCCUGUUACAUCUCAUGCUAAUUACAAGUACUUUGUCACUUUUAUUGAUGACUAUAGUCGCUUCACAUGGAUUUAUUUUCUACAUUCUAAAGAUGAAGUGUUCUCUGUUUUCAAGCUUUUUCAUGCAUAUAUUCAGACCCAAUUUUCUACUAAUAUCAAAAUUCUUUGCUUUGAUAAUGGGGGUGAGUAUAUGUCUCAUUUAUUUUAAGAAUUUUUGCACACCAAUGGUAUAAUUUCUCAAAGAUCUUGUCCUUCAACCCCUCAACAAAAUGGGGUGGCUGAAAGAAAGAACUAUCACCUUCUCGAUGUUGUCUUCAUUUGUACCCUCUCGUUUUUGGUGUGAAGCUUUCUCCACUGUUGUCUAUCUCAUCAACAGAUUGUCCUCUCAUUCCUUGAACCAUGUCUCCCAUUUCUUUCAGUUAUUUGGCCAUACACUAAGUUACUCUCAUCUCCAUACCUUCAGUUGUGUGUGCUAUGUUCAUCUUCCUCCAUAUGAGCGUACAAAACUCACAGCCCAAGCUGUGAAAUGUGCUUUUCUAGGAUAUUUUAUGCACUAAAAAUGUUUUCUUUGUUAUGAUCCAAAUUUGCAUCAUAUAAGGGUUUCUCGAAAUGUGAUUUUCUUUGAAAAUCAGUAUUUCUUUUCCGCAUACCACGACGAUUCUUCGCCUUCAUUUUCUGUUUUGCCAAAGUUUACUAACCCUUCUGCAGAUUCUGCACCUUCUAAACCUAUCAUAGUCUAUCAGCGACGCAAGAAUUUAGUACCUCUCGGGCCCCCUCCAGCAACUUCCCUGAAUGUUGAUCCAGUUCCAGCAACUGCACCUGAACCUUUCAGACAUAGUACUCGGGUUCGUAGACCACCAGAUAGGUAUGGUUUCACCUCUCCAUUAUUUUUGACAGCCACUUUGUCUUCUAUUCUUAUUCCUUCAUCAUAUAAACAGGCAAUAGAGCAUGAAUUUUGGUGAAAAUCUAUUGAAUCAGAACUUCUUGCACUUGAAGAAAACCAAACUUGGGAUAUUGUUUCAUGUCCUCCAUCCGUGAAACCCCUUAGUAGUAAGCUAGUGUUUUCUAUCAAGCUGCGUUUUAAUGAAUCCAUAGAUCGUUACAAGGCUCGGUUGGUGGUUCUUGGCAACAAGCAAGAAUAUGGCCUAGACUACGAUGAGACCUUCGCGCCGGUAGCCAAAAUGACCACUGUUCGAACAAUAUUAGCCCUUGCUGCAUCACAAUCAUGUUCUUUACAUUAAAUGGAUGUAAAGAACGCUUUCCUACAUAGUGAUCUCAAGGAGGAAAUUUACAUGAAACUUCCCCACGGUAUGACUACUUCCUCUCCUAAUGAUGUUUGCAAACUAAAAUGUUCGUUGUAUGGGUUGAAGCAAGCACCGCGAGUAUGGUUUGAGAAGUUUCGAUCAACUCUUUUCAGUUUUUCAUUCACUCAAAGUCAGUAUGACUCCUCCUUUUUUUUUUCCAACAGACAUCUAAGGGCAUCAUUGUUCUCCUUAUUUAUGUGGAUGACAUCGUUAUCACUGGUUCUGAUAUGGAGGCAAUUUCUAAACUUCAGAAUUUGUUGCACUCUAUUUUUCACAUGAAAGACCUCGGUCAACUCACCUAUUUUUUGGGGUUAGAGGUGCAUUAUCUGCCUCAAGGUAUCUUCUUGAAUCAACACAAGUAUAUUCAGGAUUUAAUUUAAUUAGCUGGACUUAUGGACAAAAAUUCUGUUGACACCCCAGUGGAACUUAAUGUGAAAUAUCGACAAGACGAAAGGGAACUACUUCAAGAUCCUACUUAUCUAUCUAACUAUCACCCGCCCAGACAUCUCUUAUGCUGUCCACACCGUUAGCAAGUUCAUGCAAGCCCUUCGACAUCUCCACGUAUCCACAGUCCGCCGCAUCAUUAGAUAUAUUCUUGGCACUCUUAACUGCAGUUUAUUCUUCCCUACUGGUUCUUCACUCCAACUACAAGCCUACAAUGACGCAGAUUGGGCUAGCUGCCCGGACACGAGAAAAUCUACUUUGGGAUGGUGCAUGUUUCUUGGUGAUGCCCUUAGCUCUUGGAAAUGCAAAAAGCAAGACUCAGUCUCCAAAUAAUCCACUGAGGCAGAAUACCGCGCCAUGUCUGUAGCCUGCUCCAAGAUCAUUUGGUCGCGUGGUCUCUUAACAGAGCUUGGUUUCUCACAACAUCAACCUACUCCCCUACAUGCUGACAACACAAGUGCCAUCCAAAUUGUAGCCAACCCUGUCUACCAUGAGCGCAUGAAACACAUAGAGGUUGACUGCCACUCUAUUCGAGAGGCCUAUGACCACCAAGUUAUCACCCUCCUGCAUAUCUCCACUACUCUACUGAUUACGAAUAUCUUCACCAAAUCCAUGACAUGUCAGCGACAUAACGUUCUUGUUAGCAAAUUGAUGCUUGUAGAUUUACCAGCAUCAAUUUGAGGGGGGAUGUCAAAGGAAUUAGUAGAUCUUAUGGCAAAUUCUAUGCCUGUACAGCUGUAACAAUUAUCUUUAUGGUUGUAAAUCUUAUAUUUUUUCCUUAUUUAAGAUAUACUAGCUGUAGGCUAUUUUAGAUAGUUAUGUAUAUGGUAGUUUAGCCAUGUUUAUGGCUAAACAUAAGCUCGUAUUCAUAGUAUAUAAAGGGAAUUCUCCUCCAAGAGAAAGCAUAUGAAAGAAACUUAGUUCUAUAUUGUUUGGUAGGCUAGAAAAUGAAAGAAAAUAAAAGAAAAGCUUUGCAAAGAAAACUGUUAGAUCCUUUUAUUAUACCAAACUUACAGUUUAAUGACUAAAAAUUGAUAUUUAUAUUGAGCUACAAACUCUUCACACACACACACGAGAUUGUUGCAACACAUAACCAAUUGCUGUAUAACUAACUUGACACAUCAGCUCAACCAGCUAACUAACUUUGACAGGUCAGCUUAAUGAUUUGAUCUGAUACAACCAGCUACACAGCAACAUCAUGCUCUGCUCCAGCUUCAUCUAAUUCACUAACAACUUUUGCUCAAAAUUCUCUUAGUUUAUCACAGGGAAGUAUAGCUUUGGAAAAGGCCGGAUCAAUAACUAUGGAGAGAUUUAUAAGUGAUAAAAAUUCCCGUAACCCGCUGUCAAGAAAAUUUCACAUAGUUAAAGACGCCAUUUUGUUUCAGCCAAAAAUGUUUGUUUAAUCUGCCAAAAAUGUUUGUUUCGAUUAAAGACUUGAACCGUUUUCAUUUAACCUGAUUGUGAUGCUUUAUGUUAUGUAUGUUCCUCUCAAUCAAGAAAAGUUGAGGUUCAUGAUUUUAUAUUUCUAUCUUGUAACUUGCAAUAAUAACUGGUCUUCUUGUUUUUGUAGCUUGAUAACAUGAAUUUUCCUUCUCAAGUUAAUUUGAUCAAUAAAGUAAUUCUUCAAAGAAAAUAUGCCCAUUCUAUAAUCAUUUUCUUAGCUAAUAUGUUUUUUUUUUGUUUACUCUUCAGAGUGUGUCGAAACUAAUUGAUUGCUCGGCAGAGACUUUGGGUGACAAGUCAAAAUUUCAUGGUAAAUCCUCUGAAAAGGUAUGCAUAAUUCCUGAAUAUUAAAUAACCAAUGGUCAUAGUUUUUGUACACGACUCUUUUUGUGGAGAUCGUUAAAAGUGGUUGAUGAUCCAUUUGUAAUUUCAUAGAGGGAUCAUCAAUUCCUUUUCUUUUCUGUGGCUAGGCAUCACUUUCGUGCCAAAGUAAGGAAAUCUAUUUUAGGUAAUGUAAAAAACAAUGGUAGGAUGUAAUAGCUUAUUAUGCACUGACAAUAACUUUUUGUAUAAUUGUCAGUUUAAGGAAUACAAGAGGAACUCUGUUGACAAAUUCAUCCAAGAUAGAUGCUAAAAUUAUUUAUGCAUGCCAGUUGCCUUAACUAAUUUUUCUUAACACUUGUAUUGAACAGGAAAUGAGUAUGCAAUUUGUGUACGUGCCAUUGUGGAGAAUUUGGAUAUUCUUAUUUAAGUAAGAAGAAGAGUAUUUGCCUCAUCUUUAAACAAUGAAUCUUUGAGAAAUGAGGAGUGGGUGAUUGGAAGUGUCUUCAUGUAAAUGUUCAUUUACUUGUAUUUUGAACUAUUAUGAGAAUCUUUUAUAUGCCAAAUUAGUAAUACAAAUGUUCAGAUGAUUUUUCCUGUUGAUCACGCGUUUGUGUCUGCAGACAACCAUUGUAUAUCACUUUAUUCUGAUGUGCAAUUAUGUAUAGAUUAGAAGAAAAGAAAUAAUAGUCUUAUAUUAUUGUUUGGUUCAUGAUUAUUAAACGAUUAUGGCUUCAAAAAAUCUACAAAUUCCUUCUGUUCAUAUAUGAAUGUGCCAAGUUUGCUAUAUCUUAGAUUGCCUUCUUCCAAGAUAACAAGUUCAUAUGUUUUUUAAUCCUCUUCAAUCACAGUUGAAUUUUAAGUGUUAAGAUUUGUUAUUAAUACCUGGUUCCCUGUUAUUAUGAUUUUUAUUAUGAUUUCAUAAACAGUGUACGGACAUGUGCUCUACUUUUAAAGGGCCUCCACGUGAAAGAAAAUUGCAACAAUUGAAUUCUUCCGGAGGGUAUGGCAUUUAAUUUAUUUUCUCAACUUCUUGUAAGACUAAUAUAUUUCCUUCAGUAGGCAGGGCAUGUUGGGAAGGGCUUUUAUUGAAAGAAUUCUGAUAUUUCUUAGACUUUGUUUUGGAAGGGAGGUGGAGGGAUUUCUCAUCCAUAUAUGGUUACUUGAUUAGCUUUUGACUGUAUUGCCUCAGUCGUGCAAAGGAAGAUCCAAAUACUAAUGAAUGAGAAUUGGUUAGAGACCCAAAAGACAGAAAUGAACUACAGAAGGAAGUUUUUGCUGCUUUAUUUAGUGUUCCUGAGAACUCUGAUGAAGAUGGAGUGGAGGUCCAAAGCAUUAAGAAAGGUGGUGAGUGAACCGCCAGAGGAAUUGGUACCAGAAUACAAAGCUAAUGUGGUGCAUUUGCAGCAAGAUAACCAGACUAGUAUGUGCUCUUGUAUUAACUAUAUUGACUGGAUUUGUGAGCAUGUUCAUUUUUGUGUGUAUAAUCACUUUUGUAUUUAUGCAUAUUAAUGUUAGUAGGAUUCUUGAUUUCCUCCACUUACUGGAGAACUAGUGGAAAGCUUUAUAGUGAAAUAUCUGCAAUAACUAAUGGAAACCAUGAUUUGAAUAUUUUCUCUCACCUGGAGAGCUUUGUAACAGAUGUACUUUGUGGCUAUGGAAUACUAGAGAUUCUGCAAUAACUAAUGGAAACUCUGAUAUGAAUAUUUUCUCUCACCUGCAGAACUUUGUAACAGAUACACUUUGUGGCUCUGGAAUGUCUAAAGAUUUUGUCUGCUUCAGUUAGAUCAAAUAUCUUUUAGUUACCUACAUUAUGGAAAAGAUAGAGUUCUCUGAAUCUGAAAGACUGAAACAUUUUGCAUAUUUCGUGAAAGGAAAAUAUCUGUAGAUACUAGUUCAUGCAUUGAGGUAACAUCAAUGUUAAAGAAAAACAGCAAUAACUUAUUAUAUAGAAUUAGGUUCACUUGCUUUAAAUGCUGGUCUGGUCAACCAUAUGAACCUGUAAGUGUAUCUGCAGAAAUAUAUAUGGGGGGACAAACUAGCUAAAUUUUCCUCUCAUUUCUGGCUUUGGUCAUUUUUUCCCCUUAUUUUUCAGCUUUCCUUCUCCUGAAGUAUGUUAACAAUUGCAGAUAAUGACGAAGAGGACAGCUUGCAGGCUCUUCGUGGAGCUGUGAUGGAAUAUAGGGGCACAAUGAAAGAACAUUUUAAAGCUGUAGGUUCUUUUUCUCCUGUCAUUUAUAUUUGCUCACACAUUUUUCAUAUGCUCCAAGCAUGCAAGUUUGUAUGUGUCUUUGCCUUUUAAGUUUUAAAAACCAUAAGGUAAGAAUACAGUUCCUCGUCAGGUUAUUGAUGCAUUCACUCCGGAGGAUCAUGUUCGAGCAGGAAAACUUCUAGAACAGGCAAGGUUUUCCAUCUACAGCCAUCUAUUGACAACAGAUACAUUUUCAUUCAGCAGACACUGUUAGCAUUCAAGAUGCUGGCAGAUUCACUUGAUUCUUAUUAGUUUGUUUAGUGGUAAAGCAUAUAACCUGUUUUUCAAAGCCAAGUUGUGCUAUUGAUUAUGUUAACUUUAUUGUUCACAUAAAGUGAUAUGGAGGAAAUAAUCAUUGUAGGAAAAUUAGGUGAAGAGGUGAUGUCAAAUCUUGAACCUGUUACAAAACUCCAAGUUCUUUACUUGAAGAAGCUACCAAAUUUGAACAGGGUCCACUGGAAGGCCUUGCCAUUCCCUGAUGCCUGCAGAAUUUUUGUAUUUAAAUGCCCAGAGCUUAAGAAGCUGCCACCGGAUCUUGAAAGGGCAGGCCAAGGUAAAAUUCUUAUCAAGGGAAAGGAAGAUUGGUGGAAACAACUUCAAUCGGAGGAUCAAGUAACUCAGAAUGCAUUGCUUCUAUUUUUAAAAUCAACUGACAAGUGAUUGAAGGGGGCAUCAUCAACAUCAUCAACAUGGAUGGAGAGAUUCAGGAGCAGAUCCGCAGGGUUUAUUACGACCUGUGGUGGUUGCUUUUUUGUGACUUGUUCCCUUUCAUUUUUUCACUUCCUGUCAUAUUAUCAUUUCUUUGUCUCUGUUUCUAUUGCUGAUGUUGCUGCAUGCUUGCAGCCCUUGACAAAGUUAGCAAUGCAAUAUAGAUUUUGAAAUUAAAUUUUGUAUGUUCGGGACAGUCACAAAGUACUACUUGUUCUAUAUGGGGGUGAUGUGAAUCAACUUUUCAAUUAUAUAUUCUGUGGUAAUUGUGAAUUCAAUUUCAUUUGUCUCCUGCAAAUUAUGAAGAAAGUGCAGAGUUAGAAUAUCGAAAAGUUCACUGGCAAAUACUUUGUAAAAGCUUCGGAGUGAAACAGGGAAUGCACUUGCAACUAAGGACAAAUUGGUGGCCAGCUAAUGCAUUCAUUUUAUGUACAUUCAUCUUUUUAAUUAUUGAAGAUAAGUGGUUCGUUGCUUUUGUUGUAGAAAAAAUUCAGACGACCUCAAUUGUGAGAUGAAAAUAUUUAAAAUAUCUCUUAAAUUAUUAUAAACUUUAAUUUAUCUUAAUUUUAUUUAAAAGAUAAAAGAAAAAUGUGGUAUAUGGGUAAAAAUUUUUUUAUCUUGUUAAUAAAAUGAAAUAAAUUAAAAUUUACAAUAAUUUAAAGUAUUUUAAAAUUAUUAUUUCAUAAGAGAUUAAUAUGAAAUUAAUCCUUUUUACUUUUUGAAUGUGAAAGGACAAGAAAAGAGAAAGCUAGUGUCACUGCUUUUUAUUUUAUUUGAAAUCGGAGUUAUCCCAUAUACUUUACUACUUUAGCUCUAACAUUACAAUGUUUUUAGGCUACACUUUUAUUUUUCUUUUUCCCCCUUUUUUUAUACAUGCAUGUGGAUUACUUUUCUCUAAGCUCCUUAAUAUUUAAGACAAAUCAUAAAAGCAAUUGAAGCAUAACAAGAUGAUCAAAACAUUUAACCGAAAAAAAAAGAAAUAAAACAUUGAAAAUGGAGAUGUUGAUUAAUUUAGAAGAGAUGCAAGCAAAAAAUAUUCCCAAAAAAAAAAAAAAAAAAAGCAACGUUAGUUCAUCCAUGUCUGUCAAUGCGUUUUUUAUGGUUUUUUUUUUCCAGUUGUUUGUUGUAAUAGAUUAAUUGUAAAUUGAUAUAAACUUGAUGUUGUAAUAUGUUCGCUUUUGUGGAAAUAAAUUUCAAUAUUCAAGAUUAUUCAAGUCUUAUCUAGUAUGUGUUCGGUUGUGUUGUCGAUAAUUUUACAUUCUAAUAAGUUUUCACCUAAAAUAUUAGCAUGAGUAGUAGUCCUUAAACCUUUGGUCAAAAUUAUUGUUAUUGUUUCUUUUAGAGGAAAUUUUUUUAUUAAAGCCUCGUUAACACUAUUCCUUAUUAAGAUUAUAAGUUAGUGUCGGUGCAGGAUUUGCAGCGACAAAUCUUGUCUAGCCACGUGUCAAAAUACAAAUAAAUCAAGGGAAAGCACAUGACAUGGAUUAGGAUCCAAUAAAAUUUAAAUCCCAAGGAAAAGGACAACUGUAUCCUAAAGUUUCAAUAAGAGAUACUGGGAUAUCUUUUGACUAAUGUUAUUUUUUGGCUUUAUUAAUAAAAAGAUCCAAUAGUUUAUAACAAAUAAAAAUAUAGUAUUAAGCUAAAUGUGAUAAUUUACACAUUUUACAUAAUUUCAAUAAAAAUUUUUUUAAUGUUUUACAAUCUAUCAGACAUAUUUUAUUAAAUUAAUAAGAAUUUUCUUAUAAAUAGCAACAUAAUAUUAAAAUAAAUUUAUAAAAAUUUAAAUGUAAAAUAAUUUUAGUAUAAUUAAUACGCGGGAUAUAUUUUGUAAAUUAUAAAAUUACUUAACCCAAUGAUUUUUAAAAAUCUUUAAAAUAAAUAAAAAUAAAUUAUUCACAUUUUGAUGUAAAUAUUUAAAACAUUUUUAUACAUUAGUCCACAAUUAUUUAUGUUAUAUUUGUAUUUAUUAGAAAUUUUGAAAGUCAAAUGUUUUUUACCUCUAUGUUAUUAGAAUUAUUGCACACAGAGAAAGAGCCAUAUAUGCUUUAUAACUUUAAAAUCGAUUUGUUUUAUAGCUGGGAAUAGAGAUGAUCAUUAUUAUAAGGAUUUUUUAAAAAAAGAUAAAGAAUAUUAAUGAUUAGCGAAAUCUCUAUGGAAAUUGAAUUUAGUAAGAAAAAAUUGAGCUGAUUUUAGUGGUAUAGUAAUAUUUUAUAUAGAGAAAAGUAAAAGCUGCACCCAAGGUUAAGGGAAAUGGUCAAAAUUCUUUUUUAAUCAUAAUACCCUUUUUCCUAGAUAAUUUAAAAAUUUUACUCUAAUAGUUUAUAAUAAAUAAAAACAUAUAAUCCUAAAAUAAAUAAAAUGAUAUAUAUUUUAAAAUAAUCUCAAUAUUUAAAAUAUAUUUUAACAUUUUAUAAUCUAUUAGAUAUAUUUUAUUAUAUUAAAGUAAAUUUUAUAAUAAAUACAAAACAUACUAUUAAAAUAGAUAUAAAAAUUUUAAAGUAUUUUGAAUAUUAUAUAAAAUAACUUUAAUAUUGUUAAUGCAUGAGAUGCAUUUUAUUAAUUAAAAAUUCUAUGUAACCCAAAGAUUUAUUUAUAAUAAAUUAAUAAUCAUAUUUUUGAAAUUAUUUUAAAUAUUAAAAAAUAUUUUAAUAUUACUAACUAUUAGAUAGACUAAACUAUUUAUUUUAUUUUCUAUUUAUUAUAAAAUUUCAAAGUUAAUCUUUUUAACUACUAUUCAAAAGAUGUUAUGAUAAAAACAGAAUUUUUGUGUUUUUAUUGAAAAUUUGGAGUUUACAUCUAUUUUUUCAAAUAUUCAGGGUGUAACUGUUUUUUCCCUUUUAUAUAUACGAACGGUGGUGAGAAAGUUUGAUUUAACGUUAUUUAUUUAAAUAAAAUCUCAGUUAAAAAUGUACAGAGAAGAAAUUUCGGUUGGUAUUUUAGUCUUGGUAAUCUCUAUAUUAUAUGCAUAUAAGAUACAUCAUUCUCACAUGAAUAGUAUAUGUGUGAGAUCCAUAUAUUAUUCAUGUGAGGGAGAUGUAUCUUAAUAAGAUAGAGGGAUCCGUUAGUCUUUUACCAAUCAUCACGAUUAGGCCUUGGCCUUGAAACAUUAAUUGUUUCACUUUUAGCGCUAGUGGCGUUGAAAGUUGUCAAGAAAAAGCAAGACCAUAUUCCACAAAAGCAAAAGUAACGUAGGCUCUUUUAUUAAAGGCAAAGUAUAAAGUAGUCAAGAAUCGAAUAUCCUGUCGUCUACUCUUUUUUAAAUUCUUCUUUUAUUAUCGUUUAGAAUAGUUUUUGGUAAUUACAAUCAUUAUUCAGAGUUAUUGUUAUCUUCCGGGGCAGUCUCUGUUCAUCGAAGUCGUUACCUUUUUUUUAAUGGAUCAGUUCCAGUGGUAAGCAGUAAUUUUCUUAGAACUCGGAUCUUUAAUUCGAGUUUCUGUGUGAAUUAAUAAUAAAAAAUUUUCAUUACACGCAAUUUAAGCUACGAAUUACUUUUUGCAAAGUUGAAUAUGGAAUUGGAGAAAUUAAGUAAUUUAGAAUGUUGGUAAAAAUUGACGAACAUAUCUCCAAUUACAGUAAAACCUCUCUACAGUCAUAACAUUAUAACAAAAUUAAUUUUAUUACUAUGUUGAGGUAAUAUAGGUUUAGUUACAAAAUUAUUGUUUUAAUAUGGUUAGUGUCAAGUGAUAUAAAGGUUAAGUAUGCAGUACAUUAAUAAUUAAAUAAUGAAGUGUCAAAUCUAAUGUAUAUAUAUUAAUGAUAUAGAUAGACAUAGUUUUAAAAAACUAAUUAAUGUAUAUUUAUGUAGUGUUAUGAAUAUGGAAAGUCAAGCCUACACUUUACAUUAUCCUUAAUUUUUUCUCUCAGUUAAAUUCUACAAAUAUUGUACAAUGGUUGGGCAAGAACUCUAAAUUAAGAAUAAAUUAUUGUCACAAAUAAUUUUAGAAAAUAUUUUAUUUCGUCUUAAACCUUUAAUAUAAAUAAACAUAUAUAUAUAUAUAUAUAUAUAUAUAUAUAUAUAUAUGUGUGUGUGUGUGUGUGUGUGUGUGUGUGUGUGUGUGUGUGUGUGUGUGUGUGUGCAUAUUUUGCAACGUAUAGAUAAUUGUUAGUAUAUGGAGACAAGUCUUUUAAGGUAGGACCUAGGAAAAUUUAUAACUUACUACACUGUGGAGUUUUUAUUCCUUUUUAUAAUUGGCUCAUAUUGAUACAUUCUUACACAAAAUAUUACCAUUGACAUAUUUUACUACAAUUAGUUUAGAACAUUUGUUAGGAAAAAAAAGAAAAGAAAAGAAAACAUCCCUUGGAUGUAGCUCUCCUGACUAUUUAAAUCUUUUAAGGAAAAAAAGAAAAAAGAAAAACUGGCACAUUCAAAUCUUGAAGCAAUUACAUUAAAAUCUCUCCAUAAUGAUAGGAAUAAUCUCCAUUUAGUAAUAAAAAAUUUUGUUCGCAAUUUAGGCAGAGUUAUAAAUAAGAAUAAAAUCCUCAUUGUAAUAAGUUAUAUUUAUUAUGGAUCCCAUCCUAAGGAAUUCGUCUCUAUAUAGUAAUAAUUAUUUGCAUAUUAUAAAUAUAUAUGUUGCAUUAGAUUAAAUGAACUUGUCUCCACAUACUACUUAGACAACGAGAGAAAAUUAUUAAAGAGAACACAAAUAUUUAGAUAUUUUUAAGAUUACUUUGCAUAUUUAUAACAAUAAUACAUUGAUAUAUGUAUUAGUUUUUUGAUAUAUUAGAUUUAACAUGCUCUAUUAAUAAAUUAUUAAUACGAUGCAUAUUCAUCUCUAUAUCCUUGCAAUAAAAGUAACUAAGUUAUAACAAUAAUUAUUAAUAAAUUAUUAAUACGUUGCGUACUUCAUCUCUAUAUCCUUACAAUAAAAAUAACUAAGUUAUAAUGAUAAUUUUUGUAACUACAUACUUAUUAGGUUUUAACUACUUCAUAAUAAUAAAUUAGUUUCGUCCUAAUAUUAUAAUUAUGUAGAGUUGUAGUGUAUAGACACACCCAAUUUAAAUAGUAUAUCAAAUAAAAUUGUCCCCACGAAAAAGAAAAAAGGGGUAAAGGAUUCUCAUUUCUUCAAACAUUAGGAUCACGUUUGUACAAGUGCGAUGCCUUUCUUUUGAAGGCAACGUCAGUGGGUACCCAAUAGGACGUGUGUAAAUCUUUCCAAAAUUUCUCUGGUAUAACGGACAGAGAUCAUUACUUUUCUCUUCCAUAUACCACAGCAGCUUCAGUUAAUCAGACUCAAUCAAUUUUCUUGGUUUCUUCGCUUAUCAAAAUUCCAAAAUAUGGGUAGCAUAUUUCAAAUCACAUGCGAUGGUGCUUUUUUCAAUCGUUGCUUGGAUUGCUUUCUUGGAAAAGUAGCAAACACAAGUAAGCUCCAAGAUAACCUUGUUGCCUUGGAGACUGAAUUGGGAAAACUAAUCGCAGCAAAGAACGAUGUGAUGAUGAGGGUUGUCAAUGCUGAACGGCAACACCUGAGAACGCUGGACCAAGUGCAAGUGUGGCUUUCGAGGGUGGAAGCUGUUGAAACUGAAGCUGAUGAAUUGAAAAGACACGGCUCUCAAGAAAUUGACAAAUUAUGUGUUGGAGGCUACUGUUCCAAGAACUGCGCGUCAAGCUACAAGUUCGGGAAACAAGUGGCUAAAAAGCUACGGGAUGUGCAGACUUUAAUCGACGAAGGAGUUUUUGCGGCGGUGGCUACCGAGGUGGUGCCUGAGAGAGCUCCAGAACCUGUAGCAGAUGAAAGACCCACUGAGCCAACAAUAGUAGGCUUGCAAUCACAACUUGAACAAGUUUGGAGAUGUCUUGUAGAAGAAUCAGUGGGAAUCAUUGGCCUAUAUGGUAUGGGCGGUGUUGGUAAAACUACACUAUUGACCCAUAUCAACAAUAAAUUUCUUGAGAGUCCAACCAGUUUUGAUUGUGUGAUUUGGGCCGUAGUUUCAAAGGACUUGCGACUCGAAAAAAUUCAAGAAGAUAUUGGGAAAAAGAUCGGUUUGGUUGAUGAUUCAUGGAAGAGUAAAAGUGUAGAGGAGAAAGCUCUCGACAUCUUCCGGAGUUUAAGAGAGAAGAGAAUUGUAUUGCUGUUAGAUGAUAUAUGGGAGCGGGUUGAUUUAACAAAAGUGGGCAUUCCACUUUCCGGACCAAAAAAUACUACAUCAAAAGUCGUAUUCACAACCCGUUUCGUCGAUGUUUGUGGUAGCAUGGAAGCUGACAAGAAGUUCCAGGUGGCAUGCUUAUCAGAAGAGCAUGCUUGGGAACUGUUUCGAAAAAAAGUUGGGGAAGAAACUCUUGAGAGUGAUCAUGAUAUCGUUGAGCUAGCCCAAACUGUGGCCAAAGAGUGUGGUGGUUUGCCACUCGCACUUAUUACUAUUGGUCGAGCUAUGGCCUUCAAAAAGACAGCCGAGGAGUGGAGUCAUGCAAUUGAUGUGCUAAGAACAUCAGCUUCUGAGUUUGCAGGUUUGGGAGAAAAGGUUUAUCGUCUUUUAAAGUUUAGCUAUGAUAGUUUGCAGAAUGAGACGAUUAGAUCUUGUUUCUUAUAUUGUUGUUUAUAUCCCGAGGAUUAUAGCAUUCUUAAAUGGGACUUGAUUGAUUGUUGGAUUGGUGAGGGAUUCUUAGAGGAAUCUGACAGGUUCAGUGCAGAAAACCAAGGAUACUACAUUGUGGGCACUCUUGUUCAUGCAUGUUUAUUGGAAGAGUUAGAAGAUGAUAAAGUAAAAAUGCAUGACGUUGUUCGUGAUAUGGCUCGAUGGAUAGCUUGUGAAAUUGAGAAGGAGAAGAGAAAAUUUUUGGUUUGUGCAGGUGCUGGAGUAGGAGCGGUGUCAGAUGUUGAAGGAUGGGAAAAUGUGGGAAGAUUGUCAUUGAUGCAAAACCAAAUUGAAAUUCUGUCAGAGGUUCCCACAUGCCCUCAUCUCCUCACUUUAUUUCUUGACUUUAAUUAUAAAUUGGAGAUGAUCACCGAUGGCUUCUUCCAAUGUAUGCCUUCUCUCAAAGUUUUGAAGAUGUCAAACUGUGGGCAUGUCAAAGUUUUGAAAUUACCUUUUGGGAUGUCAAAGCUGGGUUCACUACAACUUCUUGAUAUUUCACAUACCGGCAUAAGAGAGUUACCAGAAGAGUUAAAGUUGUUGGUAAAUCUGAAAUGUUUGAAUUUGAGGUGGACACAUAUGUUAAAUAAAAUUCCACGGCAGCUAAUAUCAAAUUCUUCAUGGUUACGUGUGUUGAGAAUGUUCGCUAUUGGCUUUGAAAAUUCUAAAGAACCAUCAGAAGACAGCGUUUUAAUUGGUGGGGGUGAAGUUUUAGUACAUGAAUUGCUCGGUUUGAAAUAUUUAGAGGUAUUGGAGUUGACCUUGCGAAGUUAUGAUGCUCUCCAAUUUUUUUUGAGCUCAAAUAAGUUAAAAAGUUGUAUUCGAUCUCUUUUCCUCAAUAAGCUGGGAGAUACAAAGUCGAUUCAUGCUACGGCUUUCGCAGAUCUAAAGCAUCUCAAUGAACUAUGCAUUCGUUCGGCAGUGGAGUUGGAAGAAUUGAAGGUUGAUUAUACAGAGAUUGCGCCAAAAAGGUCGGAACCUUUUGUUUUCCGCAGCCUUCACCGUGUUACUAUGGAGCGGUGCCAUAAAUUGAAAGAUUUGACAUUCCUCGUUUUUGCUCCAAGCCUCAAGUCUCUUUCGCUAUACGGUUGCAAUGCUAUAGAAGAAAUAAUCAGCGUUGGAAAAUUUGCUGAGACUCCUGAGGUGAUGGGACAUAUAAGCCCUUUUGGAAAUCUCCAAACGCUUUAUUUAACUGAUUUGCCAGAGUUGAAAAGCAUCUACUGGAAGCCAUUGCCUUUCACUCAUCUCAAAGAAAUGACGGUACAUGGGUGUAAUCAGCUUAAAAAGCUUCCAUUCGAUUCCAACAGUGCAACAGAGCGUAAAUUUGUUAUUCGUGGAUACACACUCUGGUGGAACCGUCUUCAAUGGGAGGAUGAAGCCACUCAAAUUGCUUUUCGUUCCUGUUUCCAAUCUCAUGAAAUAUAAAUUCCUGAGCGGUGGUUGCAAAAUUUGAUUUCUAGUGAGUGCUUUUUUCUUAAACUCUUACAUAUAUUCUCGUCGUUUGCUUCGUGCAACGGACUAGGUUUUUAUUUCAGAUUCGUUUUUUGUCUCCUGCAAAUCACAAUUAAAUGUUGAAUUAUAUGGAGUCAAUGCUUUAUAAAAUUUUCAAGGCACUGCCAUUUCCUUUUUCUUUUUCUUUUUUUUUUUGGGUCGAAUUGAUGCUCUGGCUUUUUACUUUUUGUUGUCACAUUUUGCUCUGUUUUUUCAAGUUGAUGCUUGAAUAGUUGAAUUCAAUUGAUGCUCACAUAAAUUUGUUUAGUUGCCGCAAAAGGAUAUAAUUAGACUGAAGUACACACUUCUAGAAUGAAUACAAAAUGUUAAGUAUACUAGCCCUCUUUACAGAAAAUCAAAUGAAAAUCAAUUUUUUGGGGCUUUGAUUUUCUAUGGUCUAUUAUAUACUCUUUUUAAUAUCUUCUGUUCUAACUAUAACCAAAUCCUUUGUUCAAGGAUUUUUAUUUGGGGUAUUGAUAACUGUCCACCAAAAGAGUGAACACUUGGAUGCUGCUCAAGGAUCUCUAAUCAAUAGCUGGAAGCAACUGAGAAGGCGGUCGCUACUGUUUACAAAGCGAUGCAGUAUUUGCCAUUCAUCUUAAUAAUUAUGAAGCUUUGGUAAAAUUUUCAAACAAAGUUGAACACAUGUUGUUUUGAGAUUUGGUUCAUGAUUUUGGAUGAAUAUCGUUGUUCCGUUUGAGUUGGAUGUGAAUUCAAAAUCUAUAUAUUCUUUGGUUUUCAAUUCUGAACUCAAUUUCUUUUUCUCAAGCAUGUUAUGCAGAAAUGAUUUUUUACUAAAUCAUUUUUGAUGAAUUGUUUAAAUUAAACAAUUGGAAUAAGAAUUGAAAAGGUUUAUCAUAAGCAUGCUAAUAUGAUAAGUUGUUUUAUGAACGAUUAAUUAAUUAAUCAAUUAAUAUUAAAUUAUCUAUUAGUCAAUUAGAUAUGCGUUACAUGUCAUGUUUAAAAAUUAUUUAUUUAUAUUUCAAACAAAUUUGACUGGAUGUUGUGUAGGUAAUACUACAUAAUUUCAAAACAAAAAAAGUAAUAAAAACACGUUAAAUUUUGUUUUUAUGAAGAAAAAUUUAAAAUUUUAUUAAAUAGGUGAAAAUAAUAAAUGGAUUCGUGUAUGGUUUGAGAUUCUUGACAUAAUUAUGAAAUAAGCCGGAUUCGACUUAGUUCAAUUUUGACGCGAUAAGAAGACGACACCACACAAACACACGAUAAGAACCGUUACCUGAGAAGAUUGCCAUCAGGAAUUUUGAAAUUGAUUUCACUACAAUACCUUAAUCUUUCAGAUACUACCAUCACUGAGCUGCCAGAAGAGCUAAAAGCCUUGGUAAAUCUUAAGUGUUUGAACUGUACACAAAUUAUCUCUCUACAAUUCAAAAACAACUAAUUUGUUACUUUUUCAAUGCUACAUGUUCUGCGAAUAUUGAGUUGUGGUUAUCUUGUUGAAAUAUCAGACAAUAGAGUUCUAUUUGGUGGUAGUGAAUUGUUGGUUGGGGAGUUGCCUAGUUUAAAACGUUUAAAUGUAUUAAGCAUCACCUUACAAGGUUUUUCUGCUGUCCAAAAACUUAUGAGCUCUCAAAAGUUUCAAAGCUGUACAAAAUGUUUGGAGCUUAUAGACUGUGAUGAUUCAAAGUCUUUUGCCUUGGCAGAGUUGAAGCAUCUCGAAAAACUAGUUUUUUGAAUUGUGGAAGAGUUUAAGUUCUGCUUUGUUGAAGUUGGAAAAGCUCAAGAAUGUUUUCGUUUGAACAGUUUUCACCGAGUUAAUAUAAAGGCUUGUCAUAAAUUGAGGGACGUGACAUGGCUUGUAUUUGCUCCAAAUCUUACAGUUAUUCAAAUAGAAAAAUGUAUGCAGAUGGAAGUAAUAGUCAGUGCAAGGAAAUUGGGUGAAGUUCCAGAGAUGAUGGCAGAUCUAAACCCUUUUGCAAAUAUCUUUGCCAGCGAGUUCUACCAAAAUUAAAAAGCGUCUAUUGGAAUGAGUCACCCUUUCCACAUGUCAGGGAAAUUAUUGUAUCUGAAUGCCCAAUUCUCAAGAAGCUUUCACUCGGUUUUAACAAUGCAAAGGAAUCUAAAAUUGUCAUUAGGGGAGAGGAACACUGGUGGAGUGAGCUGCAAAGGGAGGAUGAAGCGACCGUUAAUGCUUUUCUUCCUUGUUUCGGUUCCAUUUGAUAGGCAUCAACAUGGAUUUAUAUUUUGCGGUGGACAACUUGUGGUAAGUGCUUUUCCAUUUAUUACAUGUUUAUAUCUAACUUUUGUUUUCCUUUAUGGUUAAAUUUUACUGUAUAUAUGUUGUUAUACGGUGACAUUCUCGCAUCAAUUAUUAGCUUUUUAAUUCUCUUCUGGCAUUAAUUGCCCUUCUGAUCAUGUAGGAUAUGCCGAUGUCAAAGAGUAGUAAAUUGGGAUACAAAUGUAAGAAUUAGCCAGAUGACAUGUUGUUUUGAAGCUCUCUCGAAGGACUAGUUAUGUCAUUCAAAGCAUCCAAUUUCGCUACUUUUUUUUUCAUUUGUUGCUUUUUAUAUUUCUAGAUAGCUUGAUAUUCGGCCAAGACAUCGAUAGGAGGGCACAUUGUGCAUGCACACUAGUGGAUGAUUUGGGCAUGCCGAAUCCAAUUAGCGUGGAUGACCCUUUAUAAGCAUCAGGCUUCUCUCAUACCAGAGCAAUGUAGAAUAUGUUUAUAAACUGUGGAUUACCCUUUAUAAGUUUAGACUUCUUCUAUACUCGAGCGAUGUGGAAUACCUGUAUAAGCAUUAAGCUUCUCUCAUACACUUUAUGUUAAAAAUAAUAAUAAUAAUAAUAAAAUAAAUCCAUUUUAAAAUAGGCUCUUUUUUUCUUUUUUUAUAUAAACAAAAUGCAUUCUUCAAAUCAAUAGUGGGUGGAAGAAGUGAGUAGAGAAGGACUAGGCCCCUUCAUUCCGCCUAAAACCUCACCGAAACCUCUCUUGUGAACUUCUCAGAUUCUCUCUCAAUAUUUCUUAUGAUCUCGUUUUUGAUAGAAUCACUUCUAUUGCAUGCUGCAUUUUGUGCGUCGUUUUUGGGUAAUAUCUUAUCUGGAAUGCUGUUAUGAUCAAUAGAACAAGUAAUCAAUUUUUGGUUUGACGGAAGUCGAUUUAUUUAUUUACUAUUGUUUUUUAUUUGAAAUUUUGACAGUUGUGUUUCAUUCAUUUCUUUCCUUCUUUUUUUAUUUUAUAUUUAUUAUGUAUAAUUGUGUUUCAUUUGAUAUUGAUCAUACUGUAGAUAACUAUGUGAUUGUAGCUGGGGAUUUUAAGUUUUGUGAAUUCAAGAAACUGUCAAAAUGCUAGUGAAAUUGGGACCUUUAUUCAUAAGCUUGUGGUUUUCAAAAGUAGCCGGGUUCAACUGAUGAAGUUCCUUUUUGGGAUUCUUUUUUUUCUAGGCUGCAAUUCGGAUAUGUACCUGAUAGACAAUCUUUUGUGAGUUUAGCAUAUCUUCUCCGAUUUUGUCUUUUAUUCCCCAACUUUACAGCUACACACCAUGAAUGCUGGGUGAUUGUACAGAAAAUUUGUGUUAGAACAAAAGCAUUGUGAAGGAGUUUCUGUGCUAUAAGUUAUUGGCUUCAGCUUUAUUGGCAUUAAUUGGGUAGAUUAUGUGUUACAGUGAUUCAAUUUGUGAUCCACACUUUAAUUUUCUCUUUUCCCCAAUUAUUUAUGUCAAAUUCAAAUCCAGAAGCAUGCGCUGAUUUUUUUUUUUUUUUGUGAUAAUCUGUGAAGUUUAUUUGGAAAGGACGUAUCUGGGUUUAAUGGAUUAAAUUAUGACAUUGAGGGAAAGGCACUAAAGGUUUUGCUUGACACAUUUGGUCUGUGUUUACUCUGCAAUAAAUAGCUUCGCUUAUCAGAAAUCCCUAUUUGGCUGGUGAAUUUCUCUGUGACAGACAGGCAAACACCUAAACCGCUUCUAUCCAUUUUUCUGCUGGUGAGGUAAGGGGUAAAAAGUCUUCAAAAUCAUCAAAUAGUAACAUCUCUGAGAAUUGGUUUUAGAAAAAUGGAAAAUCUAGACCUACUAGGACAAAAUGGCGUCCGGUAUCAGGAGGUACCGUUUCAAGUUUUCUUGGUAAAGAAUAUAUUAAACCUGCGCAACCAGCUAAUGGCACUUUUCUGGCAUCAAAGCCAUUGAAGUUGGAUCUAAAGGAGUUUUCCCAUGCCUGCAUUGUGCAGAGAAGAAACUAAACAAAAACAAUCAAAGAAUGACCAUUUGCAGAAGGAUACGGAAGAUUUUCUAUUUAAAUUGUUAGGAGAAGGGUCCCAGCUGAACAGGGAUGUGAUUCAGGAGGUUCUCGGUAAUGUCUUAAAUAUACUGAUGCCAAUUUAAUACAUAUUGUCCUUUUCAAUGUUCUUUCUUUCUUUCUUUUUUUUUUCCUUCUUCUUCUUUUUCUUUUCGUGUGCAUGUGAUCACUGAUUUGGUAUUAUGCUUAAGUUGCAGAUAGCUGUGGAUUUGAUAUGCAAAAGGUAAGGACUAUAUCUUCCUGAUGUAGGCCUCUGCUUUUUCCCCUUCUAUGUAAUUUAGUAAUUCACAUCUUCCUUUGUGAUUGUUAUAUCAUAUCGAAGUCAAGUCUUAAAUACUGCUGUCAUAUGUGAAGGUUCAACUUGCAUUUUGAUUAAGAUCCAUUUGCUGCUGCUUCCAAAAGUGAGAAUGAGAUACUUUGGUUAAUUUCAGUGGUUGAACCCAAUAGAGAACUUUAUUUAGAUCUUCAUGGUUCAAAGGCCUGAAAAAACUUGCCCGUAAUUGUAAAAUGACAUUCUGUGCUUUUUAUGCAAUAGGGAACAGGGAAGUAGAGCUUUGGAAAAGCCUGGAUUGAUAACUAUGGAGAGACUUAUUAUUUAAGUGAUGAAAAAUUCCCAUCGCCCGCAGUCAAGAAAAUUUCAGAUAGUUAAAGACUCCAUUUUGCUUCAGCCAAAAAUGUUUGUUUCAAUUAAAGACUUGAACCAUUUUCAUUGAACCUGAUUGUGAUCCUUUACGUUAUGCAUGUUCCUCUCAAUCAAGAAAAGUUGAGGUCAUGAUUCUAUAUUUCUAUAUUGUAACUUGAAAUAAUAAUUGGUCUACUUGUUUCUGUAUCUUGAUAAUAUGAAUUUUCCUUCUCAAGUUAAUUUGUUCAAUAAAGUAAUUCUUCAAAGAAAAUAUGCCCAUUCUAUAAUCAUUUUCUUAGCUCAGAUGUUUUUUCUUCACUCUUCAGAGCAUGUCAAAACUAAUUGAUCGCUUGGCAGAUACUUUGGGUAAGAAGACAAAAUUUCUUGGUAAAUCCUCGGAAAAGGUAUGCAUAAUUCCCGAGUAUUAAAUAACCAAUAGUCAUAAUUUUUGUACAUGACUCUUUUUUCUCUUUUUUGUGGAGAUCAUUAAAAUUGGUUGAUGAUCCAUUUUGUAACAUCAUAGAGGGAUCAUCAAUUCCUUCUCUUUUCUGUGGCUAGGCAACACUUUCAGGCCAAAGUAAGAAAAUCUAUUUUAGGUAAUGUGAAAACCAACGGUAGGAUGUAAUAGUUUAUUAUGCACUGACAAUAACUUUUUGUAUGGUUGGCAGUUUAAUGAAUACAAGAGGAACUUUGUUGACAAAUUCAUCCAAGAUAGAUGCUAAAAUUAUUUAUGCAUGCCAGUUGCCUUAACUAAUUUUUCUUAACACUUGUAUUGAACAGGAAAAUGAAUAAGCAAUCUGUAUAUUGUGCCAUUGUGGAGUAUUUGGAUAUUCUGAUUUAAAUAACAAGGAGAAUACUUGCCUCAUCUUUAAAUGAGGAGUGGGGGAUUGGAAGUGUCUUCAUGUAAAUGUUCAUUUAUUUGUAUUUUGAACUAUUAUGAGAAUCUUAUAUGCCAAAUCAGUAAUACAAAUCUUCAGAUGAUUUUUGCUGUUGAUCAUGGGUUUGUGUCUGCACACAACCAUUGUAUAUCACUUUAUUCUGAUGUGCAGGUAUGUGUAGCUUAGAAGAAAUGGAAUAAUAAUCAUCUAUUAUUGCUUGGUUCAUGAUUAUUAAACGAUUAUGGCUUUAAAAAGUCUACAAAUUCCUUCUGUUCAUAUAUGAAUGUGCCAAGUUUGCUAUAUCUUAGAUUAUCUUCUUCCAAGAUAACAAGUUCAUAUUCUUUUUAAUCUUUUUCCCUCACAGUUGACUUUUAGGUGUUAAGAUUUGUUAUUAGUCCCCUGUUAUUAUGAUUUCAUAAACAGUGUACGGAUAUGUGCUCUAACUUUGGAGGACCUCCACAUGAAAGAAAAUUGCAACAAUUGAAUUCUUCCGGAGGGUAUGGUCUUUAAUUUAUUUUCUCAACUUCUCGUAAGAUUAAUAUAUUUCAUUCAGUAGGCACAGCAUGGGGGGAAGGGUUUUUAUUGAAAGAAUUCUGAUAUUUCUUAGACUUUGUUUUGGAAGGGGGGUGGAGGGAUUUCUCAUCCAUGUAUGGUUACUUGAUUAGCUUUUGACUGUAUUUCCUCAGUCAUGUAAAGGAAGAUCCAAAUACCAACGAAGGAAUAUUGCCUAGACACCCGAAAGACAGAAAUGAGCUACAGAAGCAAGUUUUACUACUUUAUUUAGUGCUCCUGAGAAAUCUGAUGGAGACCGAAUGGAGGUCCAAAGCAUUGGAAAAGGUAGUGAGUGAACCGCCGGAGGAGUUGGCACCAGAAUGCAAGGCUAAUGUGGUGCACUUGCAGCAAGAUAACCAAACCGGUAUGUGCUCUUAUAUUAACUAGACUGACUGGAUUUGUGAGUGUGUGCAUUUUUUUGUGUAUACUCUUGUAUUUAUGCAUAUUAAUGUGUGUAGGAAUUUCUGCCACUUACUGGAGAACUAGUGGAAAGCUUUAUAUCGAUAUAUCUGCAAUAACUAAUUGGAAACUAUGAUAUUAAUAUUUUCUCUCACCUGAGGAACUGUGUAACAGAUAUACUUUGUGGCUCUGGAGUACUAGAAAUUCUGCAAUAACUAAUGGAAACUAUGAUAUGAAUAUUUUAUCUCAACUGGAGAACUUUGUAACUUGUAGCUCUGGAAUGUCUAAGGAAUUUUGUCUGCUUCAGUUAGAUCAAAUAUCUUUUAGUUGCAUACAUUAUAGAAAAAGAUAAAGUUCUCUGAAUCUGAAAGACUGAAACAUUUUGUAUAUUUUGUGAAAGGGAAAUAUCUGUAGAUACUAGUUCAUGCAUUGAGGUAACAUCAAUGUUAAAGAAAAACAGCAAUAAGUUAUUAUGUGGAACUAGGUUCACUUGCUUUAAAUGCUGGUCUGGUCAACCAUAUGAACCUGUAAGUUCUGCAGAAAUAUAUAUACGGGGAGAAACUAGCUAAAUUUUCCGUUCAUUGAUGGCUUUGGUCAUUUUUUUCCCCUUAUUUUUCAGCUGUCCUUCUCCUGAAGUAUGUUAACAACUGCAGAUAAUGAUGAAGAGGACAGCUUGCAGGCUCUUCUUAGAGCCAUGAUGGAAUAUAGGGGCACAAUGAAGGAACAUUGCAAAGCUGUAGGUUCUUUUUCUCCUGUCAUUUAUGUUUUCUCACACAUUUUUUAUAUGCUCCAAGCAUGCAAUUUUGUAUGUGUCAACUGCUUUCUAAGUUUUAAAAACCAUAAUGUAAGAAUACAGUUUCUUGUCAGGCUAUUGAUGCAUUUGCUCAGGGGGAUCAUGUUCGAGCAGGAAAACUUCUAGAACAGACAAGGUUUUCCAUCUACAGCCAUCUAUUGACAACAGAUAUAUUUUCAUUCAGCAAACACUGUUAGCAUUCAAGAUACUGGCAGAUUCACUUGAUUCUUAUUAGUAAUGUUUAGUAGCAAAGGAUAUAACCUGUAUUUCAAAGCCAAGUUGUGCUAUUGAUUAUGUUAGCUUUAUUGUUCACAUAAAGUGAUAUGGAGGAAAUAAUGUGAAGUGAUAUGGAGGAAAUAAUCAAUGUAGGAAAAUUAGGUGAAGAAAUGAUGUCAAAUCUUGAACCUCUUACAAAACUCCAAGCUCUUUACUUGAAUAAGCUACUAAAUUUGAACAGGGUCCACUGGAAGGCCUUGCCAUUCUCUGAUGCAUGCAGAAUUUUUGCAUUUAAAUGCCCAGAGCUUAAGAAGCUGCCACUGGAUCUUGAAAGGGCAGGCCAAGGUAAAAUUCUUAUCAAGGGAAAGGAAGAUUGGUGGAAACAACUUCAAUGGGAGGAUCAAGUAACUCAGAAUGCAUUGCUUCCAUUUUUAAAACAACCAGCAAGUGAUUGAAGGGGGCAUCAUCAACGUCAUCAACAUGGAUGGAGAGAUUCAGGAGCAGAUCAGCAGGAUUUAGUACGACCUGUGGUGGUUUCUUUUUUGUGACUUUUUUCCCUUUCAUUUUUUCACUUCCUGUCAUAUUAUCAUUUCUUUGUCUCUGUUUCUAUUGCUGGUGUUGCUGCAUGCUUGCUGUCCUUGACAAAGUUAGCUAGUUUUUUUUUUUUUAAUUAAAUUUUGUAUGUUCGGUCGGGACAGUCACAAAGUACUACUUGUUCUAUAUGGGGGUGAUGUGAAUCAACUUUUCAAUUAUAUAUUCUGUGGUAAUUGCGAAUUCAAUUUCAUUUGUCUCCAGCAAAUUAUGAAGAAAGUGCAGAGUUACAAUAUGGAGAAGUUCACUGGCAAAUACUUUGUAAAAGCUUCGGAGUGAAACAGGAAAUGCACUUGCAGCUAAGGACAAAUUGGUGGCCAGCUAAUGCCUUCAUUUUAUGUACAUUCAUCUUUUUAAUUAUUGAAGAUAAGUGGUUCGUUGCUUUUGUUAAGAUUAUAAGUUAGCGUCGGUGCAGGAUUUGCAGCAACAAAUCUUGACUAGCCACGUGUCAAAAGCACAAAUAAAUCAAGGGAAAGCACAUGACAUGGAUUAGGAUCUAAUAAAAUUUAAAUCCCAAGGAAAAUGACAACUGCAUUAUGAAGUUUCAAUAAGGGAUACUGACUAAUGAUAUUUUUUGGCUUUAUUAAUAAAAAAAGAAUAUUUUAUAACAAAUUAAAACAUAAUAUUAAGCUAAAUGUGAUAAUUAUAUACAUUUUAAAUAAUUUCAAUAAAAAAACAUUUUAAUGUUUUACGAUCUAUCAUACAUAUUUUAUUAAAUUAAUAUGAAUUUUUUUUUAUAAAUAGCAACAUAAUAUUACAACAAAUUUAUAAGGAUUUAAAUGUAAAAUAAUUUUAGUAUAAAUAAUACGUGGGAUAUAUUUUGUAAAUUAUAAAAUUAUUUAACACAAAGUUUUUUAAAAAAUAUUUAAAAUAAAUAAAAAUAAAUUAUUCACAUCUUGAUUUAAAUAUUUAAAAUAUUUUUAUAUAUUAGUCUACAAUUAUUUAUGUUAUAUUUUUAUUUAUUAGAAAUUUUGAAAGUCAAAUGUUUUCACCUCUAAGAGAAAGACACAUAUGCUUUAUAGCUUUAAAAUCGGUCUGUUUUAUAUCUGGAAACAAAUAUAUCAUUAUUGGUAAGGAUUAAAAAAAGGGAUAAAGAAUAUUAAUGAUUAAUGAAAUCUCUAUGGAAAUUGAAUUUAGUAGGAAAAAAUUGAGCUAAAUGAUUUAGACAUUUAGUGGUAUAGUAAUAUUUUAUAUAUAGAAAUGUAAAAGCUGCACCCGAGGUUAAGGGAAAUGUUCAAAACUCUUUUUUACUCAUAAUACCCUUUGUCCUAACUAACUUACAAAUUCGACUCUAAUAUUUUAUAAUAAAUAAAAAUGUAAUCCUAAAAUAAAUAAAAUAAGAUAUAUUUUAAAAUAAUCUCAAUAUUUAAAAUAUACUUUAAUAUUUUAUAGUCUAUCAGACAUAUUUAAUUAUAUUAAAGUAAAUUUUGUAAUAAAUACAAACAUACUAUUAAAAUAGAUAUAUAAAAAAUUUAAAGUAUUUUGGAUAUUAUAUAAAAGAACUUUAAUAUUGUUAAUACGUGAGAUAUAUUUUAUUAAUUAAAAAUUCUAUUUAACCCAAAGAUUUAUUUAAGAUAAAUUAACAAUCAUAUUUGUGAAAUUAUUUCAAAUAUUAAAAAAUAUUUUAAUAUUACUAACUAUUAGAUAGACUAAACUAUUUAUAUUAUUUUCUAUUUAUUAUAAAAUUUCAAAAUUAAUCUUUUUAACUACUAUUCAAAAGAUAUUAUGAUAAAAAUAAUUUUUUUGUGUUUUUAUUAAAAAUUUGGAAUUUGCAUAACUCUUUUUUUAAAUAUUGGGGUAUAGCUGUCUUUUCCCUUUUAUAUAUACAAACCACAGUGGUGAAAAAGCUUGAUUUAAUGUUAUUUAUUUAAACAACACCGAUAUUCACACCACAUUGAGCACCAUAGUUUUUUUUUUUUUUUUGAAAAGAAAGUACACCUUUCAUUGAAUUAAGAGAAAAGAAACAAAACAUCCUCUGGAAAUUCAUCCAGCCAAAUACAAGGGUCUGACUUUUUGAAAGCCAACUUUGCCAAAUCAUGCGCUAAAAAGUUACACAUCCUAAGGACGUGCUGAGCUUUAAAAUUCUGAAAGAUUUUCUUAGCUUCUAUAAUAUCAAAAAUCACCCAAAAGGUGUCUGUCAAAGUGCUUCUCUUGUUAUUGAUUAGCUCUAUCACCCCUUUAGAAUCAGACUCUAAGAUAACUGAAGUUGCCCCUGCCUUGGCAGCUGCCUGCAUUCCCCACAAAACAGCUUUUGCCUCACUCAACUCCACAUCUCCUGAGCUCUUAAAAGUGCUAACAGCUGCAGCAACUGUUUCUCCCUUAUGGUUUUUAACUACUGCUCCCAGCCCAGCAAGAUAAUUCACCCUAUCCAUAGCAUCAUCAACAUUUACCUUAAGCCAUCCUUCUUCGGGUGGACUCCAUUGGCUUUGCUGAACAUUGUUUUGUUCUGCUAAGAAAUCCUCUUCUGACAUUGAGCACCAUAGUUAAGUACAAAACGGUGCGUUUUGUUCACGCAUGUUAGUAAACACCCACGCAACUUACACACAUACGCGCGGCUCACAACACGCGCUCUCCUCGCCCUAAAUCUCACCUGAUUGAAGCCACAAAUUUGGCCACGUUCUCCCACAGCUCUCUCCGUUCUGACCGUUUACUCUUCCUCUAGCCCCAUCGAUUACAUCUCUCAUAGCACCUCAUUCAACCGACGUAAUUGCCAGAAAACAACCUACCUGGUAAUAAAAGUCGAUUCUCUUACAAUUUUGGCCCAAAAAAAAAAAUUGCACAACUGAAAAAUCAAAAUGCCACUCUUUAAAACCAAAAAUCAAUUUUGGGCCCCCUUCAUCACCGCCUUCACUCUAGAUUUUUUCAAUCCACUUUGUCGUCAAAACCGUGGUGUUCUUAAACCAUUAUUAUAUUCACCAUCCCCUUAAUCACAUCCAACCAUCCCCAUUAUUCGUUUGUCAAACACGCUGUUCUCUUCCCAAAUUAAUUAAUUAAUUAAUGACAGACAGGAACAAAAGUACUUUAAAUCUCUGCCAAAUCGUAUUGUUAUUACUUCUUCCGAGUCGAGGCCACGUCGUUCUCGAUGGAAACCAUUGCUUUUUAUUACCACUCUUGAGGAGUUCGAAGCAUUCUCGACGGAGACCCGCGCAAGCUGUGGAAAGAGAGAGAGUCAACGGUGAAAAGAGAGCAUGGUGAGAUGUGUGAGCGACGGGGGGAGAGAGAGAGAGAAAGAAAGCCGACGGAGAGAGCACAUAGAGCUGAGAUGCGUGAGUUGGGUGAAGAUUUGGUGAGCGUUGUGUCAGUUGCCCGUGUGUUGUGUGAGCUCUGUGCCAUGUGAUAUGCGUGCUACUUUGAGAAUUUAUAGAUAGCACAAAACUCAAUCUAUAUCCAAUUCAUACCUAGAUAGAUGCGGAUUUGACUCAAUUUAUAUCCAAUUCGUCAUUUGCGAACUAAAAAUUUUUAAUUCUCUCAAAUUCACAAACUAACUAAAUAAAUAAAAAUUUAAUAUAAAAAUAACUGUACUACCGAUCAAAUUUAAAAUUAAAUAAUAUUUAAAUAAAUUAAUUGUUUAAAUAAAGUUAGAAAAUACAUUCAAAAUUUUAAAAUAUAACACAGUAAAAAGAAAAAAUCUCAUUUGUUUAGACCUAUGUAUGAAAAUUAAUUGUUUAGGAAUCUAUAUUUAUUUAUUUUUAUAUUAUUAUCGGAUAAGAUAUAAUAUGGUGUUAAUGUAACUAUAUUUUAACUUAUUUAUUUAUAAGACCAAUGCUAUAUGUACAAGUUUAAUUUUUUAAUUAAAUAAAUAUUUUUUUUUGCGGAAUUGUGGAUUUUUGCGGAUUUACAAAAGUAAAUCUAUAUCCAAUCCACCGACUAUGGAUUUUCAAAUUUUCAAAAUUUCAAAUUUUCAAAUUUUCAAAAUUUCAAAUUUUCAAAUUUUCAAUCCAAUCCAAUCCACCAAUUCACAAAUUCGGAUUUUUACGGAUUAGAUUUCUACAGAUUAAACGAAUUGAGCAGACCAUAUUUGAUUUUGAACAUUGCUAAUUUGUAUGUUAAGUAUAACAUAAUCAAUUAUUUGGAUAAUCCCUUGUGUUUUAUCUCUAAUUAGAGCAUCAAUCUUCACAAUAUCUACAAAGCUACAAUGGCUACAAAACAAACCUGCUUGCAAAUUGUCAAGGAUACUUAUCCUUUCUCUUGACAAGUCAUUUGGAAAAAUACUGUCCCUUGGCGGCUCCAUGACUUCUCUGCUCCUCCUUUUGGUCUUAAUGUACGGUUGCAUAAUGAUAGUUUAGGCCCUUUAGGGACUACUUUCCCUGGGGUUGUUAAGUCUUAGCUUGUGCUAGGCUCGUUUUUCUUACCAAAAAAAAAGGGAAUACUUCUCCUAUAAGAAAUAAUCUCUAUAUAUAGGGUGGUUGGAUUCACUUGUUUACAUAACAGAUCAAUUAGUUCUCUGUAAAUAGAGAGUUUCUAGUAUAAGAGAAACGGUAGAUCUAUUGAGAGAUUAUGUGUUAUUAAAAUUUUAGUUGCGAAGAAAAGUACUAGAGUGAUUGUAUUAAUUUUUUACAUAGUAGAUUUUUCUAUCGUCAUCUUUAUGGCUGUGAUUUUUCUUCCAUAUAGAAGUUUCUCACGUAAAUUUUUAUGUUGUGUGAUUAGUUUUAUUCUCUAUCUAUUUUUUGUUUAAUAUUUUAUUUGUAAGAUGCUGGAUGGGAUUAAAAUUUCUUAACAAAUAACGGAUUAAAAAUCAUGAAGAAAAAGCUCAAGAGAUCUUCAAGAUUUGAAGUGUGCAAAAGUUCAUAUUACUGCUAGAUGAUAUAUGGGAGCGGGUUGAUUUAGUAAAAAUGGGUGUCCCUCUUCCUAGAUCAGAAAACAGCACAUCCAAAGUGAUAUUUACAAACCCGUUCUGAGGAAGUUUGCGGCUUAAUGGAAGUUCGUAGGAGUUUUAAAGUGGCGUGCUUAUCAAAUAAAAAUGCUUGGGAAUUGUUUCUAUACAAAGUUGGGGAAGUGAAAGAAAACAGAGAUGUACUGUUUGGUUGAAUAGAAAAUUACAGAGAAAAUUCUCAAUACUUGUAUUUGAUAAGAUUCAAUUCUUAAGAGCUUUUACAAAUCAGUACAAGUAUUUAUAUUAUUCCUUACACGUGAGAAUUGCUAGUAACUCACUAACUAACUAACUUUCUUUGAGCUGGAUCACUAACACUUGACUAAUCACACUGAGCUGUUAUUCUUCACUAACAACCUUCUGCUGACGUGGCUUCACCAAGCUACUUGAAUAAUGAGCAGCCUUGACAGCCCCCCUCAAACUCAAGGGACAAGACAUGACGUUGAGUUUGGCCCUAAGAUAGUUAAAAUGGAUGAAUGAGAGUGGCUUGGUCAUGAUGUCAGCUACCUGCUCCUCACUUGGUAUAUAUUGAAUGUUUAGUUCUCCAGCAAGAACUUUGUUUCUAACAUAAUGAAUAUCAAUCUCAAUAUGCUUUGUUCUUGAGUGGAAAACUGGAUUGUGAGCUAACUCUGUUGCACUGAGAUUGUCACACCAAAUAACAGGUUUCUCUAUGCAUUGUAAUUUCAACUCAGAAAACAGUGAUUGCAGCCAGCUUAUCUCGGCACUUGCUGAGGCUAGGGACCUAUACUCACUCUCUGCACUGGACCUAGCAAUAACAGGCUGCUUCUUAGACGACCAAGAUAUCAGAUUAUGACCAAGAUAGAUGCAAUAGGCUCCAAUCGAUUUUCUGUCAUCCAGAUCCCCUGCCCAGUCUGCAUCUGUGAAUCCUGUUAGUUUCAGAUCACCAUCCUUAAUAAUUUUGAGUCCAUAGUUCUGUGUAGCCUUUAGAUAUCUGAGCACUCUUUUGCAAGCCAUAAGGUGCUGCAGUGUUGGUGCAGAAACGUAUUGACUCAGCUUGUGAACACUAAAGGCAAUUUCUGGUCUUGUUAAUACCAAAUAUUGCAUCCCACCAACAAUGCUUCUGUAAUGUGUUACAUCUUCAACAUAACAACCAAGAUUACCUUGAGCUUCCUUCUGUAGCUUCAUUCCUGUACUCAUAGGAGUAUCAAUAUCUUUGCAAUUUAUCAUCUCAACUCUUGACAGCAGAUCCCUUAUGUAUUUCCUUUGAGAUAAGAAAAUACAAUCUUUAUCAUACAGUACUUCAAUGCCUAAGAAAUAAGAGAGAACUCCAAGAUCCUUCAAAGCAAACUUUGUACUGAAUUCUGUAAUGAAUUUUUCCAGCUCAAAGCUAUUUGGUCCUGUUAUUAAAAUGUCAUCAACAUAUAUAAGAACUAGAAUCAUAGAUGACUUAUUUAUUUUCAAGAAUAAGGAGGUAUCUGAGCUGGAAUUUGUGAAUCCCCACUGCAACAAACAGCCUUUCAACUUAUCAUACCAAGCUCUUGGAGCUUGUUUAAGUCCAUAAAGAGACUUGUGAAGCUUGCAUACAAAGUCUGGUUUCUCAAAGCUGAUAAAUCCCUCUGGUUGAUCCAUGAACACUUCCUCUGUUAAGUCUCCAUUAAGAAAGGCAUUAUUCACAUCAACUUGCCUUAUCUUCCACUGAUUCAUCACAGCUAAACUCAAGACUACUCUUACAGUUGCUGGUUUUAUGACAGGACUGAAAGUUUCAAAAUAAUUCACUCCUAUAAUUUGUUGAAAUCCCUUUGCAACUAACCUAGCUUUGUAUUUAGCUACACUUCCAUCAGUGUUGUAUUUAACCCUAUACACUCAUUUGUUUCCAACAACUCUUUGAUCAUUUGUUUUUGGCACUAAGGACCAUGUACCACUCUGCAUCAAAGCUGCAUAUUCUUCUUUCAUGGCUGUAAACCAUUUUGGGUUUUGCAUAGCCUCAUAUACAGAAUCAGGUUAUUUGUGAACAAGGGUUGCUGUAUAAAGCUUUGGUUUGAAGAUACCAGUUUUGCUUCUGGUAGUCAUUGGAUGUGUAUUAGGUUGGACUGGAAAAGAUAUAUCAGGUGUAGGUUGAGCUAAUAAGGAUAUGUCAGGUGCAGGUUGUGGUGAAUUUUGAGGCUCUGUAGAUGGUUCAAUAAAUGUGGUAUGUGUUUGUGAAUAGGAAUGUUGAUUGUCAGUAUGAAAUGGAUUAUCUGAAUGUUGUGAACUGCUGCUGGUAGAAAUUGCAGAUAGAGGAUUGCAUGAGCUAUUUCCAUCUGAUACUGGUGUUGUAGAUAAUAUGGUCAGAUGAAACACUGGUUGGGGUGUAAGGGAUUGACUCGAAUAAGAUGAUGAUUCAUUAGAAUGAAAAACUGAGUCUGUAGAAUAAGGAAAUGUUGACUCAUAAAAAACAACAUGUCUGGCUAUGUACAUCUUGCCUGAUGAAUGCAAGCAUUUGUAACCUUUGUGAACUGGACUGUAGCCAAGGAAAAUGCAUUUGCUUGAGUGAUAAUCAAAUUUGUGUUUGUUGUAAUCCCUUAGAUAAGGAUAACAUGUGCAACCGAAACACUUGAGCAUGCUGUAAUCAGGUUUAAGUUUAAAAAUUGUCUCAUAUGGGGUAAGAAGUUUCAGAGCUGUUGAGGGUAAUCUGUUUAUAUGGUAAACAGCUGUAAGAAAAGCAUCCCACCAAAAUUUAAAUGGUAGCUUAGCUUGUGCUAAUAGGGUUAGUCCUAGCUCAACAAUGUGUCUAUGUUUUCUUUCUACCACCCCAUUUUGGUGAUGUGUAUAAGGACAAGAAUGUCUGAAAAUGAUUCCACAUUGGUUUAAGAAUUGAGUAAAUGAUCUGUAUUCUCCCCCCCAAUCAGAUUGCAGGUUUUUAAUGGGGCUGUCAAAUUGGUUUUCAACCUGCAAUUUGAAUAGUUUGAAUACAUCUAAUGCCUCAGAUUUCAACUUAAGAGGAUAAAUCCAAGUGUAUCGGCUAAAAUCAUCAACAAAACUUAUGUAAUAGACAUAGCUAUCUCUAGAAGGUGUAGGUGAGGGUCCCCAUAGGUCUGUAUGUAUAAGCUCAAGGGGUUUUGUUGUUUUGGUUUCUGUGCUGGGAAAAUGCAGCCUAUGGGAUUUGCCCAUUUGACAUGCUUCACAGAUAUGCUCAAGUGUUUGUUUUAUGUUAUUUCUUGAGAGAUUAACUGAAGUAAUUCCUUUUAGCAAAUGCAUUAGAAUUUGAGAAUUAGGAUGGCCAAAACGUUUGUGAAGAAGAAGAAUUUUAUUAUUCAAUGCAUCACAAGAUGAAAUGUAGCUGGAAAAUUUAUUUAUUGAUGCAUUACAAACUGUGACACAACUGGAAUCAUUAUUCUGAGUGUUUUUAAGAACACUUGAAUCAAAAGAACAUGCAGAUAACAUUGACAAAGGUUGAGUGGAUGAAGGUUGACCCAUGUAAGAACAAGGAAGAGACUCAGAUGGUCUUAGAAGUAGCUUAUACAAUCCUUUCUCAGCAAUUCCUGUCAGAAGCACUUGCCUCUUCAGAGAAUCCUUCACAUAGCAAACAUUAUCAACAAAUUCAAUAGAGAUAUUGUUAUCAGCAGUUAAUUUUGAUAUGCUGAGCAGGUUCUUUGUGAUAUCAGGUACUAAUAACAUGUCAUUCAGUAAGAUAUGUGUUGGUUUAUAUGCAGCAUUUGAUCCUUUAUAAGUAAAACAUGGAUUACCAACAUGAGUUAUAGGCAAACCUUGGCCAUUGCCGAUGACAAGUUGAUUAGAUCCUCUGAAUUCCUCUCUGACAUUCAUGUUGGCCAUACUGUUAGUCAAGUGAUGUGUGGCACCAUUGUCAAGGUGCCAUCCUUCAUCAGCAGGCCCUUCAUAGUUGGUAAGAUAGGCUUCAGGAAUUACUGUGUCUGUUGAUGGAUAAGAGGAGAAGGAUAAAGGAUUGUAGCUUGAGUAGGGUGCAGCAUACUGUUCUUCAGUUGAAGGAGCAGCAUAGGUUAGAGAUGGAUCAAAGUUAGCUGUGUAUGCAGCCUUAGAUUCAAAAGAUCUGCCCCUUCCAAAAUGCCUAGGUAAUGGUUGAGGAUUGUCAUCAUAUCUAUGCCAGCAUUCAUCUGCUGCAUGUCCUGUUUUGUGGCAUAUCUGACAUAUGGUUGGUAAUUCAUCAGCAUGCAUGUUAGCUGAAGGAUGAAAGUUUGGCUUCAUAGGUGGCCUAAAAGGUUGCAUCAUCUGGCCCCUGCCAUAACCCCCAACAUUACCAACACCAGGUGAAAAACCUCUGGGAUGUGGAUUGUGAAACAUGCCUCUUCCAACAUUAAAUCCUCUAGUCAUAGGUCGACCAUAAUUUCCAUUUCCAACAACACCUCUUCUAAAAUUUCCUCUCAUAUAAGGAUGAUUCACAUUCAUUGUGCUAUAGUUUGCAUUAAACACAGUUUUGGCACUUUGAUUUUGUUCAAGUCUAGCUUCAUGAGUCAGUAAUAAUGCAUAAGCAUCAUCAUAGCUCAUCUUAUUAGCUGUGAUUAUGGAAGCUAGAUCUAGAUAACCUGAACCUAAGCCAUUCAAAACUCUCAUUAACAGAUCCUUUUCAGUGAUUACAUCACCAGCACAAGCAAGUUUGUUGGCGAGUAAUUUCAUUUUAGCACAAUAUUCCUCAACAUUCAUUGAAUCUUUUCUUAAGAUAUUCAUUUCAUAUCUGAGUUGCAUAAUCUUAGCCUCAGAUUGAACUCCAAACUGUUUUUCAAUAGAUCUCCACACAUCAAAUGAAGUGUCAUAGCUAAGAACAGAACUAAGAAUACCUUCACUUAUAGUUGAGAGCAGCCAGCCAAGGAGUAUUUGAUCUUGUGCUCUCCAGUUGCUGUAGGCUGGAUUUUCAAUGCUCUCACCAGAUCCUUCGAUCAUUGAAUCAACUAGAUACUGUUCUGGAAUAAUUUGCGGCUCUAGAAUGAAUCUUUCAAGGCGAUUUCCUCUGAUUGAAGUUACCACUUGUUUGCGCCAAAGCAAGAAAUUUGAUCGAUCAAGUUUCACAGUUGCAGCAAAAGUAAAUGAUGUUUGUGUAUGUUGAUUUGAGUUUAUGAUUGUUUGAUUUGAGAUUGUAUUGCUUGAGCUGGCCAUUUGUGGCUCUGAUACCAUGAAAGAAAACAGAGAUGUACUAUUUGGUUGAAUAGAAAAUUACAGAGAAAAUUCUCAAUACUUGUAUUUGAUAAGAUUCAAUUCUUAAGAGCUUUUACAAAUCAGUACAAGUAUUUAUAUUAUUCCUUACACGUGAGAAUUACUAGUAACUCACUAACUAACUAACUAACUUUCUUUGAGCUGGAUCACUAACACUUGACUAAUCACGCUGAGCUGUUAUUCUUCACUAACAACCUUCUGCUGACGUGGCUUCACCAAACUGCUUGAAUAAUGAGCAGCCUUGACAGGAAGAAACUUUGAACAAUCAUCCUGAUAUCCUUCAGAAAGCACAAUAGUUGUUAAGGAGUGUGGUGGUUUGCCACUUGCACAUUUUACCAUCGGUCGAUUUAUGGCAUGCAAGAAGACACAGCCGAAGAAUGGAGAUAUGCUAUUCAAGUGUUCAAUUCGUCCGCUUCCCGUUUCCAGGUCUGGAAGAAUGGAUAUAUACUCUUGUAAAAUUCAGUUAUGAUAGUUUACCCAAUGACACAAUUACACCUUGUCUGUUAUAUUGUAGUUUAUAUCCAGAAGAUUGUUGCAUUUCUAAAGAGAAUUUGGUAGAUUGUUAGAUCAGUGAAGGAUUUUUUAAUGAGAGUGAUUGGUUUGGAGAAAAAAUCAAGGAUACUUCAUUUUGGGCAUUCUUCUUCACGUUUUUUUUUGGAAAAGGGAGGAGAUUGUGAAAUGAAAAAUGCAUGCAUGACGUUAUUCGUGAUAUGGCUUUGUGGAUCGCAUGCGACUAUGAGAAGGAGAAGGAGAACUUUUUGGUUUACGCUGGUGUUGGUUUAACUAAGGUACCGGAUAUUAGAGAUUGGGAAAAGGUAAGGAGAUUGUCAUUGAUGAAAAAUAAAAUUGAGAAUCUAUCCGAGGCUCAUACAUGCCCUCAUCUCCUCACUUUCUUUCUUGACGAUAAUGAGUUUCGGAAGAUCCCCGGUGAUUUCUUCCAGUUUAUGCCUUCUCUCACUGUUUUAAACUUGUCAUGUAUUAAACUAAAGUCAGUUCCUUUAGGGACUUCAAGGUUGGUUCCACUACAACAACUCGAUCAUUCAUAUUCAAGCAUAAAAGAGUUGCAAGAAGAGUUAAAUGCCCUGAUUAAAGUUAAAUGCUUGAAUAUAGAUCAUGUAGAGGAGCUAAUUACAGUUCCACAACAACGGAUAUUUAAUUUUUAAGGUUAUAUGUGUUGAGAAUGUUCGAUACUAUUAGUUUAAAUUUUCAAGAAGCAUUAAAUAAAGACAGCAUUUUAUUUGGUGGGGAGGAAGUUUAAGCAGAGGAGUUGCUCGGUUUGGAAUAUUUGGAGGUAUUGAGCUUCACUUGAGAGGUGUUCGUGCUCUCCAAUUUAUUUUGAGCUCACAUAAGCUACGAAGUUGUACUCAAGCGCUGUUCCUCCAAUCCUUCAAUAAUUCGAUAUGGCUUGAUAUUUCACUUUUGGCAGAGUUAAAAGCACCACUGCAGAUUUAAGUAUUUUUGGCUGUAGAAAAUUGGAGGACUUGAAGAUGGAAUAUACAGGGGGAGCGAAAAACAAGCGGCAACCUUGUGUUUUCUAAGGCCUACAUACAGUUCACAUAGAGGUUUGUUCUAAAUUGAAGGACUUAACAUUCCUUGUUUCUGCUCCAAAUCUCAAGAACUUGGAAAUACAAAAUUGCCCUGCUGUGGAAGCAAUCAUCAGUGUGGGAGAAUUUGCGGAAGCUCUAGAGGUGGUGGAAAAUCUAAACCCAUUUGCAAAACUCCAGUAUCUUGGACUAGAAAAUCUGCCAAAUGUGGAGAGCAUCUAUUGCAAGCCUCUGCCCUUUCCAUGUUUGAAAAGAAAUGACUGUGGAUAGUUGCGGUUGUCUUAAAAAGCUUCCACUCUACUCCAACAGUGUAAAAGAGUGUACAAUUGUUAUUUCAUCAUUCGGAGAGUUAAUGGUGCAAUGAGAUUUGGCAGUUAACUCUCGUGGGAAGAGCUUGAAUGGGAAGACGAAGCCACUCGAAUUGCUUUUCAUUCAUGUUUCAAAUCUCUGAUUGGAUUGGAGAUUGCAUUUCGCCUCAGGUUCGUACUUUUCUUGAAUUUUUCUUGUUAACUUCAUUUGUUCAUUUAUCCAUUUUUUUUUAAAGGAAUCAGAAGGGUUAAUAAUUUUGGUUGUGUUAGGUCGACUUCUAAUCACGAGGCAGAAGGAGUUGAGAUGAAGUUUAAUUUUGGUGGAGAAAUUGUUUGAUUUAAAAAAUUUAAAUGAGUUGACCAUCAUUCUUUAGCAUAUUUGUAUGAACAGGAGUGUGUAAAUAUGCAAACUGUCCAGCUGUAUGUGUAUAGCGUAAUAAUUUUGAGGAGUUAAAACAUUGAAGAAUAUUGAUGUUUCCAUUGUCAAACCAAAUAUACUUAAUUACUUGAGGAUAAUGAUUACUGCUAAUACAUUUGCUAAUACAUUUGCAAAGAAAAAAACAUGCCUAUUGAAAAACUCAUCUUAUUAGCAACAGCAUUAUAAGUAGUAUCCAAUCAUAGUUUCAUGCAAGAUUUUGAGAUUUUUCAAAUGCUGAUUCCGGGAAUGGAGAUUAAUAGAUAAUGGAGACAGGUUGACUGCAAUGGCUAAUUGCAAGAGGGAAUUUUAGUCGUAAAAACAGACCAACUAGCAAAGCAAAUUCCAAAUCUUGGAAUGAAGUGGCAAAAAAACGAAACAAACAAAUGGCAAGAGGAAGUGACUAUACAAUAAUAACAUCGACUUGCAAUUCAACAUUUAUACAGUUUUACUCACCAAGAAAAGAGAAAAUUACAAUAGCAAUUUGGCUACUAGAAGAUGUUCAUUCAUGCUUAUGCCUGUCAUAUGGAUUUGAAACAAGGAGUAAAAGCAUUUAGAGUGGCUUCAUCCUUCCACUGCAGCUCAUUCCACCAGUGUUGCUCUCCCCUAAUAACAAGUUUGCGUUCCUUGGCGCUGUUGUAAUCGAGUGGAAGCUUCUUGAGGUUCGGGCAUCCAGAUACAAACAAUUCUAAGAGAUUUGGAAAGUGCACUUAAAUUCUUAUGAAUUGCUUAAGUAUGCAAGCAGCAGAGCAGAAAACAAACAACCUUUUCAUAUAUUAUAAUAACAUGAAUAAUCAGAUAUACACAUCCUUCACAUAUUUAUACUAAACGUGAAAAAUGGUAGCUUGCUCAAAGGGAAAACAGAAAUGAAUAAAACAAAAGAUUACAGCUGCACUAGCCAAUCAUUGGAAACAUUCUAGAAACUCCAGCUUGCAGUAUUCACGUGUAAAUAUUCUCCUGCAUAACAGUUUUGCCAGCUCAUUGAAUACACCUCAACUUCUUCAUCAGCUGGUUGCUGGAUAUGGCUGCUCAGGUGGCAUGCCAGCAUGGCCUUUGGGUCAAUUGUUGACUCAUCUUCAUAAUCUGAAUUCUCAACACCCUCUCUCAAACUUAAGGUCUUGUCGAAGACAUUAAGUUUGCUUCUAAAUUGACUGAACUUGUAAUAAGGCAAUGGCUUGGUUAAUAUGUCUGCAACUUGAUCUCUGCUGGCUACAAAACUGAUUUCCAGCUCUCCUUGAGUGACUUUGUCUCUAAUGAAAUGAAGGUCUAUCUCAAAAUGCUUUGUCUUUGAGUGAUACACUGGAUUUGUGGCUAUUGCUGCUGCACUUGUGCUAUCACUUAAGAUCAUUGGAACUCUUUGCAUCUUGAUUUCCAAUUCACCAAACAGAGAAUUUAUCCAAGUGAUUUCAGUAGUACACAAAGCUAUGGCCCUGUACUCGGACUCAGCUGUCGAUCUUGCUACCAUGCCUUGCUUUAUUGAGCUCCAAGCUACUAAAUUGUCUCCCAAAAACACACAAUAUCCACUUACUGAUCUUCUGUCAUCUGGAUCACUAGCCCAGUCAGCAUCAAUAUAGGCUAUCAAAUCUAGAUGUUCUGACUUCUGGAACUUUAAGCACAUGUUUGCAGUGCUCUUUAGGUACCUCAACACUCGUUUGCAAGCUGUCCAGUGAGAUUGUCUUGGGUCAGACAGGUAUUGGCUAAGCUUGUUCACAGAAUAUGCAAGCUCUGGUCUUGUUAGAACAGCAUAAUGUAGACUUCCUACAACACUCCUAUAAAAUGAAGGAUUGUCAAGUUUGGUGCCUUCACCCUUCUUUAGUUUCUCUGCUGUGCUGAAAGGUGACUCUAUUCCCUUGCAAUUCUCCAUCUCUGUUUUAGCUAAUAGGUCUUGAACAUAUUUAGCUUGAGAGAGCAAAAUGGAGUUCUGAUUUCUUAUAACAUGUAUCCCAAGGAAGUAGCUUAAAUUUCCAAGAUCUUUCCACUUAACUUUCCUAUCACUUCCUCAAUACCCUUGCUGUUAUUUCCAGUCACAAUUAUGUCAUCUACAUACACAAGCACAAUGAUUAUUUCAGCACUGCUUCUUUUGAAGAAUAGAGAAAUAUCACACUUGGAGUUGUUGAAUCCCCAAGAGCACAGAGCAUUCUUUAAUUUGUCAAACCAUGCUCUGGGUGCUUGUCUCAGUCCAUAAAGAGCUUUCUUGAGCUUGCAUAUGUGGUUUGGUCUUCUCCUAUCCUCAAAUCCCUCAGGUUGUGGCAUGUACACUGUCUCUGUCAAAUCUCCAUUCAGAAAUGCAUUAUUUAUGUCAACCUGCCUCAACAGCCAAUCAUUACUUACAGCCAAAGUUAAAAUGAUUCUGAUUGUUGCAGCUUUGACCACAGGGCUGAAAGUCUCAUUAAAGUCAAGUCCUGGUGUCUGCAGAAACCCCUUCAAGACAAGUCUAGCUUUGUAUCUAUUUAUGGUGCCAUCUGGAUUUUCCUUUACUUUGUACACCCAUUUGUUGCCAAUGAGUUUGUAGUUCUGGUCAUGUGGAAUUAAGGUCCAGGUUUGGUUUUUGACAAGAGCAUUAUAUUCAUCCUCCAUUGCUCUUCUCCAUUUAGGAUCUUUCAGUGCCACAGUGGAGUCAGGGGGUAAGGAAGUUUGAGAUUGAGUGGAUAUUUGAUAAACCUUUGGCUUGCAAAUCCCUGCUUUUGACCUUGUGAUCAUGGGAUGUAAGGAGGCUUGAGUGUUUGGUUAUGUUAUGAGAGGCAAGGUGCAAUUUUCUACUGAGGUGUUUGGUGAGAGUUCAACAGGUGAGUGGUUGUCUGAUAUAGAGUUGAAGCUCAAAUUCUAACAAGCUCCAUCUUAACUAAAACUUGGGAGCUGUUCUGAGUUUCCAGCAGUGGCCUGAGAUUAACUAUGAGCUGCAUUUUGCUGUGUUGACUCAGGGGGAACAGUAGUGGAGAAAGAUACAACUUGAAAUUUUUCUAGAACUGUGGGGGAAUCAUUUUGGUCAGUGAGCCUUUGCUUGCAGAAAUUUGAGUCAUUUUGAAAAGGGAAUGAAUGAUCAUUAAAUUGACACUGGCUGAAAUGUAGAUCCUCCCAGAAUGAUGCAUGCAAAUGUAACCUUUGUGACUGAUGCUAAUGCCUAGUAGUGUGCACUUGAAAGUGUGAAAAUCAAACUUAUGCUUGUUGUAGGGUCUUAAGUAUGGAUAGCAUUCACAACCGAAAACUUUAAUUUGGGAAUAAUCUGGUUUGGUGAGAUAUAACAGCUCAAAUGGAGUUUUAUUUUCAAGAAUAGGUGAGGUUAAUCUGUUUAUGAUGUAGGUGGCAUAGCUGAAAGCUUCUUGCCAAUAUCUCAAAGGCAUUUUUGCUUGGGCUAGUAAUGUUAGGCCAGUUUCCACAAUGUGUCUGUGCUUUCUCUCCACCUUUCCAUUUUGUUCAUGUAAAUAAGGGCAUGAGUGUCUUAAGGCUAUUCCUUCUUUCUUGAGAAAGGGUUCGAAAGUUUUAAACUCCCCACCCAUGUCUGUUUGUAAAGCCUUGAUUCUUAAAUUUAGCUGAUUUUCUACUUGGUUUUUAAACACAAUGAAUGUGUCAAGGGCCUGUGAUUUUGUUGUUAAGGGAAACAACCAUGUGUAUCUUGUCUUGUCAUCCACAAAUGAUAUGUAAUAUCUGUGUCCAUGGGUAGAUGGAAUAGGUGCUGGUCCCCAGAGAUCACUAUGUAUUUGUUCUAAGGCUGUGCUGGUCUUGGUUUCAAUGCUUUUAAAGUUUAGUUUUGAUUGCUUUCCAUACUGACAAGCAUUACAGAAUGAGGGAAAUAUAUUUUUAUUUAAGUUGAGCUGAUUACAAGAUAAUAGAGUAUUUUUCAGAACUGACUCAUUUGGAUGCCUCAGCCUAUGGUGCCAGAGAUCUAUUUCAUUUGUUCUAAGAUCCCUACUGCUUGUAUCAGCUCUACUGGACUCGACAACACUGGCACCAACACUGGCACCUAAAGACUCAUUACUACUGAAAUUGAAACAUGCCAUUGACAUUGGAUUGCUAAUGCAACUUAUUGACUUGGGUAUUGGAAAUGAAGAUAACUCAGCAGCAUAAGUAACCUUGUUGCCACUCAAAUGAGUUGGCAUGCAUAGCAGCUCAUAUAGUCCAUCUCUAGCCACUCCUUUCACCAGAAUUCUCCCUUGGCUCUUGUCCUUGAUGAAGCAAACAGAUUUUUGAAACUCAACAUCAAUAUCAUUAUCAUGAAGCAAUUUGGAAACACUAAUGAGAUUUUUGGUAAUAUCAGGUACAAACAAAAUAUGAUUUAAUUUGAUGUGUUUGUGUGGACUGUAAGUGGGCAAUAUAGAAUAACCAAUGUGAGAGAUAUGAAGUUUGUUACCAUUACCAACAGUGAGCUUGUCAUUACCUUGGUACUCUGAGUUCAGGUUCAUGUUUCCAAUAGCAUUGGUCACAUGAUUUGUGGCACCACUGUCAAGGUACCAGGCAUUGCUGUUUUGUCCUUCUGUUGUGGCCAUGUAGGCUCCUCUCCUCCUAUUUAGCUGUGGCACAUAAUUUUUCUUAAACCUAUGCCAGCAUUCAACAGCUGUGUGCCCCAUUUUGAAGCAGAUUUGGCAUGGACCCUUUGAUUCAGAACCUUCACCUUCUGCAGCAGCUUUGCCUUUGCCUUUGUCUUGAAUAUUUUGAUUUCCCUGACCAUGACCACCAUUGCCACCAUUUCCAGUGCCACCACCAGGAUUUCUGAAGACUAUCCCAGGUUGUUGCUGACUGCCAAAUCUUUCACCAUUGCCCCAGUUCCUCCUGCCAUUUCUCAUCUGUGUGAAGUUAGCCUCAAGAAUCCCUGGGCUGAGAUUUUGCUCAGUCCUGGUUUCUUGGCUGAGGAGCAUGCUGUAGACCUCUGACAAUGAAGGAGUUUCUGGCAUAGAGUUAAUGUUAGUGACAACAGAGUCAUAUUCAGAUCAUACUCCAGCUAAGACACACAUAAUAAAGUCCUCAUCACUCAUGUUAUUUCCAGCUGCUCUGAGUGUAUUUAGGAUAGUUUUCAUCAUGGAGUAAUAAUCAUGGAUUGUAAGAGAGCCCUUUUUAGUGGUUUGAAUCUGUGUCCUCAAAUAUAGGAUUCUAGCUCUUGUUCUUGCACCAUACUGAUUGGUAAGAGUUGUCCAAACUUCAUGUGAAGUAGAACAAUCCACCACAGUGCCGAGGACACCCUCACUGAGAGAUGAGAGCAACCAGCUCAAAAGAAUGUGGUCCUGUUUCUUCCAGAUUUGAUAUUCUGGAUUUUGGUGGGUAACGGUAGCUUGGUUAGGUCCAGGACUGGUGAAAUAUCUGGGGGGACAGGUAUAGCUUCCAUUUAUGAAGCCUUCAAGCUCAUUUGCUCGUAUGCUGGAGACCACUUGUGAUCUCCAGAGCAUGAAAUUGUUCUGUGUUAACUUGAUGGGAGUGGUGAACACAUAUGUGUUGCUGGUGAUAUGUUGGGUAGGAGAUGGGUUCAUUAUGGUCACAUUUCUUGUGUUAUUAUCUGGAUUCUGAUUGUCGAUAUUUUCAGGUUGGUUUUGAUUCAAAUCAUUUGGUUGAUCAUCUGGAUUUUCCAGAGUUUGAUUCAUGUUUGUUUGUGAAUUUCUGCUGCUUUCCAUAGCUCAAAAGUUGCUCUGAUACCAACUUAAAUUCUUAUGAAUUGCUUAAGUAUGCAAGCAGAAGAGCAGAAAAAAAAUAACCUUUUCAUAUAUUAUAAUAACAUGAAUAAUCAGAUAUACACAUCCUUCACAUAUUUAUACUAAACGUGAAAAAUGGUAGCUUGCUCAAAGGGAAAACAGAAAUGAAUAAAACAAAAGAUUACAGCUGCACUAGCCAAUCAUUGGAAACAUUCUAGAAACUCCAGCUUGCAGUAUUCACGUGUAAAUAUUCUCCUGCAUAACAGUUUUGCCAGCUCAUUGAAUACACCUCAACUUCUUCAUCAGCUGGCUGCUGGAUAUGGCUGCUCAGGUGGCAUGCCAACAUGGCCUUGGGGUCAAUUGUUGACUCAUCUUCAUAAUCUGAAUUCUCAACAAUGCAUUCAAACAGAUCUUCUUCAAAUUUCUUAGAACUUGCAACCGAAGAUAUUGGAGUUUCGCAAAAGGUUUUAGCCCUGUAACUUCUUCCACUUUCCAAACACUGAUUAUUUCUUCCAUCUCAUAACAACGUUCUACAUGGACCAUCUUCAGAUUUGGGGCAAAAACAAGCCAUGUCAUCUCCCUCAAUUUACUGCAAUAGUCUAUGGUAACACUUUGAAGGCUGUUGAAACCAUAAGUUCUCUUGUUGUUUGAACUUCUGCAUAGUCAACCUUUAGCUCUUCCAAACUUGUACAAUACACAAAAUCUAGUUUGUCAAGAUACUUGAGAUCUGCUAUGGACAAAAUAUUCCAUGACCUUGAAUCCUCACAGCGUCGAAGCUCUAAAGCAUAUUUACAACUCUUGUACUGUUGGCAGCUCAAAAGUCUUCGUAGAGCAUAAAAACUUCUUAACGUGACGCUUAAUACAUUUAAAUGUUCCAAAGUAAUCAACUCCUCUACCAAAAUUUCACUACCACCAAAUAGAACGCUAUCUUCUGGUACUGUAUUAGCAGAGCCACAAUCUAGCAUCCUCAACACCUUUAACCCAGAAAAAUUACAAAGCAGUUGCCGUGGAAUCGUAUGGAGAUAACGCAUGUACUCCAAGUUCAAACACUUUAGAUUUUUCAAGGCUUUUAAUUCAUGUGGUAACUCUUUGAUGAAAGUUUCUGAAAGAUUAAGAUAUUGUAGUGAAACCAAUUUUGAAAUUCCUGAAGGCAAUUGACUCAAGGAGCGAUUCUUUGAUAGGUUUAAAACUUUAAGAGAAGGCAUAAAAUCGAAGAAAUCACUAGGGAUAGUAUCUAACAUAUUAAUGCCGAGGAACAAAGUUAUAAGAUGAGGGCAUAUUGGAGUUAUUGGUAAAAUCACAAUUUUAUUUCUCAUCAACGAUAUCCUUCUCUUAUCUUCCCAUUGUUUAACCUCGGGUGGUUCAGUUAAUUCAAUACCGGCAGAAACCAAAAAGUUUUCAUUCUCCACUUCACAGGCUAUCCACAAGGUCAUAUCACGAAUCACAUCAUGCAAUUUUACAUAAUCUGAUCCUGCUUCUUCCAAUAGGCAUGCAUGAACAAGAACACCAAUAAUGUAGUAUCCUUGGUUAUGUACUCCAUUAAUUCCUUCAUAUUCCUUCAGAAAACCCUCACCAAUCCAACACCCUAUCAAUUCAAUUUUGCUAAUUUGAUAAUCCUCAGGAAAUAAACUACAGUAUAACAGACAAGAUCUAAGGACGUCACUAGACAAACUAUCAUAACUGAAUUUUAAAAGACGAAACACCUCUUUCUCCAUACCUGGAAAUUCAUAAGCUGAUCUCCUUAACAUCUGAAUUGCAUAGCUCCAUUCUUCGGGUGUCUUCUUGCUGCUCAUGGCACGACCGGUGGUAAUAAGUGCAAGUGGCAAACCACUACACUCCUUUGCCACAGUUUUGGCUAACUCCGGAAUAUCGGGAUGACUUUCAAGAGUCUCUUCUCCGACCUUCUUUAGGAACAAUUCCCAAGCAUCUUGAUCUGCCAAACACUCCACCUUGAACUUUUUUUGAGCUUCCAUGAGGCCACAGACGUCCACAAGACGAGUCGUAAAUGUUGAAAGUCAUGGCUGGCGCCGGCCAUCUAGAUGGCCGGUGCCAACCAUUCAACAUUCAACACGGCCCGCCAUUAUUGGUGGUGCCGUGUUGAAUGACUCCAUAAAAAAAAAAAAAAAAAAAAAGAGCCAAAAUUUUGGCUAUAUAAAGAGGGCUUCCCACCCUCAUUUAUAAUCCAAUCUUGAGAGAGCAAUUUAGGGAGUUGAGAGAGAGUUUAAGAGCUUGCAUUUAUAAGCUCUUAUUUUAGUGAUUUGAGAGUUUGGGUGUAUUGGGGUUUUGGGUAGUGAGCUAAAAUACUACAAUACUUGUAACUCCUUUUCACUAGUAAAAUAUUUCCUUCUGUCUUUGCCCAUGGACGUAGGCUAAAAGCCGAACCACGUAAUUUCUGGUGUCCUCUAUUGUGCUUGUUCUUUAUUUUAUUUCCAAUUUCAUUUUAGCUGCGGUCCUGCUUCACCCACCAAUUUCCUAACAGUGGUAUCAGAGCUAUUGGUUGUAUUUUUGGAGUCGGGAACUGUUCACGUAAGGGGUACUAUUCACGUAUACGACACUAUUCACGUAUACUGUACUGUUCACGUAUACGGGUUUGUUCACAUAUACGGUACUGUUCACGUAUACGAUACUAUUCACGUAUACGGUACUAUUCACGUGAAACGGGGAAGCGAUCCAAGAAUUUUCCGGUGCAAAGCAGGGAAUAGUAGUGUGAGAAAAGCAACUGUGGUUUUGUACAUGUCUAGGAAAGUUCUGUCACAAAGGCGAUAAGAGCUUAAGGAGUCUGGGUUUUAAGUGGGACCAUUGUGACCCCUCCAGUCUUUCCUGGGAACUUUCCUGGUGUGCAUUCUCACACAUACUCACAACUAUUCAAGGUGGUAUACUAGCUUGUGUGCAGUAUUUAUCAACAAAAUGGCGGCAAAGUAUGAAAUUGAGAAGUUGAACGGAAAUAAUUUUUCGUUGUGGAAAAUGAAGAUGAAAGCUGUAUUGAGGAAAAAUAAUUGUUUGGCAGCAAUUGGAGAAAGGCCCAUGGAGAUAACUGAUGACAAGUGGAACGAGGUAGACGGUAACGCCAUUUCUGAUCUACACUUGGCACUUGCGGAUGGUGUAUUAUCUAGUGUGGCAGAGAAAAAUACGGCGAAGGAAAUAUGGGAUACUCUCACAAAAUUGUACGAGGCCAAGUCACUACACAACAAAAUCUUCUUGAAGAGAAAACUAUAUACUCUUCGAAUGGCGGAAUCUACAAUGGUGACCGACCACAUCAACACUUUGAAGACUCUAUUUUCACAACUCACAACGUUGGGUCAUAAUAUAGAGGAGAAUGAACGUGCAGAGCUUCUACUUCAAAGUCUACCAGAUUCGUAUGAUCAACUCAUCAUCAACCUGAUGAACAACAAUCCAGUGGAAAGUCUAGUUUUCGACAAUGUUGCAGCCUCCGUAUUAAAUGAGGAGAGCAGACGGAAAAAUAAGGAAAACAGACAAGCAAGUUCGCAGCAAGCAGAGGCGCUAUCGGUGACGAGAGGGAGAUCAACGGAACGUGGCCCCAGUGGGAGUCAAAGUUAUGGUAGAUCAAAAUCCAGAAGUAAGAAAAAUGUUAAAUGCUACAACUGUGGCAAGAAAGGGCACGUCAAGAAAGAGUGUUGGAGUAACCAGAAGAGAAGAGAGGGUAAAGAACCUGAGUCAUCAAAUGCUCAGGGGUGUGUAGCAAGUACCUCGGAUGAUGGCGAAAUUCUCUACAGUGAGGCAACAACUGUUUCAGAAGGCAGAAAACGACUUUCUGAUGUCUGGCUUAUAGACUCAGGAGCUACCUGGCACAUGACCUCUAGGAGAGAAUGGUUCUACACAUAUGAACCUAUCUCAGGAGGAUCUGUAUAUAUGGGUAACGAUCAUGCCUUGGAGAUCGCUGGUAUUGGUACUAUCAAAAUAAAAAUGUUUGAUGGUACAAUUCGCACAAUUGGGGAGGUACGACAUGUCAACGGCCUAAAGAAAAAUCUAUUGUCUUUAGGACAAAUGGAUAGUCAUGGGUACAAAACUCAUGUGGAGAAUGGAAUUAUGAAGAUCGUUAAAGGCGCGCUUGUAUUAAUGAAGGCAGAAAAGAUCAGUGCUAAUCUAUUCAUGCUUAAAGGAGAAACACUACAGGAGGCUGAUGCGUGUGUCGCGUCAAAUGGAGAAGAAUCAACGAUGAUGUGGCAUCUCAAACUCGGCCACAUGUCAGAACAAGGCUUGAAGAUUCUCUCUGAGCGAAAAUUGCUUCCGGGGCUCAAAUCAGUAAGUUUACCAUUUUGCGAGCAUUGUGUUAUAAGUAAGCAGUAUAGAUUAAAAUUCAGUAGAUCUAUUGCUAGAAGUAAAUGCAUUCUAGACUUGAUUCAUUCUGAUGUUUGGGAAUCACCGGAUAUAUCCAUGGGAGGUGCAAAGUACAUGGUGACUUUCAUUGAUGAUUAUUCCAGAAGAUGUUGGGUGUAUCCAAUUAAGAAAAAGUCAGAUGUAUUUCCUGUGUUUAAAGAAUACAAAGCGCGGGUGGAACUUGAAUCUGGUAAAAAGAUCAAGUGCUUAAGGACAGAUAAUGGUGGAGAAUAUACAUACGACGAGUUUCUUGCUUUCUGUAAGCAAGAAGGUAUUCAGAGGCAAUUCACGGUGGCAUACACUCCUCAACAAAACGGAGUAGCAGAGCGGAUGAACAGAACUCUUACAGAAAGAAUAAGAGCUAUGUUGAGGACUGCUGGUUUACCCAAUUCAUUCUGGGCAGAAGCAGCCAAAACCGCCUGUUAUAUAGUAAAUCGGUCGCCAUCUACAGCUAUUGGGUUGAAGACAGCGAUGGAGAUGUGGACUGGAAAGCCAGCUGAUUAUUCCUACCUACAUGCAUUUGGAUGUCCUGUGUACGUGAUGUACAAUGCCCAAGAAAGAACAAAGCUGGAUGCAAAAUCUAGAAGAUGUAUCUUCUUGGGGUAUGCUGAUGGAGUAAAGGGGUAUCGUCUGUGGGACCCCACUGCCCAUAAGAUCGUCAUCAGCAGAGAUGUUAUCUUUGUAGAAGAUCAACUACAAAGAAAAGAUGGAGAUGAUGGCACUGUAAAAGAAAAGUCAGAGACUGUACCAGUAUAUGUCGAAAAUAAUCUAGAAGAUUCAGAUUCUUCUGAAGCAGCACCAGAGCACGAGGAACAAGAACCAGUCGAGUCUGAGGCUCCAGAAGUUCGUCGGUCAACUCGUGAGAGACGACCACCGGCGUGGCACUCGGAGUAUGUCACAGAGAUCAACGUUGCAUACUGUCUUCUAACAGAGGAUGGAGAGCCUUCAACUUUCCAUGAAGCUUUAAACAACUUAGAUGUUGCUUUGUGGAUGACAGCAAUGCAGGAAGAAAUUGAAGCUCUACACAAGAACAAGACAUGGGAACUUGUACCACUACCACACGGAAGAAAAGCCAUUGGAAACAAAUGGGUCUACAAGAUCAAACGUGAUGGCAAUGACCAAGUGGACCGGUAUCGUGCAAGAUUGGUGGUGAAAGGAUAUGCUCAGAAAGAAGGUAUUGACUUCAACGAGAUAUUUUCUCCGGUGGUUCGACUCACAACAGUCAGAAUAGUCUUGGAGAUGUGUGCUACAUUUGAUCUACAUCUUGAGCAGUUAGAUGUUAAAACUGCAUUUCUUCAUGGAGAACUUGAAGAAGAAAUAUAUAUGCUCCAACCAGAAGGUUUUGCAGAAACAGGAAAGGAGAACUUGGUUUGCAGGUUGAACAAAUCUCUAUACGGUCUCAAACAGGCGCCGAGGUGUUGGUAUAAGAGAUUUGAUUCCUUCAUCAUGAGCCUUGGAUACAACAGACUCAGUUCAGACCAUUGUGCAUAUUACAAGAGGUUUGAAGAUAAUGAUUUCAUCAUUUUACUGUUGUACGUGGAUGACAUGUUGGUAGCAGGCCCCAACAAAGAUCAAGUCCAAGAAUUGAAGGCACAAUUGGCUAAGGAGUUUGAAAUGAAGGACUUGGGACCAGCAAACAAGAUUCUAGGGAUGCAAAUUCACCGAGACAAAAAUAACAGGAAGAUUUGGCUUUCACAGAAGAAUUACUUGAAGAAAAUCUUGCGGCGCUUCAACAUGUAAGAUUGUAAGUCAAUUUCUACCCCACUUCCUGUUAAUUUCAAAUUAUCCUCAAGUAUGUGUCCUAGCAAUGAAGUGGAGAGGAAGGAGAUGUCUCGAGUACCGUAUGCAUCAGCAGUGGGAAGUUUAAUGUUCGCUAUGAUAUGUACUAGACCAGACAUUGCACAAGCAGUGGGAGCAGUCAGUCGAUACAUGGCGAAUCCUGGUGGAGAGCAUUGGAUAGCUGUAAAGAGGAUUCUGAGAUACAUCAGAGGAACCUCAGAUGUUGCAUUAUGUUACGGAGGAUCAGAGUUUACUAUCAGGGGCUAUGUGGAUUCAGAUUUUGCAGGAGAUCUUGAUAAAAGAAAAUCCACUACUGGUUAUGUGUUUACACUUGCAGGAGCAGCUGUAAGCUGGGUUUCGAAACUGCAGAUCGUUGUGGCUUUANNNNNNNNNNNNNNNNNNNNNNNNNNNNNNNNNNNNNNNNNNNNNNNNNNNNNNNNNNNNNNNNNNNNNNNNNNNNNNNNNNNNNNNNNNNNNNNNNNNNAUAUUCUUGAUUAAUCCAUUUUCUGAAAUUUUUUAUUUUGUAUGGUCAAUUAUACCUUCAUACUAAAAAUUUCUGAUGUUAUGGGGUUGUUGGAUGUGUUUUGGAUAUUUGCAGCUAAGUUUGAGUUUAUAUCUCAACUUAAAAUUUGUAGUUUUCACUUGAAAAAAUUCAGUUAAAAAUUGAUUGGUAGAAUUGUGAAGAAGUUUAAAUUUUUAGUUCAACCCGAUUGCAUAUUUAAGAACAUCUCAAAUGAAUUGCUUACUGCUAUCAUCAUCAUAAUUGUCAGAGAUGGUUAAUUGAUAGACUAUGUGCCUGGGUCGAGCACUGGAAGCCUGCAAUGCAGACUGAUUGAUUUAUCAGUUUAACGUGUGCCAGGAAUGAAGAACUGGAAUAUCACCGUCAAGCAAGCACCCUGUGGAGCAAUACCAAAGAAUGCACAAUCCGGCUUUGCAAGGUGACACUGGAGGCUUUUUGAAAAGUGCUUCACGCUCACUUGCACAGAUUGAGCAUCCCCUCUGGAUAUUGCCCUCUCUGAUCGAGUCUGAGCACUCAAAUUUUGGUCCUCAGAGGGAGCUACAGUUUUCUCUCCAAUAACCAACAAUUUUCUAAACUCAGCACCUAGUGUGAUCAGAGUUGUUGAUAUUUAUAAAUGGAGAUCCCCAUAUUUGCAAGUGGAGACAUUUAACAAUUCACCAACAUGCUUCAUCCGGUGUACAAAAUUCUGCAGCUGAUUCAAAUCCGGAACCUGAACCAGAGUCGGAGGUAUAUCUUGAGCCAUAUCUAAAGUAGUUUGAAGUUCAAGACCUUGAGCCCUUGACAAUGGUUUUGAAAUUGGAACAUCUUGGAUUACUGCAGACUUGUACCCCUUGGUUUCAAAGGUAAGGAAAGGCAUUGCUUGAGUACAAUUUGGAGGCAGCUUCUUCACCAAUUUUAUUUGGAGGCGAUUGGCAGCGGAUCCAGCAGCACCAAUUUCAGAGCAAAUACUGACACUACUUCGAACAGCACACUGAAGAAGUGAUAUGUCUACGGCAAAGGCAAUGCAGUCCUCAUUUUGGCUUGAGAUGCAGUAAUCAUCGAAGAGAGUUUCCUUGUGAAACUGGGCAACACAUUGAAUCCCUUCGCCACUGAGAAGGUUGUGGAGGAAGUAAGCUUUCUCUCUAGUGAGGCAGAGGUGGCAUACCUUCCCCAUUUUGUCGAGGGCAGGUAGGAAUCUUUUUUCUAAGAGAUUUACUUCAUUCUCUGUGAGAAAUGCUUUGAACUUCAUCCCUCUGUCUCUAUCCUCACUUAUCAGGAAAUAAGUUGAAAGCACUACGAAGAGAGAGAGAGAGAGAGAGAGAGAAUUAAGAUAUAUAGACAAGAAAAAUAUUAGACGUUGAUCUUACAAACUAAUACUUCAAGCAGUAUCCUGGAAAGCUAAAAACUGCAAGAUGGCUUGAAAUUUGAAAAGAGCACGUGCUUUUCCUCCUUAACUUGAGAAAAUGUUUAAUAUAGUGCACCUUAUGGAAGCAUUUAAGCAAUUAGAACUUUGCACAAAAACAUCAAGAAGACUAAACAAGUCAGAUGCAGUGUAUUUGUCCAAGCACAAAUUGCAUUUUGUCCUCAACUUUAAUAUUUAUUGAUGAGAAUCAAUACAGGUCCCUCAUUUGUUAUAGAAAGCUUUCUUUCUUGUAGUCUCACCAGUUAAUUCACAGGUCUAUAAUCAUCUUGCAAAGUUAAGGGCAUUUCUUUUGAUCUAAAGUCUUUGCAUCACCACCUCAUCACACGCCAAGCCAAUAUUCCAUUUACCUCUACAACAAAAAGUUUUAAUUAAACAAUCCUAAUGCACGCAGCCAAAUAAAAUGCAGUAAGAAUAUUCAACUUAAAAAUCUGAAAGCCAACUUGGUGAAUUGCCUCCUUAGGUGAAGUUCCAUGCUUUACUAUAGUUGACAGAACUCAGCAAAAGCUUCCAUACAACAGAUUUUGAAAAUGAUGAUGCCAACAGAUACUCAUUCAAUCCAUUGAAACUCCAAAGGUUCAUUGUUCAUAGAAGUUUACAAAGUUUUGGUCAUCAAAUAGCUCAGACCUAAUCCCAAACAAAAAAAGAGUGAAAAUUAGAUCACGAGCAGCUAAUUGUAAAUUCUAACUUAACUCUUCAUCUCCUUUGUAAACAAGAAACAAAAUGGAGACACGCAAAAUGAAUAUGGAGAAAAUUUGAACUCAAAUGAAAUGAGGGCACGAAAGCAAACAAAUGGCAUGCACAAAAAAACCAAGCCUCAAUCAAAAACUAAUUAACCAUUAAGAAAAAAAUUGGUCAGACAAUGAACUCCAAAUUCAGGAGUCAAGCAAGAAGCUUUCAUUAUUUCAGAAGCUCCUGUACAAAUUAAUAAGUUAUGCUCUUUGGAAGCAAAACCAAAUUCCAAGAGAAACAGAACCCAAAAAAUUUGCAAUUAUUCGCAAAGGAAGUGAAGCACAGGAUUCUAUCACACAUAGGAAUUUUAUAACAAGAGAUCGAUAUAUCGAAUUAGAAAACUCAAUUCGAAUUUGUGUGAAAAAUCAAAAUUAGAAGAUUUCACAUUUCGAGAGGAACAAGCAACAGAUGAGUUUAAUUUCAGCCAUAACAUGCUAAAAAUGCUACACUUAACGGUUCCUUGUCAGCUAUUGAUGCGUUCGCUCANNNNNNNNNNNNNNNNNNNNNNNNNNNNNNNNNNNNNNNNNNNNNNNNNNNNNNNNNNNNNNNNNNNNNNNNNNNNNNNNNNNNNNNNNNNNNNNNNNNNAAGGGUCAUGUUCAAGCAGGAAAACUUCUAGAACAGGUAAGGAUUCCAUCUACAGACAUCCAUUGACAGCAGAUAUAUUUCAUUAAGCAGACACUGUUAGCAUUCAAGAUGCUGGCAGAUUCACUUGAUUCUUAUUAGUUUGUUUAGUGGCAAGGCAUAUAACCUGUAUUUCAAAGCCAAGUUGUGCUAUUGAUUAUGUUAACUUUAUUGUUAACAUUAAGUGAUUUGGAGGACAUAAUCAAUGUAGGAAAAUUAGGUGAAGAGAUGAUGUCAAAUCUUGAACCUCUUACAAAGCUCCAAGUUCUUUACUUGAAGAAGCUGCCAAAUUUGAAGAGCGUCUACUGGAAGGCAUUUCCAUUCCCAGAUGUAUGCAGAAUUUUUGUAUUAAUGCCCAGUUCUUAAGAAGCUGCCACUGGAUUUUCAUGGGGCGGGCCAAGGUAAAAUUCUUAUCAAGGGAAAGGAAGAUUGGUGGAAAGAACUUCAAUGGGAGGAUCAAGCAACUCAGAAUGCAUUGCUUCCAUUUUUCAAAUCAACUGACAAGUGAUUGAAGGGGGCAUCAUCAACAGAGAUGGAGAGAUUCUGGAGCAGAUCAGCAGGGUUUGUAUAUGAUCUUUGGUGGUUGCUUUCUUUUGUGAUUUUUUUUUUCUCAUUUUUUUACCUUCCUGUCAUUUUAUCAUUUCUUUGUCUCUUUUUCUAUUGCUGAUGUUAGUGUAUGCUUACUGUUGCUUGACAAAGUUUGCUUGCUUCUUGUUUAUUAAAUUUUUUAUGGUCACAAAAUAUUACUUGUUCUAUUUGAGAGUGAUGUGAAUCAAUUUUCAAUUAUAUAUUUUUUGGUCAAUGUGAAUUCAAUUUCAUUUGUCUCCUGCAAUUAUUAAAAAAAUGCAGUCUCAUAAUAUGGAAAAGUCGACCGGCAAAAAUUUUGUGAAAGCUUCGGAGUGAAACAGGGAAUUCACUUACUACUAAGGACAAUUGGUGGCGAGCUAUUCCAUUCAUUUUAUGUCCCUACAUCUAUUUAAUUAUUAAAGAUAAGUGGUCCAUUUGUAAAUUUCAGAUUGUGUCUCUCUGAAAAUAACAAUAUUUAAAAUGUCUCUUAAAUUAUUAUAAAUUUUAAUUCACUCUCGAUUUAAAAUGGAACAUGCUGAUGAAAAUUUUUUUCUUCUCAAUAUUCAAUAAAAUUGAAAUAAAUUGUGUUUGCAGUAUUUUGAAAUAUUUUAAAGAUUAUUAUUUUAUAAGAGAGUAAUAUGAAAUGAAAUUUACUCUUCAUGCGUGAAAUGUUGAAAAGGACAAAGGAAAGUGUCACUGCUUUUAUUUUAUUUCAAAGUGGAGUCAUCUCACAUACUUUACCUCUAUCAUUACAAUUUUUCACGUUACAUUUUGAUUUAUUUAUUUCUUUUAACACAUGCAUGUGGGUUACUUUUCCGUAAGCUCCUUAAUAUAUGUUUAACACAAAUCAUGGAAGAGAUGGGAGUAUAUCAAGAUGAUCAAAGCAUGAGACAAAAAUAUUUAAGAAGUAAAACACUGAAAAUAGAGGAGAGAUGCAAGCAAAAGAUAUUCCAAAGAAAAGCAAUCUAUCCCCUUUCGAGGGCAAACUUAAUCAGGUUUAAGAAAAGUACAUGUUUUGGAUUGGUAGUUGCAGCCUUGCAGGAUAAUUGUUUUUGCCAUUAUAUUAGUUGGAGGAGUUGAACCCAGCGAAGAAUGUUAUGGAAGAGCAAAUUAAUGAUAUUUCUGAUAGAGUCUAUUUGAUUAUGUAGCCUGAAUGGAUGUCUUGUUGAAAGAUAUCUCAGUGCAUUAGUUCAUCCUUGUCUGUCAAUGUGUUUUUAAUGGUUUUUCCAAUUGUUUAUUAUUAUAGAUUGAUUGUAAAUUUAUAUGAAAAUUUGAUAUGAAUUUAAUGUUGAAAUGUUUUCUCUUUAGUGGAAUGAAUUUAAAUUGAUUGAUUGUAAAUUGAUAUGAAUUUAAUGUUGCAAUGUUUUCUCUUUAGUGAAAUGAACUUAAAAGUGUAAAAGAUUAUUGCACACAUAGAAAUAAACAUAUAUGCUUUAUAGUAUAACUUUAGCAAUCGAUUCUUUUACGGCUGGAAACAGAGAUGAUGAUUAUCAUAGGGGUGAAGAAAAGGACAAAAAAUAUUAAUAAAUGAUCUUAAUGUUCCACAAAAGCAAAUCGUAAUAUUCCACAAGAAAAAGCAAGAUCUUAAUGUUCCACAAAAGCGUUAUUUAUUUUUUUUGGUGAGCCACGUGGAGCUCAAUUAUCAUUGUCUUUACUUUAAAAACGUUAUUUUAUUUUAUUUUCUUACAAAUUAAUGCUAACAAGAAAAAGCAAGAUAUAAUAUUCCACAAAAGCAAAUCGUAAUAUUCCACAGAGGAAUAAGAUCCACAAAAGCAAACAACUAGCUGGAUUCUUUUAUUAAACUACAAAUUAAAGUGGAAUCGUUUACUAAACAACAAAUUAAAGUUCAAAUAUUUAAAUAGUAGUGCGUUAGACGAUUAGGCUCUUUUAUUAAAGUCAAGUAUAAAGUAGUCCAGAAUCGAACAUCUCUAUUGUCUAGUCUUUUUUUUUUUUAAUUCUUCUUUUAUUAUUUUUCAGAAUAUGUUUUGGUGAUUACUAUUGGGUUAUUAUUCAGAGUUAUUGUUAUCUUCCGGGGCAGUUUCUGUUCAUCGAAAUCGUUAAUUAAAAUUUUAAAACUCUUAUCGGAAGAAUGUUUUUCCGUUAUUUUUUUAUAUUCUAAUUUCAAUUGUAAGAAGUAGUCAUUUUAGAAUUUGGGUCUUGAAUCGAAUUUCAAUGCAUGAAUUAAUAUUUUAAAAAAAUUUACUACAUGCAGUUUAGGUUACAAACUAUUUUUUGCAAAGUUGACUAUGAAAUUGGAGAAAUUAAGUAAUUUAUAAUGUUUGCAAAGAAAGAGACCAACAUACUUCCAAUUACACUAUAUCUCAAUUAUCAUAAUGUUAAGAUUAAACUAACUUAAAAUAAAAUUUAUUUAAAAAGUUUAUCAAACGCAGUCUAAUUUUAUUAACUUGAAGAGAUAAUAGUUAUAGAAAUUAUUAUUCUAACUUAAUUAGUAAAAGUGGUAUAAAGGUUAAGUGUGCACUAAAUCUAUUUAAAUUUUUUUCCAGUAUAACUAACAGAGGUCAUUACUAGAAUUAUAUUACUAGUCUAUUAGAUAGAAAAAAUUAUUUAUAUUGUUUUAUAUUUAUUAAAAAAAUUUAAAGUCAAUCUUUUUAAUUACUAUUUAAAGGAUAUUAUAAUUAAAAAAAUUUUAAUGUCUUCAUUAAAAAUUUAAAAUUUUAUAUGACCGUUAUCUAAAUAUUUAAAGUGUAACUGUCAUUUUCUCAUAUAUAUAUAUAAUUUCAUCAACCCCUUAUACUUUAUGUUAUUUAUAUUUUAUUCAUGAAUAUUAUAAAUUUUUUGAAAUAUAAAAUUUCGUUUAACCCUUUAUACUCAAUUUUAUUUUAUUAAAACCCUAGAGUAUGAAUUCGUCCCUAUAAUAUUAAAUUCUCAAAAUAACUUCCAUUUAAUUAAAAAAUAUAAUUAUUAUUAAAUGAAUUAUAAUUAUUAUUAUUAUGUUAUUAUAAUCAUAAAAAGCGAGAUCAUAUUCCACAAAAGCAUAAGUGACAAAACAACCAACUGGAUUCUUUUAUUAAUCAACAAAUUGUAUAGUCUUUUUCAAAUUGUUAUAAAUUGGUGGCCCCUACAAUCCUCAAUAAUUGUACCGAAAUUCACAAGUUGGUGGGCCCUACAAUUCUGUUCCGAUAAUUUAACUGUGCAAGUGCUCAUUCACAAUCUUCCAGGUCAUGCUCUUAACAAUUGUUUUUUCUUUUCUGCACGCCCUUUCAUGCUCUUAAUAAUUGAAGAGCAUACUUUUCAAAUGUGAAGCCGCAUCUAAUGUCGCUAAUUUAAUUUGGGAUUAAAUUACGGGACUAUUAUAUUGCAGUGUGCACUAAUUUUUAUGUUUAUCUAAACUCUUCAAAUUUAAAACAUAUUAUGGCAUAAAUAAGAAUGUAACAAUAACAAAAGAGUAAGAAAGUGUAGAGAAAAUCUUGCAGAAAUAUAAAUAAUAUUUAUUUUUAAAAUAAUAUUAAUAUUUAAAAUAAUUUUUAAUAUUUUAUGGUCCAUUAGAUAUAUUUUAUUAUAUUAAAAUAAAUUUUAUAAUAAAUAAAAACAUACUAUUAAAAUGAAUAUAUAUAGAAAAUUUAGAGUAUUUUAAGUAUUAUAUAAAAUAAUUUUAAUAAAAUAUGUGAGAUAUUCAUAUUUUAUUAAUUUAAGAUACCAUUUAACCUAAAGAUUUAUUUAUGAUAAAUUAAUAAUUAUAUUUUUGAAAUUACUUCAAAUAUUAAAAAAAUUAAUAUUACUAAUAUAUUAGAUAGAUUAAAUUAUAUAUAUUAUUUUUACUUAUUAAAAAAAUUUUAAAAUUAUUUUUAAUUACUAUUCAAAAAACGUAUUCAAAAAACAUAAUGAUAAAAAAAUCUUAACAUCUUUAUUAAAAAAUUAAAAACUUAUAUGAUAAAUUCUCUAAAUAUUUACGGUAUAUGUGAACCACGGUGGAUAAGCUUUAUUUAAUAUUAUUGAUUUAAAUAAUAUGUCAAUUAAAAAUGUACAGAGAAGAAAUUUCGGUGGGUAUUUUAGUCUUUUAAGCAAUUAUCAUGAUCAGAUCAGCCUUUAGCCUUCAAACGUCGGUCAGAAAAGUUUUAAAAUUAAUGCUAAAUUGUUUUUCACUUUUAACGUUGGUGGCCUUGAAAUUGCUUGUAUUUUAUUAAAAAUUAAUGCUAACAAGAAAAAGCUAGGUCAUAUUCCACAAAAUCAAAAGUGACAAAACAACCAGCUGGUUUCUUUUACUAAACUACAAAUUAAAAUAAAUUUUUUCGAUAAAUUACAAAUUAAAGUGGAUUCUUUUGAAUACAAAUGGGACAGACGAUUAGGCUCUUUUUAUUAGAGGCAAGUAAAAACUAGUCAAGAAUCGAACAGUCUUUUUCCAAUUCUUGUUUUAUUAUUUUUCAAAACUAGUUUUUGGUAAUUACAACCGGGUCAUUAAUCAUUAUUCAGAGUUACUGUUAUCUUCGGGGGCAGUGGGUAAAAGAUAAUUACUAACUGUUUUUCCUUCAAAAGUUAGCGGCUCAUGUUUGCAAGUGUGAAUGUGCGAUGCUCUUUUCUUAAAGGCCAUUACAGUGGGGCCCGAAUCAGACGUGCCUAAAUCUUUUUAAAAUUUUUGCCGUAUAACGAACAGAGGUCAUUACUAAAAUUUCUCUUCCACAGCCUACAGCAGCUUCAGUUUAUCAAACUCCAUCAAUUUUCUUUCUUAACAAAAUUCCAAAGAUGUGUAGCAUUUUUCAGAUCACAUGCGAUGGUGCUCUUUUCAAUCGUUGCUUGGAUUGCUUUCUUGGAAAAGCAGCAUACAUACGUAACCUCCAAGAUAAUCUUGAUGCCUUGGACACUGAACUGGGAAGACUAAUCGCUAAAAAGAACGAUGUGAUGAGGAGGGUUGUCGACGCUGAACGACAACAAAUGAGAAGGCUGGACGGAGUGCAAGUGUGGGUUUCGAGGGUGGAUGCUGUUAAAACUGGAGCCGAUGAACUUAUCACAGACGGCUCUGAAGAAAUUGGCAAAUUAUGUGUUGGAGGCUACUGUUCCAAGAACUGCAGGUCAAGCUACAAGUUCGGAAAACAAGUGGCUAAAAAGCUACAAGAUGUGAAGACUUUAAUCGCCGAGGGAGUUUUUGAGGCGGUGGCUACUGAGGUGGUGCCCGAGAGAGCUCCGGAACCUGUAGCAGAUAAAAGACCCAUUGAGCCAACAAUAGUAGGCUUGCAAUCACAGCUUGAACAAGUUUGGAGAUGUCUUGUAGAAGAAUCAGUGGGAAUCAUUGGCCUAUAUGGUAUGGGCGGUGUUGGUAAAACCACACUAUUGACCCGUAUCAACAAUAAAUUUCUUGAGAGUCAAAACAACUUUGAUUGUGUGAUUUGGGUCGUAGUUUCAAAAGACCUGCGGCUUGAAAAAAUUCAAGACGAUAUUGGGAAGAAGAUAGGUCUGUCUGAUGAUUCAUGGAAGAAUAAAAGUUUUGAAGAGAAAGCUGUGGACAUCCUGCGGAGAUUAGGAGAGAAGAGAUUUGUAUUGUUGUUAGAUGAUUUAUGGGAGCGGGUUGAUUUAACAAAAGUGGGCGUUCCACUUCCCAGCGCACAAAAUACUACCUCAAAAGUCGUAUUCACAACCCGUUCCAUUGGUGUUUGUGGCAGCAUGAGAGCUAGGCCGGUUAAAGUGGCAUGCCUAUCAGAAAAGCAAGCUUGGGAACUGUUCCGCGAAAAUGUUGGGGAAGAAACUCUUGAGAGUGAUCAUGAGAUCGUUGAGCUAGCCCAAACUGUGGCCAAAGAGUGUGGUGGUUUGCCACUCGCACUUAUUACUAUUGGUCGAGCUAUGGCCUUCAAAAAGACAGCCGAGGAGUGGAGUCAUGCAAUUGAUGUGCUAAGAACAUCAGCUUCUGAGUUUGCAGGUUUGGGAGAGAAGGUGUAUCGUCUUUUAAAGUUUAGCUAUGAUAGUUUGCAGAAUGAGACCAUUAGAUCUUGUUUCUUAUAUUGUUGUUUAUAUCCCGAGGAUUAUGGCAUUCUUAAAUGGGACUUGAUUGAUUGUUGGAUUGGUGAGGGAUUCUUGGAGGAAUCUGACAGGUUUAGUGCAGAAAACCAAGGAUACUACAUUGUGGGCACUCUUGUUCAUGCGUGUUUGCUAGAAGAGAUGGAAGAUGAUAAAGUAAAAAUGCAUGACGUUGUUCGUGAUAUGGCUCUAUGGAUAGCUUGUGAAAUUGAGAAGGAGAAGAGAAACUUUUUGGUUUGUGCAGGUGCUGGAUUAAAAGAGGCACCGGAUGUUAAAGGAUGGGAAAAUGUGAGAAGAUUGUCAUUGAUGCAAAACCAAAUUAAAACUCUGUCAGAGGUUCCCACAUGCCCUCAUCUCCAUACUUUAUUUCUUGCCUCUAAUAUGGAGUUGGAGAUGAUCGCGGAUGGCUUCUUCCAAUUUAUGCCUUCUCUCAAAGUUUUGAAGAUGUCACGCUGCUGGAAUUUUCAAUUACCUGUUGGGAUGUCAGAUUUGGGUUCAUCACUAGAACUUCUUGAUAUUUCACAUACCACCAUAAGAGAGUUACCCGAAGAGUUAAAGUUGCUGGUAAAUCUGAAAUGUUUGAAUUUGAGGUGGACAGGUGCGUUAAUUAGAAUUCCACGGGGACUAAUAUCAAAAUUUUCAAGGUUACGUGUGUUGAGAAUGUUGGGUACUGGCGGGUUCAUUUUUUAUGAAGCACCAGAAGACAGCGUUUUAUUUGGUGGGGGUGAAGUUUUGAUACAGGAAUUGCUCGGUUUGAAAUAUUUAGAGGUAUUGGAGUUGACCUUGGGAAGUUAUCAUGCUCUCCAAAUUCUUUUGAGCUCAAAUAAGUUAAAAAGUUGUAUUCGAUCUCUUUACCUCUAUUUGACCGGAGAUAAAAAGUCGAUUAUUGAUGCUACGGCUUUCACAGACCUAAACCACCUCAAUGAAUUAUGGAUUGAUAAUGGAAUUGAGUUGGAAGAAUUGAAGAUUGAUUAUACGGAGAUAGUACGAAAAAGGCGGGAACCUUUUGUUUUCCACAGCCUUCACCUUGUUACGAUAUAUAGUUGCCAUAAAUUGAAAGAUUCGACAUUCCUCGCUUUUGCUCCAAACCUCAAGUCUCUUUCGCUAUUCAAAUGCCGUGCUAUGGAAGAAAUAAUCAGCGUCGGAAAAAUUGCUGAGAAUCCUGAGAUGAUGGGACAUANNNNNNNNNNNNNNNNNNNNNNNNNNNNNNNNNNNNNNNNNNNNNNNNNNNNNNNNNNNNNNNNNNNNNNNNNNNNNNNNNNNNNNNNNNNNNNNNNNNNNNNNNNNNNNNNNNNNNNNNNNNNNNNNNNNNNNNNNNNNNNNNNNNNNNNNNNNNNNNNNNNNNNNNNNNNNNNNNNNNNNNNNNNNNNNNNNNNNNNNNNNNNNNNNNNNNNNNNNNNNNNNNNNNNNNNNNNNNNNNNNNNNNNNNNNNNNNNNNNNNNNNNNNNNNNNNNNNNNNNNNNNNNNNNNNNNNNNNNNNNNNNNNNNNNNNNNNNNNNNNNNNNNNNNNNNNNNNNNNNNNNNNNNNNNNNCACUGUUUUUAUUUCAGUCUCUCUCUCUCUCUUUGUCUCUGCUAAUCACAAUUAAAUGUGAAUUAAUGGAAUUAAUGCUUCAUAAAUUUGCCGGCACUGCCAUUACUUUUUUUUUUUUAAUACAAAUUGAUACUUUAUUUAUAUCUUCUUAGCGAUUUAAUUUCCUGUCAAUUGACGAACGAGAAGAACAUAUGACUUGAACCAAUGCUCGCAUAAACUUGCUGUAAAAAGAUAUAAUCUCACUGAAAUGCACACGCCUAGAAUGAAUAGAAUUAAAACAGGGAAAAUAUUAAGUAUAUUAGCCCUCUUUACCGAAAAUCAAAUGACAAUAAAUUUUUUGAAGUUUUGAUUUUCUAUGGUCAAUUCCACCUUUUGCAAUUUCUUCUGUUCUAACAAAAACCAAUUUCUUUGUUCAAGUAUUUUCGUUUGGGUAUUAAUAAUUCUCCACCGAAAGAGUGAACUCUUGCUCAAGGGAUCUCUAAUCAAUAGCCGGAAGGGCGCCGAGACCUGAUCGGACCUAGGCCCAAGUUUGGUCUUAAAGCCUGGGCUUGAGCCUGGCAAUUAAAUUAAAACAGUAAUUGAUUUCUUGAAUGAAUUGUCGUGUAAUUGAUUUAUGGGGGAUGACACAUCAACAUACUUGAAAAUACACUAAUCUCAGCAUCAUCCGUUAAUAACUUUUAGAUUUAUGGGCAAUCAAUAGUUAAAUUAGUUGUCAUUAAUACUAAAUAAUUUUUACUUUUUUUGUCUCUUCUAGAGGAUCUUCUAGAAAAAUGCAUCCACAAUUAAAUUUAAUACUUUACAUAAUAAAGAAAGCAUAAAUGUUAAAUUUAAGAAACUGCAUUGUAUUUCAGCUGAAGUUGACUUUAAUAUUUAGGGUAGAAAAAAAUUAAAUCCUUAAUGUGUUUAAUUUAUAUCACUUGUGUCAUUAAAAUUUUCUAGUCACCCUAACCAAUUACAUCUCAACCCACUUUUUUUUGGAUGAUUUUAUUUUUAUACUAUUAUUUUCAACAUUUUUUUUUCCUUUUAACACCAACAUUAGUGUAUGUUACGUAACAUAAUCCAUAUUUGGAUAAUUUGAAAUUUGUUUGUGUUUUAUCUCAAAAUAGAGCUUCAAUCAAUUUGUACCUCAUAAAUUCACAAUAUCUGGCAGGGCUAAUAAGACCAAACUCUGGCAUAUUAUCAAAUGUGCUUAUCCUUUUGCUUGACAUGUCAUUUUAAAAUUGUCAUUCAAUGCCAAAAAAAUCACAUCAACUGAUGGCCGACUACUUUAAUUUGAAAGCAUGCAUGCGAUCGCCACCAAUAAUUAUAACUUAAUUGUUAUAUUGAAAUUUUUUUCUUUAUAAUUUUUAAGUUUAAUACUGCUACAUGUGCGGCACAUAAGUUGGAAAAUAUAACAUAAAAUUUGAAAAAUGUGUAGUUUUCGUUCCUUUUUUUUCUUAAAAAUGGGGAAAAAGAAUGUAAUUUUGUUUAAAUUACUGUUGUGAUAACAAUUAUUAUUUUAUUGAUUAAUUGGCAGAGAAUCGUUAUGGUUUCGCAUGGUUGUUAAAACAUUGGAAAAUCCACUACAUCAUCCGAUAAUAACUUUCAGAUUUAUGGUUAAUCAAUAGUUGAGAUUUGUUAUCAUUAAUGUUAAAUAUUUUUUUAAUAUUUUUUCUCUCUCCUAGAGGAUCAUCCACAGUUAAAAUUUAAUAUUAUAAAUAGUAAACAAAGUAUAAACGUUAAAUCGAAGAAACUGCAUUGCAUUUCAGCUGAAGCUAACUUUAAUAUUUAACAGAGAAAAGUAAUUAAGUCCUUAAUGUGCUUUAUUUACCCAUAUAUAUGGCUAAUUUUUUAAGAUAAAGGGGAAGGAUGAUGCUCAAAAAUAUAAAUUAUAGAAUUAAUUGAGCUCUCAAGUAAGUUUAAAGUUCAUUAUUUUUAAUUACAUGUUUAUAAUUUAUUUUUAUUUCGUAUUAAUCUAUAGAUCUAAAUCCACUUUGGAUUCAUAUACAUAUAUAGACAUAAUGUGUAUGUUAAUCUAUAGGUCUAAAUUCACUUUAGGUCUAUAUAGGUAUUUUGACAAAUGUACUCCAAUCAUAUUGGCAAGUUCUAACUACUAUAUUGGUAUGUCAAUAUUAUCUCUAAUUGCCCUAUACAUUCAGAAAUAAUCUAGAUAUACAAAUUAACAUAAAAUAAAAAUAAUUGGUAGAAAAUAUAAAUUAUAAACAUGUAAUUGAAAACGAUAAACUUUAAAUUUACUUAAGAGAGUAAUUAAUUUCAUAGUUAAAAUCUUUAAAUUUUACCCCUCAUCUUAACUUAAGAAAAUUAAUCACUUAUUUUAUUUAACAAAGAAGAGAUUUUUUUCCCCUAUAUUUCCCAAUUAUUUCUCUCCCUCUCGCUCCCGUAAGUUAUACAACUUGAAGUGAAAUAUGAGUGGUCUGAUUCUAGCUUAAAUAAUUUAUUGUGACAUGCUAUCUAAGGACAAUACAUUACCUAGCUCUACAUAUUUUAUUUAACCUCCGGCUCACCCUGUGCAAACUUGCCUUCCCCUACAAGACAAGAUUAAUCAAUCUAUCAAGUCUCAAAUUCAAUUUGGAAUAUGACCAUCGUACGUUCUUGUUCUUCCCUCUUUACGAGUGCAUUCCCCCCAACCUCAAGCUCCCUCUCUCGUCUUCAAUGUCACUGCCUAUAUCCUUGUGUUGUUCUAGUUUGAAAUAGUGGCUUCCACAAUUUCAGGGCCCCCAAAAAUCCAGAAACAUAGUAUUCAUCACGAUGACAAAUUUUUUGGCAGGCAGGUGCUUCCUGACUUUCACACGGUAAUUCUCAAAUUCUGAUUUCACCAUAUUUUAAUUACUGAUUAGCAUAUAUUCAAGUGCUCUCCAUUAUAAUAGAAGCCGCCGCCUCACUCGUGAUUCCAAACUUUAUCUUUUUUCCUUUUUUAAAUUAAUGCAAGUAGCCGCUGUCCUUUUUAUUAAUUAAUUAAUUAAUUCGGCCGCCCACAUUUCUUUUCCUAAUGUCUUCUACUGUCGAUUUUCUUUUAUUUUCUUUUUAUUCUUAAAAUAUGCUUAUAAUAAUAAAAUAUAAAAAUUAAAAUUAACAUAUCAAAAUAUAAUUUAACAGAAAAUUAAGAUAAAAAUAAAAAAAAUAAAUUAUGAGCAUAUCAAUCAAUAAAUGAAAAAUAAUAAUUUUUAUUUUUAUUAAAUAUAUAUUUUUCAGUAUUAAUCAAUUAUUUGAAUAAAUAAAAUCAUUUAAAAAUAAAUAAAUAAAUUAUUCUUAAAAAAAAAGAAACUUUUUAUAACACUCACUAUGCUGGUUGUAGGGUAGACGCUUUGGGAACUGAAGCCGGUAACUUCUACAAGUAGUCUGAAGUUGACUGGCAACAACUAUAUUGACAUUUAGACAUAAUGUACUCCAACCGUAUUGGUAUGUUUAAAUGUUCUUACUAUUGUAUUGGUGUGUCAAUAUUAUCUCUAACUGCCCUAUAGAUAAAAAAAUAAUCUAAAUUUAUAAUUUAACAUAAAAUAAAAUAAUUGGUAGAAAAAUAAUUAUGGUUCAUUUACUUAUCAGUAAUCAGAAUAGACUAAAAUCGAAAUGAGUUGUAUUACCGUUGAUGUGUUUAUGUUGUCCUGGAAUCGGAAUGAAUUAUUUUAAGUUACUAAAAUAUCCUUGGUUUGUUAUUCUAAUUAUUAUUUAAUAUUUAUUAUAAUAUUUGUCAUAUCAUUAAAAAGAAAUAAUAAUGAUGAUAAUAUUAUCAUUAUUGUUUGUUACAUUAUUAUUAUUCAAAAAAAUUAUUGUUAAUAAUAAUAAUUUUUUUAUUUCAAUAAUAAUAAUGAUAAAAUUAAUAAUAAAAAACAUGACAACAACAAUAAUUAUUUAUUAUGCCAAAAAAUAACAAUAAUAAUAAGAAUAAUAAUCAUCAUCAUUUUUUUGCCAAAGAAAUCAUCAAACCAGACAAGAAAUCAUCAAAAAUUGCUAUUUCAAUUUAGGAAGAAGUUCUUUCGGUGUGCUAGCGAUGGGAGAUGUUGUGGCUGCGAUUCGGGGAGCUAAUAGUUUAUUGCACUAAUAACGGCAGGUGCUGCUGCUUGAUGCGAGGUCCAUGGCCAGUUGUCAGCAGUUCGACUUUGGCAUGGGCGCUGCUGGUUCGAUUUUAGGUGUUGUCUAAUUUCAUUUUCAGGAUUUUAAUUUUAUUUUUUUCUUUUAUAUUUUCAUUAAUUAAUCAGGGCAAAGUUUGAUUUUAGAAUUUGGAAUGAAGGUAAUUUUGUUAAUCAUGGAAAUGAGAUUUUGAUUGUCGAGAAUGAACUUACACAAGCAACUGCAAAUUAAGUGAAAACAAAACGCUUUUUCUCUUUGUGUGAUUAAAACAUGAAAUAUACCAUAAAUAAAUAGGUAAAAAUUAAAUCAACACAAUCCAAAACAGUAAACCAAUUAUAAGAGGCACAAAUUUUUAUGUGAAAUACCGAAAACGGAAAAAACCACAACAUGUUAGUAUGAUAUAAUCUUCUACUAUAUUAAUGGGAUUAUAACACAAAUUCUUCCCUAUAUUACACUAGAGAUUAACAACAUCAAGAAUCUCAAUAAUCUUAACUUACAAUACAACCUAAUAUAUGUCUCUCUAAUAAAUAGAUAUCUAAAAUAACAAUCUCUAAUAAGUAAGUAUCUCAAAUAACAGUCUCUAAUAAGUAGGUAUCUCAAAUAAUAGUUAAUAAGAGGAUAAAACAAAAAUUAAGAUUAGUAGGAUGUGUAUAAGGCGAUGCUAUCAACUUAUCUUCUAAAUUUGAGAAAAAUAGUUAAAUUCACUUUUUUGAUUGUCCGACCAAAGAUGGAAACCUUGCCCCAAAACCAAAGGAGUCACCAUUGUGUUUCUCUCUCUCUCUCUCUCUCUCGUUCUUUUCUUCUACUUUUCUUAAUGUUAGCCGCCACUUGCUUUUAUUCUUUAUAGCAUUUAAAAAGUUACUUUUAAUGGUAAAUUUCAUCUAAGUCCAAAACUUAGUGAUAAUUGCACACUAAACAAUCCUUUUUGGACUAUAGACUUUUGGACCUCCAAAUGAGACGAAUACAACAAAUCUCCCCUUUUAGAUCAUGUAGGAGGCACCACAAGCCCACUCUCUGCAUAUAGCUUUUUAACUUCUCCUUGAAUAAUGACUUUGUCAUCAUACAUAACUCAUUCUCCGUUGUGUAAAUCUUCUCAAGCUAUAACCGUUCUUUCUCAAACACGUCUCGUAUCUAAUAAUACUUCACAUCAAUUUGCUUAGAUUUCGAAUGAUAUAUCAAAUUCUUUGAACGACACUCUGAUUUUCGCAGUACAUAAUAUAGUUGUCUCAUUUUAUACCUAGCUCUUGUAGGAAAUUCUUCGUCCACAGUAUUUUUUUGCAACCUUCAAUAAUUGUAAUAUCAUUUGCUUUAGUAGUAGAAAAGACAACUUAUUACUAAAGUUUAGAUUACGAUGAGACUGCUCCUCCUGCAAAAGUGAGCAAACAUUCUAGUAGGAAUUUUUCGGAAUCAACAUCUCCUACCAUAUCUAUACACUUGUAACACAGGUUUGUCACCACCAAAAUAUAAACAUGCUCUGGAAAUGCCUCUAAGAUAUCUGAGAAUUUUUCACUAUUGUCCAGUGCUCUUUACCGGGAUUGAAGAGAAACCACUAACUACACUAGUUGUAUAAGUAAUAUCUGGUCUUGUACAAAUUAUGGCGCACACCAAACUGCCAACUGCUGAAGCAUAAGGAACUCCUCUCAUGGAGAAAUGGGUUUUGCUCUUGAGAUUUUUGGGAACAUGAAGAAUAAAUAUGUAAUUUCUUGGACUGCCAUUGUUUCGAGGUAUAUAAACAGAGGACAAGUCUAUAUAGGUCGACAGUGGUUUGCUCAGAUGCCAGAACGAGAUUAUGUCUUAUGGACUGCCAUGAUUGAUGGGUACCUUCGAGUGAAUAGGUUCAAAGAGGCUUUGACGCUUUUUCAGGAGAUGCAAACUUCAAAUAUAAUGGGAGACGAGUUUACCAUUGUUAGCAUUCUUACAGCUCGUGCGAAUCUGGAAGCACUAGAUCUGGGAGAAUGGAUAAAGACUUAUGUUGAGUGUUAGAAAAUGCAUAUUUAUAAAGGAGAAAACCAUCAUUUUACAUUUCAAGUCUUACUAACAACCCUUACUUUUAUGUAUUUAACCUUCUUGUGAUUUAAUUACAUGUGUUUUAUUUUAAUUAAGUAUUUUAUGUAUUUUAGGGACAUUAUAGUCAUUUCACAAUAAAGGAGAGAUCAGACGGCAAAACAGACAUCACUUUUGAACUCAGGACGGUCAAAAACCUUAGGAGGAGCAUAAAAGGAAAAAUGGCACUAUUCACAUGUACGGUACUAUUCACGUGUACGGUACUGUCCACGUUACUGUUCACGAUACUGUUCACAUAGACAGAUCGAUGACGUGGCAUUGACUGAUGAGGUGUCACGAUCCUGUUGGGCUAAAAUUCUUAUGUACUGUUGAUGGUGACGUGGCAGCAUAUCAAUGGACGAAAAAUCUCGCAUACAGUACAUGCAUCACACAGGAUUAUUGUCAACCAAAUCGCGUUACUGUUCAUCCGGGUCAAACCGUGUUACUGUUCAUCCACGUAGUCAAACCGCGUACUGUUGACUGAUGACGUGGCGCAAUCCUGAGCGUCCAAACUGUUUUUAAUCCGAUGGCCAUGAUUUACUCCAUGUAUCUAUAAAAAGGGGGCCUCCCCCCCUAAUUUGACAACUCUGAAUCUAUUUUGGGAUCCAUUUUCUAUAAUUCCCUCUCCAUCUUGUAUUUUCUACGUAUUUUAAUAAAUUUCCAUUUUACCCUUAGUUCAAUUAUGAGUGGCUAAUUUCCUUUCAAGCUUGGGUUGAAGGUGAAGUCUCAACAUGUGUCAUGGGCUUUAUUUGGUAAAUUUAUUUUCUUUUCCCCUCUAGUUUUUGUGGAUGAUUUGACUUUUCGUCGACAAAUAAUAUUGAUCUUGUCUAGAUACCACCUUGGUUACACCGGCUCUCUAGUACAAGGUUAUUAUUAUUUGGCACGAUAAGCCCUUAGCACCAUAUUGAUUAGAGCGUGGUUCAUGAGGUGUGGAUUCCCCCCUCAUGAUUUAAUUGGCAUUAAUAAGGAUUAUAUAGCCCAUGAUGCAUGUUGAUACGGAUCUGGAUACCCAAGUGCUUCAUUUCAAUAGAUCUAUCUUCAAUUUCUUCUCGCCAUUUUAAUUUAAGUUUUAGAAUAUUCCAAAUCAUUUCCACCACAAAUCCAAUCCCCGAUUCACAAAAUUAAUUCUAUACACAAUUAAAAUCCACAUCCUCGUGGGAUCGACACUCGUCACCAUUAGUCUAUACUACAAUAGAUUCGUGCGCUUGCGAGUACAUUAAAAUUUACACAACAACUUAUAUUGACAAAAACAAAGUCAAGAAUGAUGUAUUUGCGGGGAAUGCUUUGAUAGACAUGUACUGUAAAUGCCGAGAUGUUGAGAAAGCUCAAAAGGUAUUCAGGAAGAUGCUUUGAAAGGACAAAUUCUCAUGGACGACCAUGAUUGUUGGCCUUGCCAUCAGUGGCAAUGGUGAUAAAGCUCUUGAUAUGUUUUCCCAAAUGCUUAGGGCUUCGAUCAAACCGGAUGAGGUAGCUUAUGUUGGUGUUCUGUCUGCCUGUACUAACAAUGGUAACGAAACUUUUGUGAUAAAUAGUUGCAACUUAAGGUGAGAAUUGGAGGAAAGGAAAUAGACUGAAGUUGUUCAAUCAUCGGUCGUCUCUAUUUGGUUUUCUCCGAUAUCUCAUCUUCAGUUUUGACUCAGAUUCUAUCUUACCACUUAGGGGUGGGCAAAAUCGGGUUCGGGUCAACCCGAUCGGGUUUCGGGUUGUUCGGGUUAGACAAGGAACAAUCCGAACAUAACCCGAAUUAAUGACCCGACCCGAACUUAGUUCGGGUCGGGUCAUUAAUUCGGGUUAUGUUCGGGUUGGAUUUAAAAUGGGUAGGAUUGAGUUCGGGUCAAUUUGGGUUAGUUCGGGUCAAUUCGGGUCAGUUCGGGUCAAUUCGGGUCAAUUCGGGUCGGUUGAAAUCGGGUCAGUUCGGGUCAAUUCAGGUCAGUUCGGGUCGGUUGAAAUCAGGUCAAUUCAAGUCAGUACGUUUUUUUUUUUUAAGAACCCGAUCGGGUAUUCGGGUCGGGUCGGGUUUGACCCGAACCGAUCACAACCCGAUCGGGUUUGUAAAUUUCAAACCGAUCGGGUUUCGAUCCCGACCCGAUCCGACCCGAACCCGAAAUUUAUCGGGUCGGGUCGGGUCGGGUAAAAUGCCCACCCCUAUUAAUACCACUAGUAAUUACAUAGACUUGCUGCCAAAGGUAAGAAUGAGAAUAAAUUAAAUAGAUUAUGUCGAAAACGAAAUAAAUUUACCAUUGUUCUGUUCAUUCUAUUUGUUUCCUACAGAAUAUUUCUCCAGCCUAAAAUUUUUUGAAUUAGUAAGUUUUUAUCUUAUGCAAGAAUUGUGCUGAGAGUAAUUCCAUUUCUCAGUCUCUUUAUGUUUCAAUGAAGACGUAAAACUUGUGUUCUAGUGCACCAAUGUUUAUGCUUCUUACAAUUUGACUUUAAUUUAGUUUGUAAAACUUUUGUCAAAAAGUACUAAAAAGUAGUGCACCAAACACAAACUUUAUUACAGAGAGGACUUCAGUUAAAUUUUAAGAAAACACUCAAAAGAACGAGUUAUAAAUUAUUAUCGAAAUAUUUCACAUAAAUAAAAGCCAUCCCAUGCUGCAAAGAUCUUGCUAUAAUCACCAAAAACUAUCGGGAGCUUUUAGGGUUUCCAUAAAAAUGUCAUUUCGUUCCAAAAGUCAAUGGUGGGUAGAAAGUGGUGCAAAUGAGACUCAUUGUUAAUGGUAUAAGUUUUUGCUUAAUUAUGUCUUCCCCAAAAUGAUGAUUUAAUUUCCAUUCUCAAUUAAUUUUCAAGUUUCAACACUUUUCUAUGUAGCAUGACAUUGGAAAGAUCUUGUACAGUUGUACUACUAAAAGCUAGCACCACACGUUAGUUAUUGUUAAGUUCUUUUUCAACGUGAAAUAAAGGAAGUAGUCCUUCGUUAAAACCAUUAUAGCCAAAUUUCACGUAAUUGGACAUUUACAGACUUUUAUUUCAAGUUGGAUUUUGGUCCAACAUUUCAAAGUUGGCCCAAUUAUUUUUGUCUGGUCAAGUCCUUCGCAGCUAAGCCCCUCAAUGAAUGAGGGUGAGAUUGCUAAAAAUUACGACAGGUGAUAUUUUAUUAUUAUUAUUUGUUUGAGGGAAAAAAUAGGAAAAGCAAUAGAGCGCCACGUGUCAACCAAUGGAAUGAUUCCUGCACAAUCUAAGGUACCCCACACAAUCCGAGGUACCCCAUAUAAUAUGAGGUACCCCACACAAAUAGGGGUACCCCGCGUAAUAGGAGGUACCCCAUGUAACUCGAGGUACUCGGCAAAGCGGAUGCAAGAGAAUCCUCCGAAAAUAUCCGCCAUGAGAAACGUCUCCGCCUCCUAAAAGAUAUUAUUCAAUUUUGUCAGAAUUAUGAAUAAAAAACGACGCCCUAAAAGGAGGGACAGUCGCCUGCGACCUCUGCCAAAAGUGAAGGACACUGUCCCAAGGACAGUGGUCCCCAACGCCUACCCGACAGCUACUGCAAAGGUACCCUGGACCACUCUCCAGCGCGCGCCACGUUUCCAAAAGAUGAGAUACGCCGCGAACGUGCAGAUAACUGCCCAAAAAUUAUAAAGAGGUAAAAGGACGUUAGUAAAAAAGGGUAUGCCAUGUGGCAGCUGAGGUACUCCAUAUAUAAAGGCGCCUAGGUUUCAUUCUCCAUCAUGUUCUCACUCACCAUUAACACUCGCACUCCAAAAAAUAGGUUUUCUUCAACCUUAAACCCUAAUUUACAGAGGGUUAGUCAGCUCUCUUUACCAUAAAAGCUUGAGUUUGCUAACUUGAGCGUCGAAGUGUGAACGCCGGGGUACCCCGGCUUCACCUCUAACCUCUAUUUCACUGUUUUGCAGGCGUGAAGCUCAUUUGGAAGGACACAUCUCUUAGUUCUAAACCUUUCACCAUUGUUACCACUCUCUCUCCCUUUCUCACCUCCCCUGGAUUUCAGAUACACCACACCGCACACAAUAAACUAGUGAGGUACCCCGUCUCCCAUAAAAAUACAAAUUCAUUGUUCUAGAUAGAUUUGGCUUUUUUUACCCCAAAAUCUGUUGAAAACACUAUUUUUAAUUUUGGGGGAUAAAUCCUCACCAAAGUGAGGAGAUUUUAUCAAAAUCAAAAUAAAAAUAUAACAAGAACUGAAAGUCGGGCAGCCUAAAAGCUAGAUGAACUAAAAGUCAGGCGCCUAAAAACAACCUUAUGCAAAAGAGAAGCAACAUGAGACCGAUCAAGUAAAAGAAUCCACCGCAACACCUAAAUUGGCCAAAUUAUCUGUUGGUAUUACAAGUUUCUUGUUAUAAAAGUGUAGAAUGAAGUAGGUGACAGUAGUUUUAAGUUACAGCUGCAUGCCUAAUCGCAAUAUCAAAUAAUGAUUAAAUAUCAAAUAAUGCUUAAAGUAGUUGCCUAGGCCCGCCACAAUUUAUAUUAACUCUUAAAUUUAUAAAUAAUUAAAUUUUUAAAAGUUUGGAUUUAUAUUAAAAAAUCUUCAUAUAAAUAAAUAAUAUAUGCACUUUUACAACACAGUCUUUAAAUUUAAAUUUUUCUAGAAAAAUCUUCUGUAUAUCUUUUCUAUUAAAAAAUUUCCAUAUAAAUAAAUAAUAUACCUAAUUUAAUUGGACCCAGCACAUCGCAUAUGCAUAGAACACAUUCCACAAAGCCAUGCUAUUCGGAAAUUGACGAAUGAAAAGUGAGGAGGCAGCAGUCAAUGCUAUUUGGGCUUGGCCCAAAAUUGAUUUAUCAGGUUGACGUUUGCCAGGAAUGAAGAACUGGAAUAUCACCGUCAAGCAAGCAACCUGUGGAGCAAUACCAUAGAAUGCACAAUCCAGCUUUGCAAGGUGACACUGGAGGCUUUUUGAAAAGUGCUUCACGCUCACUUGCACAGAUUGAGCAUCCCCUCUGGAUAUUGCCCUCUCUGAUCGAGUCUGAGCACUCAAAUUUCGGUCCUCAGAUGGAGCUACAGCUUUCUCUCCAAUAACCAACAAUUUUCUAAACUCAGCACCUAGUGUGAUCAGAGUUGUUGAUAUUUGUAAAUGGAGAUCCCUGUAUUUGCAAAUGGAGACAUUUACCAAAUCACCAACAUGCUUCAUCCAGUCUACGAAAUUCUGCAGCUGAUUCAAAUCCGGAACCUGAACCAGAGUCGGAGGUAAAUCUUGAGCCAUGUCUAAAGCAGUCUGAAGUUCAAGUACUUGAGCCCUUGACAAAGGUUUUGAAAUUGGAACAUCUUGGAUUACUGCAGACUUGUACCCCUUGGUUUCAAAGGUAAGGAAAGGCAUUGCUUGAGUACAAUUUGGAGGCAGCUUCUUCACCAAUUUUAUUUGGAGGCAAUUGGCAGCGGAUCCAGCUGCACCAAUUUCAGAGCAAAUACUGACACUACUUCAAACAGCACGCUGAAGAAGAGAUAUGUCUAUGGCAAAGGCAAUGCAGUCCUCAAUUUGACUUGAGAUGCGGUAAUCACCAAAGAGAGUUUCCUUAUGAAACUGGGCAACACAUUGAAUCCCUUCACCACUGAGAAGGUUGGGGAGGAAGUAAGCUUUCUCUCUCGUAAGGAAGAGGUGGCAUACCUUCCCCAUUUUGUCUAGGACAGGUAGGAAUCUUUUUUCUAAGAGAUUUACUCCAUUCUCUGUGAGAAAUGCUUUGAACUUCAUCCCUCUGUCUCUAGCCUCACUUAUCAGUAAAAUAGUUGAAAGCGCUACAAGGAGAGAAAAGAAGAGUAUUAAGAUAUAUAUAGACAAGAAAAACAUUAGAUGUCGAUCUUACAAGCUAAUACUUCAAACAGUAUCCUAGAAAGCUAAAAACUGCAAAAUGGCUUGAAAUUUGAAAAGAACACAUGCUUUUCCUCCUUAACUUGAGAAAAUGUUUAAUAUAGUGCACCUUACAGAAACAUUUAAACAAUUAGAACUUUGCACAAAAACAUUCAAGAAGACUAAACAAAUCAGAUGCAGUGUAUUUCUCCAAGCACAAAUGGCAUUGCAUUUUUUCCUCAACUGUAAUAUUUAUUGAUGAAAAUCAGUACAGGUCCCUCAUUUGUUAUGGAAAGCUUUCUUGUAGUCUGACCGGUUAAUUCACGGGUCUAUAAUCAUCUUGCAAAGUUACAGGCAUUUCUUUCGAUUUAAAGUCUUUGCAUCACCACCUCAUCACACACCAAGCCAAUAUUCCGUCUACCUCUACAACAAAAAGUUUUAAGUAAACGAUCCUAAUGCAUGCAGCCAAAUAAAAUGCAGUAAGAAUAUUCAACUUAAAACUCUGAAAGCCAUCUUGGUGAAUUGCCUCCUUAGGGGAAGUUCCAUGCUUUACUAUACUUGACAGGACUGAGCAAAAGCUUACAUACAACAGAUUUUGAAAAUGAUGAUGCCAAUAGAUACUCAUACAAUCCAUUGAAACUCCUAAGGUCCAUUGUUCACAGAGGUUUACAGAGUUUUGGUCAUCAAAUAGCUCAGACCUUAAUCCCAAACAAAAAACGAGUGAAAAUUAGAUCACCAGCAGCUAAUUGUAAAUUCUAACUUAACUCUUCAUCUCCUUUGUAAACAGGAGACAAAAUGGAGACACGCAAAAUGAAUAAGGAGAACAUUUGAACUCAAAUGAAAUGAGGGCACGAAAGCAAACAAAUGGCAUGCGCAAACAAACCAAGCCUCAAUCAAAAACUAAUUAACCAUUAAAAAAAAAAAAGUGGUCAGAGAAUGAACUCCAAAUUCGGGAGUGAAGCAAGAAGCUUUCAUUAUUUCAGAAGCUCCUGUACAAAUUAAUAAGUUAUGCUCUUUGGAAACAAACCUAAAUUCCAAGAGAAAGAGAACUCAAAAAAUUUGCAAUUAUACGCAAAGGAAGUGAAGCACAGCAUUCUAUCACACGUACAAAUUGUAUAACAAGAGAUCGACACAUCGAAUCAGAAGAACUCAAUUCAAAUUUGUCUCAAAAAUCAAAAUUAGAAGAUUUCACAUUUCGAGAGGAACAAGCGACAGGUCAGAUGCAAAAUUUUCAGCCACAACAUGCCACAAUUAACAGUUUAUUUCCAUGGAUUUAGAGAGCUGACUGACCUUUUGGCUUUUGGAAUUGAGAAGAUCGCGGGCCAAAAUGGAAGAGGGAAAGCGAAAGUGCGGGUUUUAAUAGGGUAUUGGAUUAGCAAAUUUAAUUAGUUUGCGAGGGUAAAAUAGGAAAGAGAUAUCACUAUUAACUUUUUUUUUUAUAAGAAAAAAGAAUAAUAAAGAAUAUUUUAUUGUCAUUUGCAGCCUGCAAAUGACAAUAAAUCAAAUACGUCAUACAGAAGCUUAAAGCUGAAUCUAAAAAAUCUAGAGCUCUCAACUACAAAAAUUACACUUGAUGAUCCUCUACAAGAUGAAGCUUGUUCAAUAUCUUAUCCAAAGUUUAUAAAGUAACCUUGUAACGAUCUUGAGAUUGCCUGCCUUCCUCGACGACCUGCACGAUGCGUUUGUACAAAUCAUCAUACCUGUGCACCGGAUUUUUAAUAUCAACGCCACUGCAGCUGUGAUCAAGAACAUAAGAGCGUUUAACAUCUUUUCUCCAUCGAGAAAGAAUGUAGUGAGAUGGGAUCUCCUGCAUGCCACUCUGGUUUAGAACACAAAGAAUGUGUCUGGAUAAAUAUCCUCUGAAAUUGAACAACCCACAAACACAAAGCACCUCCAAGUCGGAGGCAUUGUACAAAACAUCGAAAGCCCUUGAAUCUUUCUCGUUGCUACCAACCUCAAAUUCUUCCUUCACUAUGUAUGUUAUAGGUCCAUCAGCACUGACAUGUUUUGUGCUAUAGCAAGAGUACAUAGCCUCCACCUCCGUCUGAAACUUCCUUCACAUUUCAUUUGUGUACAGUUUUGAGAGUUGAAAUUCAUAGUCACAUCUUGGUUUCUGGAUACAACUUGAAUUUCUUGAAUCCAUAUCUGCCAAGGCUUCCGGUUGAUAAUUCGCCUGCAGUGCUUGAUCAUACUUGUGUAAGAAUUCUUUCAAAGGAGUACGCUUAUCAAGAUAUCCUUCAAAGUAUGAAGUAGAAACCUCAUUCUGCAGGAAUGAAAACACUCCUGAUAAAAAUGCUUCCUUCAAAUAAACAGGAGCCCACCUUUUACGAUCUUCAUAUAAAGUUUGAAUCCAUCCGUGAUCCUUUAUUCCAUGACGUUGAAUCAUGUCUUCCCAAGCUGCUUCAAAUUCCUCAGGCCUGAGAGAGUGAUAAAUUGCUCUAUGUAAUGCACCUCUAAUAGCUUCAUAUUCAAACAAUCCUUGGAGUUUCUCUGGAAUUUUUUGCAAGAUGCAUGACAAUGAAAAGCAAUGAUAAGCUCUUGGGAAAACAUCGCCAACAGCAAUUUGCAAGAUUCUACAUUGGUCAGUGAUGAUUGUUUGUGGAGAGCGUCCUAACAUACAUGUAAGCCACACCCUAAACAACCAUGUAUAUGAUUCUAUGGUCUCCCUGGCAAGUAAACCACAACCCAACAACACUGAUUGUCCAUGAUGAUUCACCCCAAUGAAUGAAACCAGUGGUACAUCAUAUCUUUCAGUCAAGCACGUAGUAUCAAUUAAGACUACAUCACCAAAGUACCUAUAUGCAACUCUUGACCUGGUAUCAGUCCAGAACAGGUUUCUCAAGCAUCCCUUUUCAUUUAGAUCCACUACAUUAAAAAAGUUUGGAUCUGUCAACUGCAAACGACAAAAGAAACUCUGGACAGCUUGUGCAUCUCCUGGUUUAAGCUUCAAUUGAUUUGAGCUAUUAACAUUAUUUCCAAAUACUCCAUUAACAUCUACAUUACCAUUUCCCUCGGUAUCGAUGAUAAGAGUUCGAAACAGUCUAAUUUUUUGAACGUCUUCAGCACUAUCUAAUUGCAAUGUUCUUUUGGUUCCAAUACCUAUGUGCUUAUGUGACUUGUAAAACUUUCCGCUUCUUGGGCUUAACAAGUGGUUAUGCUCAAGCUCGACUUCAAUGAUUCUCCACCUUUUGGUUUCCAUCAACCUAAACUUUAUCAUUGCUGGACAGCCAGUUCUUGUUUCUGGUCUUGGGCGGUUUGCCUCGCUUUUCUUCUUGAAGCCUGCACUACUACAGCUCAGCUUUCCUCUAUACUUUUCUCUACUCUUUCGGUACCAUGUAUUGCUAACUCUAACACCAAAACCCUGUUCCUUGGCAUAGCAAUUGUAAAAGUAAUAAACAUCAUCAUACGUCUCAAACUCCAUUCCAACAGCAGGAGCCAAUGGAUUUUGGAUUAUCCCAGUUUGUCCAACAUAUUCAGUCAUUGCACAAUCUCCUACGACCUCAAAAUCAUCAGCAUCAUCAUCACCUACUGGUUCAGUAUUCAGAGAAACUUCAUCCAUCUACAAUAGAUGUUUAAUGAAGUGAACUUUAAGGAGAAAAAGCAAAAUCAGUUCAAGGAAUGAUAAUAUAACCAUACAGUUACUUUCACAAAGCUGCGUAUUUCAUCAAUACCUUAACAACAUACAACUGCCUGAGAACGUAUAGACAUGUCAUAGACGCUUGAAUUAAGUAUUGGUACAAAUUCAUGUGGGACACAAUUUCAGUCACUAAACCCAAUGCCUUUUUUUUUCACAUCAUACCAAGGAACGGAUUAAACCCAAUACCUUCUUUUACGCCAUACCAAAGAACAGAUUAAAUCAUCAAUGAAAAAUUAAUCACAUAAUAAUUUAACUAGACAAAUAAAGAGCUCGAAACAGCACAAAACUUGAAUAUGAUUAUGAUAAUUGUUGAGUCAUUGUAUCUACAGCUUUCCUUCAACAAGAAGAUUAUGAACAUAAACUACACACAAAAAAUUUAUUUUAAACUGACAUAAAUUUAUUCAGUUACAUUGAAACCCAAAAAAGGAAGCAGGAGCUGGAGAAAAACAACAGCAGAGAAACUUAUUUCCAGAAGGUUUACGAAAUAAGGAAUUUAUUAAGACACAAAAUUUGAGGUCAACAAUAAGAAUUUGGUUCUCAUUCUCUUUUUCUUCAUUUUUCACUUAUUGAUGGAGUUACCAUACAAUCCUAAAUGAUAAAACCCCAUCUCCAUCUUUUUGAAAUAGAGUUAAAGCAAAGCUUUUUAAGAUGUUUUUCCCUAAAAGACUCAAUAGUACAAUGUUUUUCAAUAUUAAAUACACAACUCAAUCUUCCCCUAAUUUACUCUAAUAAUCUCUUAACUAAGGAAGAUUAAGCUCCACUUGUAAGCUAAAACAAGUUUCUUAAAUCAAGCCCCAAUGCUCUAUGCUAUUCAACAAGGCCUCAUAAAUGAUAAAACUACCUCUACAAAGAUACCCAUUUUAAUUUCGCAAACUAAAAUCGAACUCCUGAAACGUAACGAGCAUUAAAACAAACAAGUCCGAACAAGAACUGAAAAAUGAUACGUAAACCCGUUUCGACAAACAGUUUCCAAUCAAUGAGCAAAAAAGUUAAUGGAAAACAUGAAAUUCAAACGAAACAUACCUUAGGUUGAUAAAUUAGUAGCGCAAAAGAAAUUUUAGCGAGAUAUGGGAUCAGGGAUUUUGCCACGGUGAUGUUAAUUGCGACAUUCGGGUGACUCAGCAGCCUUCGAGGCUGAAACUUUGAUUGACCAAAAGCUUCCCGUUCGUUGAUUCUCUAAUUGCAGAAACGAAACUGGCAGUGUACAGAAGACGUACGCUGAUUUGAUAAUUCUGUGAAAAUCAUUGUUUUUUUUCAGAUUUUUAAUGUGUUCGAUAAAAUAUCAAAAUCUCAAAAACUUUUGUCUUUCAUUUUGGGGGGGAAAAACCCAUUGAGAUCCUUAUGUUUUUUCUUAUAUAAUCUGGCUUAAUAAUUUGCAAAGUCUAUUACUUAGCACCCAUGCAUGCUGCGUUCCAAUUUACAAAAUUGUACGUGAGUGCAUCCAGCUAAAAUUUGUAAAAAGAAAAUAGCAAUAACAUGUUAAAAAUGUGAUUAUUAUGAAGAAAUUUUAAUUUAGUUAAAUAGGUGACGAUGGAUAGGUAUAAAAUCUGAGAUCUUUUAUAAGGUUAAUAAAUAUGUUGAGUUUGGAUUAGUUCAAUUUUGAAAUAAUAAUAUUCAAAAUAUCUCUUAAAUCAUUAUAAACCUCAAAUCUAUUUUAAUUUUAUUUAAAAGAUAAAAGAAAAAUAGGUUAUGUUGGUGAUUUUUUAUUAUCUUUUUAAUAAAAAUGAAAUAAAUUGAUGUUUAUAAUUAUUUAAAGUAUUUUAAAGACUGCCAUUUUAUGAGAGAAAAAUAUUUCACUUUUUUUUAGUGUGAAAGGCCGAAAAAGGACAAAGCAAGUUUCCCUAGUUUUUAUUUAUUUGAAAUUGGUCAUCUCAUAUACUUCACCCUUCAACACUAUAAUUUUUUUGGUUAUAAUUUUAUUAUUUUUUCUCUUUUACACAUGCAUGUGAAUUACUUUUCUUUAAGCUCCUGAAUAUUUAAGAUAAAUCAUGGAAGAGAUGAGAGUAUAACAAGAUGACCAAAAUAUGUAACAAAAAAAUUUUAUAAGUGAAAAAUAUGUUAGAGACUUACAGUGGAAGUAAAACUCUGAGGUGAUGUUUGAUUUGAAGAAAAUGGAGGAAAUGAAAAGACUGGAAUGUAGAGGAAAAGAGAGAAAAGGAGAGGAGAGGAGAGUGAAAUUUUUUUCUAAUGUUUGGUUUGUCACAUAAUUAUACAAAGAAAGGAAAUCUCUAAUUUUUUAUUUAGACAAUUUUAACCUUAAUAAGUAUUAAGUUUUCAAUAUUUAUCAUGUGUAUAAUUAAAAAAAAAAGAAGUAAAUGGUAGAAAGCGGUUUCUGAUUCCGGCCACAUCGCCCGCAAUGGAAGGUACUUAUCAGAACAUCAAGAGCCAGCCAUCAUUCCCUAGCCAUCACUGCUGUCGGAACACUGCCGGAAAGCUGCCGAUUGAACCGCGAAAAGUCGUGGAAAUCGCUGCCUCAAAUCGGUGAGUUUCGCCCUUUUCUGGUCACGCCGUCGCCAUGGCUUUGUCCAUCAAGCCUGCCACUUCCAUUUUCAACCAUCCAUAGCCACUAUUAAUUGCCAAAUCACCGCCGAUCAGCGGGAUCUGUGGAAGUUAAAAAGUUUCUAAAUUUUUUUAACUGGAUUUGAACAACAUACGACCAUUUUUUUAUCUCGAUAACGACGUAGUAAUGUUGAUCGUUGGUCGGCAAGUCGUAUGGUAGUGGCAGUGAGUAACACGCGCCAAUCACAUCGGCGGCGGCGGCGGCACUAUCCGGCGACUGUUAAAAUAAUAUUUUAUAUUUUCAGAUUAAAUAAAUUUAUUUUAUUAAAAUUUUUAAAUCAUUAUUUAAAUUUAAUUAAUUUAAAAUUAUCUAUAAUGUUGAAUUGAUAAAAUAAAUUUAUAAAUAAUAAUUAUGUGAUUACAUUAAAUAAGUUAAAAAGUUGAAGGGUUAGUUUUGGAAGAUUUAGUUUCCAACACAAAGGGAAUUUGAAUUCUUCACUUCUUAGUGUGGAAUUCAAAUUCUAUAUUGUAAUAGAUAUUAAAUUUCAAUAAAAAUUAAAUUCUUAUAAGUUAUGUCAAACCAAACAACGAAAAUAAAAAAGAAAUUUAAAUUAUUUUUCUUUCCUCCACCCUCUCCUUCCAACUAAAUACAUCCUGAAAAUAGAGAUAUUGAUUAAUUUAGAAGAGAUUCAAGCAAAAAAUAUUCCAAAAAAAAAAGCAAUAUGUCCCUUUGGAGGGCAAACUUGUCAGUUUCAAAAAAGUACAUGCUUUGUAUUGAUAGUUGUAGGAUAUUUGUUUUGUCACUAUGUAUUAGUUGGAGAAGUCCAGCCUUGUGGAGAAUGUUAUGAAAGAGCAAAGGAUAUUCCUGAUAGCUGAUAGAGCUCUAUCUGAUUAUGUAUCCAGUGAAUGGAUGUGUUGUUGGAAGAUAUCUGAGUGCAUUAGUUCAUAUGUGUCUGUCAAUGUGCUUUUAAUGAUUUUUCCACCUGUUUGUUGUAAAAGAUUAUUGUAAAUUGAAAUGAACUUGAUGUUUUAAUAUUUUCUUCCGUAAAUUGAAAUGAACUUGAAUUAAAUCUCGUUGAAUUUAAUAUUAUCUCCUUAGUGGAAUUUCACCUAGUAUGUAUUCAGUUGUGUUGUCUAUAAUUUUGCAUUCGAGUAAGUUUCACCUAAAACAUUAGCAUGAGUAGUGGCCCUUGAACCUUUGGUCAAAAUUAUUGUUAUUAUUUCUGACUAGAUGUAAAUUUUGUAUUAAAUCUCGUUAACACAAUUCUUAAUUAAAAGUAUAGGUUAGUGUUGGUGCAAGAUUUGCCACACCAAAUUCUGCCUAGCUGUCAAAAGUGCAAAAUAAAUGAAGAGAAAGCACAAAUACACGACUUGAAUAAGGAUACAACGAAACUUAAAUUCAAGAGAAAAUGAUAGCUAUAUCCCAAGAUUUGAAAAAGUAGUCAUGUAGGUUUUUAAGAUUUCAAUAAGCGACUGAGAUUCAAAUAAUAUCCUUUAAUUCUAUUAAUAAAAAACAAAGACUCAAAUAUUUUAUGAUAAAUAAAAAUAUAAUAUUAAAAUAUAUGUGAUAAUAUACACAUUUUAAAUACUUUCAAUCCAAAAAAAUAGUUAUGUUUUACAAUCUAUUAGACAUAUUUUAUUAAAUUAAUAUAAAUUUUCUAUAAAAUAAGAAUAUAAUAUUAAAACAAAUUCACAGAAAUUUAAAGAAUUUUGAAUGUAAAAUAAUUUUAAUAUAUUAAUACGUGAGUUUUUUUAUUAAUAUAAAAAUUAUUUAACUUUAAGAUUUUUUAAAAUCUUUACAAUAAGUAUAACUAUAUUAUUUACAUUUAAAAAUAUUUAAAUAUUAUUAACCUACAAUUAUAUUUGCAUUUGUUAGAAAUUUUUAAAGUCAAAUAUUUUGCACUUCUAUAUUAUUAGAAUUAUUGCACACAAAGAAAGAAACAUAUACGUUUAGAAAUUGUUUUCUUUUAAAAUAGAGAUGAUGAUUAGUAUAAGGAUCAAAAAAAGGAUAAAGAAUAUUAAUGAUUAACGAAAACUCUAUACAAAUUGAUUUUAGUAGGAAAAGAGUGAGAUGAAUGAUUUCUUUUACAGUUAGAAAAAUAGAUGAUGAUUAUUAUAACGAAGAAGAAAAGAUAAAGAAUAUUAAUUAUUAAUGGAAUCUCUAUGCAAAUUGAUUUCAGUAGGAAAAAAAAUGAGUUAAAUGAUUUAGAGUGCGUUUGGAAUUGAGAUUGGACAGCCAUAGAUUUUAAGUUACAACACUGAAGUGUUUGGUAAAUACUAGCUGCUGCAGAUUGAAAGUUAUGUUGAUAUGAUUUUUCACAUGUAUCAUAGAAAAUAUAUUACAUCUUUAAUAAUUUUUUUAAAAUUUGUAUUUGCUAUAUAUUGUUUUUUUUAUAUAGUUAUAACUUUUUUUUUUUCCACAGCAGCUGUAGCUUAAAAGCUACAGCACCUCAAUCUCAAACAAGUCCUUAGACAUUCAUAGUGUGUUUAUUUUUUGGAUUGGUGAAUCAAAAUUAUUGACAACGCUAACUUCAUCUUCACCGUUCGCAAUCCAACAGCAGCAAUUGUCGCCAAUAAUGAUAUCGCCGAUGAUGAUGACAAUAAUAAUAAUAAUAAUAAUAAUAAUAAUAAUAAUAAUAAUAAUAAUAAUUAUUAUUAUUAUUAUUAAUAAUUAAUAUAUUAAUAUAUUAAUGUUAAUAUUAUUAUUAUUAAGAUUAACAAUAAUUAUUAGUAAUACAAUUUUUUGAAUAAAAAUAAUCACAAUAAUUAAAAUACAAAUUAACAAUUAUGACAAUAGUUAAUUAAUGUCUUUUUAGUAAUUUGUAAUAAUCUAACUCAUUUUAAUUCUGAUUAUUACAGUUUAAGUAAAUAAAUUAUUAUGAUUCCUAUUCUCCUUUUCUAUUUUAACUCACUUCGAUUCCAGUCUAUUCUGAUUUUUGUUUAAUAAACGCACCAUUAGUGCUAAAGUAAUAUUUCAUACAUAGAAAAGUAAAAACUACACCUAAGGUUAAGGGAAAGGACUUCAAAACUCUCUUUUGAUCAUAAUACAUUUUGUACUAAUUAACUUAAAGAUUUUGAAUCUAAUAUUUUAUAAUAAAUAAAAAUAUAUUCCUAAAAUAAAUAUAAUAUCAAUAUUUAAAAUAUGUUUUAAUAUUUUACACAUUUUAUUAUAUUAAAGUAGAUUUUAUAAUAAAUACAAACGUCCUAUUAAAAUGAAUAUAUAAAAAAUUUAGAAAAUUUAGAAUAUUAUAUAAAAUAAUUUUAAUAUAAUGCGUGAGAUAUAUUUUAUUAAUUUAAAAUGUUAUUUUACCUAAAAAAUAUGAUAAAUUAAUAAUUACAUAUUUGAAGUUAUUUCAAAUAUUAAAAAAAUUUAAUAUUAUUAGUCUUUUAGAUAGAUUAAAUUAUUUUUUUUAUAAGAGAUAGAUUAAAUUAUUUUAAAAUGCCUUAAUUAUUUUUACUUUUAACGUUACCGGCCUUUCUUUUAUUUUAUUGCAAAUUAAUGCUAACAAGAAAAAGCUAGAUCAUAUUCCACAAAAGCAAAAGUGACAAACACAACCAGCUGGAAUCUUUUAUAAAACUACAAAUUAAAAUGGAUUUUUUUUUUGAUAAAUUACACAUGAAAGUGGAUUCUUUUGAAUAUAAGUGGAGUAGGCUCUUUUAUUUUAUUUUUGAAUAUUGUAUAACGGGACUGUAGACUCUUUUAUUAAACUACAAAUUGUAUAGUCUUUUUAAAAUUGUUAUAAAUUAAUGGCCCCCACAAUCCUCAACAAUUGUACCGAUAUUCACAAGUUGGUGGCCCCUACAAUUCUGUUCCGAUAAUUUAACUGUGCAAGUGCUCAUUCACAAUCUUCCAGGUCAUGCUCUCAAUAAUUGUUUUUUUUUCCUGCAUUCCCUUUGGGAAAUUUACGAAAAUAAUCAUUAAUAUUUUAUUAUUUUUACAAUUAACCGUCUUAAUUUUUUUCUAUCAACAUUAGCCAAAUACAAGUCUUUCUUCCCAAAUUACCCUUCUUUACAGAACAAAACCAACAUUGUUUCUCCCAUAUCGCCAAACCAAAAGCAGCUUUUUAUUCUUAAAUCAUCAGCCAACGGCGACCGCAAAAGACAACGGUAAAAGUGAUAUCCGAUCAUAAUCUAUCCGGAUCCAACACAAAUCUACAUCACUCAGUGGUAUGAAUUAUUUUUUGAACUUACUGAACUCAGUCGGGUGAAUCUGAGUCUGGCGACAGGCUGCCUGUCGCAGUAAAACUUGGUGCGACAGGCAACCUGUCGUACCAAACCUUGGUGCGACGGGCACCCUUGGAGAUUUAUUAAAAAUGUAUUAUUUUAAUAGGACUCAAAUAAUUUUUUUUUAUAAUUUCAGGCUUAAUGGAUUCAGUUGUACUUGAAUUGUGUUACGAUGGUUGGUGGGAGACAUUAGAGAAUGGCUGUAUGGAGUACGUGAAUGGUAAAAAUCGAGCUUUUUUGGUUGGAAAAAAUUACUUGUUUGAUCAGUUAUUGGCAAGAGUAUACGAGGUAUUAAAAAUAAACCCUAAUGACUAUAGUAUCACAAUGAAGACAACUUUGAGGUCUAGUAACACAUUAUAUCGUAUAUGUGCAAUGCCCAUGGAUAUAUGUGAUGAUGAAAUGGUGAGGGUUGUGUUGCAUAUGGCAUCUGACGUAGCUAAUUUUGGAUGCAUUCCUAUAUUCGUGACCACAUCACCUCGACUUCCGAGCGAAGGUAUUGAGCCACAUGUCGAUAUAGAAACUUCGUUUAGAGCAAAUAUGUCUGGCCCCGAUAAUGAUGAAGAGGUGUUGCCAAGGACAAUAUCGCUGCAGCAAUAUUACUCUCCAAUCCACGACAAUUAUGAUAACAUUGAUGAUAAUAGCGUUACGUUACAGGAUGUUGGAGCAACGGUAUUUCCAAUAACAACGUCGUUGGAGCAACGAUAUUCUCCGUAUCACAACAAUGAUUUUCGGGACAAUGAUGAUUUUCAUAAUGAGACAGAGGAGGAUAAUGUUUGUGCAGAACCUUCUAAUAAUACGAGGCGGGGCACUCGUUUCAAUAAUGAUGGUGAUGAUGGAGGAGUCGGUCAUUCGAAUGUUCCGUCGUUUCAGCAUGAGGAUGAGUGUGAAGACAAUACUCCUGUGAAUAACAGAGGCAAUAGACCUAUUCCUUCUAUGGUUCGAUCGAGAAGGAGAAUUGACCCCCUUACAAGUCUUGCUCCAACUUUACCUUCGAACAUGGUUGCUCCAAGCUUUGUUAGCAGUUGUGACUCAGAUGAUAUCAGCGUGGGUAAGCUAUUUGUUGAGAAGAAUGAGCUUAUAUUACAACUACGCAAGGUGGCCUUUAGAGAUAAGUUUGAUUUCAAGAUUGCACGGUCUACUACGACACGUUUCGAGGCUCACUGUUGUUCAGAAUCAUGUAAAUGGCAUAUUCGAGCAACUAGAAGUUCGAACGAGCAAAAUGUUCCUUGGGUGGUGAAGAGAAUUGAUAAUGUACACACUUGUCAUAAUGAGGUAUUGAUUGAUGGACGUCAUCAAGUAAGGAGCCGGGUUGUCGGUCAUAUUAUCGCAGAAAAAUAUAUUCAAGAUAAGAGGAUUUAUACUCCCAAUGACAUAAGAGCAGAUAUGCAACAGGAAUACGGUGUUCAGUUAACAUACCAGCAGGCAUAUAGGGCGAGAGAAGUUGGUCUUGAAAUAGUUCACGGCAACCCUGCAGAGUCAUACAACUUGCUCCCUAAAUACUCUCACGUACUAACUACAACGAAUGAGGGUACAGUCACUCACCUCGAGCAGGAUGGAGAUGGUAAUUUCUUGUACUAUUUUGUAGCACUCGGAUAUUCCAUCAAGGGGUUUAUGCAGUACAUUCGGCCUGUCAUUGCUGUAGAUGGUACUCAUCUAAAGAGAUUAUAUCGUGGAAGCAUGUUCGUGGCAACAUGUCUUGAUGGUAACAAUCAAUUGUAUCCGUUAGCCAUUGGGAUCAUGGAUUCAGAAAAUAAUGAUGCUUGGGAAUGGUUUAUGAUGAAGUUACACGGAGUGAUUGGUGAUAGACCUGAGUUGGUAAUUAUCUCUGAUCGAUGCACUGCCAUAAGGAGAGCCGUUCUUAAAGUAUUUCACAAUGCAACUCAUGGCGUUUGUUUUUACCACGUCAAAGGUAACAUUAAGUCACAAUUUAGAAUGUCCAAAGCUCUUUGGGAUGAAUUUGAGCAUGCCUUUAUUAAUGCAGCAAAAGCAUAUGGCCACGAGGAAUUUAAGAGACAACUUGAAGGGUUGUGGAUGAUCCACUCGGGUGCGGCUGAUUACUUAGAAAAUAAUGUCGGCACGUGUAAUUGGGCAAGGUCUCAGUUUCAAGGUAGGAGGUACAACAUUCUUACCACCAACAUCGCGGAGAGUGUUAAUGCUUUCAUGAGGGAACCUCGAAAAUUUCCUGUUACUCAUCUUGUUGAUCACUUCAGGAAAACAUUGCAGCAAUUGUUUUAUGAUAGAAAAAUUGUGGCUGAAUCAAUGACUACUCGGCUAACAACAUGGGCGGAUGAAAUAGUCACUGAGAGGAGAACUAUAGCUGAAAGAAUGAUAGUUCGGCCGGUGUCUCCGCAUCGCUUUCAAGUUAUAGGCGGUGGGCUUAAGGAAGGGUUGGUUGACUUGCAAAAGAGAACUUGCUCCUGCAGAGUGUUUCAGCUUGAUCAGCAUGUGUGUGCUCAUGCAAUUGCGGCGUGUCUAACACACCGGGUGGAUUUUAUUAACCUUUGCUCGGACUUUUACACUACAGAAUCGUUGGCGAUGGCUUAUGCACAACCAGUGGAGCCAGUUGGUGAUGUGGCUGAUUGGGAAGUUCCAGAUGAAAUUCAGGAGAUGCAGGUAUACCCACCAGUUGAGGCACCACUACCUGGCCGUCGUAAAGAGCUCAGAAUACCCUCGACUGGCGAGGACGUUGACCGGCGGACUGUAAGAUGCGGCCGGUGUCAUGAACUAGGCCAUAAUCGUAAGCGAUGUAAGAAUCCUAUUGCGUCGACUCGAAGUUAGUUGUAUUUUGUGUGUUAUUCGUUGGUUAAAACUAUUAUUGUUUUUGUGUUACAUUGGUUAAAACUGUUAUUGUUUUUUGUAUUUCGUUGGUUAAAACUGUUAUUGUUUUUUGUGUAUUGUACACUUAUAUUCAUAAAACUUUAUUUUAUUUUAAAGUUCAAAAUGUGAGGCAUUAAAAUUAUAUAAACUUAAGUGCGGAAAUUAAAAAAAAUGCAAAUUUCAACAUUGAAAUUACUACAUAGGUCUACAAUAUAAUAUCGUCAUUAAAUAUAUCAACCGCAAUCUUCUUUCUAAAGUACUCGACAUGACUAGCGUUAAACUCCAAUCUAAGCCCGAACAUUAAAUACAUCGUAACCAUCAAUACAAAAACACUGCAAUCGCUAGUUCCGGGCUCUUGUUGUGGUGCGCUCUUAACUGCGAUAACUUUCCACGGGUCUUCACUCCGCAACUCAGGUCGGAUAUUGUAGAAGCCAACAUAUUCCAACCAUCGAGGGAAUAUAACUUCAAGUGGCUUGAAUUUCAACUUGUACUUUUUGUCGUCGCGAAAUGUGAGUAAUGAGUCAUAAAUCCAGACUUUAUUUUUCCGAAAGUCAACUCGUGCUAGUACCCAAUGCGCGCCGUCCAAGUUAACAGGGAUGAGUAACUGCAUAUAAAAAUUAAAAAAACAUGUUCGUUAUAUAUGAAAUUGAAAUACAACAAAGAAAAAGCAACAACUCGAAUAUUUUCAUUAUAGAGCAUGUGAAAUGUAAUAAAAUACACACCAUAUCGACAUCCGUCAUUAAUUUUGACAUUGUGUGCUGUCGCCCACAAAGAUAACUAUUCAAGCGGUCGUCGAAUACCAUUGAAUCAACUGCACAAUUCCUGUUAUUCCAUAACUGAUUCAAGAACACCUAGUACAUAGAUAACCAAGAAAUGCAUAAAUUAAUAAAACUUAAAGGCAAUAAUUAAACAAAUUAAAUAGUAUUUAUAAGUUUUGUCGGCACGUUACCCAAAAAAAUGUGUCAGUAUGUGUGACACGUUGGAGUAAGGCAUUUGGAUACUGCCGUUGUUUCUCGCUAAUCAAGCGGAGAUACUCGUGAAUAUGCUGUAGAGAAACAAAAAUAUUACGAUUUAAAAAAAAAUUAUACACAAAUCCACAACAGUAUACACCACGAGGAAAAUAUAAAUACCUCAUCGCCUAGCCAUCCCAUCGAAGCUGUCCCCAAAAUUAUUUGAAAGAAUGACCGCAGGUGCUGGACUCUCCGGCGGACUCUGCUAUCACCAGUGAACCAUCGAUCAAACUCAGCAAACAAACUAGAGUCCUCCAAUCCUCUCAGUGGAUUUACAUCCACACUCGUACUCAUGUCAAUCGCAUGCUCCAUCAUUUGGGGUCGAGGUAACCUCCGGACGUUCUGUCCACGCCUGACCGGAGGAAUCAUGUAAGGACUGUUAUAAACAUACGACGGUAUGUACGCGCGGCCGAACUUACUAACGCCCGGAGGCACCUCUGUGAACACCUGCAUGCUCUCCCCACUAACAUCCCCGUAUAAACUAUAAAAUGACGUGGGCGUAGACAAAUUUUCAUUGCCCACGUCAGUAUACACUCCAUAGUCAUCCGGGGCCUGUACAUUCGCCAAAAAGAACAUAUUAAAUAAUUAUCAAAUUAAAAGUUAAACGAACAUAAUUAUUUAAUUUAAAUUAGCUUACCGCAUACGAGCGUGCAGUGGGAGAAUCCUUAUUUGGAUGUUUAGAAAAUGUGUCGAUGAAGCCAACAACGGUUUCUUUAAAAUCUUUUAAUUCUGACUUUAUUUCAUACACAUUACGAUCAAUCUUAUCCAGCCGUCGUCGUACGUAAUCAUUAAACUGCUUUGUCCUCGACUAUUACAAAAGAAAAAAAUAAAACUUUAGAAUAACAAUAAAAAAAUAAUAAUUUAUAAAGGAAAAAUAUCGUAUAUUAUUUAUAACCUCAGAAUCCCGUGCGUCAUCAGAGUUGUCUGUUUGCUGCUGGUGGUCAUCAACAGCCACCUCAUCCUCAAAAGUGUCAAGACGCUGCUCUGGUAUUGGGUUUAGUAUGUCGUCAUGAUCAUCAUGCUCGUCCGAUUGUCUUGUAACCGACGGCAUCGCGUUGAUUGAGGGUUGGUGCUGUAUAAAGUAUCAUUUAAAAUUACUAAAUGAAAAGUCAAAAAUUUCGAUAAAAAAAUUUUUAGUACUUACAGUAUACCGACCUUAUGAAUCCAAUCUGGAAUGCUUGGCAAGUAAUCCUUCACAGAGAGUCAAUAUUUUCUGCUACUCUCUUUUGAAUUUGGCUCAAGAGUUUGUAAAAUGUCCGUCUGCCAUAAAUUCAAUUGAAAAAUUUAAGUAAGUAUACCCAACUUAAAUUUAGUAAAGUUAAAAAAUAAGUAAUACAUAUUACUUACAAGACGAGAUUCGUCGUUGAAGAACGAAUAAACCUCCGCAAAGUUGAUUCUCGAAGACGUCAUGGGCUUCCAUUGCAGAAUGCGGGGAAUCUUACUCUUCGUUUUGACGACCCAUGUUGAUGGCAACCCUCCGAUUGCUUCGUAAAUCCAAGCCUACAACAAACCAAAGUGAAAAAUCAAAUAAAACAACUAUCAAAUAUUUAAUACUAUAAAACUUAUUAAUAAACAAAAAAAAGCACCUGCACCCCAGACGUAAAGCCGUAAAGAUUAUAUUUUUCAAUAUUAUGAUCUGAAUUUUUCAACCGAGUCUUCUUAAAUUUCUCGUCUUUCUCGAACAGUGCAUUGUCAAGACUCUCGUAAAUCAUUUCCCACGACAAUAGACCCCAUGGCGCUUUCGGAAGUACUGUAUAUCAUCAACUUGGUCAAGCCAAUCGAAAUUAAUUUGACAGUGAUUUUUUCUUGCAUUUAGUACUCUGUCCGCAAAAUAAAACAGCGCAAUCUUUAAUGCGUCCAUAUCGUCCAUUUCCUCGAAAUUCAACUCCUUAAAUACUGCAUCAAAUUGCUUCACAUUAAUCUUACGAUGCACACCACCAAAAUACGUAUUCCGUAGCCUCUGCUCCAUUUCAUCAUUUUUUUCAUUGGUAUCAACACCAAAUGAAAGUCCAGUAACCAAGCACCAUUCGAUAAUUGACAAGCGAAUCAAAUGCUUACCAAUUUGAAACCAUAACUGAUCCUCACAGCUAUCUUCUUCAUGGGCCACUUGCCGCAGUAAACGAUUGUGCAAAAUUACCCCACUAAAUGGAAAACUUCGGCACUCCAAGAAAUGCCCAAAUAUAUCCUUUUUGAACAUACUCAACUGCCGCUUUGUUAAUUUUUCCUCGAUGGCUUUUACGACCGAAGAUAACAUACACAUGCUCGAAAUUCGACCAGGAAAGUGAUCAGCAUAACGAAAAUACAUCUUGCCUACUUCAAUAUCCGGUGAUUCUGAUUUCGCCAUGUAUCUGUAAUAUUUAUAAAAUUAUUACAUUACAUUUACAAAAUUAUUACCAAACUCUAAUUUUUUGGUGCGACAGGCGCCUGUCGCUCCAAAAAACUGCCUGUCGCACCACAGCUGGUGCUCCAAAAUCGAAAACAAUACUCCCAAACACUACCAACUACCACAAACAUCAUCACCACCACUAUUAAUCUCAAGCUAUAACUAUUAUUAUUCUAAAAUCUCAUUUUAAAUUAAUGAAAAUAAGAAAAAUGACUAACCUAGGUUUUGUUGAAGGUUGUAGAUCGUAGAUCGGAUGCCGGUGAGAGAUGGAGCCGCCGCCGACGAGGGUUGAUGUCGCCGCCGAUGAUGGGAGUUGGAUCGGUUUGGGAGAGAUGAGUGAAAAAGGGAGUGUUGGGGAAGAGAUGAGGGAUGGGUAUUUUGGUCUCAAAUGUUGUUUUAUGGCUAAUGUUGAUAGAAAUAUUUUUGGGGGGUUAAGAUGAAAAAAAACAAAUUUGUUUUGGUUAUUACUGUAAAUUUCCCAUUCCCUUUCAUGCUCUUAAUAAUUGAAGAGCAUACUUUUCAUUUUCAAAUGUGGAGCCGCAUCUAAUGUCGCUAAUUUAAUUUGGGAUUAAAUUAGGGGACCAUUAUAUUGCAGUGUGUACUAAUUUUUGUGUUUAUCUAAACUCCUUAAGUUUAAGACAUAUUAUGGCAUAAAUAAGAAUAUAACAAUAACAAAAGAGAUGCCGGAGCAGAUCAGCAGGGUUUGAAUAUGACCUUUGGCGGUUGCUUUUUUUUUGUGAUUUUUUUCAUUUUUUCCUUCCUGUCAUUUUAUCAUUUAUUUGGCUCUGUUUCUAUUGCGGGUGUUACUGCAUGCUUACUGUUGCUUGACAAAGUUUGCUAGCUUUUUGUUUGCAGUGCUGCUAUUCACCCCGAGUCAAGCUCCGAAAAUUUAUUAAACAACGCCGUUUCGAUAGUAACAAUUUUUUUCUUUUCCCUUUGUCUGUCUCUUUCAUCUGCUGUUUCUCUAUCACUUUUCAUUUUUUAUUUCCUUACUUCCCAGCUGCCCCUAAAUUGUUAUUCUAGCAAUAUACUUUCUCAUCUUUGAAUUUUCAUCCUUGAGUACUCCCACAGCCGUAAUUUCAUCAUUAUAGACUUCACUUGGAAUGCUGUAUUUUUUCGAUUCUUAAGCUACUUCAAUUACAUCUCCCAGUAUAGGAUCCUCAUCUUCCUUUAUUUCUUCAUCUUAUGAGGUAACAAAUGGAUUUCACAACUCAUCUACUUUUAAGCAAUUACAUAUUAUACCUUGAAUGAUUCAACUGUUCCGACAGUUAAAGAUUUUAUGCUCAACCUGCAGUGCUACGAACAUUGUCCAUGAAAGAUGAGUUUCAGCAUAUAAAAUGAAAUAUAGAUGUUUAAUCUAAAAUAACCCUUCACUGCCAAGAAACCUAGGUCACAAAAUUCACAGAUAAUGAUAAAGAGCUAAAAAAUUUGAAAAACUCUACAGAUCACACAUCAAGCAAGAUAUCAUGUUUUUUUCCCUCAUUCGGUGGUGAUUGAUUCGCUUUUUGAUGAUGGAUAUGGUAUAAAAGUUUUGACCCAAUUUCAAGCAAACACAAAUAGAAACACAAAUAGAAACACAAACACAAUCAGGACUAGAGUUGUGGGCGAUUAUCUUAGGUGUACAAGUGAAACGGUGGUGGCUGUCGAUGGUGGUAGUGGGGUGGUUGGGUAUGCGUGAUGGCUAGAUUUUAGGACAAUAAUGGUUGGAGUUGACCUCGAUCAACGAAGGAAAGUGACAACAAUUUUGACAUCAAACGGUGCAUUUUUUAGCUUAGUAAAAUGGAGCCGUUUCGAAUUUGGGGUUUAAUCCGGGGUUUGACUCGGCGCAAGUAUCAUUUUCCUUUUGUUUAUUAAAUUUUUUAUGGUCACAAAGUAUUACUCGUUCUAUUUGAGAGUGAUGUGAAUCAAUUUUUCAAUUUUAUAUUUUGUGGUCAAUGUGAAUUUAAUUUCAUUUGUCUCCUGCAAUUAUGAAAAAAUUGCAGUCAUAAUAUGGAAAAGUACACCGGCAAAAACUUUGUAAAAGCUUCGGAGUGAUACGGGGAAUUUACUUACUACUGAGGACAAUUGGUGGCAAAGCUAUUCCAUUCAUUUUAUGUCCAUCCAUCUAUUUAGCUAUUGAAGAUUAGUGGUCCAUUUGUAAAUUUCAGAUUGUCUCUCUCUCUCUCUCCCACUUGAAAUAACAAUAUUUAAUAUAUCUCUUAAAUUAUUAUAAAUUUUAAUUUACUCUCGAUUUAAAAUGGAGCAUGUCGAUAAAAAAUUUUUCUUCUUAAUAAAAUUGACGUAAGUUGUGUGUUACAGUAGUUUGAAGUUUGAAAUAUUUUAAAGAUUAUUAUUCUAUAAGGGAGUAAUAUGAAAUGAUAUUUACUUUUCAUGUGUGAAAUGAAAAAGGACGAAGCAAGUGUCCCUGCUUUUAUUUUAUUUCAAGGAGGAGUCAUCUCACAUACUUUAGCUCUUAACAUUACAUUUUUUCUGGUUACAUUUUUUAUUUAUUUAUUUUUUUUUUUUUACACAUGCGUGUGGGUUGCUUUUCUGUAAGCUCCUUAAUAUAUAUUUAAGACAAAUCAUGGAAGAGAUGGGAUUAUAUCAAGAUGAUCAAAGCAUGUAAAAAAAGAAAAAAGAAAAAAAAAAAUUAAGAAGUAAGACACUGAAAAUGGAGAAGAGAUGGAAGCAAAAGAUAUUCCAAAACAAAGCAAUCUAUCCCCUUUCGAGGGCAGACUUAUCAGGUUUAAAAAAGUACAUGCUUUGGAUUGGUAGUUGCAAUCAAGGGAAAAUAAAUAGGAUCCAAUGAAAUUUAAAUCUCGGAGAAAAUAAAUAAUCAUGCAGAUUUUCAAGAUUUUAAUAAGGGAUACUAAUAUCUUAUUUUGAUUAAUAACAUUCUUUUAUUGUGUUAACUCAAAAAAAAUAUUAUAAUGCUUUACAAUAAAUACAAAUGUCCUAUUAAAUGAAUAUAUAAAAAAUUUAGAAAAUUUAGAAUAUUAUAUAAAAUAAUUUUAAUAUAAUGCGUGAGAUAUAUUUUAUUAAUUUAAAAUGUCAUUUUACCUAAAAAAUAUGAUAAAUUAAUAAUUACAUAUUUGAAGUUAUUUCAAAUAUUACUUAAUUGUUUUUACUUUAAACAUUACCGGCCUUUCUUUUAUUUUAUUGCAAAUUAAUGCUAACAAGAAAAAGCUAGAUCAUAUUCCACAAAAGCAAAAGUGACAAACACAACCAGCUGGAAUCUUUUAUAAAACUACAAAUUAAAAUGGAGUUUUUUUAAAAAAAUUGUUAUAAAUUGGUGGCCCCUACAAUCCUCAAUAAUUGCACCGAUAUUCACAAGUUGGUGGCCCCUACAAUUCUGUUCCGAUAAUAAUUGUUUUUAUUUUUCUGCAUUCCCUUUCAUGCUCUUAAUAAUUGAAGAGCAUACUUUUCAAAUGUGGAGCCACAGCUAAUGUCGCUAAUUUAAUUUGGGAUUAAAUUAGGGGACCAUUAUAUUACAGUGUGCACUAAUUUUUGUGUUUAUCUAAACUCCUUAAAUUUAAGAUAUAUUAUGGCAUAAAUAAGAAUAUAACAAUAACAAAAGAGUAAAAAAGUGUAGAGAAGAUCUUGCAGAAAUAUAAAUAAUAUCUAUUUUAAAAUAAUUUUUAAUAUUUUAUGAUCCAUUAGAUAUAUUUAUUAUAUUAAAGUAAAUUUUAUAAUAAAUAAAAACAUACUAUUAAAAUGAAUAUAUAGAAAAUUUAGAGUAUUUUAAAUAUUAUAUAAAAAAUUUUUAAUAAAAUAUGUGAGAUAUUCAUAUUUUAUUAAUUUAAAAUACCAUUUAACCUAAAGAUUUAUUUAUGAUAAAUUAAUAAUUAUAUUUUUGAAAUUACUUCAAAUAUUAAAAAAUUAAUAUUACUAAUCUGUUAGAUAGAUUAAAUUAUAUAUAUUAUUUUCUAUUUAUUAAAAAAUUAAAAUUAUUUUUAAUUACUAUUCAAAAAAUAUAAUGAAAAAACAUAAUGAUAAAAAAAUCUUAACAUCUUUAUUAAAAAAUUAAAAACUUAUAUGAUAAAUUCUCUAAAUAUUUACGGUAUAUGUGAACCACGGUGGAUAAGCUUUAUUUAAUAUUAUUGAUUUAAAUAAUAUGUCAAUUAAAAAUGUACAGAGAAGAAAUUUCGGUGGGUAUUUUAGUCUUUUAAGCAAUUAUCAUGAUCAGAUCAGCCUUUAGCCUUCAAACGUCGGUCAGAAAAGUUUUAAAAUUAAUGCUAAAUUGUUUUUCACUUUUAACGUUGGUGGCCUUGAAAUUGCUUGUAUUUUAUUAAAAAUUAAUGCUAACAAGAAAAAGCUAGGUCAUAUUCCACAAAAUCAAAAGUGACAAAACAACCAGCUGGUUUCUUUUACUAAACUACAAAUUAAAAUAAAUUUUUUCGAUAAAUUACAAAUUAAAGUGGAUUCUUUUGAAUACAAAUGGGACAGACGAUUAGGCUCUUUUUAUUAGAGGCAAGUAAAAACUAGUCAAGAAUCGAACAGUCUUUUUCCAAUUCUUGUUUUAUUAUUUUUCAAAACUAGUUUUUGGUAAUUACAACCGGGUCAUUAAUCAUUAUUCAGAGUUACUGUUAUCUUCGGGGGCAGUGGGUAAAAGAUAAUUACUAACUGUUUUUCCUUCAAAAGUUAGCGGCUCAUGUUUGCAAGUGUGAAUGUGCGAUGCUCUUUUCUUAAAGGCCAUUACAGUGGGGCCCGAAUCAGACGUGCCUAAAUCUUUUUAAAAUUUUUGCCGUAUAACGAACAGAGGUCAUUACUAAAAUUUCUCUUCCACAGCCUACAGCAGCUUCAGUUUAUCAAACUCCAUCAAUUUUCUUUCUUAACAAAAUUCCAAAGAUGUGUAGCAUUUUUCAGAUCACAUGCGAUGGUGCUCUUUUCAAUCGUUGCUUGGAUUGCUUUCUUGGAAAAGCAGCAUACAUACGUAACCUCCAAGAUAAUCUUGUAGCCUUGGAGACUGAACUGGGAAGACUAAUCGCAGCAAAGAACGAUGUGAUGAUGAGGGUUGUCAAUGCUGAACGGCAACAAAUGAGAAGGCUGGACGGAGUGCAAGUGUGGGUUUCGAGGGUGGAUUCUGUUAAAACUGGAGCCGACGAACUUAUCACAGACGGCUCUGAAGAAAUUGGCAAAUUAUGUGUUGGAGGCUACUGUUCCAAGAACUGCAGGUCAAGCUACAAAUCGAAAACAAGUGGCUAGAAAGCUACGACAUGUGAAGACUUUAAUCGCCGAGGGAGUUUUUGAGGCGGUGGCCACUGAGGUGGUGCCCGAGAGAGCUCCGGAACCUGUAGCAGAUAAAAGACCCACUGAGCCAACAAUAGUAGGCUUGCAAUCACAGCUUGAACAAGUUUGGAGAUGUCUUGUAGAAGAAUCAGUGGGAAUCAUUGGCCUAUAUGGUAUGGGCGGUGUUGGUAAAACCACACUAUUGACCCAUAUCAACAAUAAAUUUCUUGAGAGUCCCACAAACUUUGAUUGUGUGAUUUGGGUCGUAGUUUCAAAAGACCUGCGACUUGAAAAAAUUCAAGAAGAUAUUGGGAAGAAGAUAGGUCUGUCUGAUGAUUCAUGGAAGAAUAAAAGUUUUGAAGAGAAAGCUGUGGACAUCCUGCCGAGAUUAGGAGAGAAGAGAUUUGUAUUGUUGUUAGAUGAUUUAUGGGAGCGGGUUGAUUUAACAGAAGUGGGCGUUCCACUUCCCAGCGCACAAAAUACUACCUCAAAAGUCGUAUUCACAACCCGUUCCAUUGGUGUUUGUGGCAGCAUGAGAGCUAGGCCGGUUAAAGUGGCAUGCCUAUCAGAAAAGCAAGCUUGGGAACUGUUCCGCGAAAAUGUUGGGGAAGAAACUCUUGAGAGUGAUCAUGAGAUCGUUGAGCUAGCCCAAACUGUGGCCAAAGAGUGUGAUGGUUUGCCACUCGCACUUAUUACUAUUGGUCGAGCUAUGGCCUACAGAAAGACAGCCGAGGAGUGGAGUCAUGCAAUUGAUGUGCUAAGAACAUCAGCUUCUGAGUUUGCAGGUUUGGGAGAGAAGGUGUAUCGUCUUUUAAAGUUUAGCUAUGAUAGUUUGCAGAAUGAUACGGUUAGAUCUUGUUUCUUGUACUGUUGUUUAUAUCCUGAAGAUUAUGGCAUUCUUAAAUGGGACUUGAUUGAUUGUUGGUUUGGCGAGGGAUUUUUUGGGGAAUCUGACAGGUCUGGUGCAGAAAACCAAGGAUAUGACAUUUUGGACACUCUUGUUCGUGCAUGUUUAUUAGAAGCGGUGGAAGAUGGUGAAGUAAAAAUGCAUGACGUUAUUCGUGAUAUGGCUAUAUGGAUAACUUGUGAAAUUGAGAAGGAGAAGAGAAACUUUUUGGUUCGUGCAGGUGCUGGAUUAAAAGAGGCACCGGAUGUUAAAGGAUGGGAAAAUGUGAGAAGAUUGUCAUUGAUGCAAAACCAAAUUGAAACUGUGUCAGAGGUUCCCACAUGCCCUCAUCUCCUCACUUUAUUUCUUGACUUUAAUCAGGAGUUGGAGAUGAUCGCGGAUGGCUUCUUCCAACUUAUGCCUUCUCUCAAAGUUUUGAAGAUGUCAAACUGUGGACAGAGGAGGUUGAAAUUACCUGUUGGGAUGUCAGUGUUGGGUUCAUCACUAGAACUUCUCGAUAUUUCAUGUACUGGCAUAACAGAGUUACCAGAGGAGUUAAAGAAGUUGGUAAAUCUGAAAUGUUUGAAUUUGAGGUGGACAGGUGCGUUAAUUAGAAUUCCACGGCAACUAAUAUCAAAAUUUUCAAGGUUACGUGUGUUGAGAAUGUUCGCUAUUGGCUAUGAUCGUUUUCAUGAAGCACCAGAAGACAGCGUUUUAUUUGGUGGGGGUGAAGUUUUGAUACAGGAAUUGCUCGGUUUGAAAUAUUUAGAGGUAUUGGAGUUGAGCUUGGGAAGUUAUCAUGCUCUCCAAAUUCUUUUGAGCUCAAAUAAGUUAAAAAGUUGUAUUCGAUCUCUUUGCCUCGAGUUCGCCGGAGAUACAGCGUCAAUUAUUGAUGCUACGGCUUUCGCAGAUCUAAACUACCUCAAUGAAUUAAAUAUUUAUAGUGGUUUUGAGUUGGAAGAGUUGAAGAUUGAUUAUACAGAGAUAGUACGAAAAAGGCGGGAACCUUUUGUUUUCCGCAACCUUCACCGUGUUACUAUACAUAGCUGCCAGAAGUUGAAAGAUUUGACAUUCCUCGUUUUUGCUCCAAACCUCAAGUCUGUUCAGCUACUCGAUUGCUAUGCUAUGGAAGAAAUAAUCAGCGUCGGAAAAUUUGCUGAGACUCCUGAGAUGAUGGGACAUAUAAGCCCUUUUGAAAAUCUCCAAAUGCUUGAUUUAGAAGAUUUGCCACAUUUGAAGAGCAUCUUCUGGAAGCCAUUGCCUUUCACUCAUCUGAAAGAAAUGGCGGUAAGUGGGUGUGAUCAGCUUGAAAAGCUUCCACUCGAUUCCAACAGUGCAAAGGAGCGUAAAUUUGUAAUUCGUGGAGAAGAAGACUGGUGGAACCGACUUCAAUGGGAGGAUGAAGCCACUCAAAUUGCUUUUCGUUCCUGUUUCCAACCUUAUUCCUGAGCGGUGGUCGCAAAUUUUGAUUCUCUGUUUUUAUUUCUGGUUAGUUUCUCUCUCUCUCUUUCUCUCUCGCUCUCUCUCUUUUUGUCUUCUGCAAAUCACAAUUAAAUGUUGAAUUAAUGGAAUUAAUGCUUCAUAAAUUUGCCGGCACAGCCACUACUUUUUUUUGGGGGGGGGGGGGGGGGGGGUCGAAUUGGUGCUCUGGUUUUUGACUUUUUGUUAGCGAUUUAAUUUCCUGUCAAAAGACGAGCGAGAAGAACAUAUAUAUGACGUAAACCAAUUGAUACUUUAUUUAUGUGCAUUGUAUGUAAUAAAUAUUAAGUAUACUUUAUUUUUGCCCUGUUCUCUGUUUUUAUUUCAGUCUCUCUCUCUCUCUCUCUGCUGUCUCCUGUCUCCUGCAAAUCACAAUUAAAUGUUGAAUUAUAUGGAAUUAAUCCUUCAUAAAUCUGCCUGCGCUGGCUUUUUUUUUUUUUUUGUGGGGGUCGAAUUGAUGCUCUGGUUUUCGACUACUUUUUGUUGUCAAAAUUUUCUCUGUUUUUUCAAAUUGAUGCUUUAUUGAUAUCUUCUUCGUGAAAAGUGAUUUAAUUUCCUGCCAAAAGACGAACGAGAAGAACAUUAGAGUCAAACUAAUGCUCACAUAAAUUUCCCGUAAGAAUAUAUAAUUAUUAAGAUAGAUCUGCUCUUUCAUUAAAUAUAUAUUCCUUUUUCACAUAUUAAUUGACCUUUAUUUAAUUUGUUUAAAAAGUUUAAUUAAUUGUUGUUUGCAGAGAAUCAUCUACGCCGCUCGCCGAUAAAAGUUGAGGUGUUCGAGCAGGUGCUUGCCUUUUUUUUUUUCUUUUUCUUUUUUCCCUGUUUUAAUAUUUCUUUAAAUUUUGAAAUUGUUUAAUUAUUCUUCUGGUUUGGAAUGUUGAUAAUAGUGUUGUGAAAUUAAUUUUUACAGGAUAAAAGGUUGUGGGACAUUUAUUAUCCAUGUCCUAUGUAUCUCAAGCUUAAAGGUCUCAGUGGUCCUCUAUUGGAAAAAGCAAGUUUAAUAUAUAUUAAUUGGAUAUCGUCGCCUGUAUAUAUAUGUAUAUACAUACAUACACAGCCACUCAUCGAUUAUAGACUUAAUUAUUUAAUUGAUUAUGUAAUCUCUCGUAGUUUCUUUGUGCAUUUUUAGUUAAUUUAAUGAAUAAACUCAAAUACAUUGUAAAUAAAACCAAAUUAAAUGUUCCCUAAAAUAUACGUAUAUGCCUCUCGAUGGCACACAAGGUUAAAUGUCAGCCCAUCGCGGGUAAUAUUAUUUCUAGCCGCCUUCAUUACGAGUUAAGAGUCAAUUAUUACUAAACUAAACUAGUCAAAACUCGUAAGUGCUAGAAAGUAGAAACGUUUGAUUCUAUAUAAAUGACUUCAAUUCAAUAUGUACCAAAGAGUAUCGAUAAUUGAACCCCAAAAAACUUUAAAAAAGAUUGACAAAAUUAAUUAUAUUAUUGUGUGUUUUUAGAAGAAAAAAUAAAAUAAUUAAUUAAUGUUAUAACACUAUGUUAGGUGAAAAGUCAGCUGUCUGGAAGAGAACAAACUUACUAAGAUAAGAGCCUUCUUCAGUAAUCAACCGAACGAAAAAGUCAUCUCUUUUCUUAUUUAUUUAGUAAAAAUAAGUAAAGGCCGAAAAUUUCCUAAAAUAUCUAAAUCCCUCUCUUUAAAAGAACACCAUAUGCUGCAUAACAUGCAAAUUAAUUUCCCAUAUGUGAUGCAAUUUUCUCCUCAACAUAUGCGCAAUUCUUUCCAUUCCGGCAUUUACACUCAAAUUUUCCUUCCUUUCUCUUUGUGGUUGAAUCUUACACCACAACUCAUGUGAUGCAAUCUCCUCUCGCUGCCUAAAUUGCACUCUCAGCAAAGCAGCAUAUGUAAGCAAGCUUGAAGAUAAUCUUGCUGCUCUGCGGAAGAACGGCAAAAGUUAAUCGAAGCAAGGACUGAUGUAUCAGAAAAAUUUUGGUGGAGAAUUCAGCACAAACAUAUUUCGGAUGAUCAGAAUCAAUAAAACAUGGUGGUUGCGCCAUAUAAACAUCUUCGGAAAGCUGGCCUUGAAGAAAGGCGUUUAUUGAUAUCCAAUUGACGAAGAGGCCAGCCAUGACUAACAUCAAUACUAAGAACAAGCCGUACUGUGGUGGGCUUAACAACUGGACUGAAAGUGUCAUAAUAGUCCACACCAGGCCGUUGAUUGAACCCUUUGGCAAUAAGACGAGCUUUGAACCUGUCAACAGAACCGUUGGAAUGUCUUUUAAUACAAAAAUCCAUUUGCAGCCAACAAUAUUGGAAAGGAUGGGAGGUGGAACAAGCUUCCAUGUCCCGUUAAGAACAAGAGCAUCAUACUCUUCUGACAUAGAUUGACGCCAGUGAGGAUUUUUGAUAGCUUGCGUCACAGUUGUAGGUUCACAAUCAGAAGGAGGGCUAAAAUGAGCACAGAGGUUAAGUUUUUGUAACGGCUUGUGAAUGUUAUUUUUAGCUCCGGUAGUCAUAUCAUGAUGAUUUGUGGGGCAACGAUCUAGUGGAGUUUGGGAAGAUGAUUGAACAGGAAGUGAAGAAGUGCUUUGUGUAGAGGUAGAAAUAGGUUGGGAGGAUUGCUGCGGAGAUGUUACCGGUAGAGAAGAAGGAGCAGUACACGGUGGCAACUCCAAAGGGCCCACAAUAGAUGGAGUAGGUGCCGACGAUGGAGUACUAGGAAAUGAAACAGUAAGAAUUGGUGGAACACUUGCGUAAUUAGGAGUUGUAGAUGAGCUUGUAAUGAUUUGUAUGGAAAAACAAACUCUACAAAUUUAACGUGACGUGAAAUAAAAAUUUGAAAGGUGGAUGGGUCAAAACAUAAAUAAGCACUUUGAGAUAAAGGAAUAUCCUAGAAAAACACAAGGCUUAGAGGGUGGUUCGAGUUUAUGUGAUGAAACACAAACAUUCAAAAUUUUUUAAGUUUAUAUUAAUUAGGAGUGGUACCAAAAAUUAAUUGGCUAUCGGGUUGUUGGAUGUGUUUUGGAUAUUUACAGCUAAGUUUGAGUAUCUCAACUUAAAAUUUGUAGCUUUCACUUGAAAAAAUUCAGUUAAAAUUUGCAAUGCAGACUGAUUGAUUUAUCAGUUUAACGUGUGCCAGGAAUGAAGAACUGGAAUAUCACCGUCAAGCAAGCACCCUGUGGAGCAAUACCAAACAAUGUACAAUCCGGCUUUGCUAGGUGACACUGGAGGCUUUUUGAAAAGUGCUUCACGCUCACUUGCACAGAUUGAGCAUCCCCUCUGGAUAUUGCCCUCUCUGAUCGAGUCUGAGCACUCAAAUUUUGGUCCUCAGAGGGAGCUACAGUUUUCUCUCCACUAACCAACAAUUUUCUAAACUCAGCACCUAGUGUGAUCUUGAGCCAUAUCUAAAGCAGUUUGAAGUUCAAGUACUUGAGCCCUUGACAAUGGUUUUAAAAUUGGAACAUCUUGGAUUACUGCAGACUUGUACCCCUUGGUUUCAAAGUAAGGAAAGGUAUUGCUUGAGUACAAUUUGGAGGCAGCUUCUUCACCAAUUUUAUUUGGAGGCGAUUGGCAGCGGAUCCAGCUGCACGAAGACUAAACAAGUCAGAUGCAGUUUAUUUGUCCAAGCACAAAUUGCAUUUUGUCCUCAACUUUAAUAUUUAUUGAUGAGAAUCAAUACAGGUCCCUCAUUUGUUAUAGAAAGCUUUAUUGUAGUCUCACCAGUUAAUUCACAGGUCUAUAAUCAUCUUGCAAAGUUAAGGGCAUUUCUUUCGAUCUAAAGUCUUUGCAUCACCACCUCAUCACACGCCAAGCCAAUAUUCCAUUUACCUCUGCAACAAAAAGUUUUAAGUAAACAAUCCUAAUGCACGCAGCCAAAUAAAAUGCAGUAAGAAUAUUCAACUUAAAAAUCUGAAAGCCAACUUGGUGAAUUGCCUCCUUAGGUGAAGUUCCAUGCUUUACUAUAGUUGACAGAACUCAGCAAAAGCUUCCAUACAACAGAUUUUGAAAAUGAUGAUGCCAAUAGAUACUCAUUCAAUCCAUUGAAAAUCCAAAGGUUCAUUGUUAAUAGAAGUUUACAGAGUUUUGGUCAUCAAAUAGCUCAGACCUAAUCCCAAACAAAAAACGAGUGAAAAUUAGAUCACGAGCAGCUAAUUGUAAAUUCUAACUUAACUCUUCAUCUCCUUUGUAAACAAGAAACAAAAUGGAGACACGCAAAAUGAAUAUGGAGAAAAUUUGAACUCAAAUGAAAUGAGGGCACGAAAGCAAACAAAUGGCAUGCACAAAAAAACCAAGCCUCAAUCAAAAACUAAUUAACCAUUAAGAAAAAAAUUGGUCAGAGAAUGAACUCCAAAUUCAGGAGUCAAGCAAGAAGCUUUCAUCAUUUCAGAAGCUCCUGUACAAAAAAACCAAGCCUCAAUCAAAAGCUUUCAUUAAUAAGUUAUGCUCUUUGGAAGCAAACCUAAAUUCCAAGAGAAACAGAAGCCAAAAAAUUUGCAAUUAUACGCAAAGGAAGUGAAGCACAGGAUUCUAUCACACAUAGGAAUUGUAUAACAAGAGAUCGAUAUAUCGAAUUAGAAAACUCAAUUCGAAUUUGUGUGAAAAAUCAAAAUUAGAAGAUUUCACAUUUCGAGAGGAACAAGCAACAGAUGACGUUCAAAAUUUCAGCCAUAACAUGCUAAAAAUGCUACACUUAACGGUUCAUUUUCAUGGAUUUUCUCGGGAAACAAACAGAAAAUUACGGUUCAGAGAGUUGACUGACCUUUUGGCUUUUGAAAUUGAGAAGAUCGCGCGCCAAAUUGGAAGAGGGAAAGUGAAAGUGCGAGUUUUAAUAUGGGUAGAUAAGGAAAUUUUAUUAGGUUGCGAGGGUAAAAAAGGAAAGAGAUAUCAUUAUUUUAUCAUCGAUAAUUAUUAAAUUUUUUUCCAAAAAAAAGAACAAGCAAGGAUAUUUUAUUGUCAUUACUAAGUUAAAAAAAAUUGUUUCAAAAUUACUUGAGUCAUAUCCAAUGGACCAACAAAGUAAUCGUUUUUAUUUUUAUUGAUUUUUGCAGGAAAUUAAUAACUUAAAAAUACUGAAAGCUAUUGUAAAAAUUUUUAUUAUCAACCUCAUAGUUUUUUUUUUUUGGGGGAAGAGAAUUCAAACAUUUUUUUUUUAAAUUUCCAAGAAUUCUUGACACCCGUCUUAAUUAAAAGCUAUAUUUUUAUUCAAGAGUCAUGCUAUUCAUUCACUCACAGACCAAAGGCUUUCCGCAGCAAUAUUAUUAUUUAAAUUACAACAAAGGGGAAAUCAAAUACGUCAUACAGAAGCUUAAAGCUGAAUCAACAAAAUCUAGAGCUCUCAACUACAAAAAUUACACUUGAUGAUCCUCUACAAGAUGAAGCUUGUUCAAUAUCUUAUCCAAAGCUUGUAAAGUAACCUUGUAACGAUCUUGAGAUUGCCUGCCUUCCUCGACGACCUGCACGAUGCGUUUGUACAAAUCAUCAUACCUGUGCACCGGAUUUUUAAUAUCAACGCCACUGCAGCUGUGAUUAAGAAAAUAAGAGCGUUUAACAUCUUUUCUCCAUCGAGAAAGAAUGUACUGAGAUGGGAUCUCCUGCACGCCACUCUGGUUUAGAACACAAAGAAUGUGUCUGCAUAAAUAUCCUCUGAAAUUGAACAACCCACAAACGCAAAGCACCUCCAAGUUGGAGGCAUUGUACAAAACAUCGAAAGCCCUUGAGUCUUUCUCAUUGCUACCAACCUCGAAUUCUUCCUUCACUAUGUAUGUUAUAGGUCCAUCAGCACUAACAUGUUUUGUGCUAUAGCAAGAGUACAUAGCCUCCACCUCCGUCUGAAACUUCCUUAACAUUUCAUUUGUGUACAGUUUUGAGAGUUGAAAUUCAUAGUAACAUCUUGGUUUCUGGAUACAACUUGAAUUUCUUGAAUCCAUAUCUGCCAAGGCUUCCAGUUGAUAAUUCGCCCGCAGUGCUUGAUCAUACUUGUCUAAGAAUUCUUUCAAAGGAGUAUUCUUAUCAAGAUAUCCUUCAAAGUAUGAAGUAGAAACCUCAUUCUGCGGGAACGAAAACACUCCUGAUAAAAAAGCUUCCUUCAAAUAAAUAGGAGCCCACCUUUUACGAUCUUCAUAUAAAGUUUGAAUCCAUCCGUGAUCCUUUAUUCCAUGACGUUGAAUCAUGUCUUUCCAAGCUGCUUCAAAUUUCUCAGGCCUGAGAGAGUGAUAAAUUGCUCUAUGUAAUGCAGCUUUAAUAGCUUCAUAUUCAAACAAUCCUUGGAGUUUCACUGGAAUUUUUUGCAUGAUGCAUGACAAUGAAAAGCAACGAUAAGCUCUUGGGAAAACAUCGCCAACAGCAAUUUGCAAGAUUCUACAUUGGUCAGUGAUGAUUGUUUGUGGAGAGCGCCCUAACAUACAUGUAAGCCACGCCCUAAACAACCAUGUAUAUGAUUCUAUGGUCUCACUGGCAAGUAAACCACAACCCAACAACACUGAUUGUCCAUAAUGAUUCACCCCAAUGAAUGAAACCAGUGGUACAUCAUAUCUUUCAAUCAAGCACGUAGUAUCAAUUAAGACUACAUCACCAAAGUACCUAUAUGCAACUCUUGACCUGGUAUCAGUCCAGAACAGGUUUCUCAAGCAUCCCUUUUCAUUUAGAUCCACUACAUUAAAAAAGUUUGGAUCUGUCAACUGCAAACGACAAAAGAAACUCUGGACAGCUUGUGCAUCACCUGGUUUAAGCUUCAAUUGAUUUGAGCUAUUAACAUUAUUUCCAAAUACUCCAUUAACAUCUACAUUACCAUUUCCCUAGGCAUCAAUGAUAAGAGUUCGAAACAGUUUAAUUUUUUGAACUUCUUCAGCACUAUCUAAAUGCAAUGUUCUUUUGGUUCCAAUACCUAUGUGCUUAUGUGACUUGCAAAACUUUCCACUUCUUGGGCUUAACAAGUGGUUAUGCUCAAGCUCGACUUCAAUGAUUCUCCACCUUUUGGUUUCCAUCAACCUAAACUUUAUCAUUGCUGGACAGCCAGCUCUUGUUUCUGGUCUUGGACGGUUUGCCUCACUUUUCUUCUUGAAGCUUGCACUACUACAGCUCAGCUUUCCUCUAUACUUUUCUCUACUCUUUCAGUACCAGGUAUUGCUAACUCUAACACCAAAACCCUGUUCCUUGGCAUAGCAAUUGUAAAAGUAAUAUACAUCAUCGUACAUCUCAAACUCCAUUCCAACAGCAGGAGGCAAGGGAUUUUGGAUUAUCCCAGUUUGUCCAACAUAUUCAGUCAUCGCACAAUCUCCUACGACCUCAAAAUCAUCAGUGUCAUCAUCACCUAUUGGUUCGGUGUUGAGAGAAACUUCAUCCAUCUACAAUGGAUGUUCAAUGAAGUGAGCUUUAAGGAGAAAAAGCAAAAUCAGUUCAAGGAAUCAUAGUAUAAUCAUACAGUUACUUUCACAAAGCUUCAUAUUUCAUCACUGCUUUACCAACAUGCAACUGCCAGAGAACAAACAGACAUGUCAUAGACGCUUGAAUUAAGUAUUGGUACAAAUGAGCACACAUCAUGUGGGACAAAAUUUCAGUCACUAAACCCAAUACCACUUUUUACAUCAUACCAAGGAACAGAUUAAACCCGACACCUUCUUUUAAACCAUACCAAGGAACAGAUUAAAUCAUCAAUGAAAAAUUAAUCACAUAAUAACUUAACCAGACAAAUGAAGAGCCUGAAACAGCACAAAACUUGAAUCUGAUUAUGAUAAUUGUUGAGUCCUUGUAUCUACAGCUUUCCUUCAAUGAUAAGACAAUGAACAUAAACGAGACACAAAAAAUUUAUUUUAAACUGACAGCCCAUGAUAUAAAUCAAACAAAAUCAACUCCUUUUUUUACACAUCACAUCUCAUAUUCAUUUACAUUGAAACACAAAAAGGAAGCGGGAGUGGGAAAAAAACAACAGCAGAGGAACUUAUUUCCAUAAGGUUUACGAAAUAAGGAAUCUAUUAAAACCCAAAACUUGAGGUCACCACAAAGAAUUUGGUUCUCAUUAUUUUUUUCUUCAUUUUUCACCAAUUGAUGAACUUAAAAUACAAUCAUAAAUGAUAAAACCCCAUCUCAAUCUUUUUGAACUAGAGCUAAAGCAAAGCAUUUUAAGAUGUUUCAUCAUUUUUUUUUUAAAAAAAACCUCAAUAGUACAAUGUUUUUACUCUAAUAAUCUCUUAAUUAAGGAAGAUUAAGCUUCAGUUGUAAGCUAAAACAAAUUUCUUAAAUCAAGCCCCAAUGCUUUAUGCUAUUCAACAAGGGCUCAUAAAUGAUAAAACUACUUCUACAAAGAUACCCAUUUUCUAAAUUAAUUUCAAAAACUGAAAUCAAACUCCUGAAACGUAACGAGCAUUAAUAUAAUCAAACCCGAACAAGAAUUGAAAAAUGACACAUAAACUCGUUUACACAUUUCGACAGACACUUUGCAAUCAAUGAGCAAAAAAUUAAUGGAGAAGAUAAAAUUCAAACGAAACAUGCCUUACAUUGAUCAAUUAGAAGGGCAAAAGAAAUUUUAGUACGAUAUGGGAUCAGGGUCUUGCCACGGUGAUGUUAUUUGUGAUGUUCGAGCGACUCAGCGGCCUUCGAGGUUGAAAAUUUGAUUGACCAAAAGCUUCCCGUUUGUUGAUUCUCUAAUAGCAGAAACGAGACUGGCAGUAAACACAACAACUUCGCUGAUUUUAAAUUCCGUUGUUUGAGAUGGAAAACUUUUUGAAAAAAUUAAUGUGUUCGAUGAAUAUCAAAAUCUAAAAAACUUUUUGUUUUUCAUUUUUUUGGAAAAAACCAUUGAGAUCCUUACUAUUUUUUCUUAUAUCAUCUUGCUUAAUAAUUUGCAAAGUCUAUCGCAUAGCACCCAUGCAUGAUGUAUGCUGCGUAACUGCGUUGUAAUUUACAAAAUUGUAAAUUUGUUAAAAGAAAAUAAUAAUAACAAGUUAAAACUUUAAAAUUUUUAUCAUUCGAAGAAAUUUUAAUUUAGUUAAGUAGGUGACAUGAUAAUAAAUAGAUACGUAUAAUGUCCGAGAUUUUUUAUAAGAUUAAUAAAUAUGAUAAAUUUGGAUUAGUUCAAUUUUGACGUAAUUCAGAAUAAACACAUCUUCCUAAUCUAAAAAUAAUUACAAACAAUUUAAUUUGUGUUGUUUCUCUAAAAGUUUGAGACACAAAUGUUAUUGCAAAUUGAAACGCCAUGCACUAGUAGAAGGUAAGAGAAACCAAGGUUGAAGUUACUGUUCAUUUAUUUUUAUUUAUGAUUUUUUGUAAAAUGUAAGAAAUAUGUAGAAAUGUUGCCAGCAAUGAUUUUGGAACUUUGCAUAAAAUUUUUAUCAUUAUUGUUUUUGGUAUUAAGAAAUCCGAGGCGGUGAUUAGUCGUAUGUUGCAACAAUUAAGAAAUUUCUUAUUGGAGAUAAUUUGGUAGGUUGCAACAAUUAGAGAAUAAUUUUCCUGUCAGUUAAUCAAUCAAUAAUAAAUUUCAAAUUGCAGAAAAUAAAAUAAUACUGUCGCACUUAGAAUCAUCUUUUCUAUUUCUUUCAAUUGUGACAAUCAUUUGUAACAAAUAAAUCAAUUUGAUGCACAUCAUUUCCCCAAUUCAAAGUUCAAGUCACUGCUCAAUUGCAGGGUAGUUAGUAGACAUGCAUGCAUGUUUAAUUAAGUACUGCAUUGUAAUAUAGAAAAUCAUAACAUCUCACCAAGCCCGGAAGCAUAGCUCUUUAUCUUGUAAAUGUUGAAAUCUUAUGCAAACUAUGGGAAACAUGAUCUCACUCUCAGUGCCACUUGAUUCCAUUUUCUUUGUUGGGAAUGCUACGAAGUCUAAGCUUGAAGAUAAUCUCGAUGCCUUGCGGACUGCAAUGGAAAAAUAAGCGGAAACGAGAAAUGAUGUGAUAAAUUGUGAGCCAACAAUAGUGGGCAUGGUGUCGACUUUUGAGAAAGCCUGGAGAUGCCUUGAAGAAGAAUCAGUUGGAAUUAUUGGCCUGUAUGUUAAUGGGGGAGUUGGAAAAUAUUUACUCAAAUCAACAACAAGUUCCUUGAUGGUCCAAAUAAUUUUGAUGUUGCGAUCUGGGUAGUGGUCUGCCAAGAUUUACAACCCCAGAAGUUUCGGGAAAAGAUUGGGAAAAAGAAAGGCUUGUUCGAUGAGUCAUGGAAGAACUGAAGUUUUGAAGAGAAAGCACUCGACAUAUUCAAGAAUUUAAGCAAGACGAAGUUUGUAUUACUGCUGGAUGAUAUAUGGGAGCAGGUUGAUUUAAUUAAAAUUGGUGUCCCUCUUCCAAGCACAAAAAUUACAUUCAAGAUAGUCUUCACAACUCGUUUUAUUGACAUUUGUGGCCUCAUGGAAGCUCACAACAAGAUUAAAGUGGAGUGUUUAAAUGACGAAGAAGCAUGGGAAUUAUUCUGCAAGAAGGUUGGAGAAGAUGUGGCGACUCUGUCCAAGUGCUAAGGAGAUCAGCCUCAGAAUUUCUAGGUAUGUAAAAAUGAGUAUAUAUAUCCACUUUUGAAAUUCAGUUAUGAUAAUUUACCUAGCGAUAAAAUUAGAUCGAGUCUGUUAUACUGUAGUUUGUUUCUGGAAGACUUUCCAAUUAGCAAAACGGAAUUGAUACAUUGUUGGAUAAGCGAGGGCCUUUUGGAUGAAACUAAUAGUUCUGAGAUAUGAAAUCAAGGAUACUACAUUAUUGGUGUUCUUGUUCCUUUAUGUUUAUUGGAAGAAGAGGCUCCACUAUAUGUAAAAGUGCAUGAUGUGAUACGCGAUAUGCUUCUGUGGAUCGCAUGUGAAGUUUUUUUUUUCUUUUUGAUAGGGAUAGCAUGUGAAGUUGAGAAGGAGAAAGAGAAUUUUUUGGUUCGUGCAGGUGCAAGGAUUAACUGAAGUGCCAGACAUUUGGAAAUGGGAAGGGUUGAGAAGGGUGUCUUUCAUGAGCAACAAAACUGAGAAGUUAUCAGAAAUUCCUUCAGAUCCCCAUCUACCGACUUUGUUGCUUCAACGUAAUUAUUUAGAGAUGAUCAAUAAUGACUUCUUCCAAUCUAUGAAUUCCCUUAGAGUUUUGAACUUAUCAUGUAAUCAUUCUCUAAUUGAUAAUUUCAAAGUUAGUUUCCCUACAACAUCUUAAUUUAUCAAUGACUAACAUACGAGAGUUGCCGAAUGAGUUAAAGUUUGUAGUGAAUCUAAAGUUUUUGAAUGUGGAGUAUGCACGGUUUCUUCAUUCAAUUCCAGGGCAAGUGAUAUCCAGUUUUACGAUGUUACACGGUUUGAAGAUGUUUGGUUGUGGGAGGUCAUCUUCUGAUCAUGAGCCACACUAGAAGAUAGAGUUUUAUUUGAAGGCUGUAAACUUUUGAUUGUGGAGUUGUUUGGUUUGAGAGACAUCUAGAUGUGUUGACCAUCAUCCUAACAAGUUCCCUUGCUCUGAAAAGAUUUUUGAGCUACAACAAACUUCAAAGUCGUACUCAAUCUCUCUAUCUUAAAUGCUUUGAUUCAAAUCUUCUUGUUUUUUCCAUAAAACAUUGCCAUGAUAUGGAGGAAAUACUCAGUGUCGGAAAAUUAGGUGAAGAGAUGAUGUCAAAUCUGGAACCUCUUACAAAACUCCAAGUUCGUUGCUUGAAGAAGCUACCAAAUUUGAAGAGCGUCUACUGGAAGGCCUUGCCCUUGCCCAAUGUAUGCAUAAUUUUUGUAUCUAAAUGCCCAGAACUUAAGAAGCUGCCGCUGGAUUUUGAAAGGGCGGGCGAAGGUAAAAUUCUUAUCAAGUGAAAGGAAAAUCGAUGGAAACGACUUCAAUGGGAGGAUCAAGCAACUCAGAAUGCAUUGCUUCUGUUUUUCAAAUCUAGUGAUUGAAGGGGGCAACAUCAACAUCAUCAGCCUGGAUGGGGAGAUUCUGGAGCAGAUCAGUAGGGUUUGAAUCUACAUCAUUAACAUCAUCAGGGUCUGUAUUUCUAUUGCUGGUCUUAAUGCUUGCUUACUGUUGCUUGACAAAGUGAGCCAGUUUUUUGUUUAUUAAAUUUUGUCUUGUAGAGACAGUCACAAAGUAUGGGUUGUUCUAUGUGAGAGUGAUGUGAAUCAAUUUUUCAAUUAUAUAUUCUGUGGUCAUUGUGAAUUUUGUUUAGAGAUGCAAACUUAGAAUAUGGAAAAGUUCAUCGGCAAACAUUUUGUAAAAGCUUCCAACUGAAGUUUUCAUAAUUAAAUAAUAAAAAAAUAGGAAGUGACGAAAAAAUUAUCCUAGGUGUUACGAAAAAACAUGAGCUCCGAAAAUAUUGGAAGUGACGAAAACUUAGGGCUAGGGUUUGAGAACUCUAACCCGCCACCACUGCAAGAGGACAGGACGACUAAGAAGGCCCGGUUUCGGGCUGAGGGAAUUGAUGCUGAUAAUCCUCAUAAACCCUCUUGGAGAGAUAAGGCUAUGGAGGCAGUCACGGUGAUGGCAGGUCAGACAGGAAGGAUUGGAGAGUUGGGUUACGGCAGUGUAUGCUAGCCCUAUUCCAACAGUCCUGCGUGAAUUAUGGUAUCACCUUGCAAGUAUUGCUUCUCAAAUGUUGGAUCCGUGGUUGGUGGGCGGAGAUUUCAAUGCUAUCUUAUACGCACAUGAGAAGAAAGGGGGCUCGAACCGAAUAAGUGGCACUUGCAAUUUAUUUAAUCAUUGGUUUCAUUCUUGCAGGAUGCUUGAUCUAAAGUUCUCCGGCCCUCGCUUCACUUGGUCUAGGGGAAACCUUUCUAAACGAUUGGAUAGAGCGGUUUGCAAUAAUGGAUGGCUAAUAAAACAUGCAAAUAGUAGUGUCAUGCAUCUUCCAAAAAUUGAUUCCGAUCAUCGGCCUAUUCUAGUCAAGUUCCAGAACAUGGAUUCCAAGCAUGGGGGCCCGAGGCCAUUUCGAUUUUUGGCUGCAUGGCUCACAGAUGAGAGAUUUGGGAGUUUUAUGAAUGAUAGCUGGAAUAAGGGAGAGAAUUUUCUUGAGGCAGUGGCUGAUUUUACUCAACAAACUAGGUGGUGGAAUAAGGAAAUUUUUGAAAAUAUUAUUUAUCGGAAGCGGAAAUUGUUGGCUAGAAUAGGUGGGAUCCAAUGAAUUUUGGAAGCCAAGCCUAACCAUAGCCUUACUAGACUUGAAGUUAAGCUUCAGAAGGAGCUCGAAGAGGUUCUCACUCAGGAAGAAUUAUUGUGGCUUCAGAAAUCCAGGAGAGAUUGGACUUUGUAUGGUGACCGCAACACUGCUUAUUUCCAUAAAAAAAUGCUAACCAGGCAUCGCCAGAAUCGGAUUACUGCAAUUCAAAAUGAUACUGGGCAGUGGAUACACGACGUCGAGAUCAUUAAGCAACGUGCAGUCAAUUUCUUUUUGGAAUUAUACACGCCUGAACAAGGGGUGCAUAGAACAUAUAAUGUCAGGGGGUGUUUCCCUGAGACGUCAGAUGAUAUUUGUUUAAGUUUGAUGUCUGCGGUAACAGAUGAGGAAAUCAGACAUACUAUUUUCAGUAUGAGUCCUUUUAAAGCUCCUGGAGUUGAUGGCUUUCAUGCUAGUUUUUACCAAGCGCAAUGGAAUACAGUUGGUAUGUCUUUGAGCUCUUUAAUCAAAAAUAUUUUUAAUUCUAAUCAUAUCCCUGCAGAGAUCAACAGAACCUUGCUGGUGCUCAUUCCUAAAGUGUAUCAUCCAACAAGCCUCAAGAUGUUUCGGCCGAUCAGCCUUUGCACAAUUCCGUAUAAAACGGUGACGAAAAUUAUUGCAAAUAGGUUACAGGUUUUUCUUCCAGAUCUCAUUGGACCCCAACAAACCAGUUUUGUACCGGGUCGGCAUAUUACAGAGAAUAUUGUUAUUGCUCAAGAGGUAAUCCAUACAAUGAAGAAAAAUGUGGGGGGUAAAAGAAUGAUGGCGGUUAAAGUGGACUUGGAAAAGGCUUAUAACCGGUUGAGUUGGCGAUUUGUUCAGGAAACUUUACAGGAAGUUGGGCUACCGGAGCGAUUUAUUCACCUCAUAAUGGAGUGUUUGUCCACAGCCCAAAUGAAUGUUUUGUGGAAUGGAGAAAUGACUGAAGAUUUUCGGCCAGGGAGAGAAAUUCGACAAGGAGACCCUCUUUCGCCUUAUAUUUUUGUGCUUUGUAUUGAAAGAUUAAGUCAUGGGAUUAUCCAGGCGGUUAAUCAAGGUAGAUGGAAACACAUUUGACUGACUCGAACUGGCACUCCUCUAAGUCAUUUAUUUUUUGCGGAUGAUCUGCUUCUCUUUUUGGAAGCAAGUUACGGCCAAGUUGAUGUAUUGAAUGAUGUGGUGGAGAAUUUCUGUAGGAGCUCGGGCGCUAGAGUUAGUAAUCAAAAGACCCAAGUCUUCUUCUCCAAAAAUGUCCCGGUCACUUUAGCCAAUGGAAUUGGCAAGGCUUUAGGCUUCUCGGUUACAAAUAAUUUGGGAAGAUAUCUUGGCAUGCCUCUUCUUCACGAUCGGGUUUCUAAGAAAACGUAUCAGAGUAUCAUUGACAAAAUUGAUCAGCGGCUAUCAGGAUGGGCAGCAAAGCAAUUGUCUCUGGCAGGGAGAGUUACUCUCACUCAAUCGGUGCUUCAGGCAAUCCCGAUUUACGCUAUGCAAACCACGUACCUCCCAUCUAGUGUCAGAGUUAAAAUUGAUCAAUUAUGUAGAAGAUUCAUUUGGAGUGGGGCUGGUUCUCAACGCAAGUUAAGUUUGGUUAGCUGGGACAACAUUUGUAGGCCUAAGAGCAAUGGAGGGCUCGGUUUCAAGGACAUGGAACUUAUGAACAAAGCCUUACUAAUGAAAGUGGCUUGGGAUUUAUUCAUAAAUCCUAGCAAGCUGUGCUCCCAGGUUUUAAUUUCUAAUUAUGUUGCGCCUUGUGAUAUGAUUACUACUGAUGCUUCAUUUAAAAAUGGUUCCUAUUUAUGGCGCUCUAUGGGUAAGAUUUGGAAAGACUUCCAGAAGGGUUUGCGUUGGAGUAUUGGAAAUGGCCAACGGGUGAAGUUUUGGGAUGAUAUUUGGGCUACAAAUGGUGAUCCCUUAAUCAACUAUACGGUGGCUUCAAUUCCGGAUAGCAUGCGAAAUAUGUUGGUGGCGGAUUGUGUGGAUCAAAAUGGGAAUUGGUUGUGGAACAUAUUCAACUCUUUUUUGAAUAACCAUGCUGUUUUAAGGAUUGCUUCCAUGGCUCCUCCGUCGUCAAUGAGAGGCGAGGAUAGGAUGUAUUGAGGUGCAUCAAAUACUGGCAAUUUUACAGUCCAAUCAGCUUACCAAGUGCUUACGAAUUUUUGCCCCGCUGAAGACUGUCAAGACUGGCAACAUUUGUGGAAAUGGAAGAGGCCUCAAAGCGUAAGAAUUUUUCUAUGGUUAUUAUGCCAUGAUCAAUUGAAGACGGGAUGUGAGCUUGCUAGAAGGCAUCUGGACGUCGAGGCUUUAUGUGGGAGGUGCCAUGCAGACGUUUAGAAUUCUUUGCAUGCAAUUCGAGAUUGUGAUUAUUCGAGAGGUGUUUGGCGGAAGCUUGUUCCCGCGCUUAGACAACAUGACUUUUUUAGUUAUCCUCUUUGGCAAUGGAUCAUGACAAAUCUUAGGAGAAGAGUCUGUGAUAUGGGGAGCUUAUUUUGGCCGAUUAUGUUUGGUAUUGCGGCUUGGAGAAUUUGGUAUUGGAGGAACCAGGUGAUGUUCAACAACAAGAGCUGGAAUGGUGAUUUGAUCGUUCGAGAUAUUAAGGCAAGGACUGAGAGUAUUUGUUCUACUCUUUCAAGCAUAGGCUAUCGAAGAAAUGAAAGGAUUCAGAAAUGGAUUCGUUGGGCUCCUCCACCAUGGCCUUUCUUGUGCUUAAAUACGGAUGGUGCAAGGAAAGGAAAUGGAGAGGCGAGUGCAGGUGGGCUGCUGCGGGACUGUCAUGGUAAUUUUAUUCAUGGUUUCAGCGCACAUCUCGGAGUUUGUUCAGUUCUAAAGGCUGAACUUUGGGGUGUCUUGCAUGGGUUAAGAAUGGCAUGGGAUCUUGGCUAUAGACGUAUCCAAGUUGGAGUAGACAACUGUAGUGUGGUGCAAAUUAUAAGGGAAAAUAAUGCUCAUGUCAACGAAAUUUCGAAUAUAAUCGAGAUGAUUAGAGAACUCAUGAGGAGGGAUUGGAGGAUUCAAAUUGAUCACAUCUACCGCGAAGCAAACUCGGCAGCUGAUUUCCUUUCUACGCAUGCUUUGAGUUUACUUGUUGGAGUACAUUUUCUUCAUUCUGCACCUUUAGGUUUGAGAUCUAUUUUAUAUUUGGAUAUGUAUGGGGUGGCACACUCCCGGUUUGUGCCCCUUUAGCUCUUCUCUUUUAGAGCCUUUUGUUUAUCAAAAAAAAAAAAAAAGCUUCCAACUGAAAUAGGGAAUGCACUUACUACUAAGGACAGUUGGUGGCCACCUAAUGCAUUCAUUUUAUAUCAAUUCAUCAUUUUAAUUAUUGAAAACAAGUGGCUCAUCGCUUUUACUUUAGGUAAAAUUCGGAUAAUCUCUAUUAUGAAAUGAUAAUAUUCUCUUAAAUUAUUAUAAACCUCAGCCAAUCUUAAUUUUAUUUAAAAGAUAAAAGAAAAAUAGGUUAUGUUGGUGACUUUUUUCUUAUCUUUUUAAUAAAAAUAAAAUAAAUUGAUGUUUAUAAUUGUUUAAAAUACUUUAAAGAUUGUUAUUUUAUGAGAGAGUAAUAUUUUACUUUUUUAUUGUGAAAUGCUAAAAAGGACAAAGCAAGUGUCCCUGGUUUUUAUUUUAUUUGAAAUUGGUCAUCUCAUAUACUUUACGUUUCAACACUACAAUUUUUUUGGUUAUAUUUUUAUUAUUUUUUUCUUUCUUACACAUGCACGUAAAUUUUCUUUCUUUAAGCUCCUGAAUAUUUAAGACAAAUCAUGGAAGAGAUGAAAGUAUAACAAGAUGAUCAAAAUACGUAACAAAAAAUUUACAAGUGAAACAUACGUUAGAGUCGAAGUAAAACUCUGAAAAUAGAGAUAUUGAUUAAUUUAGAAGAGAUGCAAGCAAAAGAUUUUCUUAAAAAAAAGAAAAGCAAUUUGUCCCUUUCCAGGGCAAACUUGUUAGUCUCAAAAAGGUACAUUCUUUGAAUUGAUAGUUGCAGGAUUUUUGUCUUGUUUUUGUUGUUGUGCAUUAGUUGGAGAAGUCAAGCCUAGUGAAAAAUGUUAUGAAAGAGCAAAGGAUAUUUCUGACAGCUUUAUUUAAUUAUGUAUUCAUUUAAUGGAUGUAUUGUUAGAAGAUAUUUAAGUGCAUUAGUUCAUCCGUGUCUGUUGAUGUGCUUUUAGUGAUUUUUCCAGCUGUUUGUUGUAAAAGAUGAUUGUAAAUUGAAAUGAACUUGAUGUUGUAAUAUUUUCUCUUUUGUGGAAUCUCAGUUGUGUUGUCUAUAAUUUUAGUCAAAAUUAUUGUUAUUAUUUCUUACUAGAGGUAAAUUUUUUAUUAAACCUCAUUAACACAAUUCUUAAUUAAAAGUAUAGGUUAGUGUCGGUGCAGGAUUUGCAGCACCAGAUCCUGCCUAGCUACGUGUCAAAAAUACAAAAUAAAUGAAGAGAAAGCACAAAUACAUGACUUGGAUUAGGAUAGAAGGAAACUUAAAUCUUAAAGAAAAUGAUAGCUAUAUCCCACUAUUUGAAAAAAUGGUCAUGUAGAUUUUUAAGAUUUAAAUAAGGGACGGAGAUCUUCUUUUGACAAAUAAUAUCUUUUAGCUCUCUCAAGUAAAAAAAAAAUUAAAUAUUUUAUAAUAAAUAAAAAUAUAAUAUUAAAAUAUACGUGAUAAUAUAUACAUUUUAAAUAAUUUCAAUCCAAAAAAAUAGUUAUGUUUUAUCGAAUCUACCUAUGUUACAAUAGUAGUAUGGUACCACAAUAUUUGUUCUUAUCCAAUGUAAUCAUUGGAUGAUUUAGAGCUUAAUCUAACGGCUUAAAUUAUUUUUCUGAAUAUUUGAAGCAACAACUUGCAACCGUUGGAGCCGGUUGCAUAUUAAUUUAAUAUCAUUUGGGGAAGCGUACGGUCAGGAAGUUUCUUAGUAUGCCACCAAUGGAAUUUGAUUUCAUCUCAAAUCGAUCUGCAGGCAGCAAUUGGGAAAUUACACUCACGGUCUUCCUCUUCUUCACUUCCUCUCUACUCUUCACUUUUCUCACUCUCGCGAUGUUUACAGCAUGAUAAGUACAAUUACAAACCAGGAAAUGCCAUUAACAAUUUUCAUUUGUCUUAGUCGUUUUUUUUUUUUUUAGUAGAAAGCCAAAAAAGAAAACGGGUGGGAGGUUGGGGCGUCGUGAUGAAAUGGUUUUGAGUUUUUGACGGAAUGUUUGUUUUUGUGAUUCAUUUAGGGUUUGAAUUCAGGCUUGUACGAACUCGGAUCUAUUCGAGAUCCGUAUUGGCGCUGAAAUCAGAUCCUUUGAAGCCUUGGUUUGAAUUCAACCUUGAGAACUCCAAGCUUGUUAGAAUCUUCAUUGAUCUCUCCAGAAAUUACACGGAUCUUAUUACUAAACCCUACAUAUAGGGCUGCAAUGGAGUCCGAUUCUCUCACAAUUGAUGAAUCAAUAUUGAGACAGUUCGAAAAGGAAGUAAAAAAGAGAAUCAACUUGACUGGCUAAAUAAUUGCGGAGGCCAAAGAGUCUUUUGAUAAUCAAUUGAAGAUUUAGAAGUUAAAAGACACUAUUUUUACUAUGAACGAACAAUUGACUAAGGCGAAAAAGCAAGGAGCUUUUUUGAGUUUGAUUGCUGCGAAAUCGAUGCCUUAGAGUUUGCAUUGUUUGGCCAUGAGGUUGAUGAAAGAGCGAGUUGUUCAUCCGGAGAACUAUAAUGAAGAAGGGAAGCCCACACAUGCAGAAUUCGAGGAUCCCAAACUUUAUCAUAAUGCUAUUUUUUCUGGGUAAUAUGCUUGCAGCUUCGGUGGUGGUGAUUGGUGAAUUUAGCUGUUAAGAACUCGAAGGAGCCUUGGAAACAUGUGUUUCAUGUUGUGAUGGAUCAAAUGUUUAAAUUGAAGGAUUAUAAUGGAGCACAUUUAGGCACGAAGGCUGUUGAGGAUUAUAAGUUUUUGAAUUCUCACAUGUCCCUGUGUUAAGGCAGCCGGGGUUUGCUAAUUUGCAAAGGUUUUACUUCGGGAAGUAGCUUGAGAAUGCUACGAAAGAUGCUACUAACAUGAAGUUUAGGAAUCCCAAUUACUUGUUGAUACUGUAUCAUUUGAGGUUCUGGAUAAGAUUUCAAUGAUGGCCGCUUAAAACAAAUAAUAAAAAAAAAGAACUUGUACUGUAUUUGGAUCUUUACUUAUUUGAUAUAGUUUUCUGCAAUCUCUCCAUGCAACCGGUUACUUUAAUUAUCCACUAACUCAUCUCAACCGUUUGAUGGACUCACUUUAUAUCCAACGGCAGUUUUAAAUGAAGACAAAAAGUGUGGUAUGUUGCAAUUGUUGCAACAUAUGUGAGUCUUGUUUUACAAUCUAUUUAACAUAUUUUAUUAAAUUAAUAUAUUUCUAUGAUAUAGGAACAUAAUAUUAAAAUAAAUUUACAAAAAUUUAAAGAAUUUUGAAUGUAAAACAAUUUCAAUAUAUUAAUAAUGAGAUUUUUUUAUUAUUAUAAAAAUUAUUUAACCCAUAGAUUUUUUUAAAUCUUUACAAUAAGUAUAAAUAUAUUAUCUUCACUUAAAAAUAUUUAAAUAUUAUUAACCUAUAAUUAGGUUUGCAUUUAUUAGAAAAUUUUAAAGUCAAAUAUAUUGCACUUUUGCAUUAUUAGAAUCAUCACAGAGAAAGGAGCAUAUAUACUUUAUAACUUUAAAAAUUGGUUUCUUCUGGAAACAGAGAUGAUGAUUAUUAUAAGGAUGAAAAAAAAAAGAUAAAGAAUAUUAAUGAUUAACGAAAUCUCUAUGCAAAUUGAUUUUAGUAGGGAAAGAGUGAGAUGAAUAACUUCUUUUACAGCUAAAAACAGAGAUGAUGAUUAUUAUAAGGUUGAAAAAAAAAGAUAAAGAAUAUUAAUUAUUAAUGGAAUCUCUAUGCAAAUUGAUUUUAUAGGAAAAAAGCGAGCUAAAUGAUUUAGACAUUCAUAGUGUAUUUAUUUUUGAAUUGGUGAAUAAGAAUUAUUGACAACGCUAACUUCAUCUUCACCGUUGGCUAUCCAAUAGCGGCAAUUGUCGCCGAUUAUGAUAUCUCCAAUGAUGAUGACGGUUUUUUUAUUAUUAUUAUUGGUGACCCCUUGGAAAGUUAACUGCAACUGCCAAUCAGAGAAAAGUCGUCAUGCACAAUCCUCAAUCGAACCAAUCAUCUACGUUACAGAAUCUGAAACGUACACACUGUUAACAUAUAUGUUUCCAUAAUGUUGAUUUUGAUGAUAACAAACAAGAUUAAGAAUGAUUAAUCUUUUAAGCUCAAAUUAUUUUUAUGCAUUUUAAAUAAAUCAUUAUUUUUACAUUAUAAAGGUUCUAUAUUUAAUGGAAAAAUGAUUUUAUGAAAUUGAUUGUUUUUUAUUCUUUUUAAAUAAAUCAUUAUUUUCACAUUAUAAAUGUUUCAUAUUCAAUGGAAAAAUGAUUUUAUGAAAUUGGUUGUUUUUCAAAGUUUAUGGUUUAAUUGAAAGAAUUUUGAAAACUUUGAAAUAAACAAGUAUUGCUUGAAAUUUCAGAUUUGGACUUAUUUGAAACUAUUUAAAUGUUUUUAGGCUAUUCUAUAAUUUCACAAAGUUUGGGCGAAAUUAUAAUUUCAGAACGUUGUGGGAUUGACAAAGUAUUAUUCUAAAAUUCUGAAAUUGGACUUAUUUGUAAAUUUUCAUAACGUUUUGGGUUAUAGUAUAGUUUUAUAAAGUUUUGGGGUCAAAUUAUAAUUUCAGAAAAUAGUGCACUGUGCAGGUUACUGUGGCAUCCGGCUUACCGGAUAUAAAAAUCGGAAAACCGGAUACGGGGCAGAAUGUAUCCAGAAUGUAAACGGCUUACCGGAUUUCGUAACCAGCAAGCCGGAUAGGCAAAAUUCAAAUUUUUGCCUUAACGGUAACAUAAAUCCAGCUUAUCGGAUUCCAUAAAUGGCAAACCGGAUACGCCCAGAAUGUGAGUAACGGCUAGUUUUUGAGUUCAAACUAUAUAAACUCAAAACCAAUUCAUUUUUGGUAAUCCAAGCAAGAAAGAACAAGUGCACAUAACAUAUAUUGAGCUUCAAUUUCGUAACUCAUCAUUUAUUAAAUCAUCUUUGUUUUUCAAUUUGUAUAUCCACUCUUAAAGAGAGAUUCAUUGUUGUAUUUUUCAUUUCUCAUCAAAUUGUGAGUGUACAAGUGUGAGAAACACUUGGGGUGAAGAGAUUGGAGAGAUAAUCUCUUGUUGUAAAGGUUCAUUAACACAUUGAAGUCAAUUGUAAACGUUUGAAGCCUUGGAAAUGCUUGGAUAGUGAAAUCCUCAAGCCCGGUGUGCUUGGAAGCGUGGACGUAGGCGGAGAUUACCGAACCACGUAAAAAUCCUUGAGUUUGCUUUCUCUUCCCUUACUCUUUAAUUAUUGUGCUUUGAUUGAACUUAUUGCUUUCAAUUUUUAUUAAGACAUUAGAUUAAAUUGUUGUGUGGUUUGCCUAGGAUAAUUUUUAAAAUCUCAAUUCACCCCCCUCUUGAGUUGCCUAGUUAGUAUUUCACACACCCAAUGGGAAGCAGCACACGUGUUCUGAGGAGAGAGAGAAAAAACCGUGCAAAUGCAAGCAAUAGGUAUUGGCUACAGUUGGAUCUGUAAGUUACAGAAUCUGUAACUUAGCCAACUCCCUCAAUGAUCAAUAUUGUUUCCGAUAUUUAUAAAUUGGUGGCCCCUUGGAAAUUUAACUGGAAGUUUGCAAGUGUCAAUCAGAAAAAAAUCGUCAUCCAUUGUUUUUUUUUUUCUGCAUUCCCUUUCAUGUUCUUAAUAAUUGAGGACAGGUUGUUCAUAACAUUUAUACUUUUCAAAUGUGGAGCUGCAUUUAAUGUCGCUAUUUUAAUUUGGGAUUAAAUUAGGGGAACACUAACUUUUAUAUUUAUCUAAACUCCUUAAAUUUAAGACAGAUUAUGGCGUAAAUAAGAAUAUAAUAAUAACAAAGGAAUUAAAAAGUAUAAUGACGAUCUUGCAGAAAUAUAAAUAUUAGCGUUGAAUUAAAUAACAUAGAACACAUGAAUUGAAUAGUGAUUAUCAAGACGGUGUUACUUGCACUCCUAUUUAUAAAAAAUCUUGGUUCUGUUCCAUUAGAUUUUUUAUCUUCAAAAUCUUGCAAAGUUUUGACAACCCAAAGGCUCAGUUUGGUUGUUCUAUAUUUGUAUGAUAUGAAUUCAAAUUUUUGUGUUCUGUUUUUCUUAAUUCUGAACACGGAUUCUUCUCUUCUCGUGCAAACCAGAAAGAAAUGUUGUCUUACAAAAAAAAAAGGGGAAUAACUUCAUGAGAACAAAAAUUCAGAAAAAUAAUAUAAAGUUUAUAUUUAGACUUUUGUGGUAUAUUUUAAUUUUCAACAAUGAGUUAAAGAAAAUAAUAAAUAAAGUAAAUAAAAGUUUAGAGAUUCAAAUUUUUAGUAUUGGAUUCUUUAAUUCAAAUACCUCUCAUUAAUUAACACUUAAAAGAGAGUUCACUAUUAUAAUUUUAAGUUUUUUGAUUUAUUAUUGAUAUAUAAAUUAGGAGUUUAAGCUUACUUUUUUAUUUUUCCAUUUUUUUUCAAAUUUGAAAUUAUUAUUUAAAUUUAUAAUUUUUUUUAAAAAAAUAGAGGGCUUGAGCCUGGCUUGGGUAUUGUUUCCUAAACCCUUAUCCGGCCCUGGCUUUUUUGCCAGCCCCAAUGAUGAUGAUGAUGAUUAUUUUAUUAUUAUUAUUAAUGAUGAAAAGUAUUAUAAUUAAUUAAUAUAUUAUUGUAUUGUUAUUAAGAUUAACAAUAAUUAUUAAUGAUAACAAUUUUUUGAAUAAAAAUAAUCACAAUAAUUAAAAUAUAAAUUAAUAAUUAUAACAAUAGUUAAUUAAUGUAUUUUUAACAAUUUGUAAUAAUUUAACUCAUUCUAAUUUCGAUUAUUAUAGUUAAGUAAACAACUUAUUAUAAUUUUCAUUCUCCAUUUUAAUUUCAGCUCAUUUCGAUUUCAGUCUAUUCCAAUUUUCAUUUAAUAAACGUUCCAUUAAUGCUAUAGUAAUAUUUCAUAUAGAAAAAAAUAAAAGCUACAACUAAGGUUAAGGGAAAGGACUUCAAAACUCUCUUUUUGUCAUAAUACAUUUUUUCCUAAUUAACUUAAAGAGUUUGAAUCUAAUAUUUUAUAAUAAAUAAAAAUAUAUUCCAAAAGUAAAUAUAAUAUAUCUAUUUUAAACUAAUCUCAAUAUUUAAAAUAUAUUUAAUAUUUUACAAUCUAUUAGACAUAUUUUAUUAUAUUAAAAUAAAUUUUAUAAUAAAUAUGAACAUACUGUUAAAAUGAAUAUAUAAAAAACUUAGAGUAUUUUGAAUAUUAUAUAAAAUAAUUUUAGUAGAAUACGUGAGAUAUAUUUUAUUAAUGUAAAAUGCUAUUUAAUCUAAAGAUUCAUUUAUGAUAAAUUAAUAAUUAUAUUUUUAAAAUUAUUUUAAAAAUUAAAUUUUUUUAAUAUUAUUAAUCUAUUAGACAGAUAAAAUUAUUUAUAUUAUUUUGUAUUUAUUAAAAAAAUUUAAAGUCAAUUUUUUUAAUUACUAUUCAAAGGAUAUAAUAAUUAAAAAAAUCUUAGCGUUUUCAUUAAAAAUUUAAAAAUUUACAUGACUAUUUCUGUAAAUAUUUAAGGUAUAUAUGAACUACGGUAGAGAAGCUUCAUUUAAUAUUAUUGAUUUAAAUAAUAUCUCAAUUAAAAAUGUACAGAGAAUAUAUUUCGGUGGGUAUUUUAAUCUUUUUAGCAAUUAUCAUGGUUAGCCCUUGGCCUUGAAACGUCUGUCAGAAAGGUUUUCAAAUGCUUUAAUUGUUCUUAUUAAAAAAAAAAUCUUUAAUUGUUUUUUCACUUUUAACGUCAGCGGCCUUGAAAGUGCUUUUACUUUAUAACAAAUUAAUUAAUGCUGACGAGAAAAUAUCUCUUCCACAGCCCACAGCAGCUUCUGUUAAUCAAACUCAACCAAUUUUCUCUCUUAACAAAAUUCCAAAGAUGGGUAGCAUUUUUCAGAUCACAUGCGACGGCGCUUUUUUCAAUCGUUGCUUUGGAUUGCUUUCUUGGAAAAGCAGCAUACAUAAGCAACAUCCAAGAUAAUCUUGUAGCCUUGGAGACUGAACUGGGAAGACUAAUCGCAGCAAAGAACGAUGUGAUGAUGAGGGUUGUCAAUGCUGAACGACAACAAAUGAAAAGGCUGGGCCAAGUGGAAUGGUGCGUUUCGAGGGUGGAUGCUGUUAAAAUUGAAGCUGAUGAACUUAUCAGAGACGGCUCUCAAGAAAUUGACAAAUUAUGUGUUGGAGGCUACUGUUCUAAGAACUGCACGUCAAGCUACAAGUUCGGGAAACAAGUGGCUAAAAAGCUACGAGAUGUGGAGACUUUAAUCGCCGAAGGAGUUUUUGAGGCGGUGGCUACCGAGGUGGUGCCUGAGAGAGCUCCAGAGCCUGUAGCAGAUGAAAGACCUACCGAGCGAACAGUAGUAGGCUUGCAAUCACAACUUGAACAAGUCUGGAGAUGUCUUGCAGAAGAAUCAGUGGGAAUCAUUGGCCUAUAUGGUAUGGGCGGUGUUGGUAAAACUACAUUACUGACCCAUAUCAACAAUAAAUUUCUCGAGAGUCCAACCAACUUUGAUUGUGUGAUUUGGGUAGUAGUUUCAAAAGACCUGCGACUUGAAAAAAUUCAAGAAGAUAUUGGAAAAAAGAUAGGUUUGGUUGGUGAUUCGUGGAAGAGUAAAAGUGUAGAGGAGAAAGCUGUCGACAUCUUCCGGAGUUUAAGAGAGAAGAGAUUUGUAUUGUUGUUAGAUGAUAUAUGGGAGCGGGUUGAUUUAACAAAGGUGGGCGUUCCACUUCCCGGACCAAAAAAUACUACCUCAAAAGUUGUAUUCACAACCCGUUUCAUCGAUGUUUGUGGUAGCAUGGAAGCUGACAGGAAGUUCCAAGUGGCGUGCUUAUCAGAAAAGGAUGCUUGGGAACUGUUUCGAGAAAAAGUUGGGGAAGAAACUCUUCAGAGUCAUCAUGAUAUCGUUGAGCUAGCCCAAAUUGUGGCCAAAGAGUGUGGUGGUUUGCCACUCGCACUUAUUACUAUUGGUCGAGCUAUGGCCUGCAAAAGGACAGCCGAGGAGUGGAGACAAGCAGUUGAAGUGCUAAGAAGAUCAGCUUCUGAGUUUGCAGGUUUGGGAAAAGAGGUGUAUCCUCUUUUAAAGUUUAGCUAUGAUAGUUUGCAGAAUGAGACGAUUAGAUCUUGUUUCUUAUAUUGUUGUUUAUAUCCCGAAGAUUAUGGAAUUCUUAAAUGGGACUUGAUUGAUUGUUGGAUUGGUGAGGGAUUCUUAGAGGAAUCUGACAGGUUUAGUGCAGAAAACCAAGGAUACUACAUUGUGGGCACUCUUGUUCAAGCAUGUUUAUUAGAAGAGUUAGAAGAUGAUAAAGUAAAAAUGCAUGACGUUAUUCGUGAUAUGGCUCUAUGGAUAACCAUUGAAAUUGAGAAGCAGAAGAGAAACUUUUUGGUUCGUGCAGGUGCUGGAUUAAAAGAGGCACCGGCUGUUAAAGAAUGGGAAAAUGUGAGAAGAUUGUCAUUGAUGCAAAACCAAAUUAAAACUCUGUCAGAGGUUCCUUCAUGCCCUCAUCUCCAUACUCUAUUUCUUGCCUCUAAUGAUAAUUUGAGGAUGAUCACGGAUGGCUUCUUUCAAUUUAUGCCUUCUCUCAAAGUUUUGAAGAUGUCAAACUGUGUGGAUUGGCCAGUUUCGAAAUUACCUUUGGCGAUGUCAAAGUUGGGUUCACUACAACUUCUUGAUAUUUCACAUACCGGCAUAGAANNNNNNNNNNNNNNNNNNNNNNNNNNNNNNNNNNNNNNNNNNNNNNNNNNNNNNNNNNNNNNNNNNNNNNNNNNNNNNNNNNNNNNNNNNNNNNNNNNNNGAAGAGUUGAAGUUGUUGGUAAAUCUGAAAUGUUUGAAUUUGAGGUGGACAUUUGAGUUAAAUAAAAUUCCAUGGCAACUAAUAUCAAAAUUUUCAAGGUUACGUGUGUUGAGAAUGUUCGCUACUGGCUUUGCACGUUUUGAUGAAGCAUCAGAAGACAGCGUUUUAUUUGGUGGGGGUGAAGUUUUAGUACAGGAAUUGGUCGGUCUGAAAUAUUUAGAGGUAUUGGAGUUGACCUUGGGAUGUCAUCAUGCUCUCCAAAUUUUUUUGAGCUCAAAUAAGUUAAAAAGUUGUAUUCGAUCUCUUCUCCUCCAGUUGGCCGGAGAUACAACGUCGAUUAUUGAUGCUACGGCUUUCGCAGAUCUAAACCACCUCAAUGAAUUAUGCAUUGAUAGGGCUAAGGAGUUGGAAGAAUUGAAGAUUGAUUGUAAAGAAAUAGUACAAAAAAGGCGGGAACCUUUUGUUUUCCGCAGCCCUCACCGUGUUACUAUACAUAGCUGCCAGAAGUUGAAAGAUUUGACAUUCCUCGUUUUUGCUCCAAACCUCAAGUCUCUCGAUCUAGACCGUUGCGAUGCUAUGGAAGAAAUAAUCAGCGUCGGAAAAUUUGCUGAGACUCCUGAGAUGAUGGGACAUAUAAGCCCUUUUGAAAAUCUCCAAAUGCUUGAUUUAGAAGAUUUGCCUCAUUUGAAGAGCAUCUUCUGGAAGCCAUUGCCUUUCACUCAUCUGAAAGAAAUAUCUGUGGGUUAUUGCCGUAAUCUUAAAAUGCUUCCACUCGAUUCCAACAGUGCAAAGGAGCGUAAAUUUAUUAUUCGUGGAGAAGAAGACUGGUGGAACCGACUUCAAUGGGAGGAUGAAGCCACUCAAAUUGCUUUUCGUUCCUGUUUCCAAUCUCUUUUUGAUUAACUCUUAUACAUUUUCUCGUCGUUUGCUUCAUGCAAAAGACUACGUCUUUUGUUCUCUGUUUUUAUUUCAGUUUCGUUUUGUCUCCUGCAAAUCACAAUUAAAUGUUGAAUUAUAUGGAAGUAAUGCUUUAUAAAUUUGCCGGCACUGCCAUUUAUUUUUCCUCUUUUUUUUUUUGGGUCGAAUUGAUGCUCUGGCUUUUUUAUUUUUUGUCAUCGAAUUUUGCUCUGUUUUUCAAAUUGAUGCUUGAAUAUGUGAAUUCAAUUAAUGCUCACAUAAUUUUGUUUAGUUGCCGUAAAAGAAUAUAAUUAGACUGAAAUUCGCACUCCCAGAAUGAAUAGAAUCACAACAGAGAAAAUAUUAAGUAUGCUAGCCCUCUUUACAGAAAAUCAAAUGAAAAUAAAAUUUUUUGGAUAUUUGAUUUUCUAUGGUCUACUAUAUACACUUUAUAAAUUCUUCUGUUCUAAGGAUAACCAAGUAGGGGAUUGAUGAAGGCUCCUUUUUGGGAUUCUUCUUUUUCUAGGCUGCAAUUAGGAUAUGUACAUGAUAGACAAUCUUUUGUUGGUUUAGCAUAUCUUCGCUGAUUUUGUCUUUUAUUCCCCAAUUUUAUAAUUACACACCAUGAAUGUUGGGUGAUUGUAUAGAAAAUUUGUGUUAUAACAAAAACAUUGUGAAGGAGUUUCCGUGCUAAUAGUUAGUGGCUUCUGUUUUAUUGGUAUUGAUUGGGUAGAUUUCGUGUUACAGUGAUUCAAUUUGUGUUCCAAACUUUGCUUUAAUUUUCUGUUUUCCCCAACUAUUUAUGUCAAAUUUAAAUCCAGAAGCAUGUACUGAUUUUUUCUUUUUGUAUUAAUCUGUGAAGUUUACUUGGAAUGGAAGUAACUGGGUCGGGUCUAAUGGAUUAAAUUAUGACAUUGAGGGGAAGGCACUAAAAGGGUUUGCUUGACACAUUUGGUUCUGUAUUUACUCUGCAAGAAAUAGCUUUUGCUUAUUGCAAUGCAGGGGGAAAUCCCGAUUUGGCUGGUGAAUUUCUCUGCAACAAACAGGCAAACGCCUCAACCUCUUCUGUCCAUACUUCUGCUGGGGAGGCAAGGGGUAAAGAGUCUUCAAAAUCAUCAAAUAGUAACAUCUCUGAGAAUUCAUUUUAUGGAAAUGGAAAAUCUAGAGCUUCUAAUACAAAAUGGCAUCUGGUAUCAGGACGUACCGUUUCAAGUUUUCUUGGUAAAGAUUAUGUUAAACCUGCACAGCCAGCUAAUGGCACUGUUCUGGCAUCAAAGCCAUUGAAGUUGGAUCCAAGGGAGUUUCGCAUUUCUGCACUUUCAGAGUAGAAACUAAACCAAAACAAUCAAAGGAUGACCAUUUGCAGAAGGAUAUGGAAGAUUUUCUGUUUAAAUUGCUAGGAGAAGGGUUCCAGCUGUACAGGGAUGUGAUUCAGGAGGUUCAUGGAAACGUCUUAAAUAUAUUGAUGCCAAUUUAAUACAUAUUGUCCUUUUCAAUGUUCUUUCUUUCUUUCUCCUCUUUUUAUUCUUCUUCUUCUUCUUUUUUCUUUUCGUGUGCAUGUGAUCACUAAUUUGGUAUUAUUCUUAACUUGCAGAUAGUUGUGGAUAUGAUAUGCAAAAUAUCUUCUUGAUGCUGGCAGAUUCACUUGAUUCUUAUUAGUUUGUUUAGUGGCAAGGCAUAUAACCUGUAUUUCAAAGCCAAGUUGUGCUAUUGAUUAUGUUAACUUUAUUGUUAACAUAAAGUGAUAUGGAGGACAUAAUCAAUGUAGGAAAAUUAGGUGAAGAGAUGAUGUCAAAUCUUGAACCUCUUACAAAGCUCCAAGUUCUUUACUUGAAGAAGCUGCCAAAUUUGAAGAGCGUCUACUGGAAGGCAUUUCCAUUCCCAGAUGUAUGCAGAAUUUUUGUAUUAAUGCCCAGUUCUUAAGAAGCUGCCACUGGAUUUUCAAAGGGCGGGCCAAGGUGAAAUUCUUAUCAAGGGAAAGGAAGAUUGGUGGAAAGAACUUCAAUGGGAGGAUCAAGCAACUCAGAAUGCAUUGCUUCCAUUUUUCAAAUCAACUGACAAGUGAUUGAAGGGGGCAUCAUCAACAGAGAUGGAGAGAUUCUGGAGCAGAUCAACAGGGUUUGUAUAUGAUCUUUGGUGGUUGCUUUCUUUUGUGAUUUUUUUUUCUCAUUUUUUUUCCUUCCUGUCAUUUUAUCAUUUCUUUGUCUCUUUUUCUAUUGCUGAUGUUAGUGUAUGCUUACUGUUGCUUGACAAAGUUUGCUUGCUUCUUGUUUAUUAAAUUUUUUAUGGUCACAAAAUAUUACUUGUUCUAUUUGAGAGUGAUGUGAAUCAAUUUUCAAUUAUAUAUUUUGUGGUCAAUGUGAAUUCAAUUUCAUUUGUCUCCUGCAAUUAUGAAAAAAAUGCAGAGUCAUAAUAUGGAAAAGUCGACCGGCAAAAACUUUGUGAAAGCUUCGGAGUGAAACAGGGAAUUCACUUACUACUAAGGACAAUUGGUGGCGAGCUAUUCCAUUCAUUUUAUGUCCAUACAUCUAUUUAAUUAUUGAAGAUAAGUGGUCCAUUUGUAAAUUUCAGAUUGUCCCUCUCUCUUGAAAUAACGAUAUUUAAAAUAUUUCUUAAAUUAUUAUAAAUUUUAAUUUACUCUGGAUUUAAAAUGGAACAUGAUGAAAAUUUUUUUUUCUUCUUAAUAAAAUUGAAAUAAAUUGUGUUUGCAGUAGUUUGAAAUAUUUUAAAGAUUAUUAUUUUAUAAGGGAGUAAUAUGAAAUGAAAUUUACUUUUCAUGCGUGAAAUGUUGAAAAAGGACAAAGCAAGUGUCCCUGUUUUUAUUUUAUUUCAAAGUGGAGUCAUCUCACGUACUUUAGCUCUUAACAUUAUAAUUUUUCUGGUUACAUUUUUAUUAUUAUUUUUUUUUUUUACACAUGCAUGUGGGUUACUUUUCCGUAAGCUCCUUAAUAUAUAUUUAACACAAAUCAUGGAAGAGAUGGGAGUAUAUCAAGAUGAUCAAAGCAUGAAACAAAAAUAUUUAAGAAGUAAAACACUGAAAAUGGAGAAGAGAUGCAAGCAAAAGAUAUUCCAAAGAAAAGCAAUCUAUCCCCCUUUCGAGGGCAAACUUAUCAGGUUUAAGAAAAGUACAUGCUUUGGAUUGGUAGUUGCAGCCUUGCAGGAUAAUUGUUUUUGCCACUAUAUUAGUUGGAGGAGUUGAACCCAGCGAAGAAUGUUAUGGAAGAGCAAAGGAUUAUGUAGCCUGAAUGGAUGUCUUGUUGAAAGAUAUCUCAGUGCAUUAGUUCAUCCUUGUCUGUCAAUGUGUUUUUAAUGGUUUUUCCAAUUGUUUAUUAUUAUAGAUUGAUUGUAAAUUGAUAUGAAUUUAAUGUUGAAAUAUUUUCUCUUUAGUGGAAUGAAUUUAAAAGUGCAAAAGCUUAUUGCACACAGAGAAAUAAACAUAUAUGCUUUAUAGUAUAACUUUAGCAAUCGAUUCUUUUACAGCUGGAAACAGAGAUGGUGAUUAUCAUAGGGGUGAAGAAAAGGACAAAAAAUGUUAAUGAUUAACGAAAUUUCUAUGCAAAUUGAUUUUAGCAGGAAAAAAAGUGAGCUAAAUGAUCUUAAUGUUCCACAAAAGCAAAUCGUAAUAUUCCACAAGAAAAAGCAAGAUCUUAAUGUUCCACAAAAGCGUUAUUUUUUUUUUGGUGAGCCACGUGGAGCUCAAUUAUCAUUGUCUUUACUUUAAAAACGUUAUUUUAUUUUAUUUUAUUACAAAUUAAUGCUAAACAAGAAAAAGCAAGAUAUAAUAUUCCACAAAAGCAAAUCGUAAUAUUCCACAGAGGAAUAAGAUCCACAAAAGCAAACAACUAGCUGGAUUCUUUUACUGAAUUACAAAUUAAAGUGGAAUCUUUUAUUAAACAAUAAAUUAAAGUUCGAAUAUUUAAGUAGUAGUGCGUUAGAUGAUUAGGCUCUCUUAUUAAAGGCAAGUAUAAGGUAGUCCAGAAUCGAACAUCUCUAUUGUCUAGUCAUUUUUUUCAAUUCUUCUUUUAUUAUUUUUCAGAAUAGGUUUUGGUGAUUACUAUUGGGUUAUUAGUCAGAGUUAUUCUUAUCUUCCGGGGCAGUUUCUGUUCAUCGGAAUUGUUAAUUAAAAGAGUAAUGAUAUAGUCACAAACUCUUGUAUAAACUUAUUUUGUACAAACUGAUGUGGCAUGAUAAGAUUAGUUGAAUUAAAUAUCACUUAGGCCACAUGAUUUAUUUUUAUUAUUUUAUAUUUUCAUUCAACCAAUGAAUUAAUGCCACGUCAGUUUGUACAAGAGUUUGUGGCUGUAUCAUUACUCUAAUUAAAAUUUUAGAACUCUUGUGGGAAGAAUGUUUUUCUGUUAUCUUUUUUACAUUCUAAUUUCAACAAUAAGAAGGAGUCAUUUUAGAAUUCGGGUCUUGAAUCGAAUUUCAAUGCAUGAAUUAAUAUUUUAAAAAAAAAUUACUACACGCAGUUUAGGUUACAAACUAUUUUUUGCAAAGUUGACUAUGAAAUUGGAGAAAUUAAGUAAUUUAUAAUGUUUGCAAAGGAAGAGACUAACAUACUUCCAAUUACACUAUAUCUCUAUUAUCAUAAUGUUAAGACUAAACUAACUUAAAAUAAAUUUUAUUUGAAAAGUUAUAUCAAACACAGUCUAAUUUUAUUAACUUGAAGAGAUAAUAGUUAUAGAAAUGAUUGUUCUAACUUAAUUAGUACAAGUGGUAUAAAGGUUAAGUGUGCACUAAAUUUGUUUAAAUUUUUUCCAGAAUAACUAACAGAGGUCAUUAUUAGAAUUAUAAUUACUAGUCUAUUAGAUAGAAAAAAUUAUAUAUAUUGUUUUAUAUUUAUUAAAAAAAUUUAAAGUCAAUCUUUUUAAUUAUUAUUUAAAGGAUAUUAUAAUUUAAAAAAAUUUAAUGUCUUUAUUAAAAAUUUAAAAAUUUACAUGACCGUUCUAUAAAUAUUUAAAGUGUAACUGUCAUUUUCUCAUGUAUAUAUAUAUAAACCACGGUGGUGAAGCUUUAUUUAAUAUUAUUGAUUUAAAUAACAAUAUCGCAAUUAAAAAUGUAGAGAGAAGAAAUUUUGGUGGGUAUAUUAGUCUUUUACAAUUAUCAUGAUUAGCCCUUCCUCUUGUAACGUUGGUCAGAAAAGUUUUAAAAUGCCUUGAUUUCUUUUACUUUUAACGUUAGCGGCCUUCCUUAUAUUUUAUUACAAAUUAGUCCUAACAAGAAAAAGCGAGAUCAUAUUCCAAAAAAGCAAAAGUGACAAAAAAACCAGCUGUAUUCUUUUAUUAAACUACAAUUUAAAAUGAUUUUAAAGUGGAUUCUUUUGAAUACAGGUGGGGUAGUCGAAUAGUCUUUUUCAAAUUCUUGUUUUAUUAUUUUUCAAAACUAGUUUUUGGUAAUUACAAUCGGGUCAUUCAUUAGUCAUUAUUCAGAGUUAUUGUUAUCUUCGGGGGCAGUGGGUAAAAGGCUAAAUGAUAAUUACUAAGUGUUUUUCCUUCAAAAGUUAGUGGCUCGUGUUUUGCAAGUGUGUACGUGCGAUGCUCUUUGUCUAAAGGCAAUUACAGUGGGUCCCGAAUCGGACGUGCCUAAUAAAUCUUUUAAAAUUUUUUCUAAUAAAUAUUCCUAAAAUUUCUCUUCCACAGGCAAUUACAGCAGCUUCAGUUAAUCAAACUCAAUCAAUUUUCUUUCUUAACAAAAUUCCAAAGAUGUUUGGCUGUUUUCAGAUCACAUGCGAUGGUGCUCUUUUCAAUCGUUGCUUGGAUUGCUUUCUGGGAAAAACAGUAUACAUACGUAACCUCCCAGAUAAUCUUGUUGCCUUGGAGACUGAAUUGGGAAAUCUAAUCGCAGCAAAGAACGAUGUGACGAGGAGGGUUGACAAUGCUGAACGGCAACAAAUGAGAAGGCUGGACCGAGUGCAACGAUGGAUUUCGAGAGUGGAAGUUGUUGAAACUGAAGCCGAUGAAUUGAUAAGACAUGGCUCUCGAGAAAUUGAAAAAUUAUGUGUUGGAGGCUACUGUUCCAAGAACUGCAUGUCAAGCUACAAGUUCGGAAAACAAGUGGCUAAAAAGCUACGGGAUGUGCGGACUUUAAUCAGUGAAGGAGUUUUUGAGGUGGUGGCUGACAGAGCUCCAGAGCCUGUAGCAGAUGAAAGACCUACUGAGCCAACAAUAGUAGGCUUGCAAUCACAACUUGAACAAGUUUGGAGAUGUCUUGUAGUAGAAGAAUCAGUGGGAAUCAUUGGCCUAUAUGGUAUGGGCGGUGUUGGUAAAACCACACUAUUGACCCAUAUCAACAAUAAAUUUCUUGAGAAUCCAAUCAACUUUGAUUGUGUGAUUUGGGUUGUAGUUUCAAAAGACCUGCGACUUGAAAAAAUUCAAGAAGAUAUUGGGAAAAAGAUAGGUCUGUUUGAUGAUUCAUGGAAGAGUAAAAGUGUAGAGGAGAAAGCUGUCGACAUCUUCCGGAGUUUAAGAGAGAAGAGAUUUGUAUUGUUGUUAGAUGAUAUAUGGGAGCGGGUUGAUUUAACAAAGGUGGGCGUUCCACUUCCCGGACCACAAAAUACUACCUCAAAAGUCGUAUUCACAACCCGUUCCAUCGAUGUUUGUGGCAGCAUGGAAAGUCACAGGAAGUUCCCAGUAGCAUGCUUAUCAGAAGAGGAUGCUUGGGAGCUGUUUCGAGAAAAAGUAGGGCAAGAAACUCUUGAGAGUCAUCAUGAUAUCGUUGAGCUAGCCCAAACUGUGGCCAGAGAGUGUGAUGGUUUGCCACUCGCACUUCUUACUAUUGGUCGAGCUAUGGCCUGCAAAAGGACAGCAGAGGAGUGGAGACACGCAGUUGAAGUGCUAAGAAGAUCAGCUUCUGAGUUUGCAGGUUUGGGAGAAAAGGUGUACUCUCUUUUAAAAUUCAGCUAUGAUAGUUUGCAGAAUGAGACGAUUAAAUCUUGUUUCUUAUAUUGUUGUUUAUAUCCCGAAGAUUAUGGAAUUCUUAAAUGGGACUUGAUUGAUUGUUGGAUUGGUGAGGGAUUCUUAGAGCAAUCUGACAGGCUUAGUGCAGAAUACCAAGGAUACUACAUUGUGGGCACUCUUGUUCAAGCAUGUUUAUUAGAAGAGUUAGAAGAUGAUAAAGUAAAAAUGCAUGACGUUAUUCGUGAUAUGGCUCUAUGGAUAACCAGUGAAAUUGAGAAGGAGAAGAGAAACUUUUUGGUUCGUGCAGGUGCUGGAUUAAAAGAGGCACCGGCUGUUAAAGGAUGGGAAAAUGUGAGAAGAUUGUCACUGAUGCAAAACCAAAUUGAAACUCUGUCAGAGGUUCCUACAUGCCCUCAUCUCCUCACUUUAUUUCUUGACUUUAAUCAGGAGUUGGAGAUGAUCGCGGAUGGUUUCUUCCAAUUUAUGCCUUCUCUCAAAGUUUUGAAGAUAUCAAACUGUGGAAACAUUUUUCAAUUACCUGUUGGGAUGUCAAAGUUGGGUUCACUAGAACUUCUUGAUAUUUCACAUACCUUCAUAAAAGAGUUACCAGAAGAGUUAAAGAAGUUGGUAAAUCUGAAAUGUUUGAAUUUGAGGUGGACAAGGGAGUUAAAUAAAAUUCCACGGCAACUAAUAUCAAAUUCUUCAAGGUUACGUGUGUUGAGAAUGUUCGCUACUGGCUACAUACGAUUCGAUGAUGCACCAGAAGACGGCGUUUUAUUUGGUGGGGGUGAAGUUUUGAUACAGGAAUUGCUCGGUUUGAAAUAUUUAGAGGUAUUGGAGUUGACCUUGGGAAGUUAUCAUGCUCUCCAAAUUCUUUUGAGCUCAAAUAAGUUAAAAAGUUGUAUUCGAUCUCUUUACCUCGAGUUGACCGGAGAUACAACGUCAAUUAUUGAUGCUACGGCUUUCGCAGAUCUAAACCACCUCAAUGAAUUAUAUAUUAAUAAUGGUAUUGAGUUGGAAGAAUUGAAGAUUGAUUAUACGCAGAUAGUACGAAAAAGGCGGGAACCUUUUGUUUUCCGCAGCCUUCACCGUGUUACUGUUAUGGAUUGCCAUAAAUUGAAAGAUGUGACAUUCCUCGUUUUUGCUCCAAACCUCAAGUCUCUUACGCUAUUCGAUUGCGGUGCUAUGGAAGAAAUAAUCAGCGUCGGAAAAUUUGCUGAGACUCCUGAGAUGAUGGGACAUAUAAGCCCUUUUGAAAAUCUCCAAUUGCUUGAUUUAGAUAAUUUGCCACAUUUGAAGAGCAUCUUCUGGAAGCCAUUGCCUUUCACUC